GAACCUCGGGACAUAAACCUCGUCGUUCUCAAGUGAUUGAGUGUUGGCGUGGUGACGUCUGUGGCUAAUUUUCCAAGAGAAAUAUGGAACCAUGAGAGAAGAGUGGACAAUAAGGCCAACAAGGUCAUUCACCCAACCAUAAUCACUGAAGGCGUCGUGAUCACAUUCGUGACCCACCACCCAAGCUCCCGUCAAGACACACCCCUGGACAGCAAUGUAAGCAGCCCAACCGACGUAAUUCAGAGGAUAUGGAAGAUACUGCUCUAUGUAAUUAGUGGCAAUAUAGUAGAGGGCAUAGGCCAUGAGGAGAUCUUGAAUGAGGUAUCGAAAAGAAGUGACAAGUGACUUUUCAAAGCAAUGAGCAGGAAUGGCUUUCUUAAGGUCACCAAUGGUGAAUGGAGGUUUCUCAUGAGGGGCACGUCGAAGUGCUUCUGUUUGAGUUUUCUUGGCAUUAGGAGCAGACAUGCGUCCACCUGCACCCAUCUUUCCCUGGUGAAGAAUGCAAAUAUUGCUACUCUUCAACCUUGUUGCCUUUGUUAUGUGUUUAGUUGUUUCGUUGUUGUUAUUACCUCAGACCAGCUUGGAUAUUUAUAAGGAUGUCGAAAUUAGAAAUGAGUUAAAGUCCUUAAGGCCCGCCAGCCAGGGGAGGAGUUUGAACUUUGAAUAGAAAGAGUAGGAAAUUAAGUGGCGUGCUCGUGUACAAUUAUUAGUGUCACUACUGAAAUGUGCAGUCAUAAAAUGAGUGCUGCACCAAAAUUUUCUCUUAAAUUCCAGGUCCUGCUUGGCGGCUAUACUAUCUUCAUCAACUUAUUGUUGUCUUGUUAUGCUCUUUUAACAUGCAUAUCUUUUGAUAUCUUCUUUCUCAUAUUAUGCAUUUGCUAAGCUUACUCUAAUACCAAAUAAAGUAGCUGACAUGAUGAAAAAGCAAAUUAACACACCUAAUUUAUGUCUCAUCCGAAAACAGGCUCUUUGGGGGAAUUAUUCUUUAUCUAAUAAAUGAGGUAAAAUGAUUAAUAUUCGAUAAAAUGAGUAGUGAAUGAAAUAUUCCUGUUCCAUCUUUACAAUCAAUCAUCUUCAGUUCCUCAAGUUUACGCUUAAGUGGAAGUUAUUUCUAUUUACUUCCUCCGGAUUUACAGUUAGUCCCAAGAAAAGUGUGGCAGCUGGGCAUUAGUUCUAGCAUGCAGGUUCCAGGUUACGAGAUCAUUUAUCAUCAAAUUGCAGAGGCAUACUUAGCCAAGUUAAAUUAAUGUUGGAAACUGGGAUCAGAACUUUAAUUUAAGCUGCUUGAUGUUCCUUUUUCAGUUCACUCACUACUAGGGAUGGCAACGGGUCGGGUUUCAUGAGAUCUAGACCCGAUCCAUUAUAUUUCGGUUCGGGUCCGGGUCUGAAAAAUGAAGAUCCAGAUCCGAUCCGUCGGAUUUUUUCGGGUUUCGGUUCGGGUUCGGGUCUAAUUCGGAUAUUUAAAAAAAAUUAAAAAUUAUAUAUCUAUAAAAAAUGUGAUGGCUUAUUUUAAAAAAAAAUUAGGAAUAUAAAAAAGGACUUUACAUGUUUCAUUUAGUACAAUAAACACGUGAAACAUGCUAACUUAAUUAUAUACAAUCAUUCAACUUAUCAUUUAUAUUUUAUUAUAUUUAGAUUUUUUAAUGCACAAUAAUUGAGAAAAUUAAAAUAUUGAUGAAAUUAAUAUAUAAAUUAUGUAUUGCGCAUAUAAUAUUAAGUAAGAUGUUAAUACGCAUACAUAAUAAUUCAUAAUAUUUCAUAUAUAUACUUUACAUUUAACAAAUAAUAUAUAUAUAUAUAUAUAUAUAUAUAUAUAUAUAUAUAUAUAUAUAUAUUAUAUUUGUAUGUGGUUUUUAUUAAGAUCCAGAUCCAGAUCCAAACUUUUUCGGGUCUAAAAAUAAGAUCCAAAUCCGGAUCCAGAUCCACAAAAAUCGGGUUCGGAUAGAUCCAAUCGGGUCGGAACGGGUCGGGUAUCCAUCGGGUCGGGUAAAACUGCCAUCCCUACUCACUACUAUUGAAGUGAUAGUUUAUACUCCCUCCGUCUCAAUUUAUAAGUCCAGUUUGGAAAAAAAAAUUGUCCCAAAAUACUUGUCCCUCUCUUCUUUCAAUACAAAUUUAUCUACAUAUUAAUUGUGAUUUUUUUUGAAACUCAACAAUAUUCUCACUUAUCAAUGCACUAAUUAAUGAUACAUGAGAUAAGAUUCUAUCUAACUAACUUUUUUCUUAAUAUGUGUGUUUAUUCCAAAAUCGACUUAUAAAUUGAGACGGAGGGAGUAUUGAACUUCAUUUCAUGACAUUUUAUAACACUGGAAGUUGCUUCAUCACUUGUAUUGUGUACAAAUAAAAACACACAAAGCACUCAUAUUAAUCUGAGCUUAUACUGUGAUUAAUUUUGCAUUCAUCUUACUGAAUACAAUCUUAGUUUCAAUUUGCCAAAAGCCUCGAGGAACACAUCAAAUGGCUCAAUUCAGACCAAGUAUGCUAUGAAGAUUAAGACGACGCUGUCUGUAAAUAUUGUGCAACCAUGUAAACAUUCUGCCAGGACUGUUUCAAAUUGUUGUGUUUGCAAUAUAUGGGUAAAUCUGGGUAACUCAUAACUGUAAUGUCCAAGAUUUAAAUUACGACCUCUCCUAUUGCUACGUACAAUUAAAUAUGAGUUUCUGACUCAUAAACUGAAACAAGCUGCAAAACAGAAUUAUUUCCCAGUUACUUAAGCUUCUUCUUCUUCUACUUUAGUAGCAUAAAAAUCAAAUUGUUUGAUAUUACAAAAAUUCUGAAAAUUCUGUGUAUUGCAUUGAAAAUUUGUUUUCAACUACUUACCUUAUUGUACAACAUCACAUUAAACAAUCUAAAGUUACUAGGAUUCUAGGAAUAAAAGAAGACAAUGCAGAAAUAAGUGAAAGAAUUAAAUCGAGGUAGUCUCUAACACAUUGAGCUAAAUAUCCUUUCUGUACCAGUAGACUCCUUUGGUCUCGCCUUCAUCCUUCUCCACGUAAAUGCAUUCCUUCAUUUCUCUGUACAUGGCCUUAAGUAUUGGAGUUCCAUCAUACUGAUAAUAAUCGCCCAACACUGGCUUCAUGGCCUCUGUUGCUUCAAGUCCGUGGUAAUGUGGGAUCAUGGAGAAUAUGUGGUGACAGACAUGAGCAUUGCACACAUUGUGGAAUACCUUGUUCAAAAUUCCAUAAUCUCUGUCCACAGUGCAGAGAGCUCCCCUCAACCAAUCCCAUUCGGUUGAAUCGUAGUAAGGCACUGAGGGAUGAGUAUGGUUAAGGAUGGUGAUCAAUGUGAACCAUCCAUUGACAACAAGCAAUGGACCUCCAUAGACACAGAAAACCCAGACAAAUCCUUUGGCUAAUACUAGAUUGUACAGCCCAUAGAUAACAGCAAGAAUGGCAAGAUCAGACACAAUGAUCUGCUUGCGCUCACGUUCUGUGUAAAGAGGGCUGUGGGGAUCAUAAUGUGAAGUCCACCUCUCAUACUUGUGUCCAGAAACAUUGAACAUCAAAUAUAGAGGGAAACCUAUGAGAAGUGUGGUAACCCAGACAAGGACACGACCGGGUGGGUUGUUGAGAAUUUUGUAGUAGUUCCUGAUGUUGGACUUGAAUCUGGGAACGUAAACUUCAUCAUUCUCAAGCGACUGAGUGUUGGCGUGGUGACGUCUGUGGCUAAUUUUCCAAGAGAAAUAAGGGACCAUGAGAGAAGAGUGGACAAUAAGGCCAACAAGGUCAUUGAUCCAGCCAUAGUCACUGAAGGCAUCAUGAUCACACUCAUGGCCUACAACCCAAGCCCCGGUGAGGACACAGCCCUGUACAGCAAUGUAAACUGCCCAACCCAAGUAGUUGAUUGGAUGGGGUAAAUACUGGUCUAUGUAAUUUGUGGCAACAUAGUAAAGGGCAUAGGCCAUGAGGAGAUCUUGAAUAAGAUAUCGGAAAGAAGUGAUGAGUGAUUUUUCGAAGCAAUGAGCAGGAAUGGCUUUCUUGAGGUCACCUAUGGUGAAAGGGGGUUUCUCAUGAGGAGCACGUCGAAGUGCUUCUGUUUCAGUUUUUUUGCCUUUAGGAGGAUCCGACAUUCGCCCACCUGCACCCAUUGCCCCUCACAAAAGAAGAUGCAAAUGUUGCUACUCUUCAAGUCACUCUUGGUUUUUGUUGUGUGUUUAGCUGAAGUUGCUCUGUAUUUCCUUAGAACGGGCUCGCUUGUAGAUUUAUAGGAAUGUAUGAUAUCAACAUGUGCGUAGAUAGAAGUGUGGUGAAGCUUAAAGCGCCCGCCAGCCCGCCAGGCAAGGAAAAGUUUGAAUAAACAACUUUGAAUUUGUUAGUGUGUUGGAAUAAAAGAGUAGGAAAUUGCACUAGUUCAGUCGUUUUCAAUGUGUGUUUUAGAGAAGUAUGCCCACAUGAACUGAUUGAGUCGCUAUGUUUUCUCUACGUUUCAAGGUCUCCCUGGGCGGCUGUACUUUCAUAAAUUAUACUCCCUCCGUCCCUCGUGCUAGUUUACGUGCACUGUUUGCACGCAUUUCGAAACUCUUAUAAAGUAUUGUAUUAUAAUUUUUUUUGAAUAAAAGUUUAAACAUCAAACUUUUAUUCAGAGAAAUAAAAAUUAAAAAAUAUAUUAUGAAACUAUACUUUAAAUGAGUGUGGAAAAACGUGCCAAAAAAUAACGUAAAGAAAAUGAGGGGACAGAGCGAGUACUCUUUUAACAUGCAUACUUUUUGUUUUUUUCCCUGAUUUUAUUCGUUUAGUUAUUACAAUAACAGAUACGGUAGCUGACGUUAGCCUAGAAAAUCAUACAUAUCAGAACUGCAAGCAUAUAAUUUGAACUGAUAACGUUUCACUAAUUUAACAUUCAGAACCAGCAGCUUUUUCAUUUUGAUCGAUAGUAGUUUAUGCAUUCGAGUUGAAGAUUGGAAAAUACAAACAAUAGAGAAAUGAUUUUUGAGAGCAACACAAACUUCUGCAUAACAAGUCACUUUCACAAGGAAACUUACAAUGACUCCCCACAAGCUAGACCAAGUGCUUUAAAAAGAGACGAGGCUGAAUUCAAAUCUCAUUUGCAGCUCCUCGUUGUUCACUGGACUGAAGUCGAGUUGUUAACAGUACGUUUUAACUUAUCAGAUACCUAAAUGAUAAGGGGUGAAAUAGAGAUAUACCGUUAAUCAGUAAAAUAUAGCACAGCUAGUUUUUCAAAAGGAACAAUGUUUUGGUUAAGAAACAGAAUCAGAAAAUCCUAUCGUAAAGGCUGAUGCAUUAAUAUGUUGUUAUGUUCAUGCAAAAUAUUACCUUGCUCCUUACAACUAAAAAAAGGAGCUGUCAGACAGACUUCUUGGAUCCAACUGCUGGCGACGAGCUGGCUGUUUAAAACUUCCCUGGCCAUUGAGAGCCACGGACUAGGACCCAUAAUAAAAUCCUUAUUUCCUCUGUUCUUUUCAGUUUAAAAGUUUUUCAUAUCAUAUAGGCAGUUUCGGGCAAUUUAUCAUAGAGGAAGACGCUGCUGUUUACAACGCAUUGAUAAAGAGCGCGGAGCACCCUGUAUGUUUGAGGAGUCUCUGAUUAGGCUUAAAAAGAUUAUUUUUUGUACCAAAGAACUCAUGGUUCAAUGAUAUUUUCCUCGAUCUACUUGCAGGAUAUUGAGGUACCAUUUGAAAGAAAUUAGUUCGUAUGUUAUUCGGCAAUCUCCACAAAGACACAAAAUAUUCAUUUUUACCCUUAAAAUUAAUUUAAACUUGCAUUUUUUUAAUUUGUCUACUAAUUUCAUUCACCAGAACACACUGAUUAGGCAAAAGAUAGCUGAAUCCGGACCAAUUUUUUUUCAUCAAGAUUUAUAUAAAGUUGUCAGUAGCCAAUAAAAAUGAGUGACCUGUGAUCAACUAAAUUAUCUAAAGCUGUCGAGCUGUGAUAUCUUGAUGAUUUCUGGGUCAUCGUAACAUAUCAAAUAAAACGCCUCUCCUCUCUUACGAGUACAAAUCUUGUUUGGUUAUGUUUUUCCCAGACCCAGACUGAGAACUCUGUACUUGAAGAUACCUUUUCUGGUAAAGAAAUGGCAAGUCCCACCGCCCUGAAUCCGUACUCAUCAGCAAAAGGGAACUGAUUCAACAUCGGGUGGUAUGCAGAUAUCAAGACUACUGCAGACAAUUAGCUAGCUUCAUUUACCUGAAUAACCUCAUUCGUUUCAAGUCUUAAACUUGAAACUGAUGACUAAAUAUAUGCCAUUUUUAUAUGAAAUUAUAUUCUUUUGCUCGGCCAUUAAAUUAAACCAAAAGGACAGUCAACAUUAAGAAGGGAGAAUUUAAGCACGACUGCGAAGUGCAUAUAAUCAGAAAGGAAAGUUACUCCUGAUCUUGAACAGAUGAAAGGUUAUAUAUAACUCUUUAUGUAAUUGUAACACAUUUGACCCUAACGAUCUAAAGUUGGCAGGAUCAAUGGAAGGCAAUGCGAAGACAAGUGAAAGAAUAAGAUUCUUGUAAUACCAAGCACUUAAAACUAAAUAUCCUUUUUGUACCAGUAGACUCCUUUGGUCUCGCCUUCAUCUUUCUCCACGUAAAUGCAUUCCUUCAUUUCUCUGUACAUUGCCUUGAGAAUCGGAGUUCCAUCAUACUGAUAAUAUUCACCCAAUACAGGCUUCAUGGCCUCUGUGGCUUCGAGUCCGUGGUAAUGUGGGAUCAUGGAGAAUAUGUGGUGACACACAUGAGCAUUGCACACAUUGUGGAAUACCUUGUUCAAAAUUCCAUAAUCUCUGUCCACAGUGCAGAGAGCUCCCCUCAACCAAUCCCAUUCGGUUGAAUCAUAGUAAGGCACAGAGGGAUGAGUGUGGUUGAGGAUGGUGAUCAAUGUGAACCAUCCGUUGACAACGAGCAACGGACCUCCAUAAACACAGAAAACCCAGACAAAUCCUUUGGCUAAUACUAGAUUGUACAGCCCAUAGAUAACAGCAAGAAUGGCAAGAUCAGACACAAUGAUCUGCUUGCGCUCACGUUCUGUGUAAAGAGGGCUAUGGGGAUCAUAGUGUGAAGUCCACCUCUCAUACUUGUGUCCCGAAACAUUGAACAUCAAGUAUAUUGGGAAGCCUAUGAGGAGUGUGAUAAGCCAGACGAGGACACGGCCUGGUGGAUUGUUGAGAAUUUUGUAGUAGUUCCGGAUGUUGGACUUGAAUCUAGGGACAUACACCUCAUCAUUUUCAAGGGAUUGAGUAUUGGCAUGGUGACGACGGUGACUAAUUUUCCAAGAGAAGUAUGGCACCAAGAGAGAAGAAUGGACAACAAGGCCAACGAGAUCAUUAAUCCAAUUAUAAUUGCUGAAUGCAUCAUGAUCACAUUCAUGACCCACAACCCAGGCCCCUGUUAACACACAGCCUUGAACAGCAAUAUAAGCUGCCCAACCCAAGUAGUUGAUUGGAUAAGGAAGAUAUUGGUCGAUGUAAUUAGUAGCGACAUAGUAGAGGGCAUAGGCCAUCAGAAGAUCCUGAAUGAGAUAUCGAAAAGAAGUGACUAAAGAUUUUUCAAAGCAAUGGGCAGGAAUGGCUUUCUUGAGGUCACCAAUGGUGAAAGGAGGUUUCUCAUGAGGAGCACGUCGAAGUGCCUCUGUUUCAGUUUUUUUGACACUAGAGGGAGCAGACAUACGCCCACCUGCACCCAUUUUUUCUUUCGAAGAAUAUGCAAAUGCUCUUCUUCCUCUCCUUCUGGUGUGUUUUUGCUCUGAAGUUCCUAAGGUUCCAACACAGAUAUUUAUAAAGAUAUCGCAGUUGGAGUCACAGGCUACUUACUUAACAAUGCUGACUCGUGCGUGAAGUUGCAACAUAAUAAUUUGUAACAUGUGCAUGAAUAGAAUGUCUAGACAGAUAAAACUAGUGAAAAAAGCUUAAAACGCCCGCCAGGCGCCAGCCAUUAGAGGAGUUUCAGUAAAAUACUUAAAACUAGUUCGAAAUCAUUGAUGCAAAUGGCGUGCUGAAGUAGAGUGUGCCUUUAGUGUAGGACACAACGAGCAUAUUUGUUUUGCUAUUUUCUAAUUUUCGAGGUCCUAAUUGGCGGCUGUAUGAUUAACUGAUUAAGUAUGUAAGAUGGCUCCGGAUCCAUGACAUACAUAAGAUGAAGCAUAGUAUUAGCGGGUUUUUUUCCGCUAAAUGACAUUAAUUAACACUAGAUUUUUGAUGAAAAUGCAAGGGACUACUGUAUCUUUCGGCGGAAAAAUUACUCAUUCUAUGAUUUUUACCGUCCAGCGUUUUUUUUCCCGCUGAACAUAUGUUGCUUAUAAUUUGUGGACCAUUACCAUGUGAGCUAUAUUGAAGCACAUGUAUAUCUGUUUGCUUGUUUGCCUUUUUGGUUUUCCUGAUAUCCUGUUCUGCAAUUCAUAGCAUUCAUGCACCUAAAGAAACUAAAAUGAGUUCAAAAAUGAGCUGUAUAACAUCUUAAUCUUGUAAGUUGUAAAGGAUGAGCUGAAGAUCUCCACAAACAUCAGUCAGGAAACGUAAAAUCAUCACCGAAAACAACACGACGAAUUCGGAGUACUGGCAAGGAAAACAAACCUUCAUACAGCUGCCACUGGGGACUCGAAAGGUAUAUGUGUUUGCAUGAUUGAACAAAUAUAAGAGCAAAGCAGCAGCCCAUUCAUGACUUGAGGAUUUGGGUCAACACUAAUAGCACACUACUAGCUGCAAAAAUCACACCAACCUUAAAUAAAAUAUCAUUUGCGUUUCCUAUUUCUUUCCACAUACACAUAAAUUAUGACAAAGUAGAAUGCAGUGCUAGGAGUAUAAUAUGUUAUAGCCUAAAUGCAUGCAACAAAGUCCAGACAGCAACUCCAGUGGCGGGCGCUUCAACAUGCUUAUAAAUCAACACAGUUUUGAGGAGUAAUAGCACAAACUCGACAAACACCAGAAGGCAAUAGGAAGAGAGCACAAGAGGCCUUCCCCAAGGAUCUCUUUCAGGUUCUUCUUUCUUUGUUUCUUACUCGAAUCGAUAGAAACAGAAUCACAUUUUGCAGGGCAGCAUGUACUAAAUUGUAUUACAUUUGUUUUUAUUGCAGACAGCGAGGAGACGAAAAAUGGGUGCUGGUGGACGUAUGUCCGCUCCUACUGGAAAGAAAACUGAAGCAGAAGCACUCCGACGUGCUCCUCAUGAGAAACCUCCAUUCACUAUCGGAGACCUGAAAAAGGCUAUUCCUGCCCAUUGCUUUGAAAAAUCAGUCAUCACUUCUUUCCGUUACCUCAUCCAGGAUCUCAUCAUGGCCUAUGCCCUCUACUAUGUUGCCACAAACUAUAUAGACCAGUACUUACCCCAUCCUCUUAACUACUUGGGUUGGGCAGCUUACAUUGCUGUUCAGGGCUGUGUCUUGACCGGGGCUUGGGUUGUAGGCCAUGAAUGUGAUCAUGAUGCCUUCAGUGAUUAUGGUUGGGUCAAUGACCUUGUUGGCCUUGUUGUCCAUUCUUCUCUUCUGGUCCCUUACUUCUCUUGGAAAAUUAGCCACCGUCGUCAUCAUGCCAACACUCAGUCCCUUGAGAAUGAUGAGGUUUAUGUCCCAAGAUUCAAAUCCAACAUCAGGAACUACUACAAAAUCAUGAACAACCCACCCGGUCGUGUCCUUGUCUGGCUUAUCACACUCCUCAUAGGCUUCCCUUUAUACUUGAUGUUCAACGUCUCUGGACACAAGUAUGAGAGGUGGACUUCACACUACGAUCCCCACAGCCCUCUUUACACUGAACGCGAGCGCAAGCAGAUCAUUGUUUCUGAUGUUGCAAUCCUUGCUGUUAUCUAUGGCUUAUACAAUCUAGUACUAGCCAAGGGAUUUGUCUGGGUUUUCUGUGUUUAUGGAGGUCCAUUGCUCGUCGUUAAUGGAUGGUUCACAUUGAUCACCAUCCUCAACCAUACUCAUCCUUCUUUGCCUUACUAUGAUUCAACCGAAUGGGAUUGGUUGAGAGGAGCUCUUUGCACUGUGGACAGAGAUUAUGGAAUUUUGAACAAGGUGUUCCACAAUGUCUGUAAUGCUCAUGUUUGUCACCAUAUCUUCUCCAUGAUCCCACAUUACCAUGGACUCGAAGCAACCGAGGCAAUGAAGCCAGUACUGGGAAACUAUUAUCAGUAUGAUGGGACUCCAAUUCUCAAGGCAAUGUACAGAGAAAUGAAGGAAUGCAUUUAUGUCCAAAAGGAUGAAGGUGAGACCAAAGGAGUCUACUGGUACAGAAAGGAAUUUUAGGUCGUUGAGCCUUAUUAUCUAGUGGAAAGAAUAUCUCAUUACCUAUCAUUGCAUUUUCUUCUGUAAUUUUAAAUUAUUGCAAGUCAAUGCAUUAGGUUAAGAAGAUAAAGAGUUAACCAGUAACUCUAUGUAAUAAAAAGAAUUUCUAAUUCCAUUUUGGUUGUUCAAGAAUUUCUUAGCUAGCUAGUAUAUGCCUUUUUGCUUCUACAAUUUUCAGACUCUAAACUUCAUUGUUCCUGAUGUUUACUAGAAAUGUAAAGAUGAAAGAGUGCACAGAAAUUACAAACAGGACGCGUUACCAGGGAAAAAUAAAAGUCACGUUAUCCGGGGAACAAACAGUACAAAAUGAAAACACUGCAGCCAUAAGUAUCAAAUAUAACAGAAGAACAUAAACUUCAAGUGUUAACUACCAUAAUCUAAAAUCAUCACUAUUGUUGUAUAACUGAAUAAUCUUUACUCUAUAAACCCUUAAGGUGAACAUUUGAUCAAGCCAGAAUUUGAAAAAGUCCCAGGAAUUCUGCUCAAAUACUUGUGAUUCACAGAACUUUCACUUCGAGCUGAUGAAUUCAUACCCAGACCAGAGGUUUUGAAGCGAAAACCAGGUGGAACAUAAUAGCAGCCCCGUAAAAAAGGAUGCUGAAGAGCCUCCAAAGCAGUAGGCCUUUUGCACGGAUCCCAGGAGCAAAGCGAUUGAAUAAGGCCAACCACAUCCUUGCUUGCAGAUGGCAUCAGCUGAGACAGAGAAACACCAGAAUGCUGAGGAAACUGAUAACUUAUAUCAUCUGCAAGUUCAAUCCCAUAAGCCCAAUCAACUUCAGUUGGAGUCCCUAAAACACUGCAUAUUCUGUACAUUUGAUGCUGUUGAUUUACCCCAGCAAAGAGUGGGCAGCUAGUCAGCAAUUCAGCCAUAAUUGCACCCAUUGCCCACAUAUCAACCGCUGGACCAUAAAUUGGCGCAGCAAGCAGAAUUUCAGGUGCUCUGUACCAUCUUGUUGCAACAUACUCAGAAUAAGGAGGCGAAGAAUUAAUCUCGCGAGCAAGUCCCAGAUCAGCAAUCUUCAUAAUAUCUCCAUUCACUAGCAAAUUCUCAGGCUUAAGAUCCCUAUGAAAAUACCCUCUUUCGUGCAUGUAAGCAAGACCUUGAAACACUUGAAAGCACCAGUUUCUGAUUUCAGUUUCUGAGAAGGGCUUUGUCCUGGUACUCAUAAACUGGUAAAGAUUGCAGUCCAUGUAUUCAAAAACAAAGAACAAGAAGUUAUUUUCUCCGAUUAUUUCCUUGAGCUUCACAAUAUUUGCAUGGCGCAUCUUCUUGAGAGACUUGACUUCUCUCAAAUUCAGACAUUCUUCCCACGAGUGAAACUCCUUGUUCAAUCUCUUAAGAGCCACAACUUCACCACUCUGUGUAUUCAUAGCUUUGAACACACUUCCAAAAGAUCCACUCCCAACUUCCUUGAUAAUCUUAUACUUCUCCAUUAUUCUGACUUAUAUUCAACGUCACAACAAAAAACAGGGUACCCCCGAAAAUUCAAGAAUACUCACGCACUAAGUCUCUACCACGAAUAUGCCAUUGCCCUCGGAAGGAUUUCGAUGAAGAUAUGUUAUGUGAUUGUACGAUCAAAUAUAUGAUUGAUAAGACGGCAAAAUAUUUUCGAAGUAGGCUGCAUCACAAUUUAUGGGCUGGGAUGUUUUUUCGAAGUAGGUUGAAGAUGAAAGAAUGAGAAGACGAGAGAAGAGUGCUGAGAUGUGUAUAUAUAGGAGCAGAGAUUUCCGAAGGGAAGUAGGAUCUUUAAGUCGUGAAUUACUAGGUUUAAGGAUCUUACUUGGGGCUAACACAAUAUCUACCAACGGAAGCUUCCUUCUUAGUACUAGGAUGCUCUGUAAAAGAGUUACUAAUUGGUAUUCGUGGCGGUGCUUUUACUCUUUCACUGAGUUUCUUUAAACUCAAAUGAGCUUCCUUGAACUUGAACACAUUUUCAGCCCUGACAAAAAAAAUUCAUCUUCAACCUCUUCCUUGUUACCGAAUACUAAGGGUGUAAUCGAGCCGACUCGAGUCGAAACCGUCAAGGCUUGAGUUUGAUUGGAAUGUUCGGGUUCAGACUGGAGCUGCUCGAACUUUUAAUUUCAAGAUCAAAACUCGGCUCACAAAAAGUUCGAUAAACUGGAGUUCGGCUCGAACCUAUUUUUUCAAAUAUUGACAAAUACUCAAAAUAUGAUUAGUCCGGCUCGAUUGAAUAUAUUUAAUAUAAAUAAAAUAUUAAAUACUUACAUAAAAAUAUAUUUAUAGUUUAAAAAUAAUAGGAGCUUGAUAAGGCUUGCGAACUUUAUAUGGAGAGUAAUUUGAAACUCGGUUUGAGUAUGAUUAGAAAGUUCGAGCUCUAGUUUGAUCAAGUCUUUAGUUUAGAUCGAAACGAGGCUAGUAAAAAAUUUGAUGACUCGAGUUUGGCUCGAAAAUUUGAACCUAUUUUAUUUAACAAAAACUUGAAAUAUGAUCAGCCCGUCUCGAUUAAAUAUAUUCGAUAUAAAUAAAAUAUCAAAUAUUUAUAUAAAAAUAUAUUCAUAAUUUAAAAAUAAUAAAGGCUUGAUGAGAUUGGAACUUUACAAGCAGAGUAAUUUGAAGCUCGAGCUCGGUUUGAUUAUUUACGUGCCGAAUUCGAAUUUUUUACGAGUCAAACUUUAGUAACUCACGAACUGCUACAUUCAUAUUUUAUCAAAAUUUUAGUUUCUAUCUCUCCCCCUCUCUCUCUCCCACACACACGCACACUAUAACACUCUCUCCACACACACACAAACACUCUAACACAAAUCCUGCAAAACCUUACUUCACGCCCGGCGAGUGAAAAAUCGAAUCAGUUAGGUCUCGGUUAUUAUCGUCAACAACACUGCAUCAAAUCGACCAGAAAUGCGAGGUGAUCAUUCAUAUGGUCCAUCUGAUGAGACAAUAUCCUUACAACGUACUGACAGGUGUUAUCUUUCCUAGAACAUAAAAUUACAUGAUUAUGAUUAUGUGAUUAUUUUUUAUUUACAAUAUAUAUCAUUGUUGUAUGGUUCAUAUUUCAUUUUUCUCACGAUUAGGUAUAAGUGUGUGUUUGAAUCUAUUAUGUAUGAGUUGUUUCGUAUCAUAUUUCGUCAUUUUUAUAUAUUGUUUAGUUAGAUUUUAUUUGUUUUGUAUCCUCUUCUUCGGUACUUAGUUUCGCUAGUGUAGAUGUUGGCGAUGAAGGUGGUAUAGCGGUGUAUUAAUUAGUGCGUAUAGAUCAUUCUGAUUGACUAAUGUUAUUGCAUGAUUUUGUUUUAGUUUUGUAAUUUUGGAUAUUGUUUGUUGUUAAUAAUAGUAAUUGUAGACCUUAAUAUUAGUUGUUUUUUGAAUGACAAGUUGACAUUCUUUAAAUGUUCUUAUCUUUGAAAUUUGAAUCUCCAUGUUUAAUUUGAAUUUUUGUGUUUCGAUUAGAAGAUAAUUUGAUAAGAUAAUUGUUGUAUUUUAAUUUGAUAAUUACUGAUUAUUGUACCUGAAUUCCAUAAUUCAUGGGGGCCAUAUAUGAUGGCUUUAUUGUGCCUUAAUGAGGUAUUAUUGUGCCAUUAAGGGUUGAUUUGUUGUUUGGUGUAUACCAAUAAUUAGCUAAAAUCUUGAUACUUUUGUUUGUCAAGAUUUUUAAUAUUUUUGAGUAGAUAUAUUUUAGAUCUUUUUUCAAUUUUCAAUUAUAUUUUUCUAUUUAUAUUUUAAUUUUUUUUAAAUUAAUAGUCAGCUAUUUUGUUCGGAUUAAAAUUUUAUUAUCUAUCUAACCAAAGAGAUCUCACUAUCUCUUUGGUGUAGAUUUUUUUAAUGAUUUGUUUUAUAUUAGUUUUUUAUAUUACUUUCCUUAUUCUUUAAAAUAUUAUAUUAUAUUCAUAUCUUUUAAUGAGUUUAUUGACUCUUUUCGUCUUUCGUUUUAUAUAGUUUUAUUAUUUUAUUGUCUGUAUGAACUUAUUAUGGUUUUAUUUGUAUUGUAUUUUUCAGGGUACGCGAGAUGGAAGAAAGAACGAUAGCGGGAUCAUUUAUGGGUGUUUUCUUAUCGAACAUUAGAGCUUUAUUGUUUAAGCGUCCCCGGUCAUCUCUGCAUAUCCGAGGGUUAGAUGGUAAACUUUCUUGAACGAAAGGAACUCCUGACAGCGGCUAUUGUAUUCUGAUACGAUUCAUCAUACGUGAAAGUAUCUUGUGACAAAAAAAAAACUCACGAACUGCUUGACUCAUUUACGCUCCAAAAGAAAACCAAUUUUUCAAAUUGUAAUUACUUGUUUUGCAGUAAAAAUAUAAUUUAUAUUAAUAAACUUGAACUCCAUGUAAGGAUCCCAAACUCGCAGAUAUAACCUUCUCUCUCCUGAAUAUAAUCAUUCGCUAGCACUUAUCAGGCAUCAGCCAUAAGUUCAUAUUAGCAGCAUAUUAUCUAUUGAGUGAAUUUCUCCACUCAGUUUGUGCAUAUAAUUACAAGUCCCUCGCCCUUAAUUUAAUCAUCAGAAAUUUUGUCAAAGCCUUUGAUGUAAAUCCUUACAUCCAUAAUGUAGCUCAAUUCAAAUACACGAAUAUGACUGAAAAGUAUCAAUGACUGAAAUAGGCUAUCCAGGUUUUCGUGAUUCAUAAGCCAUUUCCAAUACAGCAAGAUGCAAAUCACCAGAAGUCUAGUCUUAAUUCAUUUCCCUAAUUAAGCUGACAGAAAACUCGGAUAGUCAUACCCAAAACAUACUCUCAAGCCAAUUAUUCGGAUAACUAUAAGCUAAUUCACAUGAGUGUAUGUUUUAUGUUAGUAAAUCAGUAAUGUCAAGCUCAAAGAGAUGCCAAAAAGGUAUCAGCCACACAAGGAUCAAACACUGAAGCUGCAUUACGUCUACCCAACUAAUAACAAAGCGUCAAAGCCAAAACAGUUUGCAAAUGAAGUUGUAGUUAUUUAUAUUUCCGUUAUUACUAUUGUGUAUGUGCAGGUGAGAUUUAAAAUGUGAUUAAAUCUUUUAAAAGCAUAACUGAUUUACUGUUGAUGAAGAACAUAUAAUUCACCACAACUUUCAGCAAGAGCACUUUUCACUCACAAUAAAACCAUUUGAUUACACAGCACAGUCAUUUAAAAACACAAGUGUACAAUAUGUUUGCAUUACAAAAUCAGUAUACAGAGUUAAUGCAUUAGGUUAAGAUAAAGAGUUACCAAUCAUUGCAGACAAAACAGAAAAGCCUUUCAUUACCUAUCAUUGCAUUAUCUUCUGUAAUUUUAAAUUAUCUGCAAGUUAAUGCAUUAGGUUCAGAUAAAGAGUUAACCAGUCACUCUAUGUUAUAAAAGUAAUUACUAAUUCCAUUUGGGUUGUUCAAGAAUUUCCUAACUUGCUAGUAUAGGUUUCCUGGUUUCUAUGAUUUUCUGACUCUCAUAUUCAUAGUUACUGAUGUUUACUGGAAAAGUAAAGAUGAAUAAGUGCACAGAAAUUACAAACAGGGCGCAUUAUCAGGGAAACUAAAAACUAAAAGACAGUCGCCUUAUGUGGGAAACUAAAAGACCAUUGCAUUAUCUGGGAAAGUUAAAGAUGGUUCAAGUUAUCAGGGAAACAAAGAGUAGAAGAAAGAAACUAAUGCAGCCAUAAACGAAAAAAUAUAGUAUAACAUAAACUUCCAGUGUUAACUACAUAAUCUAAAAUCAUCACUAUUGUUGUAAAACUGAAUAACCUUUACUCUUUACACCCUUAAGGUGCACACUUGAUCGAUCCAGAAUUUGACAAAGCCCCAGGAAAUCUGCUCAAAUACUUGUGCUUCACAGAACCUUCACUUCGAGCAGAUGAAUUCGUACCCGGACCAGAGGUUUUGAAGCGAAAACCAGGUGGAACAUAAUAGCAGCUCCGGAAAAAAGGAUGCUGAAGAGCCUCCAAAGCAGUAGGCCUUUUGCACGGAUCCCAGGAGCAAAGCGAUUGAAUAAGGCCAACCACAUCCUUGCUUGCAGAUGGCAUCAGCAGAGACAGAGAAACACCAGAAUGCUGAGGAAACUGAUAGCUUAUAUCAUCUGCUAGUUCAAUCCCAUAAGCCCAAUCAACUUCAGUUGGAGUUCCUAAAACACUGCAUAUUCUGUACAUCUGAUCUUGCUGAUUUACCCCAGCAAAAAGUGGGCAGCUAGUCAAUAAUUCAGCCAUAAUUGCACCCAUAGCCCACAUAUCAACCGCUGGACCAUAAAUUGGCGCCGCAAGCAGAAUUUCAGGUGCUCUGUACCAUCUUGUUGCAACAUACUCAGAAUAAGGAGGCGAACAAUUAAUCUCGCGAGCAAGUCCCAGAUCAGCAAUCUUUAUAAUAUCUCCACUCACUAGCAAAUUCUCAGGCUUAAGAUCCCUAUGAAAAUACCCUCUUUCGUGCAUGUAAGCAAGACCUUGAAACACUUGAAAGCACCAGUUUCUGACGUCCGUUUCUGAGAAGGGCUUUGUUCUGGUACUCAUAAGCUGGUAAAGAUUGCACUCCAUGUAUUCAAAGACAAAGAACAAGAAGUUAUUUUCUCCGAUAAUUUCCUUGAGCUUCACAAUAUUUGCAUGGUGCAUCUUCUUGAGAGACUUGACUUCUCUCAAAUUCAGACAUUCUUCCCACGAGUGAAACUCCUUGUUCAAUCUCUUAAUAGCCACAACUUCACCACUCUGUGUGUUCAUAGCUUUGAAAACACUUCCAAAAGAUCCACUCCCAACUUCCUUAAUAAUCUUAUACUUCUCCAUUGUUCUGACUUAUAUUCAACGCCACAACAAAAAACAGGGUACGGCGAAAUUUCAAGAAUACUCACGCACUCAAGUCUUUACCACGACCCGAAACAAAUUGACAAAUUGUCUUCGAAUAUGCCAUGCCCUCGGGAGGAUUUCGAUGAAGAUAUUAUGUGAUUGUACGAUCAAAUAUAUGAUUGAUAAAACGGCAAAAUAUUUUCGAAGUAGGCUGCAUCACAAUUAAUGGGAUGGGAUGUUUUUUCGAGUUUUUGAGAAGCUCUGACUGGUUGAUGAUAAAAGAAUAAGAAGACGAGAGAAGACAGCUGAGAUGUGUCUAUAUAGGAGCAGAGAUUUCCGAAGGGAAGUAGGAUCUUUAAGUCGUGAAUAGAUACUAGGUUUAAGGAUCUUACUUGGGGCUAACACAAUAUCUACCAACGGAAGCUUCCUUCUUAGUACUAGGAUGCUCUGUAAAAGAGUUACUAAUUGGUAUUCGUGGCGGUGCUUUUACUCUUUCACUGAGUUUCUUUAAACUCAAAUGAGCUUCCUUGAACUUAAACACAUUAUCAGCACUGACAAAAAAAAUUCAUCUUCAACCUCUUCCUUGUUACCGAAUACUAAGGGUGUAAUCGAGCCGACUCGAUUCGAAACCGUCAAGGCUUGAGUUUGAUUGGAAAGUUCGGGUUCAGACUGGAGCUGCUCGAACUUUUAAUUUCAAGAUCAAAACUCGGCUCACAAAAAGUUCGAUAAACUGGAGUUCGGCUCGAACCUAUUUUUUCAAAUAUUGACAAAUACUCAAAAUAUGAUUAGUCCGGCUCGAUUGAAUAUAUUUAAUAUAAAUAAAAUAUUAAAUACUUACAUAAAAAUAUAUUUAUAGUUUAAAAAUAAUAGGAGCUUGAUAAGGCUUGCGAACUUUAUAUGGAGAGUAAUUUGAAACUCGAGCUCGAUUCGGUAAUGAAUUCGAAAAACUCGAGUUCAGCUUGAUUAUUAACAAGCCGAAAUUCGAAUAUUUUACUAUCCAAAUUUGAGUAACUCAUGAUCUGUUUGACUCAUUUACACCGCAACCGAAUACCAAUUUUGCAAAUUUUAAUUACUUAUUUCUGCAAUAAAAAUAUAAUUUAUAUAAAUAAACUCCAUGUAAGGAUCCCAGACAGGCAGAUAUAACCUUAUCUCUUUCCUGAAUAGAGUCAUUCGCAAGCACUUAUCAGGCAUUAGCCAUAAGUUCAUAUUAGCAGCAUAUUAUCUAUUGACUGAAUAUCCAGACUCAGUUUGUGCAUAUAAUUACAAGUUUUUGUCAAACCCUAUCAUGUAAAACCUUACAUUCAUACUGUAGCUCAAUCCAAAUACACGAAUAUGACUGAAAUAUAUCCAGGUUUUCGUGAUUCAUAAGCCAUUCCCAAUACAGCAAGAUGCAAAUCACCAGAAGUCUAGUCUAAUUCAUGUCCCUAAUUAGGCAGACAGAAAACUGAGAUAGUCAUACCAAAAGCAUUCCCCCAAGCCAAUUAUUCUGAUAAUUGUAAGCGAAUUGGCCACUAAAAUUCACAUAAGUGUAUGUUAUAUGUUAGUACAUCAGUAAUACUCAAGCUCAACAAGAUGUCAGAAAGGAUAUAGGCACACAAGGAUCUAACACUCAAGCUGCAUUACAUCUCCCCAACUAAAAACACAGCGUCGAAGCCAAACUAGUUUGCAAAUGAAGUUGUAGUUAUUUACAUUCUGUUAUUACUAUUGUGUAUGUGCAGGUGAGAUUUAAAAUGUGAUUAUAUAGGAUCUUUAAAAAGCAUAACUGAUUGAAUGUCAAUGAAGAACAUAUAUUUCACUACAAUUUUAAGCAGAGCACUUUUCACUCACAAUAAAACCAUUUGAUUACAUAGCACGGUCAUUUAAAAACAUGAAUUCAAUGAACAAUAUGUUGUGCAUUACCAAAUCAGUAUACAAAUUUAAUGCAUUAGGUUAAGAUAAAGAGUUACCUAUCAUGACCUAUCGUUGCAGACAAAACAGAAGAGCCUUUCGUUACCUAUCAUUGCAUCAUCUUCUGUAAUUCUAAAAUUAUCUGCAAGUUAAUGUAUUAGGUUAAGAUAAAGAGUUAACCAGUAACUCUAUGUUAUAUAAGGAAUCACACUACUAGAAAUCUGCUAAUACUCUAUGUUAUAAAAUGGAAUUAGUGAUCACUAAUUCCAUUUUGGGUUGUUCAAGAAUUUCUUAACUCACUAGUAUAGGUUUCCUGUUUAUAUAAUUUUCUGAUUCUAAUCUUCAUAGUUACUGAUGUUUACUGGAAAAGUAAAGAUGAAUAAGUGCACAAAAAUUACAAACGGAGCGUAUUAUCAGAGAAACUAAAAACUAAAAGACAGUCGCGUUAUGUGGGAUACUAAGACCGUUGCAUUAUCAGGGAAAGUUAAAAAUGGUUCAAGUUAUCAGGGAAACAAAAAGUAGAAGAAAGAAGUUAAUGCAGCCAUAAACGAAAAAAUAUAGCAUAACAUAAACUUCCAGUGUUAACUACAUAAUCUAAAAUCAUCACUAUUGUAACGUAGAACUGAAUAAUCUUUACUCUUUACACCCUUAAGGUGCACAUCUGAUCGGGCCAGAAUUUGAAAAAGUCCCAGGAAUUCUGCUCAAAUACUUGUGCUUCACAGAACCUUCACUUCGAGCAGAUAAAUUCAUACCCAGACCAGAGGUUUUGAAGCGAAAACCAGGUGGAACAUAAUAGCAGCUCCGUAAAAAAGGAUGCUGAAGAGCCUCCAAAGCAGUAGGCCUUUUGCACGGAUCCCAGGAGCAAAGCGAUUGAAUAAGGCCAACCACAUCUUUGCUUGCAGAUGGCAUCAGCUGAGACAGAGAUACACCAGAAUGCUGAGGAAACUGAUAGCUUAUAUCAUCUGCUAGUUCCAUCCCAUAAGCCCAAUCAACUUCAGUUGGAGUCCCUAAAACACUGCAUAUUCUGUACAUCUGAUCUUGUUGAUUCACCCCAGCAAAAAGAGGGCAGUUGGUCAGCAAUUCAGCCAUAAUUGCACCCAUUGCCCACAUAUCAACCGCUGGACCAUAAAUUGGCGCUGCAAGCAGAAUUUCAGGUGCUCUGUACCAUCUCGUUGCAACAUACUCAGAAUAAGGAGGCGAACAAUUAAUCUCGCGAGCAAGUCCCAGAUCAGCAAUCUUUAUGAUAUCACCACUCACUAGCAAAUUCUCAGGCUUAAGAUCCCUAUGAAAAUACCCUCUUUCGUGCAUGUAAGCAAGACCUUGAAACACUUGAAAGCACCAGUUUCUGACGUCAGUUUCUGAGAAGGGCUUUGUUCUGGUACUCAUAACCUGGUAAAGAUUACACUCCAUGUAUUCAAAGACAAAGAACAAGAAGUUAUUUUCUCCGAUAAUUUCCUUAAGCUUCACAAUAUUUGCAUGGUGCAUCUUCUUGAGAGACUUGACUUCUCUCAAAUUCAGACAGUCUUCCCACGAGUCAAACUCCUUGUUCAAUCUCUUAAUUGCCACAACUUCACCACUCUGCGUAUUCAUAGCUUUGAACACACUUCCAAACGAUCCACUCCCAACUUCCUUAAUAAUCUUAUACUUCUCCAUUAUCCUGACUUAUAUUCACCGCGAGUCCGCGACAACAAAAAACAGGGUACGGUCUCACGCAAAAAUUCAAGAACACUCACGCACUCGUAUCUCUACCACAGCCCGAAACAAAUUGUCUCGGAAUAUGCCAUUGUCCUCAGGAGGAUUUGGAUGACUAUAUGUUAUGUGAUCGUACGAUCAAAUAUAUGAUUGAUAAAAGCGCAACAUAUUUUCGAAGUGGGCUGCAUCACGAAUAAUGGGAUGGGAUGGUUUUUCGAGUUUUUCGAGAAGCUCUGAGUGAAUGAAGAUGAAAGAAUGAGAAGACGAGAGGAGGCUGCUAAGAUACUCCUAUGUAUAUAUAGGGGCAGAGAUUUCCGAAGGGAGGUAGGAUUUUAAGUCGCUGAUAGAUACGAGGUUUAAGGAUCUUACUUGGGGCUAAAGUAAUAUCUACCAAAGGAAGCGUCCUGCCUAUUUUCCAAAUUUUAUUUAUCUGUUUUUACAAUAAAAAUAAUAUAUUAGUAUACUUAUCCAGAUCAGAGAUAUAAUAUAUCUACAUUAUUAUUAAUUAAUCUCUUAUUAUAUUCUAAUAAAAUUUAUAAAUAAUAGAAUUGAAAAUUUCAAAAUUGAACAAUGAAAGUGCGAAAAAUACAAAAAAAAGUUGCAAUAUAGUUUGUUCUUUGUUUUUAGAAUUAUGUUUUUUCAAUAUUCCAAUUUGAACGGAAUCCUGAUAGAAGAAAAAGUUCACGAGAAUAAUAGAACAUAUGAAAAAUAUUAAGAAAAGAAAUUGCAUAAUGUAUAAGCCUACAAGGUAUAUUAUAAUACGGUAUUUAUUUGCAAAACUAGUUAUAAGUCGUUUCAGACGACUUAUAAUAUUUAGUUAUUUUAUCAUAUAUAAUUUAAUAAUUCUUAUGAAUAUAAACUAUAUUAGAAUAAUAUAUAUUUCUUAAUAUUUUACUGUACAACAGAUACAUUUUACUUAGUACUAGUGCUACAUGCACAAAAUUGAGUACAGAAUUUUGCACAAAAUGAUAUACAGAAUUUUGCACAAAAUGAUGUGGCAAGUGAGGUGGGAAGUUUUAACUGGUACUAUUAAUGCAUACACAGGGGGCUCAUUUCAAUCAAAAAUUGACACAUACUCAUUAUGUGAAUAUUUUUGUACCCAAUUCUGUGCCUCUAGCAUUUUCCUUUACUUUUUUAUAGUCUUGCCGGUGCACUGCAAACAAAGAAAGAAAAAGGAUUUUACCCAUAAGAAAGUGCGAUACCAUACUGCUCAGCAAUGCACUUCGUCCAUUCAGCUACACGGUCCAGAUUUAGCAUAAGUUCUAACCCAUAAGAAAGUGCGAUAACAUCUUUAUAACUUUGUUUACGGCAUCUGCAUAUACAAUACAAGUCGCAGAGUAAUUAUUAUGGCAAUAACCGGCAAUAGAACCAACAAGCAAUGAAGGUCCUUUAGACUAUCUCCAACAAAUUAAGCAUCGGGGAAUUUACUUACUGCUGGACAGUUCUGUCGGCAGCCUAGCAAGAAACAGUUGUUCCUAAAUGGAGUCAUUCGCUAGCACUUAUCAAGCAUCAGCCAUAAGUAUAUAUUGCAACUUGCAAGCACCAUAUUAUCAUCUACUGGCCAGAUUUCCAGAGUCACUUUAUGGCUUAUGCUGCCUGAAAGGCACCUGUAUAAGAAUUUCAUAUUACAACUUUUACUAGAAUGCACCCCUACCUUCAAAUUGCAUAAUGCAGCUCACAGCAACUCAACAAUUUCAACAUUGAAACCGCAAAGUGACUUCUAUCAGGAUUUAAUUUUCAACAGGAUGACACUUCAGUAACAUUAAAACCAUUUGAUAAGUCAUUUAAACAAAUACGAAUUGCUAAAUCAGUUUAAGUCCAGCUCAACAACCAAUUGAAUCGAACAGUAAUGCCGAAAUGACAAACUCAGCUACACAAUGAAUCAAACAGGUAAGCUGCAUCAUAUCACACCAACUCAGCCAUCCAAACCACUUCAGCAAAACACCAAGACAUUUUGCAACUACUUUGCAAUUAUUUACAUUUCUUAUUCAAACACUAAUAUAUAAGCAUAGAUCUAAGAUCAAAACAAAAAAUAAAGCAUACAAACAUGCUAAAUAAACAAAAAUAAAUUCACACUAAUUCAGAACAAUAGAGCAAUUUCAUUCAUACUAUAACCAUUCAAUUACACAUCACAUUCAUUUCGAACAAACACAAUUCAACUAAAACACAACCUAGAAACCCUAGAAAUCAACCGCCGAAGCCAUAAAGAGUCCUGCCCUGCCUCUUGAGAGCGUACACAACAUCCAUAGCAGUCACAGUCUUCCUCCUAGCGUGCUCAGUGUAAGUAACCGCAUCACGAAUCACAUUCUCCAAAAAGAUCUUCAAGACGCCUCUGGUCUCCUCAUAGAUGAGCCCGCUGAUUCUCUUUACACCGCCUCGGCGAGCCAGACGACGAAUGGCGGGCUUGGUGAUGCCCUGGAUGUUGUCACGGAGGACUUUGCGAUGUCGCUUGGCACCGCCUUUGCCAAGGCCCUUGCCUCCCUUGCCACGUCCUGACAUCUUAAAUUUCGAAUGAGAGAAAGAGAGAGAGAGAGAGAGAGAGAGAGAGAGAGAGAGAGAGAUUUGGUUGUGUUGUGGAGAGAGAAAUGAGAGUGUUUGAGAUGUGAGAUUGGGAGAGAUGGUAGGGGGUUAAAUAAGGGGAGUUUUGGGGGUUUGAAAAUUUUGAAAGUUUGGGCGGGGUUUUUGUGUUGGUUUUGGUGAUCCUGGUGGUUGAUUGGUGAAUAUGAGACGUUGAUGUUAAAAAAAAUCGACGGUUGGGAAUUGUGUAAAUUAUGAGGCACGGAUCGAUGACAUGGCGCUGAUCAGCCAGUCAGGUCGGACCCAACUCAAUCUGGGGAGUACACGCGCUGUUUGUUUUAGCCUUUUUUUUUCCCUCAUAUUUGGCAUUCCUUAUUUAAAUUCUGACUUAAGGUUAGAAUCAUGGUAUUUAUAUCAUUUACGUAAAUUUUUGUCGAAAUUUCAAAAAUCGAAAAUUCUAGUUUAUGUUUAAUCAUUUAAUUUUUUUAAAAUUUGAUUUUACCAAUUGUAUAUGAUAAUUUUAAAAGAUAAUUUAUAAAAAUGUAUUACUAUUACUAUAUUAAUAAUUUGUGUAUCAAAUAUGUUGUAAACACAAAAUAAAUAAUAUUCAAACACAUAAUUAAAAGUUAUUUCUCACUCAUAGCUAAAUUCUCAUUUAUAAGCAAUAAUCACUUUUUUUUAUGUUAAGUGAAAUGUCCCCAAGGCUGGCAAUCUCCUGAUGCUGAAUUGUAUAUAUAGGUUAAUGCGAUGAAGACAUCUGAAACCGGUCACAUGGCGUGGAUAAUUAACCGAAUUGAUCGUAUAACGGUUUGGAGUGGAUAAUACCUGGUAUACAAAAUGCACGAGUUGAUCGUAUAACGGUGUGAAGUGGAUAAUACCUGAUAUACAAAAUGUAAACAAAGAGUGAAUAUGGAUAUAAUAAAAAGUCUCGCGUCCGACCCGCACUCUAUUCGUACAUAUAUAUAAAUGUACAUGUACUUACUAAAUUUAUCACAAAAAUAUAUUAUAUUUUCAUGUUACUAUUUAAUAAAUUUUAAUAUACAAAAGAUAGUAAGCUCGUAAAAUAUUCAUAAUACAACUUAUUUGAAUAUUAGUUUCAAAUUUGUGCUAAUUAUUAAAGAAAUCAUAAUUCUUUUCAUAAUUUACAAAUUAACUAACAAUGUUUGUAUUUUACACAUUUGACCAACAAGUUUUAUAAAAUCAUGUUAAAAAAAUAUGACACAACUACGCGUAACGCAUCCGUUCACCACUUUGUUCUCUACUCAUCUCACUUCUAAGACAAGCUGCCUUUAGCUAGGAGUCUCUUUUCUUUUUGUCCUGUUCUCGUUCACCACUUUGUUCUCAACUCUACUCACUUUUAAGACAAGCUGUCUUUAAUUAGGAGUCUCUUUUCUUUUUGUCCAGUUCCGCUAAAACGAUGCUCGACUUGCAUGUGUUAAGCAUAUAGCUAACGUUGCUCCUUCUGAGCCAGGAUCAAGUUCUUAUUUUAAAUAUGACUUUGAAACCUGAUGAACCAGGCCUAGUACUUCCCGACCUUAUGUGAGCUUUCCUGCUCUUAUAUAAUUGUAAUGAGAGAAUAUUUCGAAAAUCUUUUUAAUGCUUUUGAUCCGACUAUGCUCAACGAGGUGACUCGUGUAUGCGACGAGACUAAAGACAUGAAGUAGAAUGUUCAAACCAAAUGGUAUCCAAAGGAAAUGAACAACUUAAGGGAACGACAUUUUUCGAUUAGGAGAUCUGCUCCCAGUUUGACCAUCAUCAUUACUCUUAAGGUUAUCACCUUGCUCAAUUGAUUAGUUCUAUCAUCCCAAUAUUUUAGCACGAAAAAAAUGUAUUUGUCAAAAUCAUAAAAAAAUGCGUGAAAAAACUCUUACUUAUUAUUCGAACUCUGAUGAGUGAAAGGACUUUCAAGAAAGUUAUUCUAGAGGAUCAACCAGAGAUCGAUUGACUUAGUUAGUGAUACUUGAUACGACAAACUAAGUUUUAAAGUAAUCAGUCGCACUCGGCAAAGGUGAAUAAUUAAUUUUCAAAUUAACCAUCAUACAAUCACAUAGUACAAAUUUUUGUUCUCUCUCUCUUUAAAAAAUUUAAUUAUCUAAAUUAACAACAUUCCACUAAACAUGGCUAUAAUGUUAUAAAAUUUCUUUCCAUCUCAUUAAUUAAAUAUUCCGAAUAUCUUAUAUGGAUGAAUAUCUAAUGACAAGGAUUACAAACAUUUUUUUAGAACAUCUGACGGGUAAAUACUCAUUUCGGUCAUCUAGCUAAACCACAAACAUUUUUUUAGAACAUCUGACACAUUUUUUUAAACAUCUGACGGGUAAAUACUUAUUUCGGUCAUCUAGCUAAACCGCUAAAUGACAGAUAAUCAUUUUAUCCAGCAGUUUAAAAACGUUGAAUUUAUUAAAAAAAUGUUAACGGCAUAUGAUCAUUUUACUUCAAAUAGUUUAAAAAAGCUGAACAUAUUUAAAUAUUUAUCCAAUGACCUUUGCAAAUAAUUAUAGUAAUAUUUCCCAGCAAUGAAGUAAAAGUGGAAGACAGUGCCAAAAUAAAAUUUGUUACCAAGUUUAUGGGCAAAAACCAAUACAAUAGUAUACUACAUUCAACAUAAUUUUUUCAACCUCAAUGCAUUUGAAGUUUGAAUUCAACAAAGCACACGGUAAGAGUAGAACUAGUGUUGCACUCCUAAUCAACAUAACCAAAUAAACAUAAAUCGGGCAGCAAUUAAAAGACCAAGAGAGCACAUCUUAUUUUUCAUAUAUCAACACGAAGCUUACAGUUUAGGACACUGCAGACAUACCUUUUCCCAUUCAUAAAAUAAAACUGUAAUGUCUAAUCAAAUACAUAAAACAAAAACCAGAAAGCUUUUCAUUUUCAGAUCCUCAGCAACAAAUCCUAGUACCUCGAAAAACUUUAACUGUAUUCUUCAUAACCAAAAGUGACCCAGACAUAUACAUGUUACUGGAGAUCACACUUUCCUUUGGAUUCCAAGCCUCUCGCGGAAGUCACUUUCCAUGAGAGGAAGGCCAUCACGCAACUUUACCUUUGGUUCCCAACCUAACACUUCCUUUGCCUUUGUUAUGUCUGGCUUUCUCUGGCGAGGAUCAUCAGGCGUGUUCUCCACAGUUAUGAUUUGGACUUCUGGAUUAAUAAGCUGCAAAAUAAUUGAGGCCAAUCAACACUUGUCUAUUGAAUGAAAACGUAACGUCAUAUCUAAUUUUUCUUCAAAACAAUAUAUUCGUCUAACUAUCCUUUGGAUAUUGAGCACAGUUGAACUGACCUCCUUUACAUUUUCAGCAAGCUCCAUCAUUGUGAAUUCACCUAAACAUUAAAAAACAGUCGGGUCAUGUAAACACGAAAUUGGGCAUAACUUUUUAACACGCCUAACAAUAGGUAACACAAGUUAUUUUUCUUAUAACACAGAUUUGUUGCAAUGAAGAUCACAUAAUGCAGAUUCGUUGCACUUCAUAACUAACAUCUACCAAAAAAGGUGAAAACUAGGAUCUGCGACAUUGUUUUUUAAAGUACCUGGGUUCCCAAUAUUAAUUGGUCCAGUAUUAUUUCCUUCCAUAAGUUUAAUAAGGCCAUCAACCUUCAACAGAAGUCAGAAUAACUUGUCAGCAAACAAAUUUAGAUUGAAUUGUAGUGCAGGAAAAAUGCACAAAUAUGUCGCUUACCAUGUCAGAAACAUAACAGAAACUGCGAGUCUGGGUUCCAGGCAACUGAACAGUCAAAGGCUCGUUACUGCAACAUAGAGAGGAAUAUAUUAGGGUGGCAAUUAGGUUCCCAAUCCAUUUAAAUAAACCAAACUUUUGGUUUUGGUUCAGGUUAAAAUCAUAUUUAUAUAUGGGUUGGAUUUUGAGUCUCAUAAUGUAUUAAAAAUUUAAAAUGUGAUCUUUCUAAUUCCAAAUAAUUAGUGCAGAGAAAAUUAAUAUAAAAUAUAAAAAUAGAUAAGUGGUUACAUUUGUCUGUAAAACCUAGAAAAGUAAAGUUACCGAAUCGCUUGAGCAAUGAAAUUACUGACAACACGGCCAUCAUCAAUAUUCAUCCGAGGGCCAUAAGUGUUGAAAAUCCUGGCUAUCCGUAUUUCUGCAGUGACCAGUUUUAGACAUGGAAAAACUGGGUUACAAAUAUUCUUACACAAAAGAUGCUAUUCAUCCUAGAAUUUAGUUGGCAGUUGGUAAAAUAAGAGUCUGUACCAAUUCCAUGCUGCCUAUGAUAAUCAAACAUCAAUGUCUCUGCUACUCUUUUUCCCUCAUCAUAACAACUCCGGACUCCUGUAAAAAAUAUAUUGAAUGAAACUCUUUUCAAGAUACAUACAGACUUCGACAAUAAAUAGACAACCAUUAAAUUACUAAUGAAAAGUCUUAAUCUCUACAUGUUUAUUGCAUGUGUACAGCUGACAAAACUUAGCAAUACAACUUUUCAGGAGUAUGUCACAGGCUUCGCAAUAUUAUAUGGACUAAACAAAACAUUUUCUAGUUCUAAUGAUUAAAUUUUAAUUGAGCAAAUAUCAUGUGUGCAAAAACGUGCAUGCAUGUAUGCAAUUACUACUUGUUUGUGAGCUUUAAACUGCGUCAUAAUAUAUUUGAUCUAAUAAGAAUUCCCUUAUCCCUACAGAAGCUAGCAUUUUUAUUUUAUUUUGUCUACGAAUAAUAGCGAGAAGGCUUAUGAUACAUCACAUAUUCAUCUUCUUAAGUAAGAUUAAGUGGCCAAACUAAUACAAAACAGCGGUAAGAAAGUAAGAUAGUCCAUCUACCUCAUUUCCAAGAAGAUAACUCCUAUACACACACACACACGCACACCACAUAUUGAGAACUAUCAUUCUUGAGAGAUGUCAACUAAGGAAUAAUAAAACUCAAUUUCACAACAAAACCAAAUCAACACACAAGGCGGACAACUUAUGUUAAAUAAUAGGCCAGUUGUAUGUACCUAUGGGGUUGACAUUUCCCCAAUAACUCUCAUCCUGAGGAUGUACAAGGGGAUCUCCAUAAACCUCUGAAGUUGAUGUCAAUAAAAUCCUGUAGUACAGUAGUAAUAUGAGACAACCACAAUUCUACAAAUACUAUGCAGCAUGUGUAAUGGAAAUGUUCAAACCUUGCUCCCACUCUCUUGGCAAGUCCUAACAUGUUUAGUGUCCCAAUGACAUUGGUCUUGAUUGUCUGUCAAGUCAAGUAUCAUAUAAUCAGCAUUUAAUUUUGCCAAAUACAUAAACACAUCAAACCAUCCUAUAUGCUUAGCUAAAGCACCAUAUGUACUUAAAAGAGUCUCUGCUCAAAAGCAGUUAUAGUGUUCUACACAAUUAGCAACAACAUAUAUUGACGUGUAGGGUUUUGCAGAUUAGAUAAAUGACCGGGGUAUCUGAAAACAAUACAGCCUGUAAGGACAACUACUGAUAAAAUUUCCUUGCUGCUGCUGCAAAACAACUGGCAGGUUCAGAAGCAUAGAACACAACAGGUUGAAUCUACACCAGCUUUAGAACAAGUAGAUUAAAUUAUUAAUCAAAAGAGCAAAGUACCUUAACAGGAUUAUAUUUGUAGAAAAUUGGUGAAGCAGGACAGGCAAGAUGAUAUAUUUGAUCAACUUCAACCAACAAUGUUUCUGUUACAUCUGCAGAAAUAUUGAAAUGUAUGUAAAUAACAAAUUGAACUAGAUGUGGGAAAAUAGAUAAAUGAGACACAAGGCCAAGGUUGGGACUUGGAAUUAUUGUGCAAAUAAGACUGCUGACUGCAGUUAAGAUACAUACUGUAUUACAAGCCCUUUUUCAAUUUUGAGAGAGCCCUGAUUUUGAUUUUAAAUCUUUACAGGUAUUGCCUAACAUUACUACUAUAUAAUAUAUCUAUAUCGAUAUAUACACAUAUAUAUUUGUAUUUUUUGAUAUCUCAAUAACAUUUGAUUCAGGGUUAAGCUCCAAAGAGCCUGAGAUGAUCUUUUAUAUACGAAAUAUAAAGUUAAUUUGUGGACACAAUGUUGAAUGAAUGCAUUUACAUUUUGAUUAUAUAUUUCAAUAAGGGUUUAAGUAAAAAUAAAUGAAAUAACUUGGAAGCAACAAUAAACAGUCAAUAUAAAGAACACAUUUCGCAUAGAUAAUUCAAUGAUGUUCAUUAGCAUAUACACAAAUGACGCAACUUGGAUGAUAAAAGAACAAAUACCAUGUCGAAUAAGCUCAAAUCUUGGAUGACCAAUCCACUGUCUUAGGUUGUCCUUUGAGCCAGUAAAGUAGUUAUCAACCACGAUCACCUAGGAGGAACGAGAAAGUUGCAUUAUACUAUUGACCAAUCAUGCAGAAAUUCACCAAGCAGAAUCAUCUGACUACAGUAUCAGACGAAACAGAAGAUUAUGAUAGGAAGUUUAUACCUCAUUCUUCUCAUUUUGCAUCAGUCUGUCAACUAGAUGAGAGCCAAUAAAUCCAGCUCCUCCAGUAACUAAGAUUCUCAUGUUGGCCUGUCAUCAGCAAGCUAUUAAGUAACAGAAGAAGAUAUGCAGAGAGUACCAUAACUCACAUGACUCUAGUCAGUUUGUCACAAAACACUCUCCUUAACCUUAACUAUGAAGGAACAAUCAGCCAACAUAUGUUUUACAUGAAAAAUUACACAAUAAGAGAGUUCUUGACAGCUAUGACACAGAACAGUGGUGGAUAUGAAAACCAGAGAAUGUAUUGAAAAAAAUUAUAUGAUUCGGAAAACUUGCCUGCUUUUACCUAUGUACACCAGAAUUUCCGUAUAGAUAUAUUAAAAUUAUUAGCAAGUUUGGAACAAAUUUUCUGGGCACUGAAGAAAGUAUUAUGGUUAUCACAGCAGAUACUUGAUCUGACUAAUUUUAUAGCAGCAAGUGUUUUCCCAAAAGUAAAUGCGAAGGAACACAAAAAUUACCACUGGGACACCCAAUAUGCAUCUACUCAAAAUUUUGAUUCAAAUGCAGUCUACAUUAAAAUAUAUAUGGAAAACCAAACAAACAUUUAUAAAAGAAAGAGAAGAAAUUUUGUUUGCAAGUCAAUAACUUCUUCAUGUUCCAACAAACAACAUAAGGUAAGUAUAUCAUACAUCAAGCACAUAUAUUCUCCUAACCACAAAUGCAUACAGUUCACAGUUUGUGCUUAAAAAGAACCAUCUUGCUGGUUGCAACCUGAAAAAAUUUGGCAGUGCGCAAUGGAGAAGGUGUUGGAGGGGGUUUCGUGGAUCCAUUAGCAACUUCUUUCGACAUCUUCCCAGAUCCUUCUUCGAUUACUGACACCAAAAAUAUCCAAAUAAAGCACCUAUUAAGAUAAACCAAUCAAAUUCAAUACCACAUUACAAAUCACAAAUUAAUUCACAAUAAAAAAAGCAUCUUUUCCCAUAUGCCUCAUCAAAAUUCAAAAACUCAAUACCUGCAGAAAAAUAAAAUCUUUGCACAAAAAACCCACAAAUUUGCUUGAAAUUGGUAAAGAUCAAAACUUUAUAUACACAUCCAAAUGGGUUGUUGAUAAAAGGGCACAAAUCAUCCAAAAAACAUGUAAUAAUCACACCCAAUUAAAGAAAAAAAAAGAAUAUGAAAGCUUAGAGAACACGAAGAGUAAAGAGUACAAAAAGCUCAAAAGUGGAACCCCACUACAACAAACUCACCAAACAACAAUCAGAUCCAAAUCUCACCCAAAAAUCACAAAACAAAUUUGCAAAUCAAGAAUUAAACAGAGAAUUUAGAACAGUAAAAUUAGGAAAAAAAUCAAAAAAUUGUGAAGAUAGGGAUGAGAGAGAUAAAAUUAGUAGUACCUCUGAAUAAACACAAAGAUUUGUGAUCACUGAUCAAUGUGAAGUAGUGCGUGAAUAUAUGUGGGUUUUAUAUUGUAUAAGUAUAGAUAGAUAGAUAGAUAGAUGCAAUUAACAGGAGACGUGAAUUAUGUAAUUUGUGUCUUCAACAUGACGUGAACUUACUGGAUUCAUCUGCCACGUCAAUUACACAUAGGAACGGUAAUCACAUAAAUUUAUUGCUUAUCCUUUUAAUACGGUUUUGAAAUUUGGAGUUAGCAACAAAUAAUGUGUAAUUUUUGUCAGAUAAUUUUUUAUUUAAAAAUAUCUAUUAGAGGUAUUUUUAUAAUUUAUUUUAAAUAAAAAAAUUAUAGUUUAAUGAGCAUGUAAUAUAUAAUUCACUGAAAUUAUGUAAUUCUUGUCACAUAAUUUUUUCAACUAAAGAUCGCUAUCGGAGAUAUAUUUAAAAUUAAUAUUUAAAAAAUAAUACUACAGUUUUUACCUUUAAGAAGUAACAUAUAACAAUAAGUUUAAACAAGUAACCCAAAAAGUAGAUAUUAGAUAUAUUCUAUAAAUUUUAUUACUUACAUUCAUCCUAAUUCGAUAUACAAUUUGUUUAGGAAAAAUAAAAUUGUAAGUAGUUUUUGGGAAACAGGUCAGUCGCAAAAGUGCUCUGCCAACCGUUUCAACGAAGAGAUAAGCAAGUCGAUCACUAGUAUUUUACACUCACGUAAAACAGUUGACAAUGAGAUGAGUGUUAUAGAAUAGUAAGAAUAGUCAAGCACCAUGUCCAUGUAUGAUUAAAAAGCACAUGACUAUUUAACAUGGUUGGUAUAUAACCAAAAAUCACAUGACUAUUUAACAUGGUGGGUAUAAAUGGGAAUUGAAAUUAAUUAAUUAAACUAUCGGAAUUUAUCAAUUUUUUUGGAAGAAUUAAAGUUCGAGUAAAGGACUUAAAGUUUGUUUUACAAAGCAGGUGUGCCAUUUGAGUUUUGUCAAUCUCAUAAGCAGGAUUCUGUCGACAGACCUUGAUCAGUUGAUCAAGUGCAUCUGUAUUUUCUAAAAUUAUAUCCGACCUCUUCAAUUCCAAUCGCUCACUUAUCAGUUAUCAAGCCUUGUAAUUUCUUCAUCAGAUGAGUAAAAUGACGUGUGUGAUUCUACGUUUUACACCUUGUGCAUCCAGCUUCUUAAGUACAGGAAAGAACUCAGACACAUUAGCCUUACCUAUUUCAGACAAAAUUCCCUAAACCACGACUCUCAACUCCUUAGCGGAAUCCACAUAAGGGUUCACCCGGAAAACACCGUGUUGGAUAUAAAAUUCAGCGAGGUCCUAAAACCAGCUCGACUAAUAUCAACUGCCUCUCCAGUCACCAAGCUCAGUCACCUUCCUAUUACGUACAUUCUGAUUUGCAUUAACCGAAAAUAUGUUAGUAGUCACAAUUUUUCUGAGAUUUUUCCACCUCGGGCCAAUAGGCAAUUAUGCUAACGAGUACCUGGAAUGGUCACAAGCACAAAGAGCAUCUGAACAAACCUGCUAGAAAAAACAAGGUCUUGCUUCUGAAGCACUUCUCGAGCUAUAGUUGAUGAAGAAAUGACUAUUGUAGUUAUGCUCCCGAGUUAUAAACACAUGAUCGGACCAUAAAACUGGGCAAGUUCCGUGAGGGACGGACUGAUGAGGCAGCUUCCCUAUAUCGGCUAAAAUACCAAUGACAGGCCACUGGAGAGGUCCUGGAGGAAGGUUUUUGCCUCUGUUUGAGAACAAAAACAGAGAUUCUAAGAAUGCAAAAGCAAGUAUGAGAUAUACUACACCGAUUAACAAGUCCAUUUUGCUUAAACAAAGUGUUUUUAAGCCUGUGAAGUGAGAAACCUUGAGCAGUUGAGCUAUAUGCAUGAUUCAUGAAGCAACUCAAGGUGCAACUAGUGGAGAAUAAAAAUAGAAAAUUAAAUUAACGUAUUAACUAUUAAGUAGUCCUAUGAAACUUGUUUAAUUAAGGGCUGCUCCCUUAAUUAGCAGCCAUCCAUUGAGCCGCUUAUUUGGCGGUAUGCACGUGGCAUUCAUAUAAUCAUAUUUAACUUUUUUUUUUUUGGUCACAAUAUAAUCAUAUUUAACUUGACGUAGGUAAAAAAGGACCACAGUUUACGAGUCAUUGUUGUACCAAAUAAGUAAAACAAUCACUACUACCCUUUAAUUAUAAAUAACCAGCAUUAGAGUACUCUACCCUUUUUAAAGAUGGUAUUUACACUUUAUUUGACCUUGCAAUAUGUGGAAAAAUGGUGUUUCGUUGCUCUCUUUUUACACUAAAUUUGACUUUUAUUAACAUAAGGAGUGGUAGUGUUUUAUUAUUUUCAGUUUUACACUUAAAUUUACAUUUAAUUUGUAUAAAAUACAGAAAAUUCACAAAAUAAUUAUUCAUGUACGGACUAUUAUCACUUGCACCUGUAGAUUAUAUCAAAUUAAUAUUUGUAUUUGUUCUUAAUGCUGUAUUACUGUACACCGAGCUUUUUAUUAAGACCACAAAUUAAUAGUAGUUAAUCCUGAGUAAAAUCUUUUACCAUAACUGAAUAUAUUUAGCAUAAAAUACUAUACAAACAUAUAAAGUGGCUGUAGUUUAGUGGUUAGAAUUCCACGUUGUGGCCGUGGAGACCUGGGCUCGAAUCCCAGCAGCCACACUUUUUUUCCCAUUUUGCGACCCUUUUAGAAGUGUAGGGUUUUUAAAGAGCCCAAUACUCUUUUCUAUUUGCUUUUGUUUUUUUUGGAAGACGCACAAGUUGAAGAUCAACAAAACCUAGAAAAGGUAUGUAUAGAGGUCCAAUCUUUAGCUCAUAUUAUGUGAUAAUCCUGGCCUUUUUGAUUUGAUUAUAUUUCAAUGUGUUCUUUUCGGUUGUCAAGAAAUGCUGUGAAAUAAUAUGAUCUUUCUUGGGUUUAUGCAUAGUUAGUCAUCUAGAUCUAAGACCCCUUGAUGUGAAAUUUAUGUUUUAAGUAGUGAAGAUCACAAGGAAGUGCUAUAAUAAUGUAAAGGUCCAAUCUUUAGCGUUUAUUAUGUGAUUAUGUUGGCCUGAAUUAUGAGGGUGUGAAGUUGAUCUGGGUGUGUUUGAGGCUUUGCAUAAUUCAUGAUUGUAAGCUGAAGACUGUUUUGUGAGGGUAGUAAUAAAAUUCAAUCUUAUGAUCCGGUGAACAGAAUUCGGUGAUGAUGAGUCUAUGACAUAUAUAACCAAGAAAUGACUGGUUCACAUAAAUCCAAAAUCAUCACCAUCUCUAUGGCCACAUAAUUUGGGUGAGUGGAAAUCUUAGAAUUCUAUUUGAAGGAAAGCUCUGACACACACUCAAGCUUUUAAGAGGUGACUCAUUUCUAGGUCUUUGAGAAGUUUGACAUCAUUGUAUGAACAAGUUACGAUGAUGACACUUAAAAGUGACUUGAAAAGUUUAAUGCUGUUCUUUCUAGGUUUUACAGAUUAUGUUUUUCUAAUUUGCAGCAAAACCGCCUUAAGUAGACUAAAAGCAUGUCUGAUAUAGUUGAAUUGAAUAUUUAGUUCCAUACAUCUGAAAGUAUAGACAAUUAGCUCUGUUUUUGAUUGUCCGUUGUGUUUUUAAGUGCGAAACACGCUAAAAAUAUCUUCAAUCAGAACUCGUAUGGUUCGAGAUGUAGGGUUAAAGGGUUAAAUGAGCAUCUACUGUCUGUAAAGCGAAAAAUUUGAUUCUGGUGUUUUAGUAGCUCAUACAAAGAAAUUUGUCAAGAAUAAGUUUGUUGUAGAUUUCAACUUUACAAGCUCUCAAACAGAGUUUUUUGACAAUGAAAAACAUAACUCAUAUUAAAGAAAAACAAACCACAUAUACUAUGUAUGCCCUGCUUUGUAGACAAGGGUUUGGGGAGAGACGAUGUUCUAUAUGUAAACAUUACCUCUAUAUCUAAGAGUAGAGAAGUUUUUUCUGUAUUACUCAAAACUUUAAUUCAUCCUCUUGCUAUCAAAGCUUCAAUUAGAUGUUAUAUGUAUAUGUCUGUGUAGAUGUAGUAUAUAUGAUAUUACAGUAAAAGUGUGUUUAUUAUUAUGUUAAAAAUGGAGCUUGUUGCUUUUACUAUGAAUUAGAAGAAGUACGUACUGGGUAUUUUAGGUGGUUUUGAUGUUCUGCAGAUUAUAUAACUAGGAAAACUAAACGGGGCAUGUCGCUUUAUAUACAUUAUUGUGGUGUCAUCAGUAUAUCUUUUUUAACUUGUUCAUACAUUGCACGUCAAAGCAUUUGGCUGGCCCAGUAUUUCGAUUAUGUUUAAAUGGUAUAUUAUUUGGACACUCAUUCAGCUUUAAUAAUUGAAGACAAUUAAAAGUACACUUUAAUUAAUAAUUAUAACAAAAACAAAUCUAUUGAUAAAUUGGUUAAAUUUAACUCUUAAGCCAUCAAUGUGACUUUAGUUUAGGGCUUGAAUCCAAGCAGUCACACCUAUUUUUGAUUCUUUUUUUUGCAACCUUCUCUAAAGUAGGGUUUUUAUAUGAGACCAGUUGCUUAUUUUUCUUUCCUUUAUCAUUUUGGAGGGCGCAGAAGUUGAAGAUUGACUAAAGACAGCAAAGGUAAUUGCACAAUCUCAUGCUCUACACACACAGACACACACACACAAACAUCACUUAUUAGAUCACUGUAUCAUAUAUGUGUCAUUUUUUAAUGGAGUUUGACUUGGAUGUGUUCUCGUUGGUUCCUAGAAAUUUUGUAAUAUAGUGUGAUCUUUAUUGGGUUAUAUAUCCUCUAGAUCUAAAACCCCUUAUUGUGAAUUUAGUGAAGGUCAUAAAAAAUGCAAUAAUAAUGUAAAGGUCCAAUCUUUAGCUUAUAUUAUGUGCUUAUUUAGCUUAAAUAUUAAUGGGGUGAAAUUGAUCUAAAGUAUGUUUGAGGUGUUUAUUUUUAUUUACGAGGAUUAGCUAAAGAUGGUUUGUGAGGAUUUUUAAAAAAUUUGAUUCAAUGAUCAGGCGCACAUAAUUUGUUGACUACAUAGGGAAUGCCGCAUAUAUAGAAAAACUCUGAAAUGACUGAUGCACUCAAAUCACAAAUCACUGUACACCAUCUCUUUAGCUGCGUAAUUUGGGUGGAACUCAUCAGAAUUCCAAUCUGUCAAUUCAAGAAAUUCUCUCACACCCUUUGCGCCAUACAGUCUACGUCAGACCCUUUGGGUGACCUAAUAAAUAAAUGAUGGUUAAAAUUUGAGAAACGGGUUGUUAAAAUGAUUCAGGGUGUGCGUGAUAUUCCUUGAGAAGGUGUAGCAAUGGAAUUAUAUGAGUUACACCCGAAUUGCAUGGCUGAAGAGAUGGGUGUAGAAAUGGUAAGAUGGUGUGGUUUGUCGAUUGGAUGAAUUAUUGUUUCUGUCACUUGUAGUGAGUCUUUUCGUCCGUGUUAUGUUUCUCUUUGUGGUCAACAAACUUUGCUUGUAGUCACAUUAAUAAAGGAACACUGAUGGUCAGUAUUUCUUGGUACGAGUAUGAGGUACUGAAGUCUUAACAUUUGGAUCAAAAUUGUAACCUUGCAGAUGAUAGACGAUCAAGACUUGGGUUUCAUAGCCAACUUUCUUGGAAUCUUUAUAUUUGGUUUGGUAAUUGCUUACCAUUAUGUGACAGCUGACCCGAAGUAUGAGGCCAACUAGAUCCAAGAUGCAUGCAACAGUUUAUCUCAGUUACAUGUUUCCUUCAUGUUGAAGUAACAUUAAGUUGGAACAAUGCUGGCAUUUACUAUAUUAAAUGUUAGCAGUUUUUAUGCUAGACAUUUCAUUUACAUUUUGUUAAAGCUUAAUUAAAAAGUUGCACCACAAAUUCUGUCUUUGUUAAUCAAAAUCCCACCUGAAUGCUGUGGAAGACGCAAUCUGUUUUUUGACUAUGAUGCUUUCGAUUUUUAAACACUUUCCAUACAGUUUAGGGGCCUUAUCUUAAGCUGUCUGGAUGAGCUUCAAAAUUUACUUUCAAGCCCAAAGUUCCCCCAACAUGUAUACUUUACCUUGCAAGUAACUUUAAUUUCAUAGUUCAUACCUCAACAUUUUCCUGCUCAACCUGAACGAAGUGGGGAUCUGAUCGGGGUCGAGCGGUACGGGUAAAUGUCCAUCCCUGUUUCAUACCAACACCAUUUUCCUGCGCCUUUGGUUUUAUAAGGAUCAAUGUCAUAUAUCAAAUUCCAAAAGAAUAAUUAUGCGGUAAAUCACUAAACCGGUGAGGAACAUCUCAUCAAAUAUCUCGACUGGAGAUGUAAAUAUUUGUAGCUGAUUCUUACCAUCAAAUUGACUGUUUAUUCUUCAUAUCCGAUUAAGCAAAUUGUCAUUUUUCACAAAUAUGAAACAAUGUUACGCUGUUUCUGUGUGUGGAUGUAUCUGCCAAUUUGCCCUGUCACAUUUAUUUUUAAAGGUAACAGCUGUGAAUUGGUGAUUAUUUACUCUAAGAACUUAAGUAUAGCUUGCAGGCUGCAGCAGCAGUAGCAUAUGAAAACCAGUGCAAAACUACAAAAUAUCGUUACCAACAGCGAAACUUUACCACCACCCAAAAAUGCACUUGCGCAUGUAAACGUAACGAGAUAACAAGUACCUCUCUUUACGCGUUUUAUUGUACAUCAGAAUAACGAUAUUAGUUGUCACUUUUCCGGACUGAGGGAGUAUGUUACAUGAAAAUAGUGCAUAAAUCGGUGAAAACAUGAAAUAAGAAUUAAUCAGAAAUUAGUCUAAAAUUAACUAAAUGAUUAAUUAAAUUAUAAUUAAUCAGAAAUUUAAUAAAUUCAACGUCCUAUAAAUUAAUCACCUACUUUAUGCAUAUUUGUCACAUUUCUGAAUUCAGGAAAUAUGCUAGUUUUCAAGCUACUUUUUCGAGGGUGUUAACGUCGAGUCUCACAAUCUGAAAGAAAAUGUUCCCAAGCACCAAUAUCAGAGAAGACCUUCAUCUAUCAUUUUUCCAUUCAAGACACUAUAUCAUAUAGUUUCCAUCCUCCUUUUUCUUUUUAACAUUCCACGAUCUAACGUUUAAAAAUCCUAGACUCAUUACGACCUAGCAUUAGAAACCCUAGACGCUAAUUUAUGUAACGUUCUACUCCUAAAAUGCUACUCGUUUAGCAUUUUACAGUGAUUUUCAACCCCAAACGCAGUGUUUUCUUACCAAAACUGAAACACAAGAUAGUCAAACGUUACUGAAUGAUAUUUGAGGCCAUUUUUGGGCAUUAGCUAUAAGUUUUAAGACAUAUGGGACCUUUGCUGCAAUUUCGAAAAAGAGGUAGCAUGCUAGAUAUAUUUGCAGGACACGAGAGGGAUGAGGGAGUAUUGGCUGCUUUCCCAGGAAGGAGUACACCAGAAACAUUUGCGGGAUGUAAGGGAGGAGGUGAACUGAGGGAGUACGCUAGAAACAUACACGGGACUGAGGAAGAAUGCCGGAAGCAUUUGCAAAGUAAUUGCACAGCACUAAACCUCUUUUCCAGCUAAAUGGCCCAGUACCAUUAUAUGUAAGAACAGGUACAAUAACAUCUGCAACACCUAGCAUUAACUAAAAACCUAAAAAUAAUAAAACUAAAUACUAACAUCUAUAUUUUAAGUUUAAACCUCCCUCCCAAUAUUACUAUAAACUACCAUGCACAUUUUAAGAUACAGCAACUGAGUCUACAUACAAAAUCCUAUUAAAAGCAACAUCCAUCUGCUUGACUACUACAUCCAUCUACUUGACUGUUGAACUGUUGGGCUUUUGUGUGUGUGUGUGUGGGGUGGGGUUGGNNNNNNNNNNNNNNNNNNNNNNGUGGGUUGUCACGGUGCUGGUUGAGUUGCAUGUUUGGCUGCCCAUAAGUAGGCAAUAAACAUCCACAACACAACCAUACCAAUUAUAGUGGUUCUGACCACUUCUUCCCUGCUCAUGUUAGUACGAAGAUCUGAGUAGUGGGAUGGACCAACAUUCACAUGAUUAUGGUGAUUUGUGCUUGAGCUCGCCCCGGUGAUUUCUUCAUAAGUUUCAUCUCCAAUCUCUGUCGUCGUGAUUAUUUCAUCAGUACUAUCUCCAAGCUCUGUCUCGGCGUUUUCUUCAUUAAUUUCAGUUUCAAGCUCUGCUAUUGGGCUUGUCUGUAUGAUUUCUUCAUUUGUACUUGUUACAUUGCUACUGCCUAAACAGUUAACGCACGAGCACGUACCACCUAGGAAAAGAGGUAGUGUCUGUAGGAAUUCAGUGACGACCUCUUGGUAGUUAUCUCCUAUGAUCCUUACUUUCUGUCUAGUGGCAGGUUUGAGAACCUGACAAAAAUAAUAGUAUAAUACUUAAUACAUGAAAAGAUAUGACAGGCAACUUACAACUGCUCCAAAUGUAAUAUUAUAUUGGCUACCACUUGGUUCUCAUGCACAGAUAGAGUUGAGAGAGAAAACCUGCCUGAAAUAGAGUUUGAAUUAUCAUACGUGCAACCGCAGGAAGCCGUAUGAUAGCCAAGCAAGCAAGACGUGUUGGAUAGUGAUCUUGCAGCAGUGUAGCACACGAUCGCAAUAUUUGCAUCGGAAAACCAAAUGGUGAUAAUCCCUUGCAAUCCAUCAAAACCGUAAUUUGAGGAUGCCUCCUGUCAACGAGGUUCAAAACUCCGUGUUCUAUCUGGGAAACUAAAAGAGCAAACUGUAAUUGAUUAAUCUGCUUAAUAAAACAUUAUGAAUUUAGCUAGGAGAACAAAUAAAAAUAAGAUAGUAGCAUAUCAAUGGACGUAGGUAUGUGAAAUGAAGCAACUCAUCCAGUUAUCAUCUGAUAGUAACCUUUAGUUGACCAGUUAAUAUCAUUCCAGGUUUCACCAACUUACUUCAAACAAUAUAGGGUUAGUUCUCAACCUAAUGAAAGCAAUCAAUCAAGCUAGUACAGGCAAUCAGGUCAAUGAUAAGCGCUUUUACAAUAUAGCUUAAAAAGAGGAAUCAAGACUCGUCGAGCUUUACUUUGACUUGUUACUAAUUGAAACAAGUUACUUAAAUGUACUUAAUAGAGAAUACUCACCAACUGCUUUAGCAAAUACGGGCUUAUUGCUAGAACUCAGGUUGGAGCAAGCGAGCCCAAGACGGAUAAUGAGACAGGGUCUUCUCUUAACAUCAUAGCCAUGCCAGAAUACAAAGCAAUCCCAGUCCUUAAGUUCAUCUGGGGAUAACAUAGUGUAAGUUUGUCUCCAUUGUAUCGUCUUCUUCACUGCUGUAACAAACCUUGAGAAGUCACCAUUCGAAGCAGCAUAAAAUCUACAAAGCUCAUCCUCGUCAAGCCUGGAGAGGCAUAUCAUCCAGUUUAACACAGUUAAGAUACAGAUGACUAAUUUUCAAAUGGUUAAUGUUUCUUAGAUCAAAAUUUUCAGGCUUUGUGGCACAGUAAAGUAUCUAGACAUAUCAUCAAGUUUUAAUCCUUAAAAGUAAAAUUACUUUAACAGAAGCAUCAUAUCUAAGGAGUUGUGUCUGCAGUCCUUACCUUUCAGGUAAAGUCAAACCCUCCUCAUUUAACUUCUCAUGCAAGUCUUGCAACCACUUCCUGGAAACAAGAACUCUCGGAGCUUCAUUGGUGGACCUGGAAAAUCAUAUUGACCAACAAAAUGGAAUUUAUAUACACGCAAACAUCAUAUUAGCAUAUAUAAUGAUAAUCUACAUUAUCCAAAUUGCAAAGGAGUAUUGUUAUACUAGUUUAAUUCGGUGACUGAGAUCAAGAAUAUAAAUAUCAUCAAUGACCGAGACAAAUUUAAUUAAACUGGUGGCAACUCAUAGAACUGAUAUUAAUCUGAGCAGGUUUGGUACAUGUCAUGACAAGUAUACGGCUUUAAAAUUCAUACAAAGACUGGACAAAGCUGUAGCUCUAGAUUACUAGCCUAGGAAACACAAAAAGGCCAAGUGACUGCAAAAGCAAGUUUCUUCAGGGUAGUAAGAGGGCCUGACGCUACCAAACAACCAUACAAAUUUACCAGACCUCCCAAGUAUGAACAAUAUCAAAUGGGGAACACAGUAACACACUACAGCAUAUAUCACAAGAAAAAAAAAAAGCGUUCUUGCCAGAUCACAGGAACUUACUAAGCCAAAAAUAUGAGGAAUUAUUUAGUGCUUGUACUUGCAGUAGAAUUCAAUUUCUUACCUUACGUCUGGACUAGAUAAUUGAGAAGGUGACCCCGACUGUGUUUCGUAACCAUCUGGAGAGGCAUAGGAAUUGUCACAUGAAGAUUCAUCAGAGAAAAUUGUUGCGAUUGACAGAGCUAACAUUGGCUUCGACAACCCCUAGCAGAAAUAAGUAUCAUCAGUACCAUUAAUAUAAUCACAAUUUACAAGAAACAACUAUUAAAAGAAUCCUCGAAUAACGAAAACAAAAUUGUUGGCCAGUCCAUAUGAUAUAUAAUCAAGUGUUGGAUCGGAAAGAAAGUCUAUGGCAGUCCAGUUUCCUACAAAUACUGUGAUUGCGUUUCCAUCUUCUCUCAAGCCACUAAGAUGGAAUACCACAGUAUAGCUUGCUUGCUGUCCAUAAAAUUGGCCUAAUAGGAAAAUCCUAUCAGUAUCAAAUAAUCAAUACACCAAAUACAGGCUCAGAGCCAUUAGUCACCAUGCCAGUAGAGACAGAGGAACUACCUAAUUUGAAGCACUCGGAGUUAAUACCUAGAAAUCAAUGAUAUGGAGAUGCACGAAUUUAACAAAUCUAAAAAUAUUGGGAUCUGGUGCUUACUGCUUGGGGAUGCAGCUUAUCUAAAAAUGUUACAAAUAUACAUCUUGAUGAUGUUAUCGUAUAUUAAAUAUAAAAUCUAUAAGAAUUCAAGGGUAAUACAAUUCAAUAGAACCAGAAACUAUAGAAAAAUUUCACAAAAGAAAAAUCUUUAAUAUGUGACAGUAUACCAGUAGUAAAGAUUAAAGAAUUAUGUCAUUGCCCAGAAACUGCGGUACUUAUGUGGUACACACGCAAGUACAACAUAGUACACAAUGCUAUUACACUUUUAAGACAUCAUUUUUCAUUUGUUGCCUACUCUACUCUACCCACUACUCGACCCUAUAGGUGAAUACAAGACUUUACAUACAUCAUAUAUGACAGCUGACAGGAUAACGGAUAACCGAUAGAGACACAGUGGUCGGUGGACUGAAACUAUGAAAGAAGGCCAGAUUCUUUAAAACCCACUAUCUCUCAUCCUUUGAUUACAAAAUCUGCCAUCCCCGCACCCAACACCCCAACGCGCUCUUGCGGACACGUGUCGUACCCAUGCGUCUUGCCCAUUAAACAACUAAUAAAUAUGAAUAACUUGACUGAUAUAUAUUGAAUUGCUUCCUAAUUCGAAAUGGAGAAGAACUUUGAUUAUGAAAAUGAAUUUGCCUCAUUUUUGAACUCAUAUUGAUUAAAGUUUAAUCCUAUUUUGCUCAAUGCCGUGAUAAAAUAUAUAAUAUAUUUUGAGAUAAUUAAUUGAAAUAUUUUUGAAUUUUAUGACACCAAAAUUCCAAAUAAUGGAACCAAAUGCAACGAGAUCUAGCAUCGAUUUGAGAUACAAAUAGCAUAGUCUUUUAAAACUAGCCUUCUGUCACCAAAAAUUUCUAAGCAGCACAAGCUUGUCAGACUAAUGGACAUUCCCCAACUAUGUGGAGGAAUGCGAGCUAAGAAUAUCAAGGUUACCCGUAAAGGCUCCCUUUGUUUCACAGAGAACAUUUUGCUGGUUUCAGAUAUUCUGGUGUUUGUUAGAAUUCUAUUUUACAGAUUUCAUGUCUUUGUUUAGUUUAGGAAAAAAAGAUAUAUCUAUCAGAGUAUGAAAGUUACUUAAAAAAUGAAAUGCUUUAAACUUUCACAGGAAUUAGUGUCCUCCAUUUUGAGGAUUUUCCCUCCACAUAUUGAACAAUUACUCAACAAAAAUAUAUGCGAAAAUAUAAAACAUAUUUUCACACAUAUUUUUGUUCAGUAAUUGUUCAAAAUGUUAGUUCCAAAAAAAUAAUUAAUCAGCAAACAAAUUGUUCAAAAUGCUAUUUCCAAAAAAAUGUUCAAAAUUUAGGAGAAAUAUGUUUCCACUUUUUUUUUUUGAAAUUUCCGCAAACGAAUAUUAUUCCGGAUUUAUUUUCUCUGAAAAUCAAGUUAAAUUUUGGCAAACAACCGGACACGUACAGAAGUAUAUCAAGAUGCCCAUUUCUAGUAGGUGGAUUGUGAAUGAACUAGAUUACAAUGAUGCGACUCCUGUACAGUCAAUUAAUACGCAACAAAAUGAAAGAGAGCUUAAAGAGUAUUAGGAAAUGCAACUUAGGCACUAGAAACAUGGAAAUUUAAAACGGUAAGACAGUAAUAGUGAUACCAAACCAACCUGCAUAUUCUUAACCAAGCCCUUGAAAGGAGUCCAUCUCUCAAUCCACCUGAACGGUGGAUAGCACAGAAGCUGGAGAGCCUGGAGCCCUUCCCAGACAAUUGGGAACUUCGCAUUUGAGAUCCUCCGCACAACUUCUAGCGCUGCAGUUUUAAGAAGAAACACACCUAUGAUACCCACAACCGGAUGUGCUACUCCCUUUUUUAUAAAAGAAACACAUUGCAAACUCUUCUUAGAGUACGCCUCUGGAACUGAACCAACCAAACCUACUUGGUGUGCCAUUCUAGUAUUAACAUCCCUCGUCUCUAAGUUCUCACUUGAACCAGAUACCGAUACAGAGUUCCCCAUUCAACUUCCUUGCAACGUCAACUGAUACAUGUUAAAAAAAUAGUAAAUCUGCAUGCCUAUAAUAUACAAGGAAACUACACAUAAAAUUCUAAACUGAAAAGAUUCCGUAACAUACCUAUAAAAUACAAUUAAUUCAGAGAAGUCAAGUCUAACGUCAUGCAUUUGUCUUCGUGCAAAAGAGACAGAGAAAUUAUAUGGCGGUAUAAAAUGCGCUCAUAUGAAACCCUAGAUGACUUAAAACAGUAUACUGAGUAUAAUGACUGAACGCACUUAUUCCAAAAAUAUACUUUACUGCGCUUUAACUUUUUCUGGUCUUAUUUUAGAAAUCCAAUUAAAAGAAAUCCCUAGGCUGUAGCGUGAUCAACACGUCUAUUAAGACAUGACAUAUUAGGGUAGUUAUAAAUGGAUAUAUAAACUUUAUUAACAAUAAUCGCUCACCAUUUCUCAAUUGAUAUAUGUCACGAUUCUCUCCAUUUCUCACACAAUAUACGUCACGAUACUCUCCUGAUUAACAUUAUACGCAUCAAAACUUUCUAACGAUGUUCACUCCUAUUUUAAUGAAUCCAACCGUCAACUGAUCUUUCUAUUUUUUACAAUUCAAUACAACUGUCGUUAUAACCGUACUCUCUCAAUACAUUCCAGAACUUUUCCAUCAUGAUAAGAUUUCAUUCUUUCCAUAUCAUGACAACCUUACCCGAAAAUGAAGGUCACCAACAGCUGAGCUAAAUUGAGAUUACAAACACCAUUCUCUUCACAAAAAUAACGACUAAACUACCUCUAACUGAACUAAAAUAAUACUUAAUCAAAGGAAUCACUCCGAAAUCAAACUCCAACUCAAAACACAUUACAAAAUCACAUAAACAAACAUAACAGCUUAGCAAAAUUAAACAAAAACACUACAUACAGAAUCACAAAAACAAACAUAACAACUUAACAACAUCAAACAAAAACACUACAUACACAUACACAGGCUAACAAUAACAGUGAUCACAAUCAAUAAGUCAAUCACAGUGAUAUUAAACAAUCAAAUAAUAUUAAAAUGAGUAAAUUAAAUCUUCUAACAUAGCAAACAAAAAUUAUCCGAAAAAAUAUUCAAAAUAAAUACAAACACAUACACAAUCGCAUAAAAAAUAGAGGCGAAGAUGAUUUUACCUUGUUAAUUAGAGUGUUGAAAAACACAUAAUAUGAAAUGAAGAAUUUGUGACACGGAUAUGGAGGAGGAUGAGUUAGGGUUCGGGGAGAAUUGGAGAAGCUUCGUGAGUUUAUGAGAACUCAGAGUCGGUGAAUUGCGACUACUAAAUUUAUUAUUUAUUAUUUAUUACGUAUUUAAACUGGUUUUUUAUUCUGACAAAAAUUAAAAAAAGUUGGUAUUUUUCAUUUUUUUAUUAGUAUAUUAUAAUAAGAAUAAUAAUAUAAUAUAAUUUAGAACGGCGGAGGNCAGCGGCAUGCUAGGUGAAGGCAGCAGGAGUGAUUAAGUCGAAUCAAGAUGUACAAAUUUAGUUCGGUUUGAUUUUGAUUAUCUGAAAAUUCGGUUUAUGUGAUUCAGAUUUAAUAUAUCGAAACAAAAUUCAUAUUGAUCCGAUUUUUAAAAGAAUAUUCGAUCCGUGUCAAAUAAUAUAUAAUAUAAAUUUAUAUUCAUAUAUUUUUUAUAUAUAUCUUAGAGUACUGAGUAAGUAAUUAUAUUUUGAUAACUUGUACUACUUUAAAUUUACAAUUUUAAGACUGAUUUUUAAGGUCAACAAUUGUGUGGCUGAAGAAAUGUUUUUUUAACAGGUUAAUUAUCAAGUUGGUCACUGAAGUGAGCUUAAUGUAUCAAGUUGGUCACUGAACUCAAAACGGUAUCAAGAUGGUUACUAAAGUCACCAUAAAUAUCAAACAAGUACCUUGAAAUAUGAGUUCAAGUAGUAAAAAUAUUAUUUAUAAAGUUUUACACAUUAAUUUUAAAUGUUACCACAACCAGCUAAAAGGUUAUGACUUCUAGUAUUUAAAAUAAUAGAAGUUCCACCAAGAUUCAUCACAUGGAUACGGGGUUGUGUUUGCACCACUCAGUUUUCUGUCAAACUUAAUGGAGCUAGUGUGGGGUUUUUCAAGGGUGCUAAGGGGCUGCGUCAAGGUGACCCAAUAUCGCCGUAUCUCUUCACUAUUGCUAUGAAUGUGUUCUCCUCCAUUCUCAACCAAGUCCCUAGUGGCUUUCAGUUUCAUUGGAAAUGCAAAGAGCUCAAGCUUACCCAUCUUUUCUUUGCUGAUGAUGUCCUUAUCUUCUCUAGGGGCGACAGGACGUCCAUUGAGCACAUAAUGGCAUCCCUUGCUCUUUUCUCACGGGUUAGUGGUCUCUCUGCCAACCUUUUGAAAAGUACUUGUUUUCUUAACAACUGUGAUACCCUGUUGAAGUCUUGGUUUGAUCACACCUAUGCUAUCCCCCAUGGCACCUUGCCUGUGCGCUUCCUUGGCGUCCCCCUUAUCACAAAGCAGCUUUGUGUUAAUGACUGCAUGCCUUUAAUUGAAAAAUUAACUGCUAGAAUUGAUGAUUGGACAAACAUUCUGCUUUCUAUAGCUGGGAGAGUCCAACUCAUUAAAUCUGUCCUUUUGGCCAUGGUCUCCUUCUGGACGAGGCACUUCAUUCUCCCUAAGGGUAUACAUCACACCAUUCAAUCCAUCUUGACCCGGUUUUUGUGGAAGGGUUCUCUGGCUGUAGGUGGGGCAAAAGUGGCUUGGGUUGAUCUUUGUUUGCCCAAAGAGGAGGGUGGCCUCGGUAUUCCUAACCCGGCUACUUGGAAUGAAGCUCAAAUCCUCUCACACCUUUGGAAAAUUGUAAACAAAGAUUGUACAUCUUUAUGGGUCAAUUGGGUCAUUCGAACUGUCAUCAAGCACAAGUCCUUUUGGAUGCUUCCAAUCCCAACUGAUUGUUCUUGGAUAUGGCGAAAGAUUCUCACCCUUCGUGACUCUGCUCGAGGCCACCUCAAUUUCAGAAUUGGGAAUGGAGCCACGACAUUGCUUUGGUUGGACCCUUGGUUCAAUUCGACCCCUAUUGCCUCUUGUCCCAGGGAUCCUAUUAUUUCUUAUCUUGGCUCCACCCCCCAAGCCAAGGUUUCUGACUGGAUUUCUCAAGGGCAUUGGGCAAUCCCGGAUCCUAUUUCUUCUCAGCGUCGCAGCCGAGCCCGCUUUGAUGACUGGUUGGCGACCUUCACUUUUCCCCCUGUGUCCUCCAAUCCUGAUCUGCUUUUUUGGGACUCUAAUGCAGGAAGCAAUGUUACUGCUCGUCUUAUAUGGGAUACAAUUAGGCACCAUGGCCAUGGUGUGCCUUGGUUUUUUGCUGUGUGGUUCAAACAGGGGAUCCCUCGCUAUCGCUUUCACUCUUGGUUAGUUUGUAAGGAACGCCUUGGCACCCUUGACAGACUCGACCAUUGGGAUCUCACACCUACUUUACAGUGUUAUCUUUGUAUUGGUGGAGUGGAAUCUCACUCCCAUCUAUUCAUGCACUGCCCUUAUACUUCCUAUAUCUUGGAUUUGCUGUUUGCCCCUAUUUACAGGAUUCGGAUCUUACCCCACUGGAAAUGGACGCACCUCCUCGAGCAUCUCAUGACCUGUCCUGAUCCUACCAGGCGAACCAUAUCUCUCAUUGCUGCCCAGGUUACUUCCUACCACUUAUGGCGAGAGAGAAAUGCUAGAAGACACAACAGAGGCUCCUUUGGCCCACGAAAGCUUCUUCAUGGAAUCAUCACUGACUUACAGGCUCGAAUUUUUGGGGAGCCUUGGUUCAUUGCUGCUGUUCGUAGUAAUUGUAUUCUGAGAACUUGUAUAUCACAAUUUGACUAGCUCUUGGGACUGUUUAUUUAUGGGGUUGUUCUGCCCUCUUCUUUCUUUGCUCGACUCUCUAGUUUAAAUCUGUUGUCUUAGAUUUAUCUUAGAGAGUCAUAGAUGGCAGGAUAUUUUGUACAUUCUUUUCUCUUCUAAUACAUAUCUAUUUAGCAAAAAAAAAUAAAAAUAAUAUAUAUAUAUAUAUAUAUUUUAUCAAGUUUAUUUAUAAUUUAUAUUUUAUUAUAUAGUUAUUUUUUUAAUUAAAAAUAAAUAAUAAAUAAACUUGAUAAAAUCUAAAUAUAUUAUCAUAUAUAUUAAAAGUCAUAACCUUUUACUUGGUUUUGGUAACAUUCAAAAAUAAUGUGUAAAAUUUUAUAAAUAAUAUUUUUACUGCUUGAACUUAUAUUUCAAGGUACUUGUUUGAUAUUUAUGAUCACUUCAGUGACCAUCUUGAUACCAUUUUGAGUUUAGUUACCAAUUUGAUACUCCCUCCGUCCCAUUUUAUGUGACCUCAUUUCCUUUUUGGGACGUCCCAAAAAGAAUGAACCUAAAAUACUUACUAUUUUUGAACACUACUUUUUACUAUUGGGAUAAUUAAUUUAUAGGUCCUUGAACUUUGGCCCAUUUUUGGUUCGCGUCCUUGAACUAAGUUUGUCAACGUGCGCAUCCUUAAACUUUGUAAAUUUUCAACUCAGGUCCCUCCGUCAGUUUUUAACUAACGGACGUUAUCUUAAAUUUGGGGGUUUUUGAUUCGUUGAUGGAUUGAUGAAACUGAUGGCAUGGGAAGUUUCGGGAGGUCAAACUGAAGAGAUUCAUGUAGGUUUCGAUGGCGGAAGAUUGCCAAAAUGGUAGCCGGAAUCAAUGGUCAUUUUCCGGCCGCCGGAGAGAUUGUCACCAUUCUGGCAAUCCUCCGCCAUCGAAACCUACAUGAAUGUCUUCGGUUUGACCUCCCGAAGAUUCAUAUACCAUCACUUUCAUCAAUUCAUCAUCGAAUCGAAAACCCCCAAAUUCAAAACCCUAAUUCACUAACUUCCGUUAGUCAAAAACUGACAGAGGGACAUGAAUUGGAAAUUUACAAAGUUUGAGGAUGCGCAUAUUGACAAACUUAGUUCAAGGACGCGAACCAAAAAUGGACCAAAGUUAAAGGACAUAUGAAUUAAUUAUCCCUUUUACUAUUACACCCACUAACUCUAUAUUUUAUACUCUCUUAUUAUUAAAUAAACACUAUUACACCCACUAAUUUUCUCCACUAUCCCAAAUCUAUUAUUAAAUAUUGAUAGGUCCCACCACUUUACCCACUUUUCAACUACAUUUACUACUUUUUUCUUAAUCUCCGUGAAAGUCAAACCCAUUCAUAUAAAAUGGGACGGAGGUAGUACAUAUUAAGCGCACUUCAGUGACCAACCAGAUAAUUAACCUUUUUUUUAAACAUAUUAAGGGCUCUGCUCCAAGUUAUAAGAUGUUGUUGACAGUCUUAAAGACAACAUGGGCAAAAAUGUUUACAAGAGCUCUAUUUUGUAAACGCGAGCUAGCGCGGUUCGAACUCAUUUAACUAGGCUUGGUUAGACUUGUUAAACGAGCCGAAUUUGGGUAAAGGUUUCGGCUCAUUUAAAAACGAGUCGGCUCGACUCGGCUCAUGAAAUUAAACGAGCCGAGUUCGGGUAGAUGUUUAGACUCGAUUAAGUGUAAAAUUAUACGAGCUGACUCGCUCGACUUGUUAAAACCAACUCGUUUAGCUAAAUGAGCCGGGUCGACUCGAUUUGUGAAAUUAAACGAAUCGAGUUCGGACAGAAAAUUAGACUCGUUUAACUAAACGAACUGGUUCGACUCGAUUAAAUUUGACUCGAAUUAGGCCCGGCUUAAAACUCGACAGGCUCGACUUGUAAUACCCUAUCUGUGUAUAUAUGUGUCGACUGUGUGUACUGAACAUAUUCAUCUAAUCUAAAAUUCUCAAUCAAUUUGUUACGCACAAGAUGAAUUAUUAACAAUAUUUGUGUGGAAACUGGGCAGUGGACGACAACCCGACUUUAGUUUUGUAGUUGGAUGGUUAAAAAGAACAUGUACACUUUCUAACAUUGUGUUUUUUGACUUUUACGAACUUUAAUUUCUAUAAUUUAUAAUAUUUUUAUACAAAUAUAGUUUAUAGUCUUUAUUUGCAUACUUACAAAAUAUUUUGAUUAUAUUACUUGUUUAUUCAGAAAUUUUAUUUCUCAUACUUUUUACACAUCGAGAAAUUUGAUUCAGAUUUAACAAAUGACACGAAAUUUUAUUUGUGCAGGAAUUUUACUUCUUCAGAUUUUUUUUUACUCAUCCAUAAAUUUGAUUUAAAUUUAAACAAAUGAUCUCUUAAAUUACGAGAAAUCAAUAAUACUAGGUUUUUCUAAAAUAAAAUUACAAAUUUCAAAACAAAAGUAAAAAUUGAAUCUUGAGUUUCUUUAUGGGGUGAAUCUGCUUUAUAAUUCUAGGCACAUUCACAGAAGCUUGAGGUUUGGAUGUUAAAUUGAUUAGAUCAAGAUGAAAUAAGUCUCUAAGAAAGACCAGCUAAAAAAUGUAAUAAAUAAUUUAAUAACUAACUUAACAGCACGAAGCUUAGAUAGAAGAAAGAGGAGGGAGACAGAUCAAAACUAGUAUGAAUGUGUUGGGUUAAUUUUAUAUGGUAAACUGGUGACUCUUUUCAUUAGAUUUAUGAUCGGAAUAUAGUGGUUACACUAAAAAGUUUCUUUGACGAAGAGUGUUUUCUUUUGUUGAUAUUAUUGUAUCAUUCGACAACUAUGUAUAGUGUAUGCUGACAAGGCCUAAGGCCUACUGAUAUGAAACCACAAGCACAAUAGACAAUUAUACAGUAGGUGAGAUGAAGCGUUUAAAUCUAAACACAUUAGAUUACGGUUGUUAGGGAAUAAGGUGGAAAAAAGUGUUGGACGAGAAAAUAUUAGAAUUUUUUUUUUCGCUUGAUAAUAUUGUAUUUUUCAACAAUUUUUUCCGUCUUAGAAUCCGGAUCCUUGGAUUAAUUAUCUGGUUUCUUAUAAUCUGAACCGUGAUCUUUGUUAUGAGAAAUUUACUUAAAUUUAUUAAAGCGACUUAUAGAGUCUAGUCAGUCAAUGUUGUCAGCUGCUUCCUAGAAGAUAACUGAGUGGAGUUUGUCAAUCAACUUUUUCAGCAACCAGCUCUCUCCUUCCUCCCAAGUCCUGAUGAAUUUCUCAUUCUUUCUCUGAAACAUAUAAGAGCUCCUUACUUCUACUAGACACUCAAUUCUCGCAUUCUCUUUUGUUAUGCAAAAUGGCCAGAGGAGAAGAGCCUGUGAUCGGAAUCGAUCUCGGAACCAUGUACUCAUGUGUUGGAGUUUUUCAAAACGGUCAUGUAAAGAUAAUUGCCAGUGAGCAUGGUGGGAGGAAGACACCAUCUUGUGUGGCUUUCACUGAUACUGAGAGGCUUAUUGGCGAAGCUGUAAUUGACCAGGCUGGGAUGAAUGCUGCUAACACUGUCUUUAGUAAGUAUUCUUGCUAUUUUAUGUCUGUUUUCGGUAAGGAUCGAAUUAGGACAAAUUUAAAUAUUCACGCGCACAUAUUUAAGCAAAGGCCAUCGUCUUAACACGUUCAGGUUUUGGGAGGAUCGAGAACUUAACAUAUCCGUUAGGACUUGGGCCAAAUUUUAUUUAUUCUUCAUAGGCAGUGUGGUGAUACAUUUUUGUAGCGUUUCUCACUUCUUAAUGUUGCAAAAGCAUUAAUUAAGAUUCAAGUUAGCCUAUAACUGACAGAACUAUUGUUUGUAUGAUCCUAACAAGAACUCUGUAGUUUCUUCACUCCUUUACCUCUAAACCAUUUUAUAGCUUAAGAUCUAGACCUCGAAGUUCACGAGUACAACCGGCGCUGAUGUAUUUUUCAAACAAACUACUAAAAAGUUAGAUAAUGUAGCAUUAUUUUUGGAAUAAGUGUUAUUGUAGUGUCUUAAGAUUAGCAGACCUAUUUAAGAUAAUACUCCAUUCCGAUUUCUGUUUAAUCUGUCAUAAUCUCCGCAUUAUCUGUGAGAUCAGUUUCAACCCUAAAUGCUCUCCCUUGCUUACCCAAAAUAAUCAAAAACAUAGGUUGGGAGGGGACUUUUGUUACAUUUUCCGGAUGACUGAGGAAUAAGAUCUGAAGGCGCAUAAAAAAAAAUUAAGUUGAUUACAAGUUAUUCUGCUAAACGUGUCCAUGAUCUGAUGUUGCCUGUCCAAAAAAAGUAAUUCUUAUCCUUGUUACUAAUAUUGUGAUUUAUAAAACAGAUGCUAAACAGCUGAUAGGCAGAAAAUUCAGCGACUUGUCUGUACAGCGCGAUAUAAAAAACUGGCAGUGUAAAGUGUUCUCAGGUCCUUUGGAAAAGCCCAUGAUUUUGGUCAAUUACAAAGGUGAGGAGAAGCAGUUCUCGGCAGAAGAGAUCUGCUCCAUGGUUCUCGUAAGGAUGAAGGAAAUUGCGGAGAAGCAUCUUGGAACAACAGUAAGAAAUGCUGUUAUCACUGUCCCUGCUUACUAUAAUGACUCUCAGCGCCAAGCAAUUAGAGAUGCUGGAACCAUUGCUGGCCUGAAAGUAAUGCGCACAAUUGCUGAGCCAACUGCAGCUGCAGUUGCUUAUGGUUUUGACAAGAAGCUGGCAGGAAUCGUUAGUUCAGACGGGGAAAAGAAUGUGCUCAUCUUUGAUCUUGGUGCUAGUAACUGUAACGUGUCUCUUCUUACAAUGGAAGAUGGUAUAUUCGAAGUGAAGGCUACACAUGGUGCGAGUCAGUUUGGAGGGGAGGAUUUUGUUAAUCGUAUGGUCAAUCACUUUGUUGAGGAGUUCAGAAGGAAAAACAAUAAGGACAUAAGUGGUAAUGCGAAAUGUAUGAGAAGAUUGAAAAAAGAAUGUGAGAAGGCAAAAAGGUUGCUCUCCUCUGUCCCAGUGACCAACAUUUAUUUGGAUUAUUUUUACUACGAUGACAGUUUCUCUGCAAAUAUAACUCGUGAUGAUUUCAAUGAGUUAAACAAAGAUCUGUUUGAAAGUUGUGUGGAGCUGGUCAAGAAGUGUUUGAGGGAUGCGCGGAUUGAUAAAAGACACAUCCAUGAGGUGGUCCCUGUAGGUGGAUCUUCUAGAAUUCCUAAAGUGCAGCAGUUACUGAAAGAGUUUUUCAAUGGGAAGGAGCUGUCCAUGGGUUUAAAUACCGAUGAGGGUGUUGCAUAUGGCGCAACUGUCCAGGCUGCGGUUCUGAGUGGCAGAGGCGACGAGAGGUUUCAAGACUUGAUGCUGUUGGAUGUUAAUCCCUUAUCCCUUGGAAUUGAUAUUAAUGGUGAAAUGUCUGUCAUUAUUCCUAAGAACUAUAACAUUCCCGCUAAAAAGUUUAAGAUUUUUCCAACCACUACUGACAAUCAGGUUGCCGUGUUCAUCCAAGUGUUUGAGGGUGAACACAAAUUGACAAAACAUAACAAACUGUUGGGAAAAUUUGUAUUCUCUGGCAUUCCUCCUGCGCCUAGUGGUGUUUCAAAGUACAUAGUGUACUUUGAUAUCGAUGCAGAUGGAUUGUUCAAUGUUUCUGCAGAAAAUGAGAAUUCAGAGCCGUUGGAGGAGAUAAAAGUGCCAACUUACGAGGAUAGAUUUUCAAAAGAAGAGCUUAAGAAGUUGGUACAAGAAGCUAAGAAGUACAAAGCAGACGAUGAAGAGAACAAAAAGAAGAUGGAGGCAAGAAUUGCUGUAGAGUCUUACUUCUAUAACUUGAAGAACAUCAUCAGUGACGAGAGACUAAGUUCCAGAUUUGGGGUAGCCAGCAGGAAGAAAAUGAAGGAUGCUAUUGAUAUCGAAAACCUGUGGUCAAAUGGGAACCAGUUUGUAAAGUUGGAGAACUUGGAGGAAAUUAUUAAGGAGCUCAAGGGACUCGCAAUAUUUUAACAAUGCUGCACUUCUGGGAAUCUUGAUUUUGCCGUGUUGAUAAGUAAGAAUUGCUCGUUUUCCAGUUGAUCAGCUUGUGCAGAGGGGGUAUUCCUAAAGAUUGAGGAGGGUUCUGUCAAGGUCUUGUACCUGCUUGUGUUUGCUUUGGUUGAAAAUUCUGUUUUAUAUUUUAUCUGGUAUCAUGUUCCAUUAUACAGCUUAUAUUACGUGAAUAUAAUAUAAUUCUGGAAAAUAAUUAUAAAAUGUUACCUGGGUUAUAUGGUGACACAUAUGACAUAAAUAAUAUUCAAAUAUUAGAAAAAAGACCCAACUAUAUAAAAAUAUUAAAAUAUUCAUUAUAAAUGACAAGUAAGAUCUUAAUUCAUAUCCAUACCCAUAUUCCAUAUAUUCCAUAUAUACUUAAUACAUGCUAGUGAAUACAAUGGUACGGAUAUGAAUAGUAUGAAUAGAUAUAAAAUUUUAAUUAUCUAUUUAUUAAGAUUAUCGCAAUAGUAUGAAUAGAUAGUAUUUAUAAUACUAUUUAUUCAAUAGUAUGAAUAGAUAUAAAGUUUAAUUUUUUAUAAAUAAAUUUUUUCUAUAUGAAAUCAACAUGGAUAAUUUGAUAUUAUACGAACUAGGAAGAGUAAUCGUGCUCAUCGUAGUUUAUAUAAUUGUUGUUAAUACUAUUAUAAAUUUGCAUACUUUUUAUCUUUUUUUUUUGAUAAAAAUCGUGAUUUUUUUUUUUGUAUUAAUAAUUAUAAAAUCUUAAUGGGAGCUCACGAAGCGCGGGCAUAAUUGCCUAGUACAAUAAAUAACAUGUAAUAUUUGAAUAACAAAAAGAAAAUAUAUAAUUUCCAUAAAAAUCUACUCCCUCCGUCCAUCAGAUUCUUUACAGUUUUUUUUUGAUGUCCCAUCCAAUUCUUCACAUUUCAAAACUUAACAAAAUUAGUCGAUGGGUCCCACCACUACUCCCUCCGUCCCUUUUACAUGUCCACUUUGGAAAAAAAAUUUGUCCCAAAUUACUUGUCCACUUCUCUUUUCAAAGCAACUUUUUGUAUGAGUUUUCAAAAAGUAACAAUUUUCAAUGUUUAACUAAUAUAUAUAUAGGGGAGGGUUCUGGUACAAACUUACAAACUUUUUUUGUUCAACACAUAUAUAACUUGAGUUCAACGUUUUUUAAGAUAUUUUGUUGAACAUCGAUUAAAAUUGUGUUGGAGAAGUACAUAAACUAAUUUUUUAAUAUAAAAACUAAGUUAAACCUAUUAUAUAACCAAGAGAAAAGUUAUAUGGAGACCACUUUUUUUGGAGACCGUGGAGACCAUUAUAUUCUGCAAGUAAAAUAUUGCAUAAAAACAUUGCAAAACUCAUAAUUUUGCAAAUCAAAACACAUUAUUUUGUGAAAUAUGUACUACAAAUAUCACAAAUUCAUCAAAGUUAUUGAAGAACAUCUAUGUUUAAUAAGUAGAAUGUGUAUGUUCUGCAAAUUGAACAAAUGUUCUGCAAACUAAACAUAUUCCGCAGGACAAAACAUUUUGUAAUAUUCUNAUAUGUACUACAAAUAUCACAAAUUCAUCAAAGUUAUUGAAGAACAUCUAUGUUUAAUAAGUAGAAUGUGUAUGUUCUGCAAAUUGAACAAAUGUUCUGCAAACUAAACAUAUUCCGCAGGACAAAACAUUUUGUAAUAUUCUACAUGCAAAACAUACAUGAUAUUCAAGAUUUUAAAUGAUAUAAGAAUCUUUGCACAACCUGUUUUGCAAAAUUAUGAGUUUUGCAAUAUUUUUAUGCAAUAUUUUACUUGCAGAACAUAAGUGGUCUCUACGGUCUCCAAAAAUAGUGGUCUCCAUAGAACUUAACUUAUUUAUAUUUCUAGACCCUACCCAAACCCCAGAGGUAUAGUUUAAGCAUCUCUAUAAAUGUAUUCAACACAAUGAUAACUAAUGUUCUACACCCAAUGUUGAACCCCAGUUACAAAUGUGUUGAAUGCACGAUUUAUUUAUGCGUUAUUUUUAUAAUUGUGACGUUUUUUCAAUAAUUUUAAAUAUAAAUACUUUCUAUAACUAAGGAUUAACAGGUUGGGAGAAUAAAAAAAAUUCAAAAAAAAAGUUUGUAAGUUUGUAAGUUAAAAAAGUUUUUAUUUGAUCCUAUCCCUAUAUAUAUAUAUAUACACAACUCUAUCUAAUUCAUUACAUUUAUUAGAGAUAUGUAUGAAAACAAGAUAUCCAACUAACAUUUUUUUAAGAUACGUUAUUUUUUCAAAAGGGACAAGUAAAAAGGGACGGAGGGAGUAUCUAAUUUUUCCUCUCUUUUCACGCUAUAUAUAUACACAACUCUAUCUAAUUCAUUACAUUUAUUAGAGAUAUGUAUGAAAACAAGAUAUCCAACUAACAUUUUUUUAAGAUACGUUAUUUUUUCAAAAGGGACAAGUAAAAAGGGACGGAGGGAGUAUCUAAUUUUUCCUCUCUUUUCACGCUACUUUUACUCUCUUUUCACAUUACCUUUACUCCACUAUCUCCUUUUUAUACAUUAAAAAUUAAUGGGUCCCACCACUUCACCCAAUUUUCUUUCUCUUUCACUAUUUUAUACGUAUUUCUUAACCUCUGUGUCCAACUCCAAUGUAAAGAACUCACCGGGACGGAGGGAGUACUUAGAUAUGCAAUAUCUAACAAUUAAUAUCAUUUAAUAUCUAAUUAGCAAAAACAAAACAUGCAAUAUCCAAGAAAAUCCACAAGAUAUGCAAUAUCCCAGAAGAUUUUUAUAGAUUUAAUUUCUAACAAUAUUUAUUACUAGUUAAUACACAACAACUAUAAAUAUCAUGCACAUUUUAUUUCCAAGCAUCAUCCUCACAUCAAAGACAUUAUUCAUUUUGUUGAAUUUAUAAUCAGUUGUUUCUUAAGACCUAGUAUGGAGAAGGCUCGAGUCAACAAAAUUAUUUCUCUUCUUGUAUUUUGGUCAUGGUGUGCGAUAUGUCAUGUAGUUCUACAUAGUUAAUCUAUCAAUAUAUAUUAUAAAUAAUAUAAUUUUGUGCUUCGUGAUCUCUGAUGUCAAUGAAAUAUUAUUAUUUUUGAUAAUUUAUGCAGAUUUAAAAUUAAUGGGAACAAAUGCAUCAGAUACACAAUGCAAAAGUGACAAUGAUUGUGAUUUAGUAUGUACCGAUAAAGCCAAAUGUGCAAAAGGUGAAUGUCAAUGCGUACUUUUUGGUUACGUUCCUGGCCCUAUUCGUGGUCAUGGUUUUGAUGAUAUGUAUGGUAGGUAAACAAGUAUGCAAGAAUGGUGUGUGCAAAUGUGUAGGACAUAUCGGUGACGAGAAUGAAGGACGCGGGGGCAUUUAUUAACAUAUGUAUAAUGAUUAUUUUUUCAGUGAUAUCAACUUAAUGAUUAGUUCAAUUUCUUGCUCGAUUACUUUCUUUGUUUUGACUCGAUUUUUUAUAUUUUCCGACACUAAUUAAGUAUAUAAACUUUUUUCCAACACAAUACAUAUAUUAAGACAAAUGAAAGUAAAACAAACAUCAUUUACCUAAAAUUACUAACCUUCUAAUUUUUUUUAUUUCUUUGGUCACAAACUGACUUCUAAUUUAACCUUGAAUAAUUUUUUAUUUUCAACAAUAUGAAAUAUUCUCAACUAGUGACGCUUCAUAAUUUGUUUUGGGGCCAGUUGAUAGAGGAAUACAAUCGACAGAGUAAAUUAAAUAAGAGGAUGUAAAAUCGUGAUCGGUUACGUGAUUAGAGUAAAACUCAAAUAGACAAAAAAAACUUAAAUUAAUAAACAUCAGUAAAAAAUGAAUUGUAUAGAGUCGAACCAAAAUUAAAAAGUUAGAAACAAUUAAUUUUUUUAAACUUUAUUAAUAAAUUACAACCAAACGGAGAAAAUCAGACUAAUUUGAUUAUUAAGAUAAAAUCCUUUUAAUAAUAUAUAUAUACAUAUAUAUAUAGAGAGAGAAAUCUAUAUAUAUAUUAUAUUAUAAUAUAUUAUAUUAUAUUAUAUAAGUAAUAUAUUUUUAAUAUAUGCAAUUUUUUAAGUUACUAAUCUCUAAAUUAUUAAGCAAUGUGUUGUUAAUUUUCUUAAAUGGCAAGUUGUAGGGGGUGUAUUCCGUUGAGAUUUUAAUGAAUUAUAUAUUGAGUUUGUGAAUUUUAAUGGAUUGUAUUUGAUUUAAAUUUUAUACAGAUUCUUAAUAAAAAAUGACUGAGUUGAUGAGAGUCUUUAGGAUUUAAACACGAUACUUCAAAAUCUCAUAGAUUUUGGUGGAAUUUCAAAUAUCCUAAAAUACACCGAAUAAUCUAAAAUAUCCAUCAUUUUAUGAAGUUCAAAAAGAGCCAUGAGCAAUUGAAUACCAUCAAUGGAUUUUAAAUAAUCCAAAUUGAAUACCAUCGAAUUUUAAAGCAUAAUUUAAAAUCCUGAUUGAAUAUCACCAGAUUUUGUAGCAUAAUUUAAAAUCCUAAUUGAAUAUCCCAUGAUUUGAUCAUUUUUUAAAAUUCGAGUUCAAUACCCUCGAAUUUCAUAAAUAAAAAGAAAUAUUUACAAUUCCAAUUAAAUACACUCUCUAAUUUAGUUUUAUGGAUUUCUUUGAUAAUUUUAACUUGCCACUUGAGUGCUUGAGCAUGGAUUGUCCAUAUAUAUAUAUAUAUAAGGAUAUAUUGUCCUUCUAUGGUCACCUUGAUAUCUCGAUUUAUUCUUACUCAUCCUAUCAUUGGACAAAUAAUUCUGUAGACUUCAGGCCCGCGAUAUUUUCACCCGAGAGUUGCAGGGACUAAGAGCUUUAAGGUUUAUAGUAGAAAUAUUAUUUCAAUUAAAUUUUGUUUAUAUUAUCUCACUAGAUUUUAUAAUUUAAACCAAAUUAAUAGUGAUUAGCCCAUGUUUUUAUUUUAAAACUGUCAAUUACAGCUGCGCUUUCGACGUCAAAUAUCUAAUAUAUCUGCUUUCUUGUAAGAAAUGUGCACCAAUGUGAUUCGAGGAUCAUAUUACAUGUGAUUUAAAACAAGUUUGUGAGAACAAAGAACGGUAAGACAAUCGUCCAUAUCAUGAUAAAAUGCAGAACUAUAUAUCAAGAAUAACAAUAAUAUGAAAUAUGCGAUAUUAGUUUUUGAUUAUGAUCGACAAUUACACAAAGAACAUGCACCAUCGACCUAAUGCGAAAAAUGUUUGACAACAAAUUCUAUAAUAUCUGUUCCUCGAACAAUCGAGUAUGAACGAAAUCAUUGUUACCAGUAUUACAUACACAUACGCCCUUAUCACAAUCCACAAAAUCACAGGCCAUUCGAGGACAGUCCGCUUUAGUUUUGCAUCGGGCAGCAUUUGAAUUUUGUAAAGUGCCUGGAUGAAUAAAUUGAUAUACUUGUUAAAUUAAUUAACAUAUUAUAAAUUAUUCUCUAUGUAGCUCUAUAAUGUAAACAUUGCAACUUGGUGAACAAGAUAGGACAUACCGCAAAUCAUAAGCAAUAAAAUAAAAAACCCGCACGUGUUUAGUGAAAGUUUGAGCAUGUUGUGCAUAAAAGAUACUAGUACUAUUUAUCGAUAUUAUUAGUAAUUGCAACGUACAAGUUUCAUUGUAAUAUUGCAAUUGCUUAUAUAAUUAACAUGGUCCAUAUUGCAUUAAAUAAAUGUAUUAAUGAUAAAUUUAUUGUCUCCAGCUAACAUGUAAUAUGCCAGGUAACGAUAAAUUUAUUGUCUCCAGCUCACAUGUAUAUGCUAGUCUCCCAUCAACGAGUGUGAAGACUAUCAUUCAGUUUUAUACAAACGAAUCAUGAUCUUUAUUUGGGGGCUUGUGAUGGACUUGUAGAUUACUCAAAUCUUUCUUUUUAACAUCAAUCAUCAAUCCCUAACUAUCGUCAAAUUUUCAUUCAACAACAUCUUAUAGCUAUCUAUUUCUUUUUUUUUAACUAACUAAAUCUCGCUCCAACUUGGCUCAUAUUUUUUGAGAAAAUAAUUUUUUCAUAAACGACUUUUUAAAAAUUUCCCGUAUAGGAUUGGACACCUUAUUCCUCUUUACCUAUCGCCCACCUCUUAUUCAUAAGACACCAAUUAUAAGCGCUUCCCCGGAGUUGGUAGCUUGCAAGACUAAGUUUAACUUGAUGAUUUUUUUUUUCCAUCUCUAAACAGGAUGUAAUCAUUUAUCGACUUUUGAAGGUGUUAGGUAGAUUUCUCGAAAGGUUGGGGACUUGCCUUCUCAGGAUCCGUUUUAAGGUGUUGAUGAAAUUUGAUAUACUCUUAGAAAAAAUCCAUUUAAAAAAGUGAUGUAGAAAUCAGAUAACUGUUUUGCAAUUUUUUUGAUAUUUAUAUAUUUUGAGUUAUAAGAUAAAAAAAAUAAUUUUUGGUGAGUUUUAAUAGUAAAAAAAGUUUUUUCCAAAAAUAUAUGGGAACCUGCUUUUCCUAAAUAUAAUUUUUGAGCUAAAAGCCGCUAUUCGAAAAAUCUGCUUUUAAAUAUAACAAACAGUUUUUCACAUGUUUUUCAAUAAGAAAAUUUAUGUUGCUGUUUGUCAUAACAAUGCCAAACGGAGCUUUAAACUAAAGUUGACUUUUUGAUUCAGUUGUUUGUUCCCAACCAAUGUCGUUGAAGUUUCGCCAAUUAAUUCAUCAUAUUUAUAUCUUUGUUAUCAUUGUUAUUACCGUUUCCGCUUUUGUUUCGUUGGUGAGUUAUGACUGCUACAUAAUUCAUUUAUAACUUAAUCAUAGUACAAAUAGCAAACAAUAUUCGAACAAAUAUGCAUGACAAAAUAAACGCAAUGCUUGAAUUUGUACUAGUAAAUUGACUGAAAAAGAUAAUUUUUGACGACUUAUAAGCCUAUAAUAUUGUGUCACUAUGUUUUUGUGAUUUUAAUGAGUUGUAGAUUUAAUUUAUGUAACUUUCAAUUUUUUAUGUGAUACAAUAAUUCUGAUUCUACAAUAACUAUGAAAUUAUAAAAAUAUCAAAUGAGGUGUUUUAUUUGAAUUAUGAAGUUAAAUUUAUUUGUAUAACUCAAUACUUACGAAUUUACACAUAUUUAAGUUAGAAAGUGAGAAAAAUUGACUUAGAUAUAUCUAAAUUAUUAGUAAUUUAUAGAGCUUCAUUUCCUUGCAUAUAUAUUAUAUUAGACUAUAUUUUUCUAUGUUGGUUUCUAGGAAUUCUAUUAUCAUUUUGAAUUUUAUUUCCUAAUUAAUUCAUGAUAUUUCAGGUUUAGUUUUAAUGUUUAAAUGAAAGCUAACUGUCUGAAAAUUUAUAUUAAUACAUUUCAAAUUUAUUUCCGUCAAAAUACAUUUAAAAAAACUAGACAUAUUAUACUAAGUUUAGAAAAAUAGGCUUUCGGCCCAAACCAACAAAUAUUAUGCUCCAAUAACACAAUAUAAAUUGUAAAAUUCUAAUCAAAUUUUGAUUCUGAUAUUUAAACCAUAUAUGUAUGAGUUUAAUUGUAUACAUUUUAUUUGAGAUUUAUCGAGGAAUAUUAAAAUAUUAAUUAUAAAUAACAAGUAAGACCUUAAUACAAUAAAUAAUAUGUAAUAUUUGAAUAGCAAAAGAAAAUAUAUAAUUUUCAUAAAAAUCUACUAGAUAUGCAAUAUCCAACAAGUAAUAUCAUUUAAUAUCUAAUUAGCAAAAACAAAACGUGCAAUAUCCGGAGAAAAUCCAUAAGAUAUGCAAUAUCCCAGAAGAUUUCUAUAGAUUUAAUUUCUAACAAUAUUUAUUACUAGUUAAUACACAACAACUAUAAAUAACAUACACAUUUCAUUUCCAAGCAUCAUCCUCACAUCAAAUACAUUAUUCAUUUUGUUGAAUUUAUAAUCAGUUGUUUCUUAAGACCUAGUAUGGAGAAGGCUCGAGUCAACAAAAUUAUAUCUCUUCUUGUGUUGGUCAUGGUGUGCGGUAUGUCAUGUCUACAUAGUUAAUCUAUCAAUAUUUAUUAUAAAUAAUAUAAUUUUGUGCUUCGUGAUAUCUGAUGCUAAUGAAAUAUUAUUAUUUUUUGAUAAUUUAUGCAGAUUUACAAUUAAUGAGAACAAAUGCAUCAGAUCUACAAUGUAAAAGUGACGGGGAUUGCAAAUAUUAUGCUGAAUGUGUCGAUGGUAAAAUGAGAUGUGUAAAAGGUGAAUGCCGAUGCAUACAUUUUGGUAUCCCUGGCCCUCAACCUAGUCACGGUUUUGAUGAUGAUAAGAAAGUUAACAACGAGGUUAGAUGUAAAACAAUGAGAGAUUGUUUAAAUUAUCUAUGUUUAGUAGGUAAACAAGUAUGCAAGAAUGGUGUGUGCAAAUGUGAAGGACAUGUUGGUCACGAAAAUGAAGGACGUGGAGGAAUUUAUUAAUAUAUAUAUAUGUAAUGAUUAUUUCUUGAGUUUUAUCAACUUAGUGAAUUAGUUCAAUUUCUUGCUCUAAUUACUUUUCUUUGUUUUGGCUCGAUUUUUAAUAUUUUCCAACACUAAUAAAGUACAUAAAUUUCCCCCCCACAUAAUACAUGUGGUAAGACCAAUGAAAGUAAAACAAUCAUCAUUUGACUAAAAUUUCUGACCUUCUAAUUUAUUUAUUUUUGUGUGUCACAAACUGACUUUAUACUUAAACCUCAAAUAAUCUUUUAUUUUCAUUUUCAAGAAUAUGAAAUAUUAUGAACUAGCAACACUUCAAAAUUUGUUUUGAAGUUAUUUGAUAGAGGAAUACAAUCGACAAAAUAAAUAAAAUAAGAGGAUGUGAAAUAGUGGUCAAUUACAUGAUUAAAGUAAAAUAUUGGAUAGAUACAAAACUGAAAUCAAUAAAAAUUAGUAAAAACAAAAUCAUAUAGUUGAACCAAAAUUAAAAAGUUGAAAACAAAUACAAAAAUUAACUUUAUUUAUCAAUUACAAAGAAACAGAAAAAAAUCAGACCAAUUUGAUAAUUAAAAUAGCAUCCUUUUAAUAAUUUAUAUACAUUUUUUAUAUAAAUAAUUAUGUAUUUUUAAUAUUAGCAGUUUCUUAAGUUAUUAAUCUCUAAAAUUAAAAUUGAGCAAUGCAUUGUUAAUUUUUUUAUAGGGGAAAAUUCUAGGGGGUGUAUUCAAUUGAAAUUUUAAAAUUUUUUAUAUGAUCUAUGGAUUUUAAUGGAUUGUAUCUGAUUUUAAUUUUAUACGGAUUCUUGAUAAAAUAUGACAGAGUUGAUGAGAGUCUUUAGGAUUUAAACAGAAUACUUCAAAAUCUCAAGGAUUUUGUUGGAAUCUCAAAUAUAUUCAAAUACACCGAACAAUCUAACAAAAUUCAUCAUUUUAUGAAGUGCUAAAAAAUUCAUGAGCAUUUGAAUACCAUCAAUGAAUUUUAACUAAUCUCAAUUGAAUACUAUCGCAUUUUAAAAUAUACUUAAAAUUCUGAUUGAAUACCACCAAAUUUUGUAGUAUAUUAUAAAAUCCUAAUUAAAUAUCCUAGGAUUUGAUAAAUUUUUUAAAAUUCGAGUUGAAUACCCCUAAAAUUUCAUCAAAAAAACAAAUCUUUUAAUUCAAUUGAAUGCGCUUCAUAAUUUAAUGUUAUGGAUUCCUUUAAUAAUUUUAACUUGCCACUUGGGUGCUUGAGCAUGGAUUGUCCACAUAUAUAAGGAUACAUUGUCCAUCUGAGGUCACCUUGAUAUCUAAAUUUGAUUCUUACUCAUCCUAUCAUUGGACAAAUAACUUUUUAUUUGGAAAUGUUACAAGCACCGUGAUAUUUUCUCCCGAAAGUCGCAAAGACUAAGAGCUUUAAGGUUAAUAAUAGAAAUAUUAUUUAAGUCAAGUUUUGUUUAUAUAUCAUUAGAUUUUAUAAUUUAAACCAAAUUAAUAGUUAUUAGAUCAUGUUUUUAUUUUAAAUCUGUCGAUUACAAUGACGCUUUAAAUAUCAAAUAUCUAAUAUAUUUGCUAUCUUGUCAGAACUUCGCACCAAAGCGAUUCGAGGGUCAUAUCACACAUGAUUUAAAACAACUUUGUGAGAACAGAUAAAUGUAAGACAUGCGUCCAUAUUAUGGUAAAAUUUAAUUUAUUAAGCUUGUUAUAUUAAUUUUUAAAAAUAUGUUGUGAUUAGUUGGAUUUAAAAAAUCGAAUCGGCAAAGUAACUUGCACAAUUAGUCAAUCAAAUUGGCAAUUUCUGUAUUGAUAAGUUGUUCAGUUUCUUAAAUAUAUCUUGCACUCAAGUGAUUUCAUCUGUUGAUAAGAAGACCAGGUGAUUAGGUUACAUAUUAUCUUGUGUUAGUUCUCUAAUUAUUUAAUUUAUUAUGUCGCGGUCUUUAUUUAUGAAUACUAGUUGAUGAUCCGUGCCAAGCACGGGUUUAAAUAAAAUUUUAAUUUUUUUUAUUUAUUGGAAACAUAAUAUUUUUUGAAUUACAUUAUCAUAUUUUUAUUAUAUUUAUUUAAAUUAUUAUUUUUAAAUGUUAUUUAGAUUAUUAUUAAUUCGAUAUAAGACUUUCUAUAUAUUAAAAUUUGAUAUUAUUUUUGUAAAUAAUGAAUUUUAAUUAUAUAACAUAUUUAAGUUAAUUAAAUUAAAAAUUCCUUUAAACUUCGGUAUUAGUUUGUCAUACAAACAACUACUAUUCCUAAGUCUAAAAGAACUCCAACCCACAUUAGAAUUACCCAUUCUAACUCUAAAAUAAUUACGGAUUAAAUAUACAUAACACAUAUCUAUUAUAACUCUAAAUUAAUUACAAAUAUUAGAAGUCUAAAAAAAUUCUUAAGUUAAAUAACUUAAAUAUGUUUUUUAAAUAAAAUUCGCAAUAAAUAAUGAAAUAAAAAUAAAACAAAAUAAUAAUUGAGUUUCUUAGCUUAUUUUUUAUUUUAUGUUCUUAUAUCUACAUAAAAACUCUGUCGACUUAUUAUAUUUAUUUGAUAGGAAUUUUAUUGAGUUGAUUCAUAUUUAUUGGAUAGAAAUUUUACAGAGUUAAUUCCUAUGUUAAAUUGUUCGAUAAAUAUAUAAUUUGUAAUUAAUUUAGAGUUAUAAUAGAUAUGUGUUAUGUAUAUUUAAUCCGUAAUUAUUUUAAAGUUAGAAUAGGUAAUUCUAACGUGGGUUGGAGUUCUUUUAGACUUAGGAAUAGUAGUUGUUUGUAUGACAAACUAAUAGGGUUGGUUCAGCUGGUUAAAGAGAGGACAUAGGUUUACCCAGUGCGCACCCGAAGGGUAGCGGCUGCGGGUUCCUACGUUAAAAAAAAAAAAAAAAAUAUAGAAGUUUAAAGGAAUUUUUAAGUUAAUUAACUUAAAUAUGUUUUAUAAAUAAAAUUCGUUAUUUAAAUAUUUAAUUUAUUUUAUGUUCUCAUAUCUGCACAAAAGCUCUUCUGACUCCCUAUAUUUAUUUGAUAGUAAUUUUAUACAGAAUUCAUAUUUAUGUGAAAAGGAUUUUAUAGAGUUAAUUUCUAAGUUAAAUUGUUUCAGUUCUAAAAAUUACAAUAUUUAGUUAUAUUGGGAUAGAAUUAUAUACUAUGAAUAAUCGUUAUGUAAAAAAGUCAUGAGCAGUAUAAUGACCAAAUUUUGGUACUGAAACGUGAUUUCGCUUAUUAACAAAGGGUAUUGAUUGUUUCCGGAAGUUCUUGCAAAAAUCUAAUAAGAGCAAAUUUUUGUGAUUAAUUUAUGAAAGGUCCUACCAUGCACAAUCAAGCAGACAAAUGGAGAUGAAAAGAAAAGAUUGCCCAAACACGCCCUAUAUAGGAUCCAGCCAUUCAAGAUUAAUGGAUUGGUCUGAAGUCACAUUCUGAACUAUUAGCCAGGGAUUUACUUGUAGUUACCGUUGGUAGAAUUCUGGAACAUCGGUUUCGUUGGUGAAAGUGAUCACAAUGAGGUUACUCUGCUCUGAAUUAUUGCGGCCUGCAGCGGCUAAAAUUUGAGUUGGCUUGAAAAAUGAUGUGUAUGAACACAUUGAAAUUAGCCUUUUGCUGUCUGAAUUGUUCAUAGUCAACUUUAUAGCAUCCUACAUCGUCCUAUUGAUUUUUUUUUUCUAUGCAGAUUAGUUAUUUCAGCAGAAGAACUUUAUGUAUUUUUAUUGACUUUAUAUUUGCACUUUUUUUUAGGGUUUUGGAGAAUGGCUGGUGAAGCAGAAGGGCCUGCAGUUAGGAUUGAUCAUGUGCUCAUGUGUUCCAUGUACAAAUUUCAACUGUUUAUACCAAUAAAAUUACAGACCAUGGCCACACAAUAUGAUCACAAUUUUACGCCUUGUAAACCUAUAUGUUAUGCUAUCAUAUCGAAAAAUGAAUAAAUUUAACCACUUCAGAAAGAACUUAUGCGUCAAUUCUCAUCCAGAUUGCAGAAUUACUGGAUUUGAAGAAACUAAUGAAACUCAUUCAGAAAUUUGCAGUUGACUAAAAAAUGCAGUACAGUAUAUUAAGCCUUUUGUUCUCUUAAGCUGCUCAAAAGUGCGAAUGCAGAUUUUAUUUUGAAGCUGAGAAGGCAGAUUAUAUUAAGCUUCUUGUACUAAUAUUUUAAUUAGUCUUUGUUUUGAUGUUGUAUUCCCGUUUAAAAGUGUUUCAGUUCUAAAUUGGCUUAAUGACCUUUUAGCCCUCGAAGUAUGUAUGAAUGUUCCGAUGCGGCCUCGAUGUUUAAAACCGUACCUUUCGACCCUCAAAGUAUCCGAUACGUACCUUUUAGUCCUUUUCCUAAAAAACGGUAUAAAUCGGGGGGUAAAGUAGAGAAUUCCUAAUUUGGGUUAAGUUUAUGCGUACCCUUUAAACCCUAAAGAAUACAAAAAAUAGAAAACACAGUGAAGAAGCUCGAGCUGCUGCGGAUAGAAGAAACAAGGCGCGAUUGGGUGUGGAUUGAAGUCUUAGAUCGUGAUGGCUAGCAUAAGCGACAGCUCCGCUGGUAAUUUCUUAACCCUUUUCUCAAUUGAAUAUGAUGAUUAACCCCCCCCCCCCCUUGUAUCUGCAUCAUUUUCAUAGGGUUUUUGUUUUUCUGUAUGAUUAUUUUCCAAUGUUCAUCUCGUGAUUUUGUGAUUAAAAGGUGAUGAUGCUAUAAUGUUGAGUAUGUUUCAUGGUGGGUCUUUGAAUUGGGUCCCCGUUACCGAAUAUGUUGGGGGUAGAGUCACCGUGUACAAUUUUAGAGACCAGGACGAAAUUAACAUGGAGAGUCUGAGAGCAUGGAGUAAAGCUCUGGGUUAUGGGGGUUUGAGCUGUCUCUAUUAUAGGAUUCCUGAUAGAGAUCUUGAUGGAGGGUUGGUUUUAUUGAAAGAUGAGAAAGAUGUAGGAGAUAUGUUGUCAUUUGCUAUGGAAAAUGACAACAAAAUAGAUGUUUAUGUGCAACAUUCUAAUCAGGAGUUUGAAGAAAAUUUUGGAGGGGUGAAUGAUGCAGCUGAAGAACGCAUGAGUGUGGAUGAACUUGAGGACUCUGAUUUUGCUGAAUCAGAUUAUUCGAUGACUGAUGAUGACUUGCUCUUUAAUGAUAAAGUUGAUGCUGGAGUUGAAUGGGUUGGUGUAUUGAGGGCUGGACUGGGAUUAGCAGAAGAAGUGCCGUUGGAGCCAGAAGAUGAAGAACAGAGUGAGUAUGACAGUGAUGAUCUUGAAAGCUUGGAUGGCAAUGAUUUAGAGGAGGGUGAAGGCAGUAGUAGAAGGAAAACAUUUCCAAUCUACAAGGACACAGAAGAUCCAAAGUGGACAGUUGGGAUGGUUUUCACUGAUCACAAACAAUGCAGAGAAGCUAUAAUGAAACAUUCAGCUAGUGAAGGUAGAGUGAUAAGGUUUGUCAAGAGUGACAGAACAAGGGUGAAGGCUGUGUGUAAAGCUCCAUGCCAGUGGUCUCUUUUUGCCUCUCUCAACUUCAACAAAACCAUGCAGUUAAAGAAAGUGGGCCCAGGUACAUUUUGAGGUUAUUUGUGUCUUUUUACAAUGCCAACUGGGUGAAUGCAUAUUGUAUUUAUGUCUUCUUUUUCUGACAGAGCACACAUGUGCUAGAGAGCAGAGGGGGUUACCUCUGAUAAAUUCAGGAUUCUUGGCAAGGAAAUAUCUGGCAGAAUUCAGAAUCAACCCCUCUUGGCCAGUGAAAGCAUUCCACAACACAGUUUUAAGAGAUCUGCAGCUGGAUAUCAAGCCUCACAUCUUGAGAAAAGCAAGGAGAAAGUGUAUGAGAAUUAUGAAUGGGACACUUGAAGAGCAGUUCCAGAAGCUGUGGGACUACAGGACAGAGCUUCUCAAAAGGAACCCCAACUCAACAGUUGAGAUUGACAUAGAGCCAGGUAUUGUAUCUAAUUAUUUCACUUUAAAAUGCUUUAUGUGUACUUUUUUUUUAAAUUCCAGAUCUGUGCUUGUAGGGGCUGUUGGAGUCUUUAGAAGGAUGUACAUCUGUCUAGGAGGGCUCAAGCAUGGCUUUAAGCUUGGUUGCAGGAAGUUCAUAGGUUUGGAUGGCUGUCACCUGAAAAGUGCUUACAAAGGUCAGUUACUCUGUGCUGUGGGUUUAGAUGGCAAUAAUUGUAUGUUUCCUAUAGCAUAUGCAGUAGUUGAGGCUGAGAAACUUGAUUCCUGGAGAUGGUUUGUGGCUUAUCUUGUUCAAGAUUUUGAUAUAGGCCUAGGUGAUGGUUGGUCCUUCAUUAGUGAUAGGCAGAAGGGGCUUUUGAAUGUAGUUCAAGAGAUGUUACCCAUGGCUGAGCAUAGGUAUUGUGUUAGACACUUACACAAUAAUUUUAAGGGUAAGUAUGGGGGUAGGUCUUUGAAGGACAAGCUUUGGGCUUGUGCUAGGGCAUCAAAUAUUGAGGCAUUUCAGGUUGCUAUGACCAACAUUAAAGAGGAGAAUGAGGGUGCUUGGAAAUGGUUGACAGAGGUUCCAUUCCAUCAUUGGACUAGAUCUCAUUUCAAAACAGAGUCAAGAUGUGAUCUUCUUUUGAACAAUAUGUGUGAGAGUUUUAAUAGGUGUAUUUUGGGGGCUAGGGAGCAAGGAGUUCUAUUGAUGUUAGAAAUGAUUAGAGAAUACCUGAUGAGGAGGCUGCAGACAAAAAGAGAUGAAAUGGUUUCUUGGGAGGACAAAAAAUUUACUCCAAAAAUCUACAAGAUUAUUGAGAAAAACAAGAAACUGAGUGGAUCUUGCUACUCCACAUAUGCUGGUUAUGAUGAAUUUGAAGUUACUACAUUCACUGGUUCCAAGUAUGCUGUCCAUCUAGGAAACAGGACCUGUGGGUGUAUGAGAUGGGACUUGUGUGGCAUACCUUGCCAACAUGUCAUAAGUUGCUUGAAUAGGAUGGGGUACAGUGUAGAGGACUAUGUUGACAAGGUCUACACCACAGCCAACUACAAAAAAGCUUACUCUGGAAUAAUCUAUCCCAUGAAUGGUCACAAUUUGUGGGAGAAGAGUGGUUUAGUAAUGAAACCACCAACUGUUGAGAGGCAACCAGGAAGGCCCAAAAAAAGGAGAAGACCAGAGAUGCCAGACUUAGUUGAAAAGGAGAUUGAAGGUGUGAAGACUUUAAGCAAGAAAACUCAAUUAACUGUGAGGUAGUAAUUUCCUAUAUUUUCUUUAUUUUUUGCCUUUUUUGCCUUUUUCUAUGCUUUAUAAGAUUUUCUUACAUUUAUGCAGGUGUGGGAAGUGCAAGGAAUUUGGCCAUAACAAAAGGACUUGCCCUUCACUUCAUCCAGUUGAGGCAAAUGCUGAGGCAGAAGCUGCAAAUGCUGAGGCAGAAGCUGCAAAUGCUGAGGCAGAAGCUGCAGAUGAAGGAGAUAGUGCUGAACUGCAAGAAACUGCAAUUGAUUAUCCUGACCAAGGUCCACCCUUGACUCAACAAAGUCAAGAGUUUGAGGGACCUCUUGUUGAAGAAGAGGGGGACAGUGAGGGUGAAGCUGCAAGUGAGGACAAUGAGGGUGAAGCUGCAAGUGAUGCAAGUGAGGAGAGUGAGGAUGAUGAAACCCCUCUAGCAAUUGCAGCAAAGAAGAUUAGGCAAAUGAGGAUCCAAAAAAUGGGGUUGACAACAACCAAAGAUUCACCUAUCAUGGUUGCAGCUGGAAAACUGAAGACCCUUAAAGAGAUAAUGGAUUCAGAAAAGAAGAAGGAAACAAGUGUUGCAGAGGCUCAAGCUGUUGAAAUGGAGGAUGCUAGGAGGAAGACUGUGAAACAGGAAAUGCAACAGAGGAUUGACAAAGGCAAAAAUCCAAUGAAAGUCUCUGAGAUUGAACCUAGGAGAAGCUACAGAUUGUUUAGGAAAACAGCUCUUAACAAAUUCACAAACACAGUGGAUACCCCAGUUGUCAUUGAUGAGGCUGGGGAGGAGGAUAAACAACCUCCACGGGUGCAGAUAAAUUCUUACACAGGCCCUAUGAAACUAGGGAAGAAACAACCUCCACCAGUGAAGCAGUAUAAGGCCAUUGUUGGUCAAACAGAGGUAAAGUCUGCACCAUUCUUAUCACAUGGCAGAACUGUAAUCACAAAGGGUACAUUGGCCAAAGCUCUCGGUGCUUUGAAAAAGAGUUAUCUCCCAGGUUCUACAGCAAAGGGGAAGGAUAGCCAACAGCCUUGAUUUUAGCAGUUUUUCUCUAUUAUUUUGUAAUGCUAUGACAUUGGUACUUUGCCUACUUUCUGGACUUAAUUUUAUUUCAGUUGUAAUGCUUUUGGGGAUGUUUUGUAACUUGAUCUUUUGCAAAGAAUUUAAUGUAAGCUAAUGAUUUCCAUUCCAAAACAUCUACUUUCAUUUCAUUACAAUAGAUGCUAGUACAUACUGCAUAGUACAACUAGGGUAGUUCUAACACACUAGGUGAAGCAUUUUUGUUUGCCCUUACAAACACCCAUACUAUUAACAACACAAACAACAAAACCAGUAUGGACUUUUUUCUCUUCACGGGUCUGUUCACACCAGCUGCAGCCUCAUUUUUCUUUGCAUCAUCUUCGAGAUUUCGAAUGCGCCGCAACAGUCCUGGGAUUAUUGCUUUUGAUCUUGCACACAUGGGUGGAUCAAACCAUUGGUGAAAGUUACAAGCAUUGCUUCUGUUAUCCUGCAGUUAAAUUAGAUAUAGUUAGAUUACAUUUAAGAACAAAAAUGAGAGAUUAGAAUCUGCUUACCUUGAAUCUCAUACAUCCCCAGAAUUGCCUCCCCGGAUUAGAAUCAGUCCACGAUGUCUUCAAAGCAGCAGCUGUUCCACACCUACAGUUAGGCUCCAUCUAGACAACUUGUUCUGUUUUACACAAGAAAAUGACAACACACACAACUAUGAUACAUAUAUAUAUACACAAGAAACAUCAAGGGCAAAAGGGGAUGGCGGGAGACCUCCAGAUUUUUGGAGGGAAACUGAGGGUUAAAUGUCUUGUUUGUCCCCCCCCGAUUUAUACUGUUUUUUUGGAAAAGGGCUAAAAGGUACGUAUCGGAUACUUUAAGGGUCGAAAGGUACGCUUUUAAACAUCGAGGCCGCAUCGGAACAUUCAUACAUACUUCGAGGGCUAAAAGGUCAUUAAGCCUUCUAAAUUUUUAUGGUCUGCACUGUUUACUAGAAUUAUUAUCUGGGAAUUGUAGCACUGUUUGUUAGAAAAUGGUAAGUUUAAGACAUGGAAUUACCUUAAUCUAAUUGUUGGAGGUUGUUCCUUGUAAUGAGGACUUAAACUUUCAUGUUUGGAUCUAAGACAUUUUCUUAGUGUAAUCCAUAAAUAAAUUGAGUUGAAGUUAGUAGCUUGAAAGUGGUAAAAUAUGUUAUGUGGGUUAGUCCCACAUUGAUAUUGGAAAGUGAGGUUGGUGGCUUUAUAUAGUACAUGUGCAAGUGUAGUGUUCAACUACUAAGGCAUGUGGGUGUGCAAGGUUGUAGUGAGCGCCCGCCGCCGCCGCCCCGGGUCGGGUCGAAGGGCGAUUUGGGCAAGCUAAGUGAUUUCUGUCUUUUCUUGUCGAUUUAAGGUACCUGAUAUAUAACUGCCUCAUUGUUGCGCUAAUAUAUAUAGUUUAAUAUUUCCAACACUGUUCACAUAGACUCUUUUCAUCAACAUGUAGCUCAUAUGGGAGGAUCAUGUUUAACUUUGAAUGCAGGUAAGCAGUUCAAUAUUAAUAUAAUAAGGAAUAUAAUUUCUGCGAUGAAGAUAAAAUGCUUAUGGAGCAAAUAUAACUUGGUCAAAAUGAAAUUACUCUCUGAGAGGAGACUUUAGAUCUGAUCAGAGUAUCAAACAGACAGACCUUAUUAGACAAUUUGACUAAUUUAGAUUAGGAUGAAGUGCAUGUGUAUACUAUAAGUUGGUAGGGAAUUUGCGAGUCAGUUUCUCAACCUCUAACUUCAUCUUCCGGAUUUUCUAUUUUAUUUAUUUAUUUAUUUUAAACGUAGGAACCGCAGCCACUACCCUUCGGGUGCGCACCGGUUCUUUCUCUGCAAAUUAGUUUUCUAAACAGAACAUCUCUUUAUUUUUAUUCUACUUUCUAUUUUCAGUUCUGCAUUCUGCUUCUCCAAAAUGGCUGGAAGAGGAGAAGGACCUGCAAUUGGAAUCGAUCUCGGAACUAUGUACUCAUGUGUUGGAGUUUAGCAAGGCAUGUUGGAUUUUAUAUAAUCUUAAACCACGCUAGUUAAUUAUCAUUAUUGUUUUUGAUUUCAUUUGCUGUAAUAACGAGUGGCUUGAUAUAAGUCAGCUACUAGCAUCUAGGACCGUGAUUGUCUGGCAGUAGAGUUGGUUUAGGAAUUUUGUUGGACUCAUGUCCUUAUUUCUGGCUUUCCAGUUUUUGAGUCUGUAAUCUAUUUAUGCAUUUUUCAGAAUAAAGAAAAAAGCAAGACUUUGACGAGCAAAACAAAAGCUUUUCGAUCUCUCUCAGUUAUAUCAGAUUGUUGAUAUAUGUUUAUUAACAACACUUGGUAUCAGAGCUGAAGUUCUCUAUGAAUGUCAAAGACGCCAACAAUGGAGAUGAACAAAGACAAAGGCGGUUCAAUCGAUUUGAGUUACCCAAAGGCACCGGUAGAAGAGAAAUUGGCAUGGCUAUGAUUUCCAGUUUUAUACUCCUAUCAAAUGUUGAUUUACAGCUUCUUCUUUUUUUUUGGUAAGGAAUGUUGAUUUACAGCUUUAUAUUCAAAGCAUACAUGAUUUAUAUACUCUUUCUCUUAUAAACUGUUUUACAAUUAUAUCUUUCUUUUAUUCAUAUUGAUACUGCUGUUUAUUCAUAUUGAUACUGCUAUUUAUAGCUCACCCUUGCAAACUAUGUUCAUACAUGUUCCAGAUGCCUAGGACUUGAGCGUUAGCUAGGAGACCUGUAGCAGGGGCUCUAUCCAUGCCCCAACUUUGGAUCUUUUGAGGUAGAGUAAGUCAGUCUUCUAGUUCUGAUUUCAAUACUAGAGCCGAUCCUGGUUGAAAUUGAUUUUUAAUUUAAAUCAUUUUUAAAAUAUGCAAGUUUUGAAAUAUAUGUUUUUACUUUCUUUUAAAAUUAGAGGUUUUAAAUUGUUUUUCUUUUAAUGACACCAAAUUCAAAUUAUUUUUAUUGACUCCGGAGAGAUGUCACUAUGGUAGAGUUAUAUAUUAUAAUAAAAGAUUUAGAGAGCUUCAUUAUCUUGCAUUUAGAUUAUAUUAGACUAUAUUUUUUAUGUUGGUUUCUAGGAAUUCCAUUAUUAUUUAUAAAAAAAAUCUAAUUAAUUCAUGAAAUUUCAGGUUUAGUUUUAAUCUUUAAAUGAAAGUUAAUCAUCUAAAAUGCUAGGCCUUUAUAAUUUAGAUUUAUGUCUAUUAAAAUUCAUUUAAAAAUAAUUAGACAUAUUAAAUUAAGUUUAGAGUAAUAGACGUAUGGCCCAAACCAACUAGAAUUUAUCCUCCAAUAAUACAAUAUAAAUUGCAAAUUUUAGUAAUUAACUAAUAAGUAAUUUUGAUUUUGAUAUAUGUAAUUUUGAUUGUGAUAUUUAAAACUCAAAAUGACACAUAUCCAAGUAUAUAAUAUUUUUUGAGCUUAAAUACAUUAAUUUUAUUUGAGGAUCAGGGUGGAAAUAUUAAAGUUCUCAUUAUAAAUGACAAGUAAGAAUUUAAUACCAUAAACAACAUGUAAUAUCUAAUUAGUAAAGAGAAAAUAUAUAAUAUGUAGAAAAAUCCACUAAAUAUGUAAAAUUUAGGUUGUGGAAAUAUCAAAGUUUUUAUUAUAAAUGACAAGAUAGAUCUUAUCUAUUGCAAUAAGUAACAUAAAUAAUUAGCAAAAAUAAAACGUGCAAUAUUCAGAGAAAAUCCACUAGAUAUGCAUAUCGAGGAAAAUCUCUAGAGAUUUAAUUUCUAACAACAUUUAUUAAUAGUUAAUACAAAACAACUAUAAAUAACAAACAUAUAUCAUUUACAACCCAUCAUCCUCACAACAAGGACACAAUCAUUUUUGCACAACUUAUAACCAGGUGUUUGUUAUGACCUAGUAUGGAGAAGGCUCUAAUCAACAAAAAUAUUUUUCUUCUUGUAUUGGUCAUGGUGUUUGGUAUGUCAUACAACUCUACAUAAUUAAUCUAUCAAUAUAUAUUACAUAUAAUAUAAUUUUGCUUAAUGAUAUGUGAUACUAAUGAAAUAUUAUUGUUUUUUUAUCAUUUGUGCAGAUUUACCAUUAGUUAGAUUAAAUGCAUCAAAUAAAAUAUGUAAAAUAGAUAAUGAUUGCGGAAUUUCGGCAUGUUCCAGUGGUGUAAUGAGAUGUGUAAAUGGUGAAUGCAAAUGUGAACCAUUUUAUUUUGACCCUGCCCCUGUCCCAAGUCAAGUACCUAAUGAUGAUAAAAAAGUUAGCAGUGAGAUUAGAUGCAAAACAGUGCACGAUUGUGAAAAAACUGUUAUAUGUAUGAUAGGUAAGCAGUAUGAAAGAAUGGUAUGUGCAAAUGUGUAGGAUAUAUUGGUCACUAAAAUUGAAGGUCGUCAGGGCAUUUAUUGAUAUAUGUAUGAUGUUCGGUGCUUUAAUAUUAUCAAGUUAAUGAAUUAGUACAAUUCGUGUUUGAUUACGUUUCCUUGUUUCAACUUGAUUUUUUAUCCGACGCUAUAAACACACACACACACACAUACAUAAUAUAUAUAUAUAUAUACACACACAUAUAUAUACAUAUAUAUAUAUAUAUGUAUAUGUAUAUAUGUAUGUUAAUGAUCAAAUACAAACUACAAACUAAUCUAAGCCAUUAAAUCAAGCUAAUGUAAUUGCCGUCCACUCUACCCUCUCACACAUAUUCCACAGAUUCCCUCCAUUUUUAAUUUGAUUUUUCACGUCAAUCAAAUCACUUUUUUUGAAAUCCGACUUCACUGUAUUUUUCUUCAUCUCCCAGCAAUCAAUUUCCAUACCAUAUUUGAUAUAUUUCGAUGCGAUUUAUAAAUUUUUUAUUUUGGUUUUUAGUUUUUAUUCUAAGAAAUGUUUGUAGUGGAGGAGCAUCCUAUAUUAUAUAUAUCUAUAUAAAAGAAGGCUCAAUGGAGACCAAAUAUUUUGGAGUCCUUAGAGCAUCUCCAAUGGGAGGUGCCAAGAGGGGUGCCAAUGCCAUGUGGCAUGACAUGGACCGGCACUCUCGUUGGCACCCCCAUUGGAGAUGUUGGAGUGCUAUUGGGGUGCCAGGUGAGUUGGCUUUAGGGUGCCAAAAGUUGGCAACCGAUAAAGUAGGGUGCCAACUUCAUUUGUGGUCCCAAUAAUACAUAAAAUAUAGAUUUGUGGUCUCAAUAAUACAUAAAAUAUUAUUUCUCUAUUAAUAAAGUUGGCAUCUUUGGAGUGCCAACCAUUGGAGUGUAUUUUUAAAAAAGGGUGCUAAAAAUGAUUUGGAAGAGUGUGAAUAUAAAAAAUAAUAUUUUGAGUUAUGUGUUAAAAUUGGCACCCCUUGAAGGGUGCCAGCCAUUGGAGAUGCUCUUGGAGACUACAAGAUCUACCGUUAAUAUAAUCUGGCAAUUAACGAACAUGAUUAAAUAUUUUUGUCCUGCAUUUCUAGUAAUAUUCUUGUCCUGCAUUUCUAGUAAACAACAAUUGCAGAACAUUGUAAUUUGAAGAAUAGAUUCUUGAGAUAUCAUAGCUUCAGUUGCUUCAAGAUCAUCAACAUGAGUUUUAGUUUUAAUUCAAAAUUAUCUUUAUAAUUUACUGUAUUCUUGUCGUAAUGUAGUAUUAAUAAUUUGUCCCGCAUAUUUGUGAUAUAUCUAAGUGUUAUUUUGUCUCGCAACAAAUUCAAUUCGUUGCAGGACAAUAACGAUGAGUUCAGUGCCAAUCAUAGCAAUGUCCAACUACAUCUUUGUUUUGUAUCCAAUUAUUAUUUUUAUUUUAUUAGGAUUUCGGUGAUUGAACACCAAUAUCAUGGAAUUAUUAUUUUAUGUUCUGCAGGAUUUAGAAAUUCUGCAUGUUGUUCACUGAUUUAGAAGUGCUGGACAGGAGGACCUGCAGUUAGGAUUGAUCUUGGGACCAUAUGUACUCAUGUGUUGGAUUUUGGAGAUGACACCAUCUCAUGUGGUUAUUGCGAGUGUUUUUAAUGAAGCUUAGCAAGGACAUUAAUUCUGAUGAGGCAGUUGCACUGGAUGUCGCUGCCAUAGCUGACACGAUGAUUAGUGACGAAGGUGGUGGAAUGAUUAAUGUGAUGCCACUGGAUAUUACUUCUGAAGACCUUAGUAGUGGGAAUUAGACUGUUCUAUCUCCAAAAAAUACAAGCUGUCCUUGACUUGGUAUUGAUCCAAGUGUUUCAGAUUAGGGUGCUGGUCCCUGGCAUAUGAUUGCCAGGGAGGGGUUAAGUAACACAUGGUUUUCUGGCUGUCGGAUGCAUAUCUAGCGCCCAGGAUUAUAACAUUUUUCUUCAGACUUCUAGCAGUUUUUAACCGCUAGACGCUAGACAGAUUUUCCCCUUCUAGCGGUUAAAAACCGCUAGACGUGUUAAAAUUUUGUUAUAAUCCUGGCCGCUGGAUAUGCAUNUGUCGGAUGCAUAUCUAGCGGCCAGGAUUAUAACAUUUUUCUUAAGACGUCUAGCAGUUUUUAACCGCUAGACGCUAGACAGAUUUUCCCCUUCUAGCGGUUAAAAACCGCUAGACGUGUUAAAAUUUUGUUAUAAUCCUGGCCGCUGGAUAUGCAUCCAACGGCCAGAAAACCAUAUGCCAGUUAAUCAGUCCACAGCCAUCGAUGGCUGUGGACCAGGACCCUUCAGAUUAUGCCUUGUUACAAUAUGAAUGNCAUGGUUUUCUGGCUGUCGGAUGCAUAUCUAGCGGCCAGGAUUAUAACAUUUUUCUUAAGACGUCUAGCAGUUUUUAACCGCUAGACGCUAGACAGAUUUUCCCCUUCUAGCGGUUAAAAACCGCUAGACGUGUUAAAAUUUUGUUAUAAUCCUGGCCGCUGGAUAUGCAUCCAACGGCCAGAAAACCAUAUGCCAGUUAAUCAGUCCACAGCCAUCGAUGGCUGUGGACCAGGACCCUUCAGAUUAUGCCUUGUUACAAUAUGAAUGUGUAUUAUAUCGAAAAUAUAAUUACAGAUUAUGGCCACACAAUAUGAUCAACAAUUUUAUGCCUUGUUAACCUAUAUGAUUAGUGUAUAAUGUAUUAUAUCGAAAAAUGAAUAAGUUCAAUCACUUCAGAUAGUACAUAUGCAUUGGUUUUCAUCCAGAUUGCAGAAUUACUGGAUUUGAAGAAACUAAUGAAACUCAUUUAGAAAUUUUCAGUUGACUAAAAAAUGCAGAACAGUAGUAUAUCAAGCUUUUUGUCCUCUUAAGCUGCUCAAAAGUGGGAUAGUAUAUCAAGCUUUUUGUUUUCUUAAGCUGCUCAAAAUUGGGAAUGCAGAUUUUGUUUUGAAGGUGACAAGGGAGAUUAUAUUAAGCUUCUUGUUCUAUUUUUGUUAGUAUUAAUUUGUUUUGAUGUUAUAUACCCAUUUAAAAGUGUUUCAGUUCUAAAUGUGUAUGGUCUGCUGUGAUGUUUUUAGAUGGAUCUUCACUAACAAAAUACCAAUUCAAAGGAAAACAAGCACCAGCACUUAAUAAUAAGAUCCAGAACCAAGUUGCUUACAAUGAAAAGAAACUAGAACAGAUAAACUGGACAAUUCGAGAAGCCAGAGUCUCCUUACUAAAUUGAUUAAACUAAAAUGAUAUUCUCCAUAAGCCCCUCCUCUCAACCCUAAUUCCUCUUAUCCCCUCGCUUCCUCUUGCUGUUCAGUUCCCUUUCUACCCUUGGGCUUCCUUCUGUUGAAUACUAGUAGCUUAGUGGGCUGGGCCUGAUCUGUAGGCUGGGCCUGAUCUGUUACAUUACUCCCCGCCAGAUCCUGAACCUUGUCCUCAAGGUUGAAAGCUGGGAAACGUUGGUCCAACAAAGCAGCUUGUUCCCAAGUAGCAUCAAAUGAGGGCAGUCCUUUCCACUUAAUCAGUGUGACAGCCCGAGAAUCCGGGGGUCUGGAUUCUGACGUCACCACAUAAAGCCAUUUUAAAACACUUUUGAAAACCUGUAUUUAUUUGAAAAGAUAAUAAAAUCAAAGGAUUUAAAACUUGAAGACUUUAAUAAAAGAUUUAAAAGAAAACACUUUAACCCCCUAAAAACAGGAUCGCAUCCAGGUCACAGUAUUGAAAUUAGAAUCAACCGCUAUAAAUAAACAAUGUCUUACAACCUCAGAUCAUCUUCGAUGAGAAGAAUCACUGCCAAUCUAUUUAAAUUAUGAUUACAACUGAAUCUCAACAAUUCUAUCUAGAACCAACCUUGACAAUCUCCCUGAACAUUUCCACUUGUCCUCUGUAUACUCUAUACUCUGACUCCUCGCCUAGCCUUAGCCAUACUCGCAACCUCAAUCAUGCAAUUCAUCGUUAAGCUUUUCUGAAAUGGUUAAAAAGGAAUAGCAAGGGUGAGCAACAAUGCUCAGCAAGUGUAUAUAAGCAACAAUAGUCCUGAAAUAUCUUAUCAGGGUUCACAAGUUCAGGAUAUGCAAUUGAAAACUUCACAAUUCUUAUCAGCAAUUGAAAUCAGAAUUCAAACUUACAGAAGAAUUGUCGAAUUGGAUUCAUCACAUUUUUACUUAAAAACCAAAGGUUAGGCUGCUGAUCAGUCACGCACUAACCCCGAACAUGGCACACAGCCCUGUUCUCUAUACUGGAUCCAAGGCACACAUUGGCCUAUAAUUGACCACGAAUCUGGUCUGACCACGAAUCUGGUCCACAUAUUUUAUAAAAACUAAUCCAAUUCUAACAAUUUAAAUCAACAGACAAUUGAAACAACAGAACAAAAUCAUAAUCAUUAUCAGCAACAGAAAUAUUUCAAAUCAACUUUUGGGAAUCAACAUUUCAUAAACCACAGUCUGUCUUUUGAUAAAUCAUAGUUCAGGAAAUUCCUAACUAUUCAGUAUCCUCCAUUAUCGGCUAAGCAACUGAAUUUAGCCUGCUAAACCAGCAUGACAAUGGCGGGUUGAAUAAUCAAGAAGAUCCCAAUUCAUUCUAGGUUCUAACUAUCACUGAGCAACACAUGCUUCAAUGACGGUCUGAACUUCGAAUUAAUUUGUAGAACUGGUAUUUUUAAAAUCUUGAGGAUUGGAAAGAAUGGAUCAAAAUAGAAAGUUGAGAGUAAUUAGGUGUUUGGCUUUUCAAAACUUGGAAGAAGAAAACAAUCAUGGGAUUCAUUCUCAGAAGUAAGAGUUUGUUUGAGAAGGGUCUCAGCAUAAACAAUAUCAUAAUCUUGACAGAAUAAUCAGAACAUGCAAUAUAUAUAUGAGGAAGGAUUUAGGAAUACUUGCCUUAAAUCCGCCUCCACACCCAUAGCUUAAUCUCAUCUUUCCAAUUCACAAUCUAUGCAUAUCAUAACCUCCAGACCAUCUCUGUAUAUACUCUAUUCGCAAUACGACUUCGCUUUCUCGACUCGUUCCUUAUUCGCUUUGCAACAUCGUUUGACCUUCUGUACGUCUUCAAUCGUAUACGCCUCGUCCAAAUCCUUUACGAGAAUAAAAUACUACCAUAAUUACUAAAUAAUCUAUUGAUUCUUAUCUUACUUAUCAAACUCGGUAUCAUAACCUAUCGCAUAUACAUAUCACGUAUAUCGAUAGCAUUUAACACAUAAUCACAUAUCACCCUAUAUAAUCUCUAUGCACUUAUCAGAUAUCACUUAACAUAUAAUCAUGCUUUGACUCUAUCAUAUAGUCACAUCAUACUCCAUGUAGCAUACUACAACUCAAUAACCAUAUAUAUCCUAUUGAAAAUCUGACAGCGUCUUGUCUAUUUAUAGGACUAUCCAUCUGUUAAUCUAUUUCAACCAACAACCAAUCAAUCAACUCAAAUUCCUGUAAUCUACAUAUUCUUAUCCAACAUUAAUCAAGAUAAGAUGCUAUGUCUCCCAAAUCAUUUAUCAAAUCAAAUGGACACGUAUUUCAUAUAAUCAUCACUAUAUAGCAAAUAGAUCACGUAUAGUCACAUUAUGCAUUUUCAACAAUCUUUAUACACAUUGGAAACUCAAUCAUAUUGUUACAUUAUAUUAAACUAGAGUUUCUAAGCUUUAACCUCUUUUUCGUUUCACUCGAUUCUGAAUUACGGAUCAAAAGUUAUUAACAAAACAGUUUUCUAACUCCCUAUCGACAUAUAACAUAUCACACAGACAACAGAAAACACAUUGCACAUAAGGUUUCCCAUCCCAAUCGAUAUCCAAUCAAGUCUCAGGUUAAAAAUGAUUUUUCGAGAAUUUUCUGGAAUUUUCUAAACAUUUUUCGGAAUUAAAACAGGUAAAAGAAUCCAUUUUUGAAUAAAUAAUCAAAUCCGAUUGCUCAAGAUCGGAUCCGAAAUCAUUUGAAAUCAAUUAACGAGCCUCAAACAUAUUUUAGAAAAAUAAUCCAAAGCUCGAAACUAUUUCUCGGAAUUUUUAAAUCAAAAGAAAUCAUUAAAUCUAAUUAAUUAAUCAAUUAAAAUCAAUUAAUAAUUUAUUAAAAUAAUUAAUCAAUUAAUAUUAAAAUUAAUUGACCAAUUAAAAUAAUUAUUACUAAUUAAAUUUAAUUAAUAAUCUAAUUUCAGAUUUAUUUUUGAAUAAAGAAGUAAUUAAAAAGCAUUUUUGAAAUUAAAAUAAUUAAAUAAAACAAUUUUUGAAAAUUAAAAUCAAAAGGUUUAUUUUGUAAACUUUUGAAAGUUUUCGGCCAGGGUUCAAAAUGCAACUUUUCAAAGUUACAGGGGGUGUUUUGUAAGAUUCAAAACUUGGAUACGAUGACUUCAUCAUCUUUAUAAGUUGGGUGGCCAAACGGCAAUUUGCCGCCGGCCACCACUAACUUCGCCGGACACGGCGCUGCCGCCCCCCAACAUGCAUCAGAAACUCCAGAAACAAUGUAUACACUACCAGGAUCAUGUUCAAGUCGUUAAAAUCAGUAACAAAUCGAAGGGUUGGCCGUAAAAUCUUAAUAAACAACCGCCGCCGGCGGACCCAUUUCCAGACUCCGGCGACUCCAUUCGAAUUCCAACAUAUAAACUAAUUACACGAACAAAUUCAUCUCCUCAUGCUCUAUCCAGUGAUAUAAGCCAUAACAGCCCAGAUUUAGCGAAUUAAAAACCCCCAAUUUCCGAUUGAAAAUAUUCAUAAUCCUUCAAGAACAUUCAAGAACACAACCCAAUAAUCAAACCCAAUUUUAUAUAUGAUACGGAAGUCAAAAAUCGAUAUAUAAUAUACCAAAACGACGAGAAAAACACGCUCUACAACAUGGAAUCAUCAAAUCAAUCAAACAAUCACGUUUGCAAAAAUUCACUAUUUAAAUCAUAAUAAUUCGAAUUUUAUAAAAAUAAAAUAAAAUCACCUGUUCAAUCUGCAUAUAAACGGAUGAUUAUACUAGAUUCUACUCGUCAAGAGCUUCGUUUUGACUAUUUAUACGCCUCUAUCCGAUUCCAAUAACGCCUUCAAAUCCUCGUUUGAUUAUGAAGAACACGAAGAACACCCGUUCGUUUUCUCUCGGUAUUCGUGCAGAGAAACUGACGAAAUGAUUAUACGCGCGAAAUAAACUGGUAAAGGAUAUUUAUAGAAGAAGAUAAGAGAAUAUUCCUUGAAUAUGCUUUGGAAUAUUCCUGGAAUAUGCUUCACGCAUUACGAGAUAACCAGAUAAUUAUUAACUUUAAAAAUAUUAAUAAAACCGUACCGGAUCAUUUACGGGACAAACCGUACUCCGGAUCGAAAAAGUUAAAACACGAGAAAUGCUCAGAAUGUCCCAAAUAGCUUAAUGGCGAAAUUUUCCCGAACGCCCGCGGGGUUUAAAAUGCUAAAUAACUAUUUUAAUAUAAUUAAUAAUCAAACGAGAUUAAAUUCACAAAUCGAUUCUAAAAUCACGUAGCAAUCCAAAAAUCGAUAUGAACAUAUCUAAAUAAACUAUAUUUUAUCCUGAUCAUAUAGAAAUUGAAAUAUCUCAAAUCCGAACACAUAUGGGCAGUCAAUUCAAUAAACCAGAUAACACAACUCUUACAACAAUUUAUAUAAAUAUCACAUACUAUUCAUAAAUUAUCAGGAAAAUACCCAAAUGUUUUAUAUUUUAUUUUGAGAAUAUAAAAAUUGAAAACUCGUGAUUGCAACAUAUAUAAGCAAUCAAAAUAGAAAACUAGUCCUCAUAUGAUUUACCAAAUAUUCAUAUAAUAUUCAGAAAUAACCAUAACUAGUUACACGACCAUUACACACGUAACACUUAAUCAAGUAAUGCAUAUAUUCAAAUAUUAACCAUCUAACUUUCAUGACCAAUCUCUGUAUUUUCAGAAAUAAUUUUUGAAAUGAGUUUUGAAAGGACACUCAUAUAUCCAUAUAUAAAUCAUUUGAAAAUAUCUAAAUAACAUAUGACUCAUUCUGAUAAUAUCAAUAAUUAAACCCACAGUUCUAGCACAUAUAAAUAACGUUUACAGAAAUUCAAUUUGCACCAAAAUUCAUACAAUAUUCACAUUAAAUUAUCAUAACUAACUAAACUCACAAUUCCACAUGCAACACUUAGCCAUAUAACAAUAGCAAUCUUUUAAAUCUUUAAAAUCAAUUAUAUAAAAUAUAAUUUUGAAAAGACAACCCUGUAUUGAUAAAACAAUAACCCGGAAUUUAAAUAUAAAGUUUUGAAGACACAUUAAACUGGAAUAAAAUAUUGAACUUUAUUCCUUUCUCUCUAAGAAAAUUACUUUCAUAACAAUAAACAAUUUUUGAAAAAUCCGGGUCGUUCAAAUAUACGAAAUUCCAGAAGAAGAGUGCACAAUCUGUUUAAACCUUAUAAUUUUACAUCACAAUUAUACUCAUACUACACAGACUAUUCAUCUUUUCAGAUAAAAGUCAAUUAAAGCCAAUAAUAAUAUUCAAAAACUUAUCUCGAUUUUAAUAAACUAAUUCUUAAAAUCUGGGAUGUUACAAUCAGUAUCUCAACUUGCUGGUCUGGGGUCUGUCUUACUGCUAACAGCUGCUCCGGUUCCACACACAACUCCAUAUCUGCUGUUAGCUGCUCAGGGAUCGUUGCUCGCACUACUUCUGUUCCAACAUGUCUUUUGAGAUGAGAUACAUGAAAGACUGGGUGAAUUUUACAGCCCUCCGGUAGUUCCAGUUUGUAAGCAACUUCCCCCACUCGCUGUAUUAUGCGAAACGGCCCAAAGAAUCUGGGUGAUAACUUCUCACAAGGACGACGAGCCAACGAACUUUGUCGAUAUGGCUGAAGCUUAAGAAAAACCAAAUCCCCAAUAGUAAACACUAAAUCCCUGCGUUUAGUAUCAGCUGAACUUUUCAUAUGGUGCUGGGCUUUAAGCAAGUUGGCCUGCAGUUCAUCUAACACAGCGUCUCGGACGCGCAGCAUCUCGGACGCGCAGCAUCUCGGACGCGCAGCAUCUCAUCAAUGGAGUCGACUGGGGAUUGUCAUCUUCCCAACCUGUACAAUGACGGUGGUUCACGCCCAUAGACUACUUGAAACGGCCUAAACUUUGUUGACAGGUGUGGGGCUGUGUUAUAGGAGAACUCAGCCCAAGGCAACCAUUCCGCCCAAUUCUUCGGUUUGCCCUGGAUAAAACACCUGAGAUACGUUUCAAGCCCCUUAUUUACAUUCUCAGUUUGACCAUCCGUUUGGGGAUGGUACGCGGUGCUCUUCUUAAGCACUGUCCCCUGUAAGCGAAAUAAUUCAGACCAAAAAUUGCUGAGAAAAAUACGAUCACGGUCGGACACGAUAGCAGAAGGGAACCCAUGCAAACGCACAAUCUCUUUAACAAAAACUCCUGCCACUGUCACAGCACUAUAGGGAUGGCGCAAACCCAGGAAAUGAGCGUAAUUGGACAAGCGGUCCACAACAACCAAUAUCGAGUUAUACCCCUUUGGUGACGGUAAUCCAUCGAUGAAGUCAAGAGAUACCUCUUCCCACACUAAAUCUGGCAAGGGCAAUGGUUGUAACAACCCCGCUGGGGACUGUUGUAAGGCCUUUUGUUGCUGACAGGUCUUGCACUUCUGCACAUACAACCCGACAUCUUUCCUCAUACUUUCCCAAAACCAAUCUCCUGCCAAUCUCAAAUAAGUCUUCAACUUCCCCGCGUGACCUCCCAUCAUAGAGUCAUGAUACUCGUGCAACAACCCAGGAAUGAACGCUGACUUCUUAGGAAUCACAACUCUCCCUUUGAACAUGAGAGUGUCAUCAACCACUGUUGUACCCUUUGUGAGUUGUGCUCCCCUGAGUGAGCUCUGUUUUUACCAGCUGUAGCUACGAAUCCGCCGCUAUCUCUUGGCGUAGCUUGCUCCAAUCUAACACUGGGCGACAUACUAACGCCCUCAACAGAACUUCACCUGCCUGUUUACGCGACAGGGCGUCUGCCACGCGAUUGGCUACCCCAGGUUUGAACUGCACUUCAAAAUCGUACCCCAUCAGUUUUCAUACCCACUUCUGAUACUCCAACCCAAUUUCACGCUGCUAGGUGAUGAAUUUAAUACUCUGCUGGUCAGUUCUAAUUACGAAAUGUCGGCCUAGGAGAUAACUCCUCCAUUUCUGUACGGCUAAACACACAGCCAUCAACUCCUUCUCGUACACGCACUUCUGCUGAGCCUGAGGACCUAAAAGCUUGCUGAAAAAUGCCAAUGGCCGUUGGUCUUGCAUUAGUAUUGCACUAAUACCAAACCCGGAUGCGUCGGUCUCCACCACGAAGCUUUUCUGCCAAUCUGGCAUGGCCAGUACCGGGGGUUGUGUCAUCGCACUUUUCAAUCUGUUAAAUGCAGCUGUUGCCUCUUCCGUCCAUCCAAACUUAUCUUUCCGCAACUGUUCAGUAAGCGGUUGAGCAAUUUGCGCGUAAUGCUUGACAAACUUACGGUAGUACCCCGUGAGCCCGAGGAAACCCCGUAAGGCACGCAAAUUUGCAGGCACGGGACAAUCCAUGAUUGCUUGCACCUUCUCCAUAUCAACCUCCACCCCUUUCUCUGAAAUAACAUGUCCCAAGUACGAAACUACCCGCUGUCCAAACUCACAUUUCUUCUCAUUUGCGUAAAGCUGGUGUUCGGCUAAUUUACUCAACACCUGGCUGACAUGAUAAACAUGUUCACUAUCAGACUUGCUGUAUACGAGGAUAUCGUCAAAAAAAACCAGCACAAAUCUGCAUAAGUAUGGACGAAACACAUCGUUCAUUAGAGACUGAAAUGUUGCGGGCGCAUUCGUCAAGCCAAAAGGCAUGACCAGAAAUUCGUAGUGGCCGGCGUGUGUAUGAAAAGCAGUCUUAUGCACAUCCUCAGGGCGUACCAAAAUCUGGUGGUACCCGGCUUUCAAGUCGAGCUUUGUGAAAACCUUUGCACCGUAUAGCUCAUCAAGUAACUCUUCAAUGAUCGGAAUAGGGUAUUUGUCCGGUAUUGUCUCCUUGUUCAAAGCCCUAUAAUCAACGCAAAACCGCCAUGACCCAUCUUUUUUCUUAACUAGUAGUACUGGACUAGAAAACGGACUAGUAGAUGGGCGGAUCACCCCAGCUGCUAACAUAUCUUGAAUGAGGCGCUCAAUCUCAUCCUUCUAUGAUUGCGGGUAGCGGUAAGGUCUUACUCCCACCGGAUUACUCCCCUCCCGCAAUGUGAUAGAGUGGCCAUGGCUUCGCUGUGGAGGUAAGCCCGGAGGCUGCUGGAACACGGUGUGGAAGUCAUGUACCACAGACUACAAGAAUUCAGGCACCUCACCCCCCCCCCCCCCCCUUGCUCCACACCCACCCCCCCCUGUNNNNNNNNNNNNNNNNNNNNNNNNNNNNNNNNNNNNNNNNNNNNNNNNNNNNNNNNNNNNNNNNNNNNNNNNNNNNNNNNNNNNNNNNNNNNNNNNNNNNNNNNNNNNNNNNNNNNNNNNNNNNNNNNNNNNNNNNNNNNNNNNNNNNNNNNNNNNNNNNNNNNNNNNNNNNNNNNNNNNNNNNNNNNNNNNNNNNNNNNNNNNNNNNNNNNNNNNNNNNNNNNNNNNNNNNNNNNNNNNNNNNNNNNNNNNNNNNNNNNNNNNNNNNNNNNNNNNNNNNNNNNNNNNNNNNNNNNNNNNNNNNNNNNNNNNNNNNNNNNNNNNNNNNNNNNNNNNNNNNNNNNNNNNNNNNNNNNNNNNNNNNNNNNNNNNNNNNNNNNNNNNNNNNNNNNNNNNNNNNNNNNNNNNNNNNNNNNNNNNNNNNNNNNNNNNNNNNNNNNNNNNNNNNNNNNNNNNNNNNNNNNNNNNNNNNNNNNNNNNNNNNNNNNNNNNNNNNNNNNNNNNNNNNNNNNNNNNNNNNNNNNNNNNNNNNNNNNNNNNNNNNNNNNNNNNNNNNNNNNNNNNNNNNNNNNNNNNNNNNNNNNNNNNNNNNNNNNNNNNNNNNNNNNNNNNNNNNNNNNNNNNNNNNNNNNNNNNNNNNNNNNNNNNNNNNNCUUGUAGCUACACAUCCAUCCAUCUGGUUACAUUCCAUGAGAUACCCACCCCCUUCCUUCCUUAAAGUUCUGAUCAUAGCCUUCAACGACAGCUGAGCCCGGACCAAAGACGGAUCCCCAACCAACUUCACCGGCUGUCCAUUCAUAUCAAAGAUCAUCACCUGAGUUUUCCAAUUGGUAAUAACCGUUCCCAGUCUCUCUAACCACUGGACACCGAGUAUAAUAUCAGAAUUGCCAAGCUCCAAAGGCAAAAAAUCAGUCACGACCUCCACCCCUCCAUCUAAGUGUAGCUUGACCCCUUCACAGAUGCCCUUACCUCGUAUAGCCUCUCCGUUUCCCAAAUGUACCCCGAAACUGCCCGAGUCCGUCACCACAAGGCCGAGUUCCUUUACUACCCCAAGUGCGAUGAAGUUGUGCGUCGCACCCGGGUCAAUCAUGACUACCACUGAUCGAUCCUUAACCAAACCCCGCAACUUCAUUGUUUUGGGACUAGACAACCCAAUAACUGAGUUCAAUGAGACCUCAAGAGUGGGUUCCUCCACCGUGGUUACGACUUGCUCCUCCUCAUUUGGGCCCUCCAUAUCCUCCCCGCCAUCCAUCCACAACAUGCUCAACUCCUUUUUAGUGCAACAAUGGCCCAUGCUCCAUUUACCAUCACACUUGAAACACAGACCCUUAGCCCUCUUUUCCUGAAAUUCCUUGUCGGAGAGCCGACGUACUUCACCUAACAGCUUGGGCAUUGCUACAGUACUGGUCUUAGCCCCAGAAACAAUCGAAGUUGAGUUGGAAUUGUUAUUUUACACCAACUAUGAGAAAGAUUGUAGAAGGGGGGGUUGAAUACAAUCUUUUACAAAUUUAAAAGAUUCAAGAACAAUACACUAAGAACACAAUAAACAGAAAAACACCAAGUAUUAAAAAUACGGGUGGAUUGAAUGAUCCACCCGUGAGAUUUUAUAUAGAAGAAUCUGUGGAUUGUUUUACAAUUCGCACAGCUGCUGGUUCAUCACUCAAAACAAGUUCUAACUCUCAGAUUUUUCUCUCAAGUAAUUGAACAAGUUCAACUGAUGCUACUAACUUGGUUAUAUACUCCAAGUUUUACAAAGCUUUUAGCUAGAUUACAAAAUGCACUCUAAUCUAAAAACAAUGCUGCACAACUUUGUCUUAUGCAUGCUUUCUGAGAUGUCUUCAUCUUUGACCAUCAUCUUGAUUUGAUCCAGAUUGCGCUGCAUGAGAUAAGUAUGUUUCUGCUUCUUCUUUAUUUUCCUAAUUAGGCUUCCAUGUCUAUUUUAGUGUAAUUCGAUCCAUGUGAUUUGUCAGACUUAAGCUCUAGUCACUUUCAACUGCUCUUUGCUUCAUCAGUUGAAAGUUCUGGUUGCUUUCUNNNNNNNNNNNNNNNNNNNNNNNNNNNNNNNNNNNNNNNNNNNNNNNNNNNNNNNNNNNNNNNNNNNNNNNNNNNNNNNNNNNNNNNNNNNNNNNNNNNNNNNNNNNNNNNNNNNNNNNNNNNNNNNNNNNNNNNNNNNNNNNNNNNNNNNNNNNNNNNNNNNNNNNNNNNNNNNNNNNNNNNNNNNNNNNNNNNNNNNNNNNNNNNNNNNNNNNNNNNNNNNNNNNNNNNNNNNNNNNNNNNNNNNNNNNNNNNNNNNNNNNNNNNNNNNNNNNNNNNNNNNNNNNNNNNNNNNNNNNNNNNNNNNNNUAAAAAUGUUUAUGUUAUCAUCAAGUGUAAUCACCCUGAGAAUUGUGGUUGUGGUUGGAAAAAUUAUUGAUUCCUAACAAUCUCCCCCAAUUUAUGACUGGAGAAGAUGCAGACAUAAAUUCUACACUUGAUGAUAACAAAACAUUAAUAAAAUAAAAUGCAGAAUUUAAAUACAAGAGUUAGAAAAGAUUACAGAUGAUUAUGCUCCUCUAGACUGAGCAGUUACUUGUUCCUAGAAGAUCUUCUUCUUCUGGACUUAAGUUUUUCUUCAAGAAUAUUAAUCUGCUUCUGAAAGAUCCUGUAGAACCAUUCUUCAUCACUAUCUUGUCUGUUGAGCUUGGAUUGGAGAGUCUUCAGAGUAUUCAAGCUAGCAACCUUGAGUUGAUCUUUAGGUCUGAAAAAUCUCCUAACACCUUGAUUGUCCCUAAAUUCCAUGACUGGAGUAGGUUCAUGAUGAAUUUUCUUUCCAGUGUAGGGAAUUUUCAGCCUUCUUUGUAGACUAGCAUCUGAGUUCCAUUCCUUCCUGAUCUCAAGGAUUCUCUUUAGUACCAUUUGCUUUGCAGGUGGUGUAAAUCCUCCAGUCCUCUUCAUAGAUCCAUAUAUUUUUGUUAGAGAACUGAAUCCCUCAGAAUUCAGAACUCUGUGAAGAGGCCAGAUGACAUCACCCUUGUUUUUGUAAGAGAAUACCAAUCUUUCAGGUAACUUUGAAGUUGCCUCUAUUCCUCUUACUUCUUGAAGAUCAUCCAGCUCCAGAUCCAACUCAGAAAUUUCUUCAAUGUUAGCAAUGAUGAGAUAGUCAUCAAGGUUCUCAGGUUCUUUUGGAGGUUUAGGAGGGUUAGCCAUCCUUUUAGCCACAGACUUGACUUUCUUCUUUGGCUUGGAAGAUUCUUGGACAAGAAAAGCUGGAAUUGGAAUAUCUUCCAAGUCAAUUGGCUCCUCCUUUGGCAUUAUUGGCUCAUCAUGGAAGUUGACAUCUGGAUGUACUACUGUGGUAUCCUUGAUUGGAGAAGAAGGCUUUGAGAUAGGCUUUUCUGGCACUUCUUCUCUUCUCUUGGCUGCCUCAGGCAUCUUAGUUUUAGAUUUGACUCUCUUUUUCUUUGGAGAAGAUUCAAGAGGCAAUCCUUUCUCAUUUAAAAGCUCAGCUGCCAACUCCUCUUCCAGCUCAAUAGCAUACCUUUCAUCCACCUCUAUUUGGUUCAAAGAGAGUUGGGAUUCAAACUCCUCUUUUUCACAUUCUCUGGCCACCUCUUCAGCUUUUGCAAAUGAGUAGUGAGGAUGGCCAGUUCCAAUAAACAGCUUCUGGCCUUCUCUGUAGAUGAUGGCAAAAUGAGCCUUUAAGGCCACAUCUGCACAAUCUUUAUAACUUUUGAUUUCUUGGCCCAAAAGCUUGUAUUCAUUUUUGUCAGGCCUGGCUAGUGGAAAGUAGAUUGAGCUUGAGUCUUUUCCAGGCCUGGAGUAACCACAAUUGUUUGGAAACAGAAUUGGCUUGAACUCAUUCAGAAAUGAUGGCUCACCCUUUUCUGUCUUGGAGGGAAUAACAAUCUCAGGUGUAAUUACCCUGAGAAUUGUGGUUGUGGUUGGAAAAGAGAUUUGAGCUGUGGUGGCUGUAGAAGAUGUAGACGAUUUCUUGCCCAGUUGAGCCACUCUCUUUGCAAUGGAGUCCAAUUCUUUCAUCCUUGCAAUCUUCUGCUUUUCCCUUUCAGUGUGGAAAGGGGGUAGAANNNNNNNNNNNNNNNNNNNNNNNNNNNNNNNNNNNNNNNNNNNNNNNNNNNNNNNNNNNNNNNNNNNNNNNNNNNNNNNNNNNNNNNNNNNNNNNNNNNNNNNNNNNNNNNNNNNNNNNNNNNNNNNNNNNNNNNNNNNNNNNNNNNNNNNNNNNNNNNNNNNNNNNNNNNNNNNNNNNNNNNNNNNNNNNNNNNNNNNNNNNNNNNNNNNNNNNNNNNNNNNNNNNNNNNNNNNNNNNNNNNNNNNNNNNNNNNNNNNNNNNNNNNNNNNNNNNNNNNNNNNNNNNNNNNNNNNNNNNNNNNNNNNNNNNNNNNNNNNNNNNNNNNNNNNNNNNNNNNNNNNNNNNNNNNNNNNNNNNNNNNNNNNNNNNNNNNNNNNNNNNNNNNNNNNNNNNNNNNNNNNNNNNNNNNNNNNNNNNNNNNNNNNNNNNNNNNNNNNNNNNNNNNNNNNNNNNNNNNNNNNNNNNNNNNNNNNNNNNNNNNNNNNNNNNNNNNNNNNNNNNNNNNNNNNNNNNNNNNNNNNNNNNNNNNNNNNNNNUGCACACACGGGCACUCCGCACUUGUAAAUAGAAGAGUAAUUGACUUAGUAGCGAGAGAGAUGAAAUUCGAGAACAUUAGCACAAUCUGAGGUAUUAUAAUUGGCAAGGCAAUUACUUCAUAGUUCACUCAUUCAUCACGUAGUUGCAUUCAUGCAUUGCAUUGUAUUAUUGUAUAGUGUCGUUGACGCUUGAGGACAAGCAUCAGUUUAAGUUUGGGGGUGUGAUAAGUGGUAUUUAUACACACUUAUAGGCCUUCAUUUCCACUUAAAUUGGUUGGUUGUACUUAAGUGUUUAGUGUCUUUUGAUGUGUUUUUAUUGUUUUUCUGUGCAGGUCACGAGUUGAGGUGAUGAAGUGAUUUUCUAUCAUUUUAGGUUGGUUUUGGUGCAUUAUUUGCAAGAAUAGAGAAUUGUGGAUUCAUCGCGACUUGGGAUUUUGUGGGUAUAUCUUCUACAAACCCUCACGAGAGCACACUCGUCCACUAGAGCUAUCUAGGGGUUUAAAGGGCUUGUUGCAUGUGCUAAAUGCAACCGUGAUCACCUACGGAAGUGGUACUAGAAGCGAGGAAGGACAUGCACGCGAGAACGAGCGAGAAACGAAGAAACGGAGCUGCCAGUGCAGACACUAGCGCGCCCGCGCUAAGUGGUAGCGCGCCCGCGCUACUAACUGCAUCACUAGCGCGCCCGCGCUAGAGUAGCGCGGUGGCGCCCCACUGAAGCUUCCCGGGCCGAUUUUUACAGCUUUUCUGAUGGAUUUUCGCAGCGGCCGAGGCCCGGUUGACUUAGUCAAUGCAUUUUAUUUCUCGUGUGUAAAAACCCUAGCCUCAUAGUAGUUAGAAUAUCGAAACAAUAUCAUAGCUAGUUUUCUUUUGUAAUCGAACACAUUAUCAGUUGUAUUAGAUCGUUCUUCGCGAGGAAGUGACAGUUUCGAGCAAGAUCGUGAACUUCAAUCUGUAACGUGUGAUCUUUAUUAUUAAUUCAAGCAUUUUUAUUCCAAUUAAGUCUUGUCUUUUCUUUAUCAUGUUUUCAUUAGAACCCAUGAUGUCGAUUAGUUCGAUUAUGAACUAACCGCCUUCAUGGGAUUCUAAUGGAUUUAUCGAUGUAGUCUAGUAAAGAAUAUUAAUUACUCGAUUUUGUGACAUAUGUUGAUUUCUUUGCAUGAGCCGUGCUUAUUCUUCUUAGGAGCGUAGCUAACUUCUAAGUUGUUUGUUAAUUCUUUCUGAAGCGAGAGUGGAUGAUUGAAUUUAGAACUAUGCCAUGUAAACAUAGGAUUAUGUGAAUGAAACAUAAUUUGUGGUAGACUUGAACUAUUUUUAUCACCCUGUGUAAUCACGAUAGACGACUUGCUAUUAAACCUCUCUGCUUACACUACCGCUAUAGAGAUAUAGGGUCUGAGCUUUGUUGGUGUCCAUGAGAUUUCUAUCUUAAUUGUGGAUUUCGAUUGGUAUGAUAUGUGUGCAACGAGAGUUGGCAUGUAUUACUUUCGUGUUGUCUGAUUAGGAUCAACAGUCGCAUAUUAAUCAGUAAUUUCAAUUCUAGAUGAAUUCGAUAAUGAAGUUAGAAUCCCAUGUGUUUUCCUAUUCUGAAUUUGAUUAGUAAUUUUAGUUAUUAGUAUAAAAGAAACCAUCCUUGUUAAUUGUCUUGGCAGUGAAAAUUGAUCAUACAUUGUUGCAUAGGUGCGUAUUCUUAAUUCACCAGUCUCUGUGGGAUCGAACUUAAUAUAUUACUUGUGAUCACGUGCGCUUGCGUGUAGAUUUUUUGCGAACAAGUUUUUGGCGCCGCUGCCGGGGACUCGGUGUUAAUUAAUUAGUUUAUGUACUUGUCAUCAGUGUGCAUUAAAAUUCACUGACUAGGAUUCUAUUCUCUUCUCACUUUUCUUCUUUUCUUUAUUUCAGGUACUUGGAUCGCGUUUUUACUAACACGUUCUCAAGCUCGUAAAAAAGCAAUUGAUUCAUCUUCAUCUUCUUCUUCUGAUUCUGAAAAAAUGACAGAACCUGAAGCACAAACAGACAGUAAGGCAUUGAAGGAUUUCUCUAUGCCAAAGAUCGAUGAUAUCCAGUCAAGCAUUGUCAGGCCUGCAAUCGCAGCCAAUGCCUUUGAAAUCAAACCAGGAACUAUUCAAAUGGUCCAGAACUCGGUACAGUUUGGGGGUUCUCCUACUGAAGACCCUAAUAUGCAUAUACGUAAUUUUAUAGAGAUCUGUGACACUUUCAAAUUCAAUGAUGUCUCUGAUGAAGCUGUGAAGCUAAGGCUUUUCCCAUUUUCACUGAGAGAUAAGGCUAAGGGAUGGUUGCAUUCUUUACCAUCUGGCCCUAUUACUACAUGGGAAGAUCUAUCUCAGAAAUUUCUCACUAAAUUCUUCCCCAUGGCAAAGACUGCUGCACUACGAAAUGCUCUAUCUCAAUUCUCUCAACAAUCAGGAGAAACAUUCUGUGAAGCCUGGGAGCGAUAUAAGGAGAUGCUAAGGAAGUGUCCCCAUCAUGGCAUGCCGGAUUGGAUGCAAAUAAACUGUUUCUAUAAUGGUCUUGGACCUCAAUCCAGACCUAUGCUUGAUGCUGCUUCUGGAGGUGCGCUAUGGGCUAAGAGUUAUGAAGAAGCUUAUGAUCUUAUUGAAAAUGNNNNNNNNNNNNNNNNNNNNNNNNNNNNNNNNNNNNNNNNNNNNNNNNNNNNNNNNNNNNNNNNNNNNNNNNNNNNNNNNNNNNNNNNNNNNNNNNNNNNNNNNNNNNNNNNNNNNNNNNNNNNNNNNNNNNNNNNNNNNNNNNNNNNNNNNNNNNNNNNNNNNNNNNNNNNNNNNNNNNNNNNNNNNNNNNNNNNNNNNNNNNNNNNNNNNNNNNNNNNNNNNNNNNNNNNNNNNNNNNNNNNNNNNNNNNNNNNNNNNNNNNNNNNNNNNNNNNNNNNNNNNNNNNNNNNNNNNNNNNNNNNNNNNNNNNNNNNNNNNNNNNNNNNNNNNNNNNNNUUUUUUUCUAUUUUUCUCAAUUUUUUUUAUUUUACAUGUUUAGUAGUAAUUGUCGUAGUCAGUAUCACGAGCAUUUGCAUGAAUUAUGAAGUUAAGCCAAGUUAAUUGCCUAUGAUGAGUUAUGUGCGUAGUUCUUGAUUAGUAGUUUCAAUUGCAAUGCUAGGUUAGUACUUGGAAAUUGCUUGUGUUGGAAAUUGUAAUUCACAUAUGUUCUUGAGAUAGGAUUUAGACGAAAUUCCAUGAAUUCUAGGAUUGAAUUGAGCAUCCUUCAGCUUAGGUCUGUAAAUCUUAAGUUUGGGGGAACUGAGGAGUAGAUAUGCCUUUCUAAAAAAAAAAAAGAAAAAGAAAAAAAAAAGAAAAAAUAGUAGUAAAUAAAUUCACUAAAAAAAUAAGUGGUAGAAUUAACUAGGUUGAGCUCAUUAGUACUCGAGUAAUUAAGUCUGAGGGGACUUUGUGCCUAACAACCUAAAGCCCUUCGUGGUUUGGGAUUGUUGACCCAACGCUCGCUACAUGGGUACUAGUGCAUAAAUCUUUAGGGAUCUCAACCAUUGCACGGUUAAAUAAACCACUAGAAUAAAGUGAAUAAUUGGUGUGUGAAGUCUUGUGGUGUUCGUAACGCAUUUACACUGCGAAGCGCUCUGACCUUAGACCAAGCAAUUAAUCACCAAUAAAAAAAAGAAAAAAAAAAAAAUAAUAUAGUGAAUAAAAUAGAAGGGUGUGGACAUUCUUUGGGACCUUGGCUUUUAGUUGGACUUGAGUGACGGGGUGUUAGUUUAGACUUUUACGAUUCUUGAUUGGGAUUCUGUGGGAGUAGUAGUUUUUGUCUUGUCUCAAUAAAAGAGCAUGCUUGCACACACGGGCACUCCGCACUUGUAAAUAGAAGAGUGAUUGACUUGGUAGCGAGAGAGAUGAAAGUCGAGAACAUUAGCACAAUCUGAGGUAUUAAAAAUUUGCAAGGCAAUUACUUCAUAGUUCACUCAUUCAUCACGUAGUUGCAUUCAUGCAUUGCAUUGUAUUAUUGUAUAGUGUCGUUGACGCUUGAGGACAAGCAUCAGUUUAAGUUUGGGGGUGUGAUAAGUGGUAUUUAUACACACUUAUAGGCCUUCAUUUCCACUUAAAUUGGUUGGUUGUACUUAAGUGUUUAGUGUCUUUUGAUGUGUUUUUAGUGUUUUUCUGUGCAGGUCACGAGUUGAGGUGAUGAAGUGAUUUUCUAUCAUUUUAGGUUGUUUUUGGUGCAUUAUUUGCAAGAAUAGAGAAUUGUGGAUUCAUCACGACUUGGGAUUUUGUGGGUACAUCUUCUACAAACCCUCACGAGAACACACUCGUCCACUAGAGCUAUCUAGGGGUUUAAAGGGCUUGUUGCAUGUGCUAAAUGCAACCGUGAUCACCUACGGAAGUGGUACUAGAGCGUGAUUGAUUUUAAAGGAAAAUCCACAGAACACACUGUCACAGAGGAAGGAAAUGGAAGAGAAAGAUCCAACAAAUCAUCAAAAUGAUGAUGAUCAAUCUCAGAUGGGGGCUUCUCCAUGAAAUCCAAAGAUGGAGAAUUUACAAGUGUGGUGUGAAUUAAUUCCACAUCCACAGAAGAGGUUGGGGAUUGUGUUUGAGUAGUAGAGAUGGUAAGAUCAUAAAUAUGGGUGAUUUGUUGAGAUGAAGAAGGGGGCUGUGACUCCACAUUUAUUGGAGUCACAUCAAUCUGACUUUGAGAAGUUACAGGCAUAAAAUCCAGAAUGGAUGCCUGUGUGUGUGCAGAGUGCUUAAGUUUGUCACUUCUCAUCUUCUUUCUCCCAUAAGCUUUGAUUGGUGAAGAAGUGGUGUCCCUCCCCCUUUUUAUCUGUGUCCCUGGUUGGGGACUAUUUUCAAUAGCAACAUCCUUUUGGGAGGAUGCUGCUAGGGAUGUGUUUAAUUCCAUAUUAACAUCUACAGUCUUUUGGGAGACUGCAGAGUGGCCAGGCUGGUCAACACACACCUCUCCAUCCUUAUUCUUAGGGCUUCUUUUAUGUUCACCCUUUCCCUCCCCCUCACAACCUCCAAUCACACUCCCCUCAGGUUUGUGUUUCUUGGAUUUUACAACAGAUGUCUUUUGGGAGGCAUCUGAGGUUGGUUUAGAAGACUUGUUUUUAGAAGGUUUUGCCACUUGUGUGGACUGUUGAUGGGCCUCUUCAACAGCCCUGAUGGCAGAAAGCAAAGAAGGUGAGGGUUGAGAAAGAGUAGUAGGAAAGCCAUGUACCUCUUUGUGCUUUCCAGCCUCCAUUGUUGGCAGGUACACCACCUCCAAGGAGGGAUAUAAAUUCAUCCUAAAGAGGUCUUUAAAGACUCUCUUUUCCUGCACAAAACUGGGAAGCUUGGCUUCCUUGUUAGUAAUAACUAGCUUUUUGUUGAGAUGAUUAGCUAGCAUCAUGAGAAAUCUGACAUAAUAAAUAUUCCUAGGUCUACCAGUUUUAUCACCUAGUUUCUCCCCAAUUUCUUGGAUCAUCAAACCACCAAAGUUGAAAUAUUCAUUAGUCAGGUACAUGUAAAGCAUUUGUAAAAUCUGGGAAGUAAGAGCAUUGAAAUUACUAAUUUUACCAGAAAAUGCCUUAAUAAAAGCAUCACAUAAAUAACUCCAUUCUCUCCUAAGACCCCUUCUUUCUAUUUUACCUAAGGCAUCAGUUGGCAAAACAUAAUUCAUGGCAUAAAGUAAAUUAACCAACUGAUUAUCACUAGGCAAAGAUAAAACAGUAUCUUCAGGAAUCUUAAAGCAUGCUUUCAUAACAUCAGCAUUGACAGAAUGAAUUUCAUUAUUGACAGAGAAAGUUAGAGUUUCAUGCUCACUAUUAAACUCUGCAGAGGUCCACAUCUCCUCCACUAUUUCAUGGUAGAUGGUAGGAGCUUCAAGCAUAGCAUAAGAGAGCUGGCUUGACUUGAUGAACUCCAUCAUCCUGUGAUACUCCUUCUCCUCCACAGCCUUGGUAUCCACAAAUGACGCGAAGUUGUUCUUCUCAUAAAUAAACCCACUUGGUGCAGUAUACUUCUUCAUUGGUGCCAUUGUAGUUACAGAGAAAGCUUGAGGAAAAAUUAGAGUUUGCUUUUGCACAGAGAGAGAAGAGAACUUGAAGAAUUCGAAAGAGUGAGAUGAAAAGAAAUGAAAAUAAAUUAAAACACUUAAAUACUUUCUCAGAAAAUUGCUGUGAUUGGCUGAGAAAUUACCGUUGAGAAGAAAUUACUCUUAUUUAACUCUACAAAAAUUACACACACGAUCGUGUGUAUAAAGUAGGAGAGAGACAAAAGAAAUUUCAACGGCUCAGAUCUGAUAAUACUUUCAACGGAUGAAAUAAGCGCCUCUUUAAACUUCCUAUUCAACUGAUGAAGAUCAGUUGAAGGCGUCUUCAACUGGUGUCAUCAGUUGAAUGAAAAACAACGCAAGAGGAUAUUGUUUCAAGCAUCAGUUGAAACAAUUUCACUAGUUCAUCAGUUGAAAUAUUAUAGACUUUAUCCAGAAUUAUAAUUAAUUCAAUUUUGAUAAAUCAAAAUUAAUCAAAUUCUGGCUGCCAAAUUACAGAAAAAUUCACUCUAAAUUAGGAGAAAUUUAACAUACCUAAUUUACUUACCAACCUUGUGAAUGUGGAUUCAUCAAGAGGCUUUGUGAAAAUAUCUGCAAUCUGUUCUUCACUUGGAACAAAAUGCAUUUCAACAGUACCAGCCAUCACAUGUUCUCUUAUGAAGUGGUAUUUGAUGUCAAUGUGCUUGGUUCUUGAGUGUUGUACUGGAUUUUCAGUUAUAGCAAUAGCACUGGUGUUGUCACAAAAUAUUGGGAUUUUUGAGAGAUUUAAUCCAUAAUCAAGUAAUUGAUUUCUCAUCCACAAUAAUUGUGCACAACAGCUUCCAGCUGCAAUGUACUCAGCCUCAGCUGUAGAGGUUGAUACAGAAUUUUGCUUUUUGCUAAACCAAGAAAUCAAUCUGUCACCAAGAAAUUGACAGGUGCCUGUUGUACUUUUUCUAUCAAUUUUGCAUCCUGCAAAAUCAGCAUCUGAAUAUCCAAUUAGAUCAAAUCCAGAGUCUUUAGGGUACCAAAUACCAAGAUUUGGUGUUCCCUUAAGAUAUCUGAAUAUUCUUUUUAUAGCAAUAAGAUGUGAUUCUUUAGGAUCAGAUUGAAAUCUAGCACAGAGGCAUGUAGAAAACAUAAUAUCUGGUCUACUAGCUGUCAAAUAUAAAAGAGAACCAACCAUGCCUCUAUAAUUAGAGAUGUCCACAGAUUUCUCAUUAGGACUUAACUCUAAUUUGGUGGCUGUUGGCAUGGGAGUCUUAGCUUCUUUGCAAUCCAAUAAAUCAAACUUUUUAAGUAGAUCAUAGAUGUACUUAGUUUGAUUUAUGAAUAUACCUUCCUUUACUUGUUUAACUUGUAAACCAAGAAAGUAGGUGAGCUCUCCCAUCAUGCUCAUUUCAUACUGACUUUUCAUUAGAUUAGCAAACUUCUUGCAAAGUUUCUCAUCUGUAGAACCAAAAAUUAUAUCAUCUACAUAAAUUUGAACCAGAAUAAAGGCACCAUUUACAUUUCUGUAAAAUAGUGUUUUAUCCACAGUUCCUCUGGAAAAAUGAUUAUCUAACAAGAAUUGAGACAGAGUGUCAUACCAUGCCCUUGGUGCUUGCUUUAGUCCAUAGAGUGCUUUUAAUAAAAAGUAAACAUACUCUGGAAAUUCUGGAUCUUCAAAACCAGGAGGCUGACUGACAUAUACCUCCUCUUCCAGUUCACCAUUUAGAAAAGCACUCUUGACAUCCAUUUGAUAAACUUUAAAGUUUGCAUGAGCAGCAUAGGCCAGGAAGAUUCUUAUUGCUUCCAGUCUUGCAACUGGUGCAAAGGUCUCAUCAAAAUCAAUUCCUUCAGAUUGAGAGUAUCCUUUAGCAACAAGCCUUGCCUUGUUUCUGGUGACAACUCCAUUCUCAUCCACCUUGUUUCUGAAUACCCACCUUGUUCCUACAAUUGUUCUGUUUUUAGGUUUGGGUACCAGCUUCCAUACAUUGUUUCUCUCAAAUUGAUUUAAUUCUUCUUGCAUAGCAAGAACCCAAUCAGCAUCUUUGAGAGCAUCUUCUAUGACUUUAGGUUCAUCCUGUGAAAGGAAUGCACUGUACAAACACUCAUCUUGAGUUGCUCUUCUUGUUUGUACAGAUGCAUUUGCAUCUCCAAUAAUUAGCUCAAAAGGAUGAUCCCUUGUCCACUUUCUUUGUGGUGGAAGUGAUUGUCUUGAUGAUGUGGCUUCAUUAUUGAAGUUCAGGUUUCCAUGUUGGAAAGCUCCCCCUAAAUUUGACAUCUCAUUAUUUCUAGACUGAUUGAAACUUUGAGACAUUCUUUCAACUGAUGAUCCUUGAGGUGUUUCAACUGAUCCCUCCAAUGUAGUUUCAACUGAUGCUUCAGUUGAAUUUCCAAUUGCAGUUGUUUCUUGCACCAGAGAGUCAUCAGUUGGAAUAUUAAUUCCAGGAUUAAUUCCAACAUUUUGAAUAAUGUCAUCAUCAUCAUCACUGUCAUACAGAUCACCUUCACCUUCAUUUUCAAAUCUGAGAUUAUCAUGAAAUCCUUCAUCUGAGAAUCCUUGAAUCUUCUUAUCAUCAAAAACCACAUGGAUUGAUUCCAUAACAAUGUUGGUUCUCAGAUUAUAUACUCUAAAUGAUUUUCCAUCAGAGUAUCCAACAAAAAUAGCUUCAUCUGCCUUGGCCUCAAAUUUUCCAAGAUUUUCACCUUGAUUUCUUAGAACAUAACACUUGCAUCCAAAUACAUGAAGAAAGCUAAUUGUUGGCUUCUUUCCUUUGAAGAGUUGAAAGGGAGUUAGAUUAUGAGGUUUGGUAAUUAGUGAAAUGUUUUGAGUGAAGCAAGCAGUGUUCACAGCUUCAGCCCAAAAAUAGGUUGGAAGUUGAGCUUCAUUAAUCAUGGUUCUUGCAGCCUCAAUAAGAGUUCUAUUCUUCCUUUCAACAACACCAUUUUGUUGUGGAGUUCUUGGUGCAGAGAACUCAUGAAUAAUUCCCUCUUCUUCACAAAAUUCUUUCAUCACAGAGUUCUUGAAUUCUGUUCCAUUGUCACUUCUUAUCCUUCCAACUUUGACAUCUGGAUUGUUGUUUAAUGCCUUGAUAUGAUUGAUGAUGAUUUUCCCAGCUUCAUCCUUAGAAUGCAGGAAGAAAGUCCAAGUGAAUUUUGAAAAAUCAUCAACAAUCACUAGGCAAUAUUUCUUCUUUGAAAUAGACAUGAUGUUGACUGGUCCAAACAAAUCCAUAUGCAAGAGCUGAAGGGGCUUCACAAUUGAUGAAAGAGUUUUGCUUUUGAAAGAGCUUCUCUUUUGCUUUCCUAGCUGACAAGCUCCACAAAGUCCAUCUUUGGAGAAUUCCAGCUUAGGUAGACCUCUUACCAAGUCCUUCUUUACUAACUCAUUCAGGGUUUUGAAAUUUAGAUGAGACAAUCUCUUAUGCCAUAGCCAACUGUCAUCUGAGCUUGCUUUGCUGAGAAGGCAAGUGAUAGAUUCAGACUUUACAGAAUUGAAGUCAGCUACAUACACAUUUCCUUUCCUUUGUCCAAUCAGAACCACAUUGUUGUCAUCUCCUUUGGUGACAACACAGGCUGCAGGAGUGAAAUUAACUUUGUAACCUUUGUCACAGAGCUGACUGAUGCUAAGCAAGUUGUGCUUAAGACCAGACACCAAUGCAACUUCAUCAAUGAUGACAUUCUCUUUUGCAAUCAAGCCAUAUCCCAUAGUAUAUCCUUUGCUGUCAUCUCCAAAGGUAAUGCUAGGGCCAGCUUUCUCCACAAACUUUGUGAGCAGGGAGGAAUCACCAGUCAUGUGCCUGGAGCAUCCACUAUCCAAGUACCACAAAUUCUUCUUGUGGUUUCCCUGCACACAUUUCACAAACAGAUCAAGUUGAUUUUGGUACCCAAAUUGCUUUGGGUCCAGAUUUGUUAGUCUUAGCAGCCUUUUCCACUUUCUCAACCUUUUCCUUGGAUUGAAUUGGUUCAAUCUUUGGUUUUGGUUGAGAAAUUGGAAUAUCAACUCUGUUUUCAAACACAGGCCUUUGAGACAUGCAUAAAUUGUUCAUUCCAUGCAAAUUUGAAUGAAAUUGAGGCAUGUUAAAGGCAUUGAAAUAAGGAUUGAACAUAUAUGGCAUGUUAGGCUGAGAAUAAGGAUUGUGAGGCAAUAAACCAGGCAUCAUAUUCAUAGCAGAUAAAUUCAUGUGAGGAACAGAUGUCAUAGGAAUAGGCAAAGAUAAAUUAGGAGCAAUCACAGUUUUACAAUUAGCAGAUAAAUGAUUUACACUACCACACUUACUGCAGGUUUUCCUAAGAGCACUAGCAUUGGGAGUGUAAUUGGUGUGCUUGUUAACUCCUAUUUUGCCAUUUCUAUUUCCUUUCUUCUUUUUAGUCUCCUCAGAUUUAUGCUCACUAGUAUCCAACUUCUUCUUGUUCUUGUUACUGGAAUUAAGAGUGUUAUUAACACUAUCACUGGUCUCAGAAGAACUAUUCUCACCUUUAACAAAAUUCUUUUUAACAGGACCAUAUUUCUUGUUAAGCUUCUUGAGAACACUCUUGUCAACUGAUGAGUUUUUGUUCAACUGAUGACUCUCAUCAGUUGAGACUUUGCUCUUCAACUGAUGAUCAUCAUCAGUAUUCUCAUCACCUGAACUGUUCUCAGAUAUCUCAAGCACUUUCUUAUUCCUCUUCCACUCAUUCUCUACAAAGGUCUCUCUACCUUGCAUGUUGAUGAUAUUGGUGGAAACAUCCCUACCAGAUUUCCAUUUGGCAAUAAUCUCUUGUUCCUUAUCAAGCUGCUUUCUUAUGAUCUCUUCUCUUUUCAGAACAACCAAGAGAUCAUCCUUGGCUGUCUGACACUCAAUUUUCAGCUUCUCAAACUCAAUAAAUUGAGCUUCUAAGACACUGUUUCUAUCACUAAGAAAGGUGUUAGCUUCCUUAAUCCUACUAUUUUCCUUAGUGAGAGAUUUUAAAGAAACAUACAAGUGAUACAAUUCUGUAGACAUUUCAUUAAUAGUAGCAUUGCAUUCAUCUUUAGUUAACUCAACUAGGUUUGUAGUGAAUACCUGACUACUGCUUCCAGUGUUUUCUUCUUGAUCUGUGGAGUUGGCCAUUAGAGCUAGAUUGACAAACUCCUCCUCUUCAUCAGAAUCAUCUCCAGCUGCCCAAUCAUCCUUUGUGAUGAAUGCUCUUUCCUUUUGUUUGAGAAGUUCAUAAUAUUUCUUUUUGUAGUCAAUGUUUUCACUUGACUUCUUCUCAACUUUAGGCUUUCUGCACUCAUUUGCAAAGUGACCUGCAUUCCCACAGUUGAAGCACUUGAAUUUUGAUCUGUCUACCAUGCUUCUAUCAGACUUGGGAUUGCCUUUAAAAGAUUUUGCAGAAUUAAAAUUCUUUUUGAAUUUCAGUUUGGAGAAUCUUCUUGACAGGAAGGCUAGAUGUUCAUCAAUUCCAUCACUUUCUUCACCAGAAUCAGCUACUUCUUUCUCCUUUCUUCUUCCUUUGCUUGACUCUGAGCUCUCCUCUUUGACCAACUUCUCAGUUUCUUCAACUUGAGACUUUCCCUUGUCCUUGACAGUAUCCUCCAGAGAUGCAACUAGAGCCACAGAUGAAUGCCCUUUCUUUUGGCUUUUCUCAAUCUCUUCAUCUUGUUCCAUUUCAAGCUCAUAAGUCUUUAAGGUUCCAUACAGUCUCUCUAGAGUAUAGUCUUUAAACUCUUGUGUAUUUCUGAGAGAGACUGUCAUGGGUUUCCAUUCUUUGGGAAGAGCUCUUAAGAAUUUCAAGUUUGAAUCCUUAACUUGAUAUACUCUUCCAAAGAGCUUUAGACCAUUUAACAGUUUUUGAAAUCUGUUAAAUGUAUCACUCAAACUUUCACCAGCCCUGAAAUGGAAUGACUCAUAUUGUUGAAUAAGAAGCUGCAUUUUGUUCUCUCUUACUUGCUCAUUCCCUUCACAGAUGGUCCUGAUGGUGUCCCAAACUUCUUUGGCACUUGUGCAGCUAAUAACACUAUCAAUCAUUUCUUGAUCCAAACCAUUGAACAGAAGGUUCAUGGUUUUCUUGUCCUUGUGCACUUCUUCAGUAUCUUCUUGAGAAUAUUCAUGGAUAGGUUUUGGAAUCAUCUUACCUACCAUGUCUUCACCAUCAGCUCCCAUACUUGUGCAGACCUUCAUGGGGACAUGAGGUCCUUUUUCAAUGCAGUUCACAUAGCUUUCAUCAAUGGACAACAGAUGCAGAUGCAUUCUCACUUUCCAGUGAAAAUAGUUGUCUUUGUCAAGAACAGGAAUCUUCACUCCAGCAUCCUUCUUUCCCAUCUUUCUCUAGCAGUGUUGAUCUUUUUCCCUGUUUGUUGGGAACCUCGCUCUGAUACCAAUUGUUAUUUUACACCAACUAUGAGAAAGAUUGUAGAAGGGGGGGGUUGAAUACAAUCUUUUACAAAUUUAAAAGAUUCAAGAAUAAUACACUAAGAACACAGUAAACAGAAAAACACCAAGUAUUAAAAAUACGGGUGGAUUGAAUGAUCCACCCGUGAGAUUUUAUAUAGAAGAAUCUGUGGAUUGUUUACAAUUCGCACAGCUGCUGGUUCAUCACUCAAAAAAGUUCUAACUCUCAGAUUUUUCUCUCAAGUAAUUUGAACAAGUUCAACUGAUGCUACUAACUUGGUUAUAUACUCCAAGUUUUACAAAGCUUUUAGCUAGAUUACAAAAUGCACUCUAAUCUAAAAACAAUGCUGCACAACUUUGUCUUAUGCAUGCUUUCUGAGAUGUCUUCAUCUUUGACCAUCAUCUUGAUUUGAUCCAGAUUGCACUGCAUGAGAUAAGUAUGUUUCUGCUUCUUCUUUAUUUUCCUAAUUAGGCUUCCAUGUCUAUUUUAGUGUAAUUCGAUCCAUGUGAUUUGUCAGACUUAAGCUCUAGUCACUUUCAACUGCUCUUUGCUUCAUCAGUUGAAAGUUCUGGUUGCUUUCAACUGCUCUUGACUUUAUCAGUUGAAUGCCCGGCUCAUCAGUUGAAUGAAUUACAAACUCCAUCAGUUGAAUGCUGUUCCAGUCUCAUCAGUUGAAUUCCUCAGCAUCAUCCGUUGAACACUUUGUCUUCAGUUGAAUGCUUGAUUUUCAUCAGUUGAAACAUCAUCCAGUCUUCAUCAGUUGAAUAGUUACAUCUCAUCAGUUGAAUAUCCUUCACUUAGAUAAAAUUACAUGGCAUUGGAUAUUUACAAUUAGCCAUCCUAUUCUACCCAUCCGUUGAUAAUUCCCAAAGACAAGAAGUGUAACAAUUACAACUGAAAUUUGAUAAAGAUUCUAAGUAAGACAUGUUACAAAAAUGUUUAUGUUAUCAUCAAAAAUUAUUGAUUCCUAACAGGAAUCACUUACCCCAGAGAUGGUAUUGUGACGAGUGAACGGGCUAGUUACAAACCCUGAACUGGUAAAUCCUGUGGCAGAACUCUUCUGCCCUGUAGUUGCCUGCCCCCCUUUAAUACACACAGACCCAUUCUUGGAGUUGCCUACUGCCUUAUAUUUUUCCUCGACUCGCAAAGCCAUCUCCAUUGCCUGUUCGAGAUGUAUCGGGUUCAGGAGUCGUACUUCCGCCCGAAUGUCCUCCUUUAAACCAAUCAGAAAUUGCCAAAAACAAAAUGCUCUCAGGGAUGCGAUCCAAAGGAGCUGCCGUCUCAAUAUAACUACGCUUAUACUCCAAAACCGUAGAGGUCUGUUAAGUGGCCAACCAUUGUUCAUACAACGAGCCCCCAUCCGCAACCCGGAACUGCUUUAGUAUGAAAUCAUUAAGAUCACUCCAAAGCCGAAUUGGCCGCCUCUUAUUCUCCCAUUGAUACCAUCGCAGAGCGUCCCCUUCCAUAGCCACAACCACCGCCUCUAGCAUCUCCUCCUUCGAUAAGCGAUAAAAACUGAAAUAACGCUCAACCCGGAGUAUCCACCCAUCCGGAUCUGACCCAUCAAAGACCGGCAUGUCCAACUUACGAUAACGCCAGUGGCCGGGACCACCACCCGACCCACCGCCCCCAAACCCAUGACCUUCCCCAGUAGGUGGAGCAAAUCCGCGGUGGCCCUGACCGCCUCCACCAAAAGGCAUGCCGAGGUGAGUGGGGUGAGAGGAGCUUCCUUCACCACGAUCGACGCCCACAAAAUUAGUGGAAGUGAGACCUGUGAGAGCAGAUCUGAGUUCAGCCUGAAACUUGAGUUGGUCAUUGCGCAUGAGAUUAAUCAUCUGCUCAUGGCUCUCACGAGAUCUAUUAAUUCGCCCUUCCAAUCGAACAGCCAAGGCAUCGAUAUCCUCCCCCUAUUUGCGCGCUGUGGCGUUCUGCCCUUGAACUAACAACUCGGUGAGCGACGCGCGCACCGCCCCCAUCGCAGACUCAACUGCUUUCGCAACGAGCUCGGCCAUAGACUCCUCGAGCUCCGUCGCCUUCUCUUCAAGCUGAUCAAUACGCUGAGUGACUGUUGGCGGCCCCAUGGAUGCAAACGCUUUGAUACCACUUGUGAUGUUUUUAGAUGGAUCUUCACCAACAAAAUACCAAUUAAAAGGAAAACAAGCACCAGCACUUAAUAAUAAGAUCCAAAACCAAGUUGCUUACAAUGAAGAAAAACUAGAACAGAUAAACUGGACAAUUCGAGAAGCCAGAGUCUUCUUACUAAAUUGAUUAAACUAAAAUGAUAUUCUCCAUAAGCCCCUCCUCUCAACCCUAAUUCCUCUUAUCCCCUCUCUUCCUUUUGCUAUUCAGUUCCCUUUCUACCCUUGGGCUUCCUUCUGUUGAAUACUAGUAGCUUAGUGGGCUGGGCCUGAUCUGUAGGUUGGACCUGAUCUGUUACAUCUGCGCUAUGUGUAUGAUCUACAGAAUACACAAGGCGAUACUCGUUUACUAGAAUUAUCAAAUAUAAACUCGUCAAAAUGAAAUUACUUUUCAAGAGGAGACUUUAGAUCUGAUCAGAGUACCAGACAGACAGACCUUAUUAGACAAUUUGACUUUAUUUAGAUUAGUUGUUAGGGAAUUUGUGAGUCUGUGAUUGCCAGUCCAUAUGAUUCUGUUUGUGAAAUUAAAUACUGAUUUGUCCCAUCCACUUCCAUCACUGGUGUUGCUGUUCCCGGAAAUGCACUAACCUCUCUCAGCCACUUUGCGCCGAUCGUAUGAUUUUUCCUACGGGGUUCAGCUCGCAUCCAUGUACCAUAACCAUAAGGUUUUUCAAUCAGUUCUAUUGGAGUCUUGAACAAUCUUCAGCAAAAUUUCUCACUAUGCUUAAUCAUGCCGCGUAUGAAACAAAAAUAAUAUUAUUUUGAAAUUCCCUAGAUUUGAUCAAUUCUAAAUGUCCUCGUAUUAUAUUAAAUUAAAUAUAGUAUGAGGGAAUGUAAUUCCUACUCCUAAUUUCGGAACCUAAUUAAGAUCUGAAAAAUCUAUAUGUGGUUUCAUUCUGAUUUUUGAAACUAGAUGUGGUUUCAUUCUGAUUUCUGAAUUUGCACCAUCUAGUAUUUAAUGGUUUUUACACCGUUCGAACAGAAAUAAAGAUUCUCACAAGAAUUUGUGAAAAAUCCGAAAUACUUUUAAAAUAAUUACUACUUAAUAAAUUACUCAAAUAUGAAUCAAUAUAUAAUCAUGGUAUAAUUAAAAAUAAACAUAAAUUAUUAUUAAUAAAAUCAUAUAACAAUAUGAAAUAAUAAAAGUACAUAUAAUAUAUAUGAGAAUUGAGGAGCGAGAUAAAAUAUAGAAAAGAUAGCGGGGUUCUGAAUUAAAGGGUCAUAAAAUUUUCAAUUCUCCGUUCGGAAUAAAGCGAUUAAGAGCAGUCGGUGAUAAAUUAAAAUAAUAAAUAUUAAUUACUGAUCGAAGUAUAAAUUAACUUAAAUUAAAAUAAAUAAAUAUUGAUUAGUGAUAUAAAAAAAUAUAUUUACAUAAAAAUUAUACAAACAUAUUUCAUGUAAAAUUGGGAGGUGAUUUUUUUUUUCUUUUGUAACCUGAAAAUAUGACAGGGGAGCGAAAAUCAACGCAAGUCAUAAGACACGGCACAACGUUAGCAAACCAGAAUUUAAAAUAGAAUCCCAACAUAAUAUUCUUCUAUCCCCUUUUACGUAUGUUCAUUUUGAUUUUAAUUUUUAAUUAAACAUAACAAAUUAUCUAUUCAUUAUUUUUAAAAUCUUAAAAUUGCAUAUACAAAAAUAUACAAAAUAUAUUUUCUAAUGAUAUAAUUUUUAUUAUUUUUUCAAUUAUAUAAUAUGUAAAUUUCUGCAAAGUAUAGUCAAUUUAACUGAUAAAAGUCAAAAUGGACACAUAAAAGGAGACGGAGGGAGUAAUUGUCUUCCUAGUUAAAGUUGCGAAGCAAAAGAAGAUAUGCAAUCUUUCUUUCCGACAUCGACCAUCAAUCCCUAACUAUCAUCAAAAUUUUGUUUAACAUCUAAUAACUAUUUAGUUCGAAUGCAAUCUCAUGUCUCUUGACAGUCCUUCCUCAAACUGAUGCGCCUACUAACCUCCUCCUUUCUAAUCAAAGUUACAUCAUACUAACCCAUAAUGAAAAGUCAACUUCAUGCUCGGAAAUAAUUUGUUUCUCUCUUUUUUCCAAACUAAUUAAAUCUCGCUCCAACUUAGCUCAUAUUUUUUGAGAAAAUUAUUUUUUUAUAAACACCUCUUUAAAAAUUUCCCGUAUAAGAUUGGACAGCUUGCUCCUCGUUACCUUUCACCCACCUCUUAUUCAUGAAACACCAAUUAUAAGCGCUUUUGAGUUGGUAGCUUGAAAUACUAAUUUUUAACUUGCCGAAUUUUUUUCCAUCUCUCAACAGGAUAUAAUCACUAAUCGACUUUUGAAGGUGGUAGGUAGAUUUCUCUUAAGUUUGGGGACUUGCCUUCUCAGAAUCCAUUUGAAAGUGCUGUUGAAAAUUGAUAUACUCUUAAGAAAAGUAAAGAUAAAAAAAAUAAUGUUGUGCAAAUUAGAUUAAUGUUUGACAAUUUUUUUUUAUAUUUCCAUAUUUUGAGUUAUAACAUAAUUUUUUUGGGUGAAGUUUAAAAGUGAAAUCUGUAACAGCUUCCUACAAAAUUGAAAAAUCAGCUUUUUUUCAAAAAUAUAUGGGAACAUGCUUUUCUGAAAAAUUAUUUUUUAGCUAAAAACUGCUAUAUAUAAAAUAGUUUUUCACCUGUUUUAUAAUAAAAUGUUGGCAUUGUUGUUUAUAAUAACAAUGCCAAACGAAGCUUUAAACUAAAUUGUUAGGCUUUUUGGUUCCCUUGUUUUUUCCCAACUAAUAUCGUUGAAGUUUUGGCCCAAGUAAUUCGUCAUAUUUAUAUAUUUGUUUGUUGUCAUUGUUAUUGUUGUUUUCACUUUUGUGGCGUUGGUGAAUUAUGACCGCUACAUAAUGCAAUUGUAACUUAAUAUCAUAGUACAAAUAGAAAUAAUAUUGGGAGAAAUAUGCAUGACAAAAUUAAAAGCAAUGCUUGAAAUUUUACUGGUAAAAAAAUUUAAAAAUUAAUUCUUCACGACUUAUAAGCCUAUAACAUUGUGUUAUUAUGUUUUUGUGAUUUUAAUGAGUUGUGUAUUUAACUUAUGUAACUUUCAAUUUUUAUUGUGAUACAAUACUCUGACUCCACAAUAAUUAUGAAAUCAUAUAAGAUAGUAAUUGAAUGUGGUGUUUUAUUUGAAUUAUUAAGUUAAAUAUAUUUGUAUAACUCAAUACUAAUGAAUCUAAAGCAGUGUUCUAAAAGUCGGCGAUUAAUCGCGGAUUAAUCGCUGUUCGGUCGGCCACCGUCUCGAUUAAGCGUUAAUCGGUGAAAAAAAUCGUUUUUUCUGAAAAUCGGGAUUAAUCGGUCAAAAGUCGGGAUUAAUCGGAAAAAGUCGGUCAAAAAUCGGCGAAUUUAAAAAAAUUUAAAAUAAAACGUAAAAAAAUUUUAAAAUUAAUUUAAAAUAAAACAAAAGGCAUGGAAAUGACAAAACACAGAAAUUAAAGUUGUUUUUUAUUACCUUUCACUCUUUCAAUAUUAGCCUCUAAAUUCUAAUUACAUAAAUUUGCAAUAUCUUCCUUCGCAGAUUGAAUCAAAUUCAAGUUUAUAUAUGAGAUGACUAGACUUGUAUAUGUAUAUAAAGGCAUGUUUUGUAUUAUAGAAAAUCAUUAAUCUUUUGAUUUUAUAUGUCUAUAAAUUUAUACUAUAUAUAAUUUUAUUAAUAUAUAUAUAAUUUUAAAAAUAAUAUUAAAUUGAUCACGAUUAAUAAUCUGAUUAAUCACUCCGAUUAAUCUCCGAUUAUCCGAUUAAUCGUUGGACGGUGUCUUCACCGACUAAGUCCGAUUCCCNUAUUAUAGAAAAUCAUUAAUCUUUUGAUUUUAUAUGUCUAUAAAUUUAUACUAUAUAUAAUUUUAUUAAUAUAUAUAUAAUUUUAAAAAUAAUAUUAAAUUGAUCACGAUUAAUAAUCUGAUUAAUCACUCCGAUUAAUCUCCGAUUAUCCGAUUAAUCGUUGGACGGUGUCUUCACCGACUAAGUCCGAUUCCCGCUUUUUACAACACUGAUCUAAAAGUAUAUCUAAAGUUUGAAAGUGAGAAAAAUUAACUUAGAUACACCUAAAGUUUUAGUAAUUUAUAUAGCUUCUAUCCUUGCAUAUAGAAUAUAUAUGUUACACUAUAUUUUUCUAUUUUGGUUUCUAGAAACUUUGUUAUCAAUUUGAAUAUUAUUUUUUCUCUUAUUAAUUCAUGAUAUUUCAAGUUUAGUUUUAAUCUUUAAGUGAAAGCUAACCGUCUGAAAAGCUAUAUUAAUACAAUUCAAUUUAUAUCCAUUAAAAUACAUUAAAAAAUUGAGAUACAUUAACUUAAGCUUAAAAAAAUUAGCUUCGCGCCCACACCAAUAAAAAUUAUGCUUCAGCAAUACAAUAUGAAUUGUAAAUUUUAAUAAUUAUUAGUAAAUCUUGAUUUUGAUGCAGGCUAUUACGUGAGCUCGUGGGUUUAUCCAGUGCGCAUCCGAAGGGUAGCGGCUGCGGGUUCCUACGUUAAAAAAAAUAAAUAAAUUUGAUUUUAAUAUUUAUAACUCAAAUACAUUUACAAGUAUGUAAUAUAUAUNNNNNNNNNNNNNNNNNNNNNNNNNNNNNNNNNNNNNNNNNNNNNNNNNNNNNNNNNNNNNNNNNNNNNNNNNNNNNNNNNNNNNNNNNNNNNNNNNNNNNNNNNNNNNNNNNNNNNNNNNNNNNNNNNNNNNNNNNNNNNNNNNNNNNNNNNNNNNNNNNNNNNNNNNNNNNNNNNNNNNNNNNNNNNNNNNNNNNNNNNNNNNNNNNNNNNNNNNNNNNNNNNNNNNNNNNNNNNNNNNNNNNNNNNNNNNNNNNNNNNNNNNNNNNNNNNNNNNNNNNNNNNNNNNNNNNNNNNNNNNNNNNNNNNNNNNNNNNNNNNNNNNNNNNNNNNNNNNNNNNNNNNNNNNNNNNNNNNNNNNNNNNNNNNNNNNNNNNNNNNNNNNNNNNNNNNNNNNNNNNNNNNNNNNNNNNNNNNNNNNNNNNNNNNNNNNNNNNNNNNNNNNNNNNNNNNNNNNNNNNNNNNNNNNNNNNNNNNNNNNNNNNNNNNNNNNNNNNNNNNNNNNNNNNNNNNNNNNNNNNNNNNNNNNNNNNNNNNNNNNNNNNNNNNNNNNNNNNNNNNNNNNNNNNNNNNNNNNNNNNNNNNNNNNNNNNNNNNNNNNNNNNNNNNNNNNNNNNNNNNNNNNNNNNNNNNNNNNNNNNNNNNNNNNNNNNNNNNNNNNNNNNNNNNNNNNNNNNNNNNNNNNNNNNNNNNNNNNNNNNNNNNNNNNNNNNNNNNNNNNNNNNNNNNNNNNNNNNNNNNNNNNNNNNNNNNNNNNNNNNNNNNNAUAUAUAUAUAUUUGAGUGUAAUUAUAUUUAUUUUAUUUGAGAUUUAUAGUGAAAAUAUUAAAAUUUUCAUUAUACAUGACAAGUAAGAUAUUACUACAAUAAAUAACAUGUAAUAUCUAAUUAGCAAGAAAAAAAUAUAAUAUCUAGAAAAUCUACCAGAUAUGCAAUAUCUAACAAGUAACAUCAUGUAAUUACUAAUUAGUAAGAACAAAACGUGCAAUAUCCCGGGAAAAUCCACAAGAUAUGCAAUAUCCGAGAAGAUUUGUGUAGAUUUAAUUUCUAACAAAAUUUAUUAUUAGUUAAUACCCAACAACUAUAAAUAACAAGCACAUUUCAUUCCCAACCCAUCAUCCUCACAUCAAAGACAUAAUUCUCUGUGUUAUAUUAAUAAUCAGUUAUUUCUUAAGACCUAUUAUAUAUGGAGAAGGCUCUGGUCAACAAAAUUAUUUCUCUUCUUGUGUUGGUCAUGCUGUGUGGUAUGUCAUGUAAUUCUACAUAGUUAAUCUUUCAAUAUAUAUAUAUUAUAAAUAAUAUAAUUUUGUUCUUCAUGAUCUCUGAUACUAAUGAAAUAUUAUUAUUUUUUGAUAAUUUAUGCAGAUUUACAAUUAAUGAGAACAAAUGCAUCAAAUAUACAAUGUCAAAGUGACACUGAUUGCAAAUAUUUUCCUGAAUGUGUCGAUGGUAAAAUGAGAUGUGUAAACGGUGAAUGCAGAUGCAUACCAUUUGGUGUCCCCGGCCCUCAAGCUAGUCACGGUUUUGGUGAUGAUAAGAAAGUUAACAACGAGAUUAGAUGUAAAACAGUAAGCGAUUGUGCAAAUACUUUUCUAUGUUUGGUAGGUAAACAAGUAUGCAAGAAUGGUGUGUGCAAAUGUGAAGGACAUAUUGGUCACGAAAAUGAAGAACGUGGAGGCAUUUAUUAAUAUAUAUGUAAUGAUUUUUUCUUGAGUUUUAUUAACUUAAUGAGUUAGUUCAAUUUCUUGCUCUAAUUACUUCUUUGUUUUGGCUCGAUUUUAAUAUUUUCCGACACUAAUAAAGUAUAUGAAUUUUUUUCCGACAUAAUACAUAUGUUAGGACCAAUGAAAGUAAAACAAUCAUCAUUUGACUAAAAACUUCCGACCUUCUCAACUUUCUACUUAAAUCUCAAAUAAUCUUUUAUUUUCAUUUUCAAGAAUAUGAAAUACUCUCAACUAGCAACACUUCAAAAUUUGUUUUUGGGUUAAUUGAUAGAGGAAUACAGGCAAAAGAAAUAAAAUAAGAGGAUGUAAAAUAAUGAUGAAUUACAUGAUUAAAGUAAAAUACUGUAAUAGAUACAAAACUAAAAUCAAUAAAUAUCAGUAAAAACAAUAUCGUAUAGAGUCGAACCAAAAUUAAAAAGUAAAAAAAAAUAAAAAAAAAAUAACUUUAUAUAUAAAUUACAACAAAACAGGAAAAGAUCAAACCAAUUUGAUCAUUAAAAUAGCAUCCUUUUAAUAAUUUAUAUACAUUUUUAUAUAAAUAAUUAUGUAUUUUUAAUAUAAGUAGUUUCUUAGGUUACUAAUCUCUAAAAUUAAAAUUAAGCAAUGUAUUGUUAAUUUUCUUAAAUGAGAGAAUUCUAGGUGCUGUAUUCAAUUGAAAUAUUAAUAAACUUUAUCUAUGAAGUUUAAUGGAUUGUAUCUGAUUUUAAUUGUAUACGAAUUCUUAAUAAAUUAUGACGGAGUUGAUGAGAUUUUUUAGGAUUUAAACACAUAGUUCAAAAUCUCAUGAAUUUUGUUGGAAUUUCAAAUAUAUUAAAAUACACCGAACAAUCUCACAAAAUUCAUCAUUUUAUGAAGUUCAAAAAAAUCUGUGAGCAUUUGAAUACCAUCAAUGAAUUUGAAAUAAUCCCAAUUGAAUACUAUCGCAUUUUAAAGCAUACUUAAAAUUGUUAUUGAAUACCACCAAAUUUUGUAGUAUAGUAUAAAAUCCUAAUUGUAUAACCUAGGAUUUGAUACAUUUUUUAAAAUUCAAUUGAGUACUCUUAAAUUUCAUUAACAAAAAGACAAAUCUUUUAAAAUUUCAAUUGAAUGCACUUCGUAAUUUAGUGUUAUGGAUUUCUUUAAUAAUUUCAACUUGCCACUUGGGUGCUUAAGCACUUAUUGUCCACAUAUAUUAUAAGGAUACAUUCUCCUUCUGUGGUCACGUUGAUAUGUAAGUUUGAUUCUUACUCAUCAGAUCAUUGGACAAAUAACUUUUUAUUCGGAAUUGUUACUAAGCACUGUGAUAUUUUCUCCCGAGAGUCAGCACAGACUAAGAGCUUUAAGGUUAAUGAUAGAAAUAUUAUUUCAGUUAAGUUUUGCUUAUAUUAUCAUCAGAUUUUAUAAUUUAAACCAAAUUAAUAGUAAUUAGACCACGUUUUUAGUUUAAAUCUGUCGAUUACAAUGGCGCUUUAAAUAUCAAAUAUCUAAUAUAUUUGCUUUUUUUUUUGUCAGAAAUUCGCACCAAAACGAUUCGAGGAUCAUAUUACACGUGAUUUAAAACAACUUUGUGAGGAUAGAGAAAUGUAAGACAUGCAUCCAUAUUAUGGUAAAAUUUAAUUUAUUAAGCCUGUUAUAUUAAUUUUCAAAAAUCUAUUGUGAUUAGUUGGAUUUAAAAAAUUGAAUCGGCAAAGUAAUUAAUUUGUACGAUUAGUCGGUCAAAUUGGCAAUUUCUGUAUUGAUAAGUUGUUCAGUUUCUUAAAUAUAUCUUGCGUUCAAGUGAUUUCGUCAGUUGUUAAGACUUAAGAAGACCAGGUGACUGCGUUACAUAUUAUCUUGUGUUAGUUGUCUAAACUUUAUUUAUUAUGUUGCGGUCUUUGAUUUAUGAAUAUUGUUUGCCGAAGUUCUUGCAAAAAUCUAAUUUUUGUGAUUAAUCUAUUAAAGAUCCUACCAUGCACAAUCAAGCACAUGCACAAUCAAGCAGGCAAAUGGAUCGACGCCAUUCAAGAUUACAAAUGGAUUAGUCUGAAGUCACAUUCUGAACUCUUGGCCAGGGAUUUACUUGUAGUUACCAUUGGUAGAAUUCUGGAACAUCGGUUUCGUCGGUGAAAGUGAUCACAGUGAGGUUACUCUGCUCUGAAGUAUUGUGGCCUGCAGCGGCUAAAAUUUGAGUUAGCUUGAAAAAUGAUGUGUAUGAACACAUUGAAAUUAGCCUUUUGCUGUCUGAAUUGUUCAUAGUCAACUUUAUAGCAUCCUACAUCGUCCUAUUGAUUUUUUUUGAGUAUAUUGCAAAACGCACCCCCUGAUUUUUGCGAAAAGCACUUUUUACCUUAGACUUUCCAAAAUUGCACUAUCCACCCCCAUCAUUUGAAAAGCCUGGCAGUAUGCACCUGGUUUGACCACAACCGUUAGUCUCUCCCGUUAACGUUAAACUUUAAGGGUAAAGCUGUAAUUUCACCGAAGGCUUUACAGUCCACUUCUAUUUUUCUACUAAUUGUUUACCCUAAAUAUCUAAUUCCCUCCCAAAUUGAGACCCUAGAAUUGAUAUACUUGCACUAAACUUUUUGAAGCUUUGUAAUUAACAGCAAUGAGAGGGCGUUUAAGGAUCGGCGUUCAAGCCCGAAAUGAUGGUGACCUUUGGAAAGAGGAUAAAGAGAAGAAGAUUCAGUAAGCCAUGAUUCAGUAAGCCGAUUUGAAGAAGAAAAAAAAACGAAGAGAAAAGAGAAGAAGAUGCUGUGGGGUUGUAUGUAGUGUGCGUAUAUAAAGCCAACAUGAAUAAGACCGUUGCUCAGCAUUUAAUUAAAAAGAAACUGAAAUACCAAGCAUACCCUCAGCAUUAACUAACGGUAACGGAUAUAUUUAGCGGAAGGGUCUAAAAUGUCGCGCCAAAAAAAUUAUCGGGCUGGAUAGUGCAAUUUUGGAAAGUCUAGAGUAAAAAGUGCUUUUCGCAAAAACCAGGGAUGUGCGUUUUGCAAUAUACUCAUUUUUUUUCUAUGCAGAUUAGUCAUUUAAGCAGAAAAACCUUUUAUAUUUUUAUUGACUUUAUAUUUGCACUUUUUUUUAGGGUUUUGGAGAAUGGCUGGUGAAGCAGAAGGGCCUGCAGUUAGGAUUGAUCUUGGGACCAUGUGCUCAUGUGUUGGAGUUUAGCAGCGGGAUUGUGCUGAAAUUAUCUCCAAUGAUGAUAAUAAGAGGAUGACAUGUCUCAUGCUGUUAUUGCGAGUGUUUUUAAUGAAGUUUAGCAAGGACAUUAAUUCUGAUGAGGCAGUUGCACUGGAUGCCGCUGCCAUAGCUGACACGAUGAUUAGUGAUGAAGGUGGGGGAAUGAUUGAUGAGAUGCCACUGGAUAUAUAUUACUUCUGAAGACCUUGGUAUUGAAACUAUUAGUGAAAUAAUGACUGUCCUAUCUCCAAAGAAUACAAGUGUUUGAGGGACGAGGGUGACAAUAAUAUGACAAAAUAUAACUAGUGUUCCAUGUACAAAUUUCAACUAUUUAUACCAAUAAAACUACAGACCAUGGCCACACAAUAUGAUCACAAAUUUAUGCCUUGUCAACCUAUAUGGUAUGCUAUCAUAUCAAAAAAAAAAAAUUCAACCACUUCAGAAAGAACUUAUGCGUCAAUUUUCAUCCAUAUUGCAGAAUUACUGGAUUUGAAGAAACUAAUGAAACUCAUUUAGAAAUUUGCAGUCGACUAAAAAAUGCAGUCCAGUAUAUUAAGCCUUUUGUUCUCUUAAGCUGCUCAAAAGUGGGAAUGCAGAUUUUAUUUUGAAGCUGAGAAGGCUGAUUAUACUAAGCUUCUUGUACUACUAUUUUUAUUAGUCUUUGUUUUGUUGUUGUAUUCCCAUUUAAAAGCGUUUCAGUUCUAAAUGUUUAUGGUCUGCACUGUGAUGAUCUACAGAAUACACAAGGCGAUACUCGUUUACUUCUCAUAGACUCUUUUCAUCAACAUGUAGCUCAAAUGGGAGGAUCAUGUCUAACAUUGAAUGCAGGUAAGCAGUUUAAUAUUCAUAUAAUAAGGAAUAUAAUUUCUGCGAUGAAGACAAAAUGCUUAUGCAGCAAAUAUAAGUUGGUCAAAGUGAAAUUACUCUCUGAGAGGAGACUUUAGAUCUGAUCAGAGUAUCAGACAGACAGACCUUAUUAGACAAUUUGACUUGGUCAUUCUUUUUGCAAGUUGACUAAUUUAGAUUAGGAUGAAGUGCAUGUGUAUACUAUAAGUUGGUAGGGAAUUUGUGAGUCAGCAGUCAGUUUCCUCAACCUCUAACUUCAUCUUAGAGAUUUCUUUCUCUGCAAAUUAGUUAUCUAAACAGAACAUCUUUCAUUUUUAUUUCACUUUCUAUUUUCACUUCUGUAUUCUGCUUUUGCAAAAUGGCUGGAAGAAGAGAAGGACCAGCAGUGGGAAUUGAUCUGGGAACCAUGUACUCAUGUGUUGGAGUUUGGCAAGGCAGCCAUGUCGAAAUCAUUGCCAAUGAUCAUGGUAGCAGGACGACGCCAUCUUGUGUGGCUUUUUCUGAUACAGAAAUUCUGAUUGGUGAUGCUGCACGCAACCAGGGUGGAAUGAAUCCUGAUAACACCGUCUUCAGUAAGUACAUUAUGGCUUAUGCUAUGUUUUGUCCCAUUUCUACAAUUAUUAUUCAAUUUUUAUUCAAGCAAGCAUAGCGACUCAGAUGUGAAAUCACCCAGACAGUGUUUUUCUUUGUUCAUUUGUAUAUAGUUUUGCAUAAUGACAUGUGUAAUACAAGUAGAUUUUUGUUUCUCUAUUGUUAAACUUGCUCAGAAAAUGUCAUGACCUAAGGAGUAAUGAUUUUGGCUAGUGUUUGACAGUGUAUCCCAUUGCCUAUAGAAUUUUUUAUGAACCUGAUGUUUCUUUCGUAUUAUUUUUGUUGCAUAAAGGCGUUAAACGGUUAAUAGGCAGAAAAUUCAGCGACUUGAGUGUACAGAAUGACAUGAAAUUUUGGCCCUUUAAAGUCAUUUCUAAUCAUGGCGGAAAACCUAUGGUCUUGGUCACCUAUAAGGGGCAGGAGAAGAGGUUUUACGCGGAGGAACUCUCCUCAAUGAUUCUAAUAAAGAUGAAAGAAAUUGUUGAGAAGUGUCUUGGAUCAACUGUAAGAAAUGCUGUUAUUACUGUCCCAGCUUACUUUAAUGACUCUCAGCGGAAUGCAAUUAUAGAUGCUGGAGUUAUUUCUGGCAUUAAUGUAAUACGCGUAAUUUCUGAGCCAAGUGCAGCAGCAAUUACAUAUGGUCUUGAAAAGAGGAAGGCGGAUAGUAGUACAGGCGGUGAGAAAAAUGUGCUUGUCUUCGAUCUAGGUGGUAGUAAUUGUAAUGUUUCUCUUGUUGUAAUUGAAGAGGGAAUUUUUGAAGUAAGGGCUACCACUGGUGCCAGUCACCUUGGAGGAGAGGAUUUUGUCCAUCGGAUGGUGAAUCAUUUUAUUCGGGAGAUCAUGAGGAAGAACAAAAAGGACAUAACUGGUAAUGCUAAAUCUAUUAGAAGAUUGAAAAAUGCUUGUGAAAGGGCAAAGAGGACACUCUCUUCGGCUGCAAUGACAUCAAUUGAGUUAGAAUUUUUGUAUGAUGGUGUUAGUUUCUCUGAAAAUAUUUCUCGUGACAAAUUUGAAGAGUUGAACAUGGACCUCUUUAAAAGUUGUUUGGAGCUGGUCGAGAAGUGUUUGAGGGGUGGCAAUAUUGAUAAGAGAAACAUCCAUGAUGUGGUCCUUGUUGGUGGAUCUACUCGAAUUCCAAAAGUACAGCAGCUAUUGAAAAACUUUUUUAACGGGAAGGAGCUCUGCAUGAGUUUGAAUCCUGAUGAGGCUGUUGCAAAUGGUGCAGCUGUGCUAGCUGCAAUCCUUAGUGGCGAAGGCCACGAAGCUGUUCAGGACUUAAUGCUGUUAGAUGUCACUCCUCUAUCCCUUGGGAUCGGAACUAGUGGUGAAACAAUGUCUGUCCUUAUUCCAAAGAAUACAACUAUCCCCACUAAGAGGGAGCAAAUUUUCUCAACCUCCAUAGACAAUCAGCUUGAUGUGCUGAUCGAAGUCUUUGAAGGCGAAAACCCAAAUACCAAGGAUAACAACUUGCUGGGAAAAUUUGUACUCUCUGGCAUUUCCCCUGCACCUAAGGGCGUCCCUCAGUUCACCGUUUGCUUUGACAUUGAUGCAUAUGGGAGGCUAAAUGUGUCUGCCGAGGAUAAGACUACAGGGAAGAAGAUCAAGAUAAAAGUAACCAAUAACGAGGAGAGAUUGUCGAAGGAAGAGCUUGAGAAGAUGGUAAAAGAAGCUGAGAAGUACAGAGCAGAAGCUAAAGUGAACAAGAAAGCGACAGAGAAAAGGUAUGCUUUUAUUUCCCCGGGAUUUUUUCCUUUCUGCAAAUUAAUUACUUUGACAGAAAAACUCUAUAUCUUUAUAUGAGUUUUUAUUUACACUAUUAUGCUUGAUUUUAUAGAAUGGCUGGAAAAGGAGGACCUGCAAUAGGACUUGAUCUUGGAACCAUGUACUCAUGUGUUGGAGUUUGGGAAGGUAACCAUGUCGAAAUCAUUGCCAAUGAUCAUGGUAGCAGGAUUACUCCUUCUUGUGUGGCUUUCUCUGAUACUGAGGUUCUAAUUGGUGAUGCUGCAUACAGCCAGGGUGGGAUGAAUCCUAAUAAUACUGUCUUUAGUAAGUACCAAGUGCACUAUGCUAUCAUGCUAUGCUUUGUAUAUGCCUAAUCCAGGAUCUGGUUUGUGUUUCAUAAUUGUGCAUUUUAAGAUAGUCAAAACAAUAGAAAAACACGACGUAAGAGCAUCUUCAACGGGGUGUUAAUAUUUGGGUGUCAAUAUUAUCAAAUUAUUACGCUAAUAUUUUAUCCUCUCUCUUCGAUAGUACUUUUAGAACCUUUCUUACCAAAACUUACUUCAAUGAUUGGCACUCAAAGUUGCCAAUCAUUUAGACAAAUAUAUUAAUAAUAGAUAUUAAGAUACAUUUAUCUAUUUUGAAAGGGCGUCAAAAGUUGACAACUUUACUUGGCACCACUUCAACGAAGAACCAACAAGAGUGUCAUGCCACAUCAUGUCACAUGUCACAAUAGCACUCUUCUUAAAACUCUCAUCCGACUCAUUCUAAAUAUACAUAUUUCUUAACAUUUGUCUUUUCACUUUGGAAUCUAGUUUCACUGCUUCGAAUAUGUAUAUAAUUUGUUACUGUUGCAUACAUAGAUCAGGAUACCAAUAUACAAGCUGUUCAAGCAUAGUGCAGCUACCUAAAGUAAAAUCACCCAUUAAUUUUUUUGUGAAAUUUGUUAGUUAAUAUAUAGUUCUGUGCAAUGUAACAGAGAAUCACAUUAUAGCAGCAGUAGUAGUAAAGCUUGCUCGAACAAAAAUCAGAACUAAAAUAAAUGACUACUGAAGAUGAUCCUAUUUUAGACUAUACAGCACAAGACUUUUUUAAGGUCUCUCACUGGUGUUUAUGAGCUCCGGUGUAAAAGAUGUGAAGUAGAUGUAAAGAGAAUAGAUUAUAGAAGGGCUGUUAAAUGUCUUCGCCUCCCCUUCCCCGCUCCCAGUAAGAUUCAAAGAAACACAGAGAUCAUAGUGGUUAUGUUUGGGAACUUAAAUUUCAUUUAUAAUUUUGGUUUUGAUCAAAUAACGUGUUUGGAUAUAUGGUAAAAAAAAUAAUUAGAUUUGGAUUUCAGUUAAAUACAAGGCAUUGAAAUACUAGUAUAAAUUUAAGGAUCUGAAAUGACAACUCAAAUCAUUUCAUUUGAAAUCCAACGUUCGGAAUAAAAUACAUGUUCCCGAUAGCAAUUAUUUAUUCACUGAUGUUGGUCUUUUCUUUUCUUUUCCUUUUUUUGCUUCAAAGGUGUUAAACGCUUGAUUGGCAGAAAAUUCAGCGACUCAAAAGUACUGGGUGAUAUAACAUUUUGGCCAUUUAAAGUAAUCUCCGGUCCCCGUGAAAAGCCUGUGAUCUUGGUCACCUAUAAAGGUCAGCAGAAGCAGUUUCAUGUAGAGGAAAUAUCCUCUAUGAUAUUAAUGAAGAUGAAAGAAAUUGCAGAGAAUUAUCUUGGAUCAGUUGUUAGGGAUGCUGUUAUUACUGUCCCCGCUUACUUCAAUGACUCUCAGCGCAAUGCAACUGUAGAUGCUGGAGUCAUUGCAGGCCUUAAUGUAAUGCGUAUUGUUGCUGAGCCGAGUGCAGCUGCAGUAGCAUACGGCCUUGAGAAGAAGAUGGCAGGUAGUAGUACAGAAGGCGGAAAAAACGUGAUAAUCUUUGAUCUUGGUGGUAGUAAUUGUAGCGUCUCACUUGUCGUAAUUGAAGAGGGUAUUUUUGAAGUAAGGGCUACAACUGGUGCUACUCACCUCGGAGGAGAGGAUUUUGUCAAUCGGAUGGUGAGUUAUUUUGUUAAGGAUUUCAUGAGGAUGUAUAGAAAGGACAUAAGUGGUAAUGCUAAAUCUGUUAGAAGAUUGAGAAAUGCUUGUGAAAGGGCAAAGAGGACACUCUCUUCUGCUGCAAUGACUACCAUUGAACUUGAGUAUCUGUAUGAUGGUGCCGAUUUCUCUUCAAAUAUUACCCGUGACAGAUUCGAAGACUUAAAUAUGGACCUAUUUAACGGUUGUUUAGAGUUGGUCGAGAAGUGUUUGACAGAAGCCAGUAUAGAUAAGAGAAACAUUGAUGAUGUGGUCCUUGUUGGUGGAUCAACUCGAAUUCCAAAAGUGCAGCAGCUAUUGAAACACUUUUUCAAUGGGAAAGAGCUCUGCUUGAGUAUGAAUCCUGAUGAGGCUGUUGCAAAUGGUGCAGCUGUGCUGGCUGCAAUCCUGAGUGGUGAAGGAAACGACACGGUUCAGGACCUAAUGCUGUUGGAUGUCACUUCUCUAUCCCUUGGGAUUGGAACUAGUGGCGAAACAAUGUCUGUCAUGAUCCCAAAGAAUACAACUAUCCCCACUAAGAGGGAGCAAAUUUUCUCAACCUCCAUAGAUAAUCAGCUUGACGUUUUGAUCGAAGUCUUUGAGGGUGAAAACAGAAAUACCAAGGAUAACAACUUGCUGGGAAAAUUUGUGCUCUCUGGCAUUCCUCCUGCCCCUAGGGGUGUUCCUCAGUUCAUCGUAUGCUUUGACAUUGAUGCAUAUGGGAUGUUAAAUGUGUCUGCCGAGGAUAAGACUACCGGGAAGAAGAUCAAGAUAAAAGUAACCAAUAACGAGGAGAGAUUGUCAAAGGAAGAGCUUGAGAAGAUGGUAAAAGAAGCUGAGAAGUUCAAAGCAGAAAAUUCAGAAAAUAAGAAGGCAGCAGAGGGGAGAAAUGCUCUGGAGGAUUACAUCUUUAAGAUGAAGAACGUCAUGAGUGACGAAAAAUUUAGCUCCAAACUUCCAUUUGCGAGCAGAAAGAAAGUAGAGAAUGCUAUGAAGUUGGCAACACAGUGGUUGGAUAGGAAUCAGACCGCAAAGGUAGAAGAGUUGGAGGGAAUAAUGAAAGGGCUGAAGGGGUUUGCAAUUGCUUGAAUGUAUACCUUGUUUGAGAUAAAGUCCCUUUGGCCGCUGGCCGGUGCAAGAGGUGAAGGCCGGAGACGGUAAAAGCGGAUUUCCCAAGUUGUUGUAAUUUCUAGAUAAAAUUGAUUUGUUUCUAAUAUGAUUUGAUUACAUUUUCUUAGUGUUAGGGAGAAGGAUGUCCGCUAGGGACUACAGGACGGAUAAAUUUGGAACUUCAGUUCAUGUUCACAAUCAUAAGUCUGAAAGGAAGCUCGGCAAGAAUCAAAGAAAAUAUGGAAGGGCGUUGUAGAUAAUAGUCGAAUUCAAAUUAACAUUGAGAUUCUCAACUAAUCGGUUAAUUUAUUGAUCAUUUGGGAUUCACAAUUAUAAGUUUGAAAGGGAGCUCACCCAGAUAAGAAUUAAAGAAAAUAUGGAAGGGAAUUGAAGACUAUAGUCAGAAUACAAACACUUAAAACAUACUUGAAACAUAACAUAAAUUGAAAAGUGAAAAAUACUACUUAAAACAUAAUAUAAAUUGUAUAGAAGAAAAAGGCAAGAUGAUAAAGUUGAAAAAUUCAUUUAAUUUUAGUUUAUGGAAUAAAAUUAGUAAACAAAAGAAGCAGCAUGCUGUUUUAAUAUUCUUAAACCUAUCACACUAAUGCUUCUGUCAAAUCGACAUAUGCACGCUGCUCACGCCAGGGAGAAGGGCGAAGGCAUACAUGAACCUCAUGUUCUUCUGGUCCAACACGAUGUUUGGGAACCUCGAUCUCAAGCAUUGUACCUGUCUCAUCCCCAUAAGCUUCAAGUUUUGCAUCUUCUGGAAUGCGUGCUGGAAGGGUAAUUUCCCUAACAAAUUCCCCUGGUGGGCAGUGUUCCGGUGUCGGAUCUGUUAACUUGAAUGUUCUAUCUUGCCUUUUAAUGAUUGGCAUACACCCAGUGCUCACACAAGAUAUCUUCACAAUUCCAUGCGAGGGAGUGUUUCGCCAAGUGACUUUCACCCGCUGCAAAUCAGCACAAGGUAAGCUGACAAUAAUCAAAAAACCCUUAUCAUCCUCAUAAAUUGUUUUCGCAGCUGUUACUGGCCCGUAUGUGCUCCUCAUUACCCCAGUAAAUUCAUUAACCCAGUGUGGCUCAAUGGAGUGUGCGUCCACAACCCCAUCUGAAUGUGAACUGUUAUUAGCCAACGUACAAUCAUAAUCAUUUUCGGGUGCAAAAUAAUUUUUCGGCCGUUUGUUACAAUUAGCCAGAAGGUCCAUCCCUUCACCAUUUACAUGGUUUGGUUGCUGAGUUGAUAAUUUCAAACCACACCCGUUAAGCAAUCGUUUUGGUUGCUGAUUAACAUUGUUCUUUAAUGGAGGCAGUCGCUCAAUCUCAAGUUCUGUGACAGGAAGUGUCCUCCAUGAGCUGAAAUCACUAGCCUCAAGAGGAAUUGAGAAAUUCAAAUCUCUUCCAGUAAGCUCCAUCCACUUCUUGCAUUCUCCCUCGUCUAGGCCAGCAAAAUUGGGUGAAGGAACAACUUCUAUUCCAUGAACACAUUGGGGAUUAGACAGACCCCUAUAGUGUUUCCUCUGCAUUCUAUGAGAUCGAACAAACCCCUUAUCAGCACUGAAUGGAAAUGGACGUUCUCCUUGGCGUGAAUGACCAUUCAUGUAACUCCUUAGCUGCAUUUUGCCUAAUGCGUUAUCAGGCCUAUCCUUGAAAACCCACAUAUACAUAUUCUCCAUAUCAUGCUGAACCAAAAAGACAUCCAGCUUCAAAUCAGUUUUAUCAUACCCGGAAACUCCAUUAGUGUCCCGCACAGCAAUCUUAGACUUAGACUUCUCAUUUAAAGCUGGCUUAAAGUAAAAAUUAAAGAAAAACCAAGCACCCCACACACUGUCAAGCCGUUUAGCACACUUCUUUCCAACUUUAGUCAAAUUAAUAUGUGUCUCCGCCUCAUAAUGCUGAGGAGCAUGGCUAACAUCUAAGAUAUCACAAGCAUCAUUCCAAGAAGGCGGCGGCGGACUCGGUUCCGCUGACAAAGGGAGAUUAAUAUCUGGAGGACUCGAGACAUUAAUUGCACGAUUCAAUUCUCUCUCAAUUUCCUCAUGAGACGACAAACUCGAAUCCAUGGACAACAAAGUACACAAAUGACUAUCCAUAGAUAAUGUAGUAAUUACAGCUCCCCCCAUCUUUUCUUUCGUUGGCAUAAUUGUCGCUACUUCGGUGGAAUCAAUAGUCCCACCACAGUCAACACUCAAAAGCAUGAGCACCUCACACACAUAUUCACCCUCUAAUUCUAACCAAUCAAGAAACUUCCAAAGACGACCCUAAUCAAUUGACAACAUACCGAAACACCAUAACCACCUCAAAGCCAUUCUAAACUAAACCCUAAGAGAGAGAAAAACCAAAAAACAAACCAACCAAUUCAGAGAAAACCCAUCAAACCCCAAAACCUAUAAAACCAAUCAAACCCCUUAAAAACCAAAAAAACACCAAGAACUGAUUAGAUUGAACUAAAAUAUAGAAUUAUUCUAAGCAAUCAAUCAAUCCACAGCAUACCCAAAAUCCCAAAAACACUUCAUAGCCAUUCUAACCCAAUCUAAGCUCAAACCCAACAGAUCAAAUCAAUAAAAACUAGCCUAAACCCAAUAAAGAUCCAAUCUUUAAGAUUCAAACAACCCAAUAAAGAUCCAAUCUUUAACACUCAAGAUAUCAAACUAACCUAUAAAACACACAGAUUUCAAAGAUUUCUUAAAUUAGCAACAGGGCGUCCAAUCUUUAUCUUUAGCAAAAGUAAGAUAAAGAGAAGAAAUCAAAGAAAGAAUAGAACGGUACCUUUGAAGACAACGCAUUGAUCCACAAAAUGAGGGAGAUUGAGAGAGAUGAUUGAAAGAGAAACAAAGAGAGAGGAGAGAAAGAGGAGAAGAUGGGGUUAACGGAGUUAGUUUAUAGAGAGAUGGAGUUGGGACCUGCACCAGUUAGAACCGGUGAGGAAGAUAACGGAGGGGCGUUAAAAUAGACGGUGGGAAUGAUGAGAUAGAGAAAUGUAAUUAUUACUAUUAUAUGCAUGUAUGUUAAUGUUGUUGAGAUAAGAGAAGUGUCAAACUAGGCGUCUGUCUGAGUGUGUGAUUGGUUGUAUAAUGUAUGCAAGACUUUUGUGUAAUGUAGGUAACCCUAAACGGGAGUUAUGUUGUGUAUACGUAUACAAGGUUAUCUCUAUUAUGUUGUGUGGCUUUCACUUUUGCCGACUGUGGUAAGGUUAGUUGUGAUGAUAAGUCAUGUAUACGAUUUAUUGCAAAUACAAGUAGUGCGAUUUCGUUUUUUUUUACAAAGAUAAGAAGAUUUCAUUAACUUGAAUAUAAUACAGCUGGAAUAAACCCUCAACUCUUGAUAGUAUAAUGGAUCAAAAUUUAUUAAUAUCGUAAAAGAAUAAUAUUAUAUAUCAAAUUAGAUAUAAAAUUUGUUAUAGAAUAAGAUGACGUGACAUUGAUAAUGUGAUAUUUCCGAAUGACUUAAUCAGAAUAUUCAAAUAUACAUGAACAUAUCAUUUAAGUUAUAAUUAAUAAAAAUAUAAUAUGUGUCAUUUUGUACAUGUUUUUUUAAUUUAAUUUAAUAUUUUUAACAUUUUCUAUUAUAAAAUAUUGAAAUUUGAUAUUAUGUGUCACUAAGCGAUAUUUUGUGUGUAUUCAAUAUACAUGUCAUCUUAACUAAAUGACGUUGAUGAUGAUAAUUAACUGAACUAAAAUAAAAAAAAAUUGAUUAACUAAUUAUCCAAUAAAAUAAUAUUGUGACGAGCAAUUUGAAGUGACUGUAUAUGAUAUAUAAAAUGAUAUAUGUUAACUGCUUCAGCAAUAUCGAGGUUGCGUGAGACAUAAUCAGCCUCUUAUUAAUAGAUAUGAGAAGUGUGGAAAAUAUAAAUGAAUGAUGUUAGAUAAGGGAGAAGGAUAUUAGUAAAGUCUAUAUCUAUAACUUAUAUGACGGUAAUUUUGAUAAUAUUCAUGAUUGGAAUCAAGAGUCUCGAUGAUUUUUUUUGCCGAAAUGUGCUAGUUGUGUGUUAUUUUAGACGGAGAUUAGACUUUUGAGUUGUCUCCUUGUGAUCUUAUGAUCUCUACUCAUGAUUUCCUCAUUUGCUUAUAUACGCAUAUAGGGACGGAUCUAGGGAUUUUAGUCAAGUGGGGGGGGGGGGGGGGNNNNNNNNNNNNNNNNNNNNNNNNNNNNNNNNNNNNNNNNNNNNNNNNNNNNNNNNNNNNNNNNNGGGGGGGGGGGGGGGGAAUCACUUUUUAGAGACAAAACGAGACAAAUUUUCAUUUAACCAAAAUGGUUUGAGUUGAUUGAUGAGUUAAAAUAUAAAUUUAUGAUAAGAAAUAUACAAAAUAUGAACAGAAAUACUGAUAUUAGCCCAGCCUUAUGGGACUGCUGAGAGCAUGAGACAAGUAAAUAUUAGAACAGAAGGGGUUGAGACACGAGAGAUAUUAGCCCAGCCUUAUGGAGCUGUUGAGAGCCUGAGACAAGCAAAUAAGAUAUUAGCCCAGCCGAAAUUCAGAUCGAACCGAAAUUCUAAUAUUUUCCGGACCGUACCGGACCGAAAUUCUAUUAUGAACCGAAACGAAAUAAUUCGGUACGGUCCGGCCAAAAGAACUGAAAACUAAAAUAAAAAUUACAUUAUAAAUAAAUUUAAAUUUUAUGAAUUAUUUUAAAAAAUAAUAUUUAUUUAUCACCAACACUUCAUAAAAAAUAGAUUUAAUUAAAUUUACAAAUUACAUAUUAUUAUUAUAGUAUAUAAGAUAUAUAUAAAAUAUAAAUAUAUAUUAUAUAUUGUUUGGACUAUUCUAUCUAUUCAGUCUGGACCAAAAUAUUUAUUUAAGGACCGGAUCGAACCGAAUUUUUAUUUUGGUCAAUUCGACCCGAACCGAAUAGACCGAAUUUUCAGAAAAUCAAAACACUUCAGUUCGGUUUUCCGCUUCCACUUUAAUUUUGCUCACCCCUAUUAACAAUUACUCUAUUUUUUAGUUCGAUGUUGGAUCUCUAUUCGCUCUCAUCUCAUUAAUAAUGAUGAAUUGAUGAUCUUUCUGCAUGCAAAAGCUCCACACUAGAAAGACCUUUGUUAUUUUGAGCAUGAAUAUUUCAACUUUUUAUUUAAUUCGAUUCGAUACGAUACGAAACUUUUUAUGGCCCGGUUGACAUCAUCAUCACAUACUUAUAUAAUUAGUUAGAGAUGCAACAGUGAGUUUAUAUAUCUAUAUCAAUAAUUGGCUAAUUCUGCUGUCAAAUUAUAGUUUUAGUCAUCCAUAAUCUUCUGACGCGGUGUUUAGAUUUCUAAUCACCUCUUUGUAAGGCCAGUUAUCCGACACACCCACACUCCAUGUUUGUUUUUUCGUAUAUUUUAGUUGGGUGACCUAUUAUGGCACCUAACUUAUCUUUAACAUAUUGUUUAUGUAAUUAUAUAUUUUGUUGUCUACAUGAAAAUGCGGAUAUUCCUUUAAUAUAUUUAUGAAUAUCCGAUUUGGGUCUUAAGAUAAUUAUUUAAAAAAAUAAUCUUUAUUGUUUUGUAAGAUUUAGUCAAUAUGAUUGCAUUUAUCAACAAACUAUACAUAGCUUAGCAGCAUACUAUAUGCUAUCCUUCUUCUCAGUUUUCGGAUUUUUCAUGGUUGUUACUCUCAUCUCAAAUAUUAAUGAUCAUACUGAUUAAACUUUAUUUGAAAAAAUAUUAUGAUAUAUAUAAUAUAAAGAAAUUAAAAAGUAUAACUAAAUAUCUUGAUAUUAAUUUUUUCAGAUUAUAUACUUCUCGUCCUUCUGAUUACUUUACGGUUCUUUUACAUUUCUUUACAUUUAUUUUAAAGUGCAUAUAGUUUCAUAAUUUUUUAAAAUUUUAUAUAAAUAUUUAAACAUUAAUUUUUUAUUCAGAUAACAAAAAAAUUAAAAUAAUUUAUAAAACUAUAUCUUUUAUAAAAAUAUUAAAAUACCUGUCAAGCUCCCAUUACACAUAUUAUGAUAAAAAGUAUAUGGUCAAAGAGAGUAGUAUAUAGAAUCCGUAAAAAAAAAAAAAAAAUAAACACAAUAAUCAUAUUGAUUUUUCUCUUUUUAAGAGUAAGUUUUGAGAGAGAAAAUGAAAUUUUAAAAUAUUUUAAAAUCAUCAUAUAAGAAAUAUUAAAAGCAACAUAUAAAUCAGAACUAUAUAAUUUUGAUUAAAAAGAGUAUUUUACUAGUUAUCUACGAAAAUAUAGAUUGCGGUUAACCUAUUUGAAUGCGUCAUCUAACAAGUGUUUAGUUACUUAAACACUCAACAUGCUAAAAGUGGACAUAUCAUCAAAUAGUAUAAGGGUAGACUUUUCCCUUAUAUAUUUUUGUAUUAUACACACAAUGUAUAAAUUUACGUAUAGGCUAGUGGUUUCCAGAGUAGUUUUUUUUUUUUUGAUAAGCAGCAUUAAUAUUAAUAUCUCGGAAAGUCUUACAGCAAGUGUACUAAGCCACCAAAAGGAUGCACACAUGCAUCUGCCACCUAACCUUGCAGCAAAACAACUAAAGAACCUAGAGAACCUACAUAGCCAACAUGACUUCCAUAAUCUUAGCAAGAGGGUCCGAGACCUAACAUAGAACUGAACAGUUAAUAAACCGAAAAGCUAAUAAAAGCGACAAAAGAUAUGAAAGGCUAGAAGUGGUCAGAUGCUCGCGCUCCUACGCAGCUUUCUAACCCUUAACCCAGCAAGUGUAGCAUGAGAGACAUCGCGCUUUCGUUUGAGUGUUGGGGCAGGGGGAGGACCAUCCUCAACUUCUCCCAGGCCAAAGUUAGGAGCCACUUCAUCGAUCGGAGCCUGCAGCACCAUCCCCAUAUCGCGAUCCACAUGAUAUUUCAGGUCACCAAACCAGCCCGGGGUUUCAGCGAAAACAGAGAGAUGCUGUAACCCAUAGUCUGCUAGAUACCGAGCAGUUGAGUUCAUUUCAGUGGGAAUCCAUAUGAUCUUCCUAUUUGUGGUGUUCACCUUGAAGUGGUUGGCAUGCACUGUGUUGAAUAGCCUGAAAGGUUCCAGUUGGUCAUCACGCAAGAAAACAUGCUCUUGAGUUGAGAUAGUUUCAAAAGUGUUAUGGUUGGACGUUUCUAUAAGCGUCUUUUCCCAUUUUUUGUGCACAGAUUCCACACACGCCGCUUGAAUGCCAGCCAUGAUCGCCUGCUCUUCAUUCAGCCCAUUCAUUGGACCUGAGGCAGUCCACACAUUUGCACCAGCAUCAUCACGGGCAAUCACACCCACCCCUAUUGAGUUUCCAUUAGCGAGAGGCUCAGGAAGAACUUCACAAUGGACAUUAAUUUUAAUGUAACCCUCGUCAGGAAGCUCCCAAGUGACAUCCAUUAAAAACAAAGUGAAAGGAGAGUGAAAAUAGAGAAGGAAAGAGGUGAGUGAGAGAAGAUUAGAAGGAGAGAUGAAUAUAUAGUCAACUUGGGGCAGAGAAAAGGAAAGCAAAUAUACAGGUAAUUGCUACAACCCCUGGACACGGAGAAGAGACCGAUGGACAAUGCACUGGCUCGACUGCAGAAGUUAACGUUGGAAAAGCCAGCAAAUCUGAGAUUAGCCGCCAAUUUUAGAGGAAAUCUUUCAUUGGUUCCCUAAAAUCAGAGACCCCCUCUAAAAAAGCUGGCAUGAACAGUAACAUUGAAAAUGUCAAUACUAAUAGAGCUGUUCCAUGCAUUUGAAAUAGGUUAACUAGCAGAACAACAAAGAAAUGCCCGGGAAAGUGAGAUGGCAAAAUCCAGGGGUCAAGUGUCAAUGUGACUUGAGGCCCAAUAGCAAUGAAAGUUAGGCCUGUUAAGCCCAUCUUUGGCCAACUGGUCUGCAGAAUGAUUAAAAGUACUGGGGACAAAUUGGAUGCUAACUAGUCCUGCCAGCAGUUGGAGAAUGUCAAAGUCCGGUUGUAGUAGUGGGAAUGAAUCGGAUAAUCCUCUGUAUAUAGCAUUUAUAGCUCCAGUAGAGUCAGAGCAUACAACCACCCUUUUGUUAACUAAUUUACUGGAUUGAAUGUAGUUAAGGACAUGUAGAAUGGCCAUAACUUCUGCCUCCAGCACAGAGAAGGCUGGAACCUGGCCAGAGAAGCAGUAAAGAGUUUGUUUGCUGCUAUUUUUGAUACAACCUCCCACCGCACAACAUAACUUUCCCCAAGCAUUAACAUUUUUUGCACCAUCAACCAUGCAGAUGUAAUCAUAAUUUUGGUAUUUAAAAUCCCAGAACGACAUUGAAAUGGUGUGGUGAUGUAUAUUAAUUGCACCAAUUGGGUUCACCUUCCACAGAGGAUCAUCCCCAAAAUUCAUUAGAUUCGAAGCAAGUCCCCAUUUAGAUGAACGAAUGAAAAUAAUCUCUUUCAUGGCUGCUCUCGAAGUUCUCUUAGAUUGGAAAAUAAGCUCAUUUCGCGUCAGCCAAAUUGUCCACAAAGUAGCUGCAAUCACCAUUCGCCAAAUUGGAGAGACAUGUUUCUUGUGAAUUAGGCUAAAUAAUGAGUGUAGAGAAAAUUUGGGCACUCUGGCUAGUUGUGGCUUGAGGCUCCACCACUGUCCAACAUAAUCCCAAGCCCAUAUGGCUGGAGUGCAUUCCCAAAACACAUGGUUUACAGAUUCUACUUCAGAGUCACACCAAGGACAAAGUGCAGACAAAUUCUUUAGCCGGACACUGAGAAAAGACUUGGUUGGGAGAAUGGCCCAAGCAAGUUUCCAUAGGAAAGCGGUAAUUCUUGGGGGUACUUUUAUAGCCCAAAUGCAGUUCCAAUGCUUGGAUGAAGUGGAGGACGAGUGAUUAAUCCCCAGUUGAAAGAAACCCUCUCUAGAGGAAUAUGAGCCCUGGUUGGGUAUCCACUUGAGAACAUCCUCCAUGUCAUCUAACAAGAUUGCCUGCAGGUGAAAAGUGAUAUAAGAAAUAGAUUCCAGAUCACUGCUAGAGAGCUGUUCUGCCCAAAGUUUCACCCCGGUUUCUCCUUGUAGCCAGAUACCAACUACUGAGCGAACAAUUGUUAAACGCAUUGCUGAUUUUUUAUAUAGGCAGGGAAAAAGGACUGAGAGUGGUUCAUCUCGAAGCCAGCUGUCUUCCCAGAAAAGUACUCUCCUGCCGGAUCUAACUCUCCAUUUAAAAUUCCUCCUUUGUACUAGUGGUCCAACUCUCGAAGUGUUAAAAACCGAGAGCAUACUUUUUAUGACUGGAGAGGUCUUAGACAUUUCAACCUUGGAGAGGUCAUAGUUCCACUCCUUACCAUAACGCUGGACGAAGAAGUUGUUCCAAAAACAACCACGUUCCUUGUAGGCUCGCCAAACCCAUUUCGCCAACAGGAGAUUGUUUUUUAAAGAUAUAGGAACUAAACCUUGGCCUCCAGCACUCUUUAAUUGACAAAUACUCUCCCAAUUUAAUAGGUGCAUCUUUUUUUCUGAGUCCUUAAAUUGACCCCAGAAGAAAUUUCGACGCAUUUGUUCGAUAAUGUUGACAAUUUGAGAAGGCAUUUUAUACAAGCUGAACCAGAAAAGGGGCACGCUAUCAAUUACUGCUUUGAGAAGCACCACUCUCCCGGCAAUGGAAACUUUCGAAGCAUCAAAGGACUGCAACUUCCUUCGAAGUUUGUCAAUCAGAGGGGUCCAGAAGGAGAUAGAAUGUGGAGACGAACCAAUCAUUGCUCCAAGAUAUUUGAAAGGUAGGGACCCAACUUGACACCCCAGAACUCCAGCCGAAUUUGUUAAACGUGAAGUCGUUGUAUGAAAACCGAAGAGCUGACUUUUUGAGAAGUUUAUUUUUAACCCCGACAAUAGUUGAAAACAUUGUAGUAUCCUCUUGAUCCCAUACACUGAGCCUUCAUCUCCUUCAAGAAACAGAAUGACAUCAUCCGCAAAUUGCAGAUGAGUUAAAGAUUCAGAACAGCCCAGAAGAGAUAUUCCUUUGAAAAUUUUUUGAGCCUCGCCUCUGCAAAUCAAUUGAGAUAGUACUUCCCCCACCAGAUUGAAGAUUAGAGGGGAUAAGGGAUCCCCUUGGCGGAGGCCGCAUUUAGGACUAAACUCAGCUGUAGGUGAUCCAUUUACGAGGAUCGAAAUUUGAGAGGAAUCAAAAAUUUGUUGAAUCCAGUUGAUCCAUAGAGAGCUAAAAUUCAUCUUGGCUAAAACCUCAUAAACAAAAUCCCAAUUAACACGAUCAAACGCUUUCUCGAAAUCAAUUUUGAAAAUCAUUCCGGAUGCAAUCUUCUUUUGUAGCAUGAAUACAAUUUCAUUGGUGAGAAGUAUACUAUCCGAAAUUUGUCGUCCCCGAAUGAAACCUGAUUGUUGCGGGCCAACCAGAAGGUUCAUAAAUUUACUAAGCCUGAUCGACAAGACCUUCGUAAGGAGUUUCACUAAAGCAUUCAUGAGACUGAUUGGUCGAUAUUCCGAACAUUUCAUCGGCUGUAGUACUUUAGGAAUUAGAGCUAUGAAAGAGGAGUUGCAUCCUUGAGGAAGUGAACCAGUAGAAUGAAAAUUUUGAAAAAACAGCAGGACCUCAUGCUUUAUCUCAGGCCAUAGAAGAGAUAGAACGCCAGCAUUUAUUCCAUCAGGCCCCGGAGCCUUGGUCUUUUCCGUAGAAGACAGAGCAAAUUCUAUUUCGGUUAAUGUGAAUUUGGCAUCUAGAAAGCUACACUGGCUCGGGGACAGAGUAGACAAAGAGCACGAGCCCAGAUUGAAGACCAUCCUUGGAGGCUCCUUUGCUAACAAAUUGGAGAAGUGAGAGUAGAAAGCUUGCUUGAUUUCAACCGCCCUGGUAAGAGUUACUUGCUCAUACUCGAUUUUUCGAAUAGUGUUGUGAGCCCUGCGUUUAGCUAUAGCCCGAUGGAAGAAACGAGUAUUCUUUUCCCCAUAAAGCUGCCAGCUCGUUUUGGACCGUUGACAUAACAUACGAGACCUUAUCCUGUAUAACUUAUCAAGAUCGAACUGGCAUUUGGUUGAUGAUUUCGGGUUUGAAAGUCCAUUGUCUUCCCUAUCCCGAGCUGUCUCUGCUUCCUUUAUUUUGAUAUCUAUAUUACCCAUCUUGGUAGAAUUCCACCUCUUAACAGCCUCUCUUAACGACCUGAAUUUAUGAUGAAUAUUGGAGGACUGCGAGUUCUUCCAUGAAUUUCGUAAAGUAUGAGCGAGUGUGUCAUCUUCCAGCCAGCAAUUAAAGAACUUGAAAGGGCGCGGACCCCAAUCCUGAGUAGAAGUUUUGAGUAAAAGCGGCUUGUGAUCAGAUAAUUUCCGACAAAGAGCCUGAAUGCCCCAGUCUCCAGACAUAAACCACGCAGGAGAUACUAAUGCCCUGUCAAGACGACCUUUCUUAGGAGAGGGACCAAACCAAGUGAACGUGGAAUUGAGUAUUGGGAUAUCAGCUAACCCACAGGAAUUUAGGAAAGAGUUAAAAGCAUCCGAGAGCGCAUGUGAAUGAUUACAACCAAACCUUUCAUCUGCAGAACGAACCACAUUGAAGUCUCCAAGUAAACAGACGUAGGAUUCAUCUAGUAGUCCUAAUGCAGUACUAAGAUCAGCCCAAAGUUGCAGUUUAUCUCGAGCACCUUGAGGUGCGUAGAUAUUAAAACACGCAAAGCGGGUGGAAUUAGAAAUCAUGGUGCCUCUAAUUAAUAACCAAUGACGGGAAACUUCAGACGAGCUAAUGUUUACCUCUGCUGUGUUCCACACUGUAAGAAGGCCCCCCGAAAGGCCUCGAGCCGGAAAUUCAGCCCAUCCUGGAUCGUGGCCCAUACCUAAUCUUUUCACUGUAUUUGAGUCCCACAGAGUACAUUUUGUUUCCUGCAGACAACAAAUGACUGCCUUUGAAGAUUCGUUUAGUAAUCUGACAAAUUGACGACUAUCAGAGCUGCAAGCACCCCUGACAUUCCAGCUUAAGAAAGAGUGUGUAUUCAUAAAAACUUAAACAAUGAAGUAGAGAGAAACGAGAGAGAUUAAGCAGCCAGAUUCUGCCGGAUGAGUUCCAGUGAUUCUUGCCUCGAAUUAUUAGGGAGUAAUCCCAUCAGUAGUCCAGUUUCCAAAAUGGAUUCUGCCUCAUCAGUUGAGUUGUUAAGAAAGAAAUGUGAAAUCUGUUGAAGACCUUCCCCUUUUUUCCUUCUACGUUUCGGAAGUUUGAAAGAUUUGUUAAUCUUGUUUGAGUUGAGUUUACGAGGGCGUCCUCUCCUCCCUUUCACUUUCAGUUUAUCCAGAUCUUGCAAGAUGUCCAUACUCCUAUCCUGAAUUGAGAUAAAUUCAUCCAAGGAUUCCUCAUCCACAACUGAUCCAUUGGAAUCCGAAGCAUUUAAUGGGUCUGAGGGUGAGGUAUCUCUAUCACGGGGAAGCCAAUUUGUUGUGACCAAUGUGAUAGGAGACUCUUCUGAAAAGGGUGUUAGGGGGUUUAUGUCAGAGUUGGAAACUUCCCCUGCUAAGUUUUCUUCUUCAGGAAUAGUGAUAUCGCCACACCCCUCAUCCGUCAAGGUGUGGGUCUCAAUCUCUGAAUCAAUUAGAACUACAUUCCCAGUUCUAUUUUCCUCCAAGAUUACCUCUUCAUCUAAGAUCUCUUCCUCAUCUUCAGCAAGUAUUUCCUGAACUUCCUCUUCAUCAUCAACUAGUUCAUGAUCAUUGAAGUGAUUAUGCUCGGGAAGGGCAGUUGAUCCUGCUGGGUUACUUGAGAUUGACAUACAUUCCCCCUCAGAUUUCUUAGUGGAUUCGCAAGACCUCCUUGACUGAAUGAAGUCAUUAGCAGGAGAAUCCCGGGAAUAACUAAAAAAAUCAUUUGGAAUAGCAUCAUUUAGUUGAGACAAGGCCCCGGUUGUUUCCAGAAAACGUACCUUCCAGAUUUUUCCCAUGAGAUUAAUGUAUUUGAUUUCAUCGAUCUCAGAAACGCUCUGUGUUUCUAACAGGAAUUUUGGGGUUUGGUAGAAAUCCUCCUCAUCACGAGUUUUACCGAACUGAAGAAUGGUUCCAAAGCUACUAAGAAUAUUCUUGAAAUUAUCUUCCUUCCAACCAACAAUAGGCAAACCUCUAACUUCGACCCAUGUUUUCCGUGAUGGGAGGAGAUCAUCCAAAUGCAGGUCACGAACCUCAGCAAACCCAAUCUUUAGGAACUCUCGAUCAGUAUCUUGCAGAUCCAUGUAGUGCGGGAAAUAAGCAAUGAACCUAUCCCCAGAUAAACCUCUGAUUAGAGCAUUGACCGCACCUAGUCCCUCCGCAAUCAUACCCACAGUGUCUGUUGUUUCAUGUUUGACUGUCCUCAGGAAUAAGCUAUUUUCCAUGAUAUGAAUAAAAUCUUCGUCCGGCAAGAGCUCUACUGAGGCAGGGGGGGAAGGGAGAUCCCGAGGCAAUGAGUGACUUACAGAUUUAGGGGACUCAGGUGGGGUAAUAUGUACCUUUGGAGCCCGCGUAGAACUAGCAGAUUUAGGGGGCUGAGAGGGAGGCUUUUGAGCACCCUUAGCUUUAGCCAGAUAUAAUUUCCUUGAGCCAAUAAGUUUGCCAUUAAGAGCGGAAAUGAUGUUGUCAGCCUGUUUCUCAUCGGACACCAACAAGAACCCAAAUCUAUUGCCAAAUUUGUCUCUUUUCCGAGGCAGAAUAAUAUCCCUAAUUUUCCCUUCCUUUUUAAAGAGAGACCAUAGAUCUUUCAUAUGGAGGCUAUCAUCCAAUUCUGUAAAGAAAAUGGAUGAUUUAGGCGCCAUAUCACCCUUCUUUCGGGAAGAUUGGGAUUUUGGGGGAGGGGAUCGUUUAACAGUAGGGGACGGCCUUGCUGAAUUCUUAAGCAGAGCCUCUCUGAAAGUUUGUGAGGGAGACUGAGGAAGGGGUUUCGUUGAAGCGUGAUCACCCGUCAGCGAGUGAUGGUGGAUCUGUCCUAGAGCUAGGGAGAGGGCCUUGUCAUUACCACCUAAUGCGUCUUUAAGUACACCAGGCUCCACCAUAGAAGCAUGAACUUUGAGAAAAUCAUAAGUGAUGAUCUUUUGUUCUUCCACCAUGUAAUCCUUUUUAUUGGGCGAAAUAAACUUUGGUUUCUUUUGUAUUGGCCUAGCGCUGAGAGAGCCAAAAUGAAUCUGAUGGAGGGCCAUACGGACUCCUUCUUGGUCUCCAUUGCUAGCUUUAGCGAUUGUAUUUGGAUGUACCAAAUCCGCAUUCGCCCUUAUAAAGUUUAAAAGAGUAGUGUCAUUAUUAGCUUCAGAAUACUGACCUUGAGAUAGUUGCCGGAAACCAUUGAUGUAGAGGGCUGAGUCUUGAGAAUGUGGCUGAGAUUGCUGAAGGUUGACCGGGCGGACCCUAGAUCCCUGUUUCCCCCUUUUCGCCAUAACUCCUGCUUGUGCUUGAAGCUCUGAAACAUUUGCUCCUUUGUUAUCUGCUCUCUCGCCUUUCGUCAUUGAAAUCCCCUUUUGCUCCUGCCUUGCUAAUUCUAUAGAUCCAUAAUGAAUUUGAUUUAGAGCCAUUCGCACUGCCUCUCUCUGCCCUUGUAAUGCCUCUAUCCUUGUAUUUGGGUGAAUUAGAUGCUCAUAAGCUGAUAAGAAAAGGAGGAGAGGAUCCAUAGUAGCAGAAUCUCCUUCCUUGUCAUUCCUUUCAAUUUCUAGGUUUGAAGCCUUCUCCCACCACCCAUUAUUGUAGAGGAAUUCAUGUAUACUCCACAACGCCUCCUCAUCUCCCUUGACUCCUUCUUCUAACAACUCUCUUGAAACCACUCCCAAGAGAAAGUCCACCUUUGCCUCUGCCAUGGGUAGCAGAGCAUGAUUCCCUUUGUUAACUGCUGCCACUAAUUCAUGAUCAAGCAAGAACCAGAAUUUAUUGAUUGUUUCCAGCUGCUGUUGCUUUUUAAUUUCCUGUUCCGAGUUAUUUCCAAGCUGUGCUUCCUUAAAACCAGAUGAAAAGCUUCCAUUCCCUAGGUUGGUUGCUCCCUUACUCUGAAUCUCACUUCCUUUACUACUCUUCUCGCCGGAGGUGCCCUUGGAGUUGUUAUUACCUAGCGGUCCGUUGUUGGGUUUUGUGACCGUUGAAGCCAUAUUUAUAUCCAUGUGCAACUUUCCUUUUUCGGUUUCCAGAGUAGUUGAGGGAGUAGAGGAUGGCGAGUUGAUAUGAUAAUUGGAGCUUUUGAUGAAGAAAGUGGGCAUGUAACGAUAUUUGCGAGUAGAUUCUCCAGAUAUUUCGUAACAUGGGUUGGUUAUUUAUUUUCAUUAUUUUAUUUUAUUUGUUGUGGAAAUGAGAGAGCACGUGGCUUCUUAGUGGUGGUAGCCUGCCUUAUCAACAUUGUAACCUCAGUUAUCACCUUUCUCAACUUGGUAUUAUUUUAUUGUCGAGAGAAAAUGAAGGCCUUUUUCUUUGGUUAGCCAAACUUUAGUUUUAUGCAUGUGACUAUGUGAGUUAAUAUACUUGUACUUUCUCACUUUUUAGUAGAGCGAGACUUGUUGUUUACAACUUUAUUAUGAAUAUAAAUGAAUUUAGAAUGUGGAAAACAAGUGUAGAAAUAUGGGAAAGCUUGCCCAAGUUGGCAAGUAAUGCAAUCAACUACCCACUUGAAGUUGAAUAACCUAUAUUAAUGAUUUGAAUUAGAUCUUCGAUAUUUUGAAAAUAUAUGUUUCUCAAAUAUGUAUAUUAAAAUAUAAUAUGCUGUGAACUCGAUUUUAAUUUUAAUUUUUAAAAACACAAGUAAGGAAUCAUAGUUUCAUUCUCACAUCCCUAUGUACUCCCUCAGUGCCGUUGAGUUGUUAAUGUUCACCGUUUACACGUAUUUUGAGAUUCUUAUAAAGUAUAGUUCUACAAAAAAAUUUUAAUUUAUUUUUUUUGAAUAAAAAUUUAAAUAUUCAGAUUUUUUUUUGGGAAAAAAAACAUCAUGAAACUAUAUUUUAAAGAGAUCUUAAAAAACAUGCCAAAAAGUAGGGCUGGCAAUUUCGGGUUUCGGGUCGGGUUCGGGUCGGGUUGACAGUCGCGGGUCAAAAAAUUUACCCAACCCGAACCCGACCCGAAAAUUUAAUGGGUCAGAAUACUCAACCCGAACCCGACCCGCAUUACCCGCGGGUAACCCGAACCCGACCCGAAAAUUAAUAUUUAUUAAUAAAAAUAUUUUUUAAAUAAUAAAUAAAUAUUAUUUUAAUCCAAAUAAAUUAAUUUUUAUUAAAUUAAAUAAUUUUAUAUUAAAUUUAACUAAUAAAUUUUAUAAAAAUAAUAUAAAUAAUAUAAAUAUAUAUAAUAUUUAUAUUAUAUAUUAAUUUUCGGGUAAUUUCGGGUCAAUUUCGGGUAACCCGAAUUCAACCCGAAAAUGACCCGAUUUUUCUGGGUUGAUUUUGGGUCAACCCGAAUUAGACCCGAACCCGAAAACCCCCAACCCGAAUUCGUAUUUUGCGGGUCGAAUUCGUGUCGGGUUGUCGGGUCGGGUCCAAUAUUGCCACCCCUACCAAAAAGUGAUGUUAACAAUCCAACGAGACGGAGGGAGCUACGAGUUUUGAAAGAAGUCCCGAAGCUCCCUAAAAUUAUGACUCAAUGUGAUUUAUCAACGAGUAGUGCUACAUGCACAAAAUUAGGUACAUAAUUUUAUACAAAAUGAUAUGACAAUCUAGGUGAGAAAUUUUAAUGGGUGCUAUUAAUACAUAUGUAGGGGCAUUCCAAUCACAAGUUAACACAUACUCAUUCUGUGAAUGUUUUUGUCCCUAAUUCUGAGUAUGUAGCAUUUUCCUUUAACAAUUAUCGUGAUUUAAUGUGAUAAGUGGGAAAUUUAAAAUAUCUAUUUGGAUAAUUUUUGAUUUAUUAAUGACAUUAUGAGUUAUUAAAAAUAUAAUACUAGAAAUAAAGAUGAUUUAUGGGUAACUUAUGUUUUAUGAGUAAUUUUUAUCUAAAAAAUUGUUUUUAAAAAAUAAAUCAAAUAUCUCAAACUAACUUCUGUCUUUAAAUCAGUUUCUGAUUUGUUUUUAAUUUUAAGCAGACUUCUAACUUAUUACCCAAAUAAAUAUUUUGUACGCGCCAAUAAGAUCAACAAAGGCAUUCGUGACACUGGUGGGACACGGAAGUCAUGGGAAGUCAUUGGUCUGAGGCUUCGGGUGAAACCAAUAAUUAGCUCAAAAUGGAAAAUGACUUAAAUCCUGAAUUUUAAGUCGAGAUAAAUAGCAUUUUAAUAUCUUUUUUCCGGUCUAAUUUUUUAUGAACAAAAAUACAUUACACCGUGAUCAAAUAGUUUUUUUGUAUGAACGAAAAUGCAUUAUAAUGUGAUCAACUCAUAAUUGGAUGAACAAAAGCACAGUACAAUGUGAUCACCUGACGUUGGAUGAACGAAAACACGUUAGAAUGUGCUUAGUUUUGAUUAUUGUUUAUACAUCGUAUUCCAUUUCCCUAAAGAAUUGAUUAACCUUGAAAAGGGCCGGCAGCUUUUUUGAAUUGUGUUUUGGUUGAUAGUUUAAUAAUCCAGGAGGUUGCCCACUAACUUAGAACUCCAAGUCUCCCACCAGUUCGUUAUAAGUUUCAAAUGUGUUAAAUUUCCGUAGCCCAUUUCAAACACGGCCCAAAAACUAUUGCAACAAGAUCUUUCAAAAAUAAAUAAUUGACCUUGUCUGAAUGUCUGAUAUCAGAAGUCCAGAUUCCAAUUGCCAAAUGGGGUCCCAGAAAACGCCAAUUUUUCUUAAACAACAAACAUGUCCAAACUAUGAGAGCAAAUCCAAGAUGAGACAAACGUUACAUUUAAAAUAUCUGUCAAACAUUAUUUAAGGGUCUUUUGAUGUCAAUGAACAACUAUUUUUUUGGUAGUAGAGAUUUUUGAGCAUGCAAAAAACAUCAUUAUUAAUGAGAUUGAAAUCGACACAAAUAUGUCAACUAACUAAAAAUUGGUUGUCAGGGUGUGUCCUAGAAAACCGAACAUUUAAUAAUGUUCCAUAUUUUCCCCUAGCUGCAGGCCAACACACUCAGUUUCCAACUCCUCUGCAUCAUGGCACAAGACAAUGAAGGCAGCUCUAGUUCCAUCGUGCCCAAACUAGUCAUCCUCUUAGUCGCCAUAGCUUGUGCUGGCUUCAUAAUUGCGUUGUACCAUUGCAUCCGUGUCGGUUGGUGCACACAAUACCAGCAACGUCCCCCUCUGCAACCGCGAAAUAGGCCUUUUCCUUUCAGACGCGAGGAGCAGCAGAGCAGCGUUGAAAAUUCUAUUGCAGAGCUCAUUCCUGUACGUAAAUUUAGCAAGACUAAUUUGGACUUGGAGGGCGGGGAUAACCAUACGUGCUCCAUUUGCUUGUGUGAAUUCGAAGAAGGGGAGGAGCUACGUACAUUGCCCGAAUGUGUUCACUCUUUUCAUGUAAGUUGCAUUGAUAUGUGGUUUUAUUCGCAUACUAGUUGUCCGUUGUGCAGAACUGAUGCUACGCCAUCUCCACGGGGACUCAUACAUUAUUUGGAGUUGAAUUCGGAAAGGCCAGCUCCAAGGCAAGGUUUAGAAUCCAGUGAAGUUUGAGUUUGUUUUAUUGCCUAUAUUCUGAACUUGUGUCAGCCUUCUUGAACUAAAUUUUAUUUUAUCAAUGAGAUCGUCUCCUCAAUUGGGACUUUGGGGAAGUGAAAUCGUAGUGUUUUUUUUUUCGAACUUGAAAGUAGAAAUGUAAAAGUAGGGGAAGGUUCAAAUGGAAAAUUUGGUCUCUGGAAACUUGUAUAUUCUGUAUAAAAAGUGGCAUCUGCUUAAAAUUUUGUAGCUAAACUUUAUUUCGAAGAAAUUAUAUUUUUUUCUCAUAAUAGUGCUUUUAACUAUUGAACCCAUGUUUUUUUCAUAUUACAAAAUUAUAAUGUUUAAAGUGUUUUUCGAGUUCUCCAUAGAAUCCACAGUUAGUUUAACAGAUCACUGGCAAAUUACUAACUGCAAGAUUUAUGUUCACGAGACAGUAACUAAUAAGCGACAAACUAACUAACUAAAACACUGAACUGAGUAAUGUGUGAAGUACAUAUCACAGAACAACGGGAAAAGAAUUAAGAGUAUAAGUCUAUAAUGGGGAGGGUGAUCCUUGAAACAACAAUUCUGAAAACAAAGAGAUUUUCCUCCCUUAUGAAAUCUGAACUGAAAAUAUGACAAUUAAGACCAUUCUUACUUGAAACAAAAAUUCUGAAAACGAAGAGAUUUUCUUCCCCUUUUUUUCCCACUUAAAAUAUGAGAAUUAAGACCGUUCUAAUGAUCACAGGAGACCAAACUGUAAACACUGCAAAUUCACAGGAGUCCCCUUCCUCGCAAACCCCCUUAUUUCAUCCAUGCACAUGAAUACGGAGUAUACUGAACCAAGACCAGACGUCAUAGUAUUGCAGCAGUACUGUUUUCUAUUCCCAGUACUUGAUGAAUGAUGAUAAAAUUUUAUUGCCAGUUCUGCAUGUGGAUGAACUGGGAACUAGUAACUGUACAUUUUGUAUUCCAGAUAAACCUUUCGUUCUGAUUGCUGUCAUAAACAAGUUAUCCCAGAUCUCUAGUAAGAGAUUUCUUGUAAUGAUAACAUCAUAUUAUAAGUCCAUCUCUUGCAGGAUACCUCUUAAUCUAGAGGAAGAAAGCUUGUCACAUCAUAUGGAAAGCUAAUAUGUAAAAUAAAGAAUAUUUCGACACAUCUGUUAAUUACUUCAUAAAAUUCAAAUUCCCGCUCUGGAAUUGAAAAUUGACUUCCUGUACAGACUAAAUUCCAAGCGGAAUCGCCAAAAUUGUUGUCGUCAUUUUGUGAAAGAGCAGACAUAUUAAAACUAUGAAAGCAUACAGAGGCUUUACAUAGUAAGACAAACACUACAUAAUAAUUAUCAACCCAACAAUGACUAUUUGAUAUGCACUCAUUUCCAACCAUUCCUCUACCAUGGCACAAGACAACUCUAAUUCCCUCAUACCAAAAUUAGUCAUCGUCUUGGUCGCUGCAGCCUGCAUGGCCCUCGUUAUUGCAUUGUACCAUUGCAUCCGUGUUGGCUGGACCACGCGAUACCACCACAAUGAAACACCGCAGCAACAUCAUCUUGGGCAAGAGGAGCAACAGAGCUUUGAGAAUUCAAUUGCAGAGCUCAUCCCCAUACACAAGUUUAAGAAGUCCUGUUUGGAUUUGGAAGGCCGAAAUGAUCAUACAUGCUCAAUUUGCUUGAGUGAAUUCGAGGAAGGGGAGGAGUUACGUACCUUGCCUGAAUGUUCACACUCUUUUCAUGUAAGUUGUAUAGACAUGUGGUUCCAUUCACAUACUAGUUGUCCGAUGUGCAGAAUCGAUGCUACGCCAUCAUGGCACGGACUGAUGCAUUAUUUAGAGUCAGACUCAGAGAGGCCGGCAACAAGGCAAGGUCUGGGAUCCAGAGAGAUCAGAGUGUAAUUUUUUUAUUCUGCAUUUGUCGCAGAUUGGAUUAAAUUUUAUUUUAUCUCUUUGUCGCAUAUUUGGCCAAAGCAGCCGUAUCACAUCAAUACUGAUUUAAUUAUUUUUUAAGAUCAGACCAUAUGCUGAUCAGUUGAUAUAACAAUGCAGAAUGCCGGUUUAAUUAUUGUUCCAUAUCCCUCUAAUGAAAGCCAAGGCAAAGCUCAUUGGAUAUAUAAGUUUCAAAAUAAAAUAUUACACUAAAGCUGUUCAUAGUAUUUAGCUCUAAAGAGAGAUUCGGUUCAUGAGAGUGUGCUAAUAAUUCUUAAAAGUUACAAAGUCGAGUUAAAAGUAUCCUUAAAUUUCGCCUAAAGGAUACCCCUCUCUUAGUCGUUCAAUGUCAAUGAUCGAGUAUUUAUAGAAGUAUGAACUUGUGUGUACUAAACUAUUAUAAAAUCCAACUUCGAUUACAAAAAUUAUACAUGACACUGGCAAACGGACCAAGGAAAUUUUGCCCUUCCCUAAAAAAGAUCAAAAUAUUAUCACUUGGCAAGACAAAUUUUGACUCAUUCACAUUAAACAACUACAAUUAUCUUGUAAUAACCGUCAUGGCUACAUAGAUUUUGAAAUGGCCUUUCUAUCUAGCUAGUAAUUCUCUCCUAAGCAACUGAAAGAAGGUCUUCACUUGUCUUCACAAUGUCUAGCCUCAAUUUUCUGAGUCAUUUUUAUAUCCUCUUUCUUGUAGUUGCAUCCAUGGCCUUCUUCGUUACAAUUUAUCACUGUAUUAUGGUGAGUUGCCAAAAUAGAAUUGAGCGUCACAAUUCUGAUCAAGUGUCACAGUCCACUGUCAUCAGAAUACAGAACUUCUUACUUUGGCGCAAUGGACAAGAACUUAACAGUGCUCAAGAUCGUGGUGCCACGGUCCUGGGGCUUGAGAACUCGAAGAUUGAGCUAAUUCCAAGACAUAAAUUUGAAAAAGGUAAAGGGAUUCUUGAUGCAGAGUGCGCUGUUUGCUUGAGCGAGUUUGCAGAGGAUGAAGAAAUACGAACUUUGCCAGAAUGUUUGCAUUCUUUUCAUGUAGAGUGCAUUGACAUGUGGCUUCAUUCACAUCCUAAUUGUCCAACAUGUCGGGCCAAUGCUUCACCACCAUCCUCCUCCUUGCUAUUACAUCCUUGCCCAAAGUGAUACCGUGGUUAUGGCAUAGCAUAUUAGGAGAGAUGAAGAAUUGAAGAAAGGGACCGUGCAGUUAGCUUGGUUACAUGCAAAUGAAAGGACAGCGCAGGGCCGGCCCUUCAUAAGGCGAUCAAGGCGAAUGGCUAGGACAGCCCUUCAUAAGGCGAUCAAGGCGAAUGGCUAGGACAUCACUGUCCCACGGGCACCAAAAAAAUCUAUGCAUAUGUAAUAAAUAAUGAUAAAUUUAUGCAUUUAUAGACAUACAUUUAAAUUGAUUGUGUUGUUAAUUUUAAAAUAACGUUUUUAUUAAAUCAUUGUAUAUUGAUUUGAAUGUAUGUAAAAUUUUCAUUUACUAUCUUGAAAAAUAGGGACAUCAAUCACAUCAUUAUCAAAAUUCGUCUAGGACACUCAAAUCUGUGGGACGGCCUGGGUCAGUGCGUCUUUCUUUAAUGUAGCAGAACUUGCAUUACAUGAAAACUGAAAGACUUGUUACCAGUUCCUUAUGUCAAAAUUAGAAGAAGAAUUUAAUUCGGUUAUAUUGCAAGCUGCUGCAGCUGUUAGCUGUUACCCUAUCUUUUCUAAUUUCUGUAGACAAUGGUAUUAGAUUUUUACACGCCUAACUAAAAAUUAUUACAAUUCUAAAUCAAUAGAACAAGAAGCACAUCUGUCAUCGUUUGGCCAUUAGUCUGUGACCUUCAGAUGAAUAAAAUCAUGAACUCGAAAUCUUGCUUUAUUUUAGCAACGCAGAAAACAAAGCACAAAUGUAUUGAUGUAUAUAAGAUUUAAUUUCCAUUACACUUUAUUGAGAAUGAAUAAGAAGGAUGGUCAAGACUUGGAUAUUACUAAGUGCAGUUACAUGCCUAAGGUUUCAUACCCCUAAGACCACGUCUGUGAAUUUGAUCUUGUUUCCCAGUACAAACGCAAAGACCAUCGACACACUUGCCUCCAAACGGACACACGUUCGAACAUCCAGUAUCAAUGCAUUUUGAAAUUUGAUCUUGUUUCCCGGUACAGACGCAAAGACCAUCGACACACUUGCCUCCAAACGGACACACGUUCGUACAUCCAGUAUCAAAGCAUUUUGAAAUUUGAUCUUGUUUCCCGGUACAGACGCAAAGACCAUCGACACACUUGCCUCCAAACGGACACACGUUCGUACAUCCAGUAUCAAAGCAUUUUGAAAUUUGAUCUUGUUUCCCGGUACAGACGCAAAGACCAUCGACACACUUGCCUCCAAACGGACACACGUUCGUACAUCCAGUAUCAAAGCAUUUUGAAAUUUGAUCUUGUUUCCCGGUACAGACGCAAAGACCAUCGACACACUUGCCUCCAAACGGACACACGUUCGUACAUCCAGUAUCAAAGCAUUUUGAAAUUUGAUCUUGUUUCCCUGUACAGACGCAAUGACCAUCGACACACUUGCCUCCAAAAGGACACUCUGUCAAACAAUUAGUAGUGCAUCCAUGUACAUGCACCAAUGACACAGUAAACACCAGGACUAGUGUUAAGACUAUAGAAAACUGCUUCAUAUCUGAUGGUUUUUCUGGAGAAUAUAUAUCUGAAAGAUUUAAAAGAGAAAAUGUUUUCUCCUCUCCUUGCGAGUGUUUUAUUUCCGAUGAAGAUCCUCCACAAUAUAUACAGACAUAUUAUACAAUCACUCCAUCCGAAAGACAUAACUGUUGGAUUUCAUAAUAAAUUCAUAUUAAUUGUCAUUAAUAUGAUAAUUAACUUAUGUAACUUGCAACUAUUCACUUAAGUAUAUAUUUUAGGAUGUAUCAAUGGAGAUUUUCAACUGUUCGGUAGGAAUGAAAAAUGAAACCAUCUGGUGGUAUAUCACAGUUAAACUAGCAUAAAAACCCGUGCGAGGCACGGGCCUCUAGUUUGUGUUUCUGUUUUAAAUAAUAUUCAUGUCUCGUCAUAUUAUUUCGAGCGUAACUAUCACGUUUUAUUCAUUGACAAAGUAUGUAAAUAUGAAAAUGUAAUAUUUGCAACCUAGCAUUAAUAGUAAUAAUAAGUAUUAUAUUUUUAAAAAAAAUUAUGGAUCAGAAACUACAUUUGAACAGAUUUUUCUAUAUUCAAAGUCGUUAGGAUAUAGAGGCCACUACCGUACAAUCUACAUGUUCAAAAUUAUAUUCGAAAUUAAUAUUGAAACUUUUAAAUUUUAAAUAUAUUAUACAUCAUUAAAAGUAUCUGUAAUUAAAUUAUUUCAUCUAAUAUAACAUGAUUUUGAUUUAAACUUGUUCUUGAUAUGUGAAUUACGAUAUCUUAAAUCAUGAUUAAAUGAAGAUGUGUGGUCCGUAUUGUUUUAUAUUUAUUUCUUCUUUUUUAAGUGUAAGUUUGCGUAAUAAUUAAGUGAUACAUGAUGUGGCAUAUCAUCAACACAUUUUUUUUUAGCAUUGUUGCACACACCUUGUAUAAGUAGAAAUUGAACUAUGUAAAAAGACUCAUACCCUAUUUUAUUAUAAAAGUGUCUAUUGAAUUACUAACCUUAUAGUUGUACCCAAAAAAAUUCUGACACCUUUGAUAUGGCUUACCCUUUUAAUUUUCAUCUCAAUUAUAUGGUAUUUCAAUGUCUUAGAUUUUUAUUGUUAAUAUGUUAUAAUACUGUCUCGUUAUAAAAAUUUUAUUUUUAUCAUUAGUUAUCUAAGCUUGUUGAUUAGUACUUUUAAUGAUUUUCCAUUUAAUUGUUAUAAACCAGAUCUCAAAAUAAUUUUCUGGAAUUUCAAAUAGCAAAACGAGAGUAUAUAUGAGUUAGGCCUCAAGUUCAUAAAAACAUGAAAUGUAAUUACUUUUUGUAGUUUUGUACAAACUCACAUUUUUUAAAUAUUUUUAUACUCGUAUUUCUUGGGGGUGAGCAAUGUAGCAUAUCAUUUUCAAUUGUUAAAGAUCAGAUCAGGUAUUCGAUAUUCUGGAUUAUGGAAAAACUAUCCUUGUUCUAGUCCCGUUUAGUAAGAUAUUAGUUUUCAUCAUAUCGCGUCGGAUUAUCCGGCUCAGAAUUAAUUAUAUUUUAUUAGUUUAAUUUGUAGAUGAUUAAUUAAUUUAAUUGUAGUUUGAAUCAAUUUAUUUAACUGGUAUGUUAUAUAUUGAUUGAUGGCAUGUUAAAAUUAUAGCUUUAAGAUUUUAAUAUAUAUGACUUAUUUCUCUGUGUUAUUUUAUUUUAACCAAGUAAAAUUUAUAACUCAAUUCUUUUAGUUGGUCUCAUAAACAUUUAUUAUUAUUAUUAGUUGACUUUUGAUUAACAAUAUAGUGGGGCUGUUUGGGAACCGGAAGCAAUUUCUGCUUCUGGCUUCUGCUUUUCUUGACCCGUUUGUGUAAAGAAGUAGAAGCACUUUUAAGAAGCUGAGAAUGCUAACUUCUCUUUCACAGAUUCUGCUUCUUUUCCAAACACUUUAUUAACUUAUUUAUUUCUCACUUCUACUCCACUUCUUUACUUUAAACAUAGAAUCACUUUUUUUAAGCUUGGCGAAACGGCGAAACGGCCCCAGAAUUUUUCUAAAUUCACCUUCAUAUCACAAAUUACUAUAUUUCAAAUUCAUUUAUCAUCAAAAUUACAUCAUUUAGAUAUAUUUUCUAACACCAAAUUUGAUAUCUUUGUCAUUGUUCUUAUAUUUAUAAUUUUCUCAAAAAAAAAUUUAGUUACACGCCGAAUUCUGAAUUCAUAAGUUUAACAUAAAAAAUAUUUUAAGUAAGAAUAUUCUUUCAUUUACAUUAUUUCGUGUUAUUCAAAAUAUUGUAAUCUCUUUAUAAAUCGCCUUUUAUAAAAAAUAAAUAAAUUAAUAUGACAUUGUCCAUGUUGAAAGUCCAUCAAUUAUUUCUUUCAAAGAUGCUAACUAAAUCCUUAGUUUUUGUGCUUAUUUCUCACAUUUAUGACUUAAAAUUUCUGUAAUAUUGUAUUCGUACUCGUUUAGAGUAUUAAGUUGGAUUUGAAUUCUUUCAUUUUUAUUCGAAUAUGAAUUAUAUCUAUUUUUAGAAAUCUGAAUCAUGAUUCGAGCCCGAUCAUUCAGAUUCUUUUUCUAUUCUAAAUUUAUUUACGUAAAUAAUUGAUUUAUAAAUAUUAAUUAAUCAUGUAAGCAAUAUAUGAGACUUAUCUGAAAUAAUAACUUGUCUCAAAGAAAUAAGAAAUUGAAGAGAAUGUAAAUACAACAGUUUUAAUGCACGUGGUUAAUGCUUUUGAAUAACAAAACUAAUUGCUUAUGUAGCUCAAGUGGUUUGAGUGAUGUAUUUGUAUUGGAGAGAUCUUAGGUCCAAGUCUUAUGAAAAACAAUUUUUUUAUAUAUAUGAGGAGGAGGCAGGUUCGGAGUUAGGCUCGGGUUCGGAGCUAGGUAAUUUAUUUGCUCAGGAGGGAGGCUUAACACGAACCUGUUGUGCUAUUAUAUAUAUAAGUAGAAGUCCCCUGCAUUGUCAAUUUAUCAUAGUAACUUUCACUCAUUUGCCGUAAAUUCAAAUUUCCAUAAUUAUGCGUAAUUAAAACAAGUACAUUAUUUUAUUUCCUACCUAUUUUUGAUAUAUAUACUCUCUUGUUUUUGCUUUUUAUUAGAUUUACUAUCAUUUUUACAUUAAUUAAAAUCUAUAAACAUAUAUGUGUGUGUGAUUUUGUUGUAUAUUGAUUUAUAUUUUGUUUGUUUGUUUUUUCUCCGUAUAUCAUGGAAGCGAGCUGUUAUGUGACUUAUGGGUAUUAUUUUCUCAUUCAUUUAUGCUCUGUUGUCUAAACGUCCGGAACUAUACUUGCAUGACUUUAGUUAGAUGAUAAACUUUCUUUGAAAGAAAGAAAUCUGGAGACGGUUUAUUGUAUACCGUUCAUCAGCCGGAACAUAGACUAAAAUUAUCUUAUAAUGACCGUCACGACUACAUAGAUUUUGAAAUGGCCUUUCUAUCUAGCUAGUAAUUCUCUCCUAAGCAACUGAAAGAAGGUCUUCACUUGUUUUCACAAUGUCUAACCUUAAUUUUCUGAGUCAUUUUUAUAUCCUUUUUCUUGUAGUUGCAUCCAUGGCCUUCUUCGUUACAAUUUAUCACUGUAUUGUGGUGAGUUUCCAAAAUAGAAUUGAGCGUCACAAUUCUGAUCAAGUGUCACAGUCCACUGUCCUCAGAAUACAGAACUUUUUACUUUGGCGCAAUGGAGUAAUGGACAAGAACGUAACAGUGCUCAAGAUCGUGGUGCCACGGUGCUGGGGCUUGAGAACUCGAAGAUUGAGCUUAUUCCAAGACAUAUAUUUGAAAAGGGUAAGGGGAUUCUUGAUGCAGAGUGUGCUGUUUGCUUGAGCGAGUUUGCAGAGGAUGAAGAAAUACGAACUUUGCCAGAAUGUUUGCAUUCUUUUCAUGUAGAGUGUAUUGACAUGUGGGCUGUGGCUUCAUUCGCAUCCUAAUUGUCCAACAUGUCGGGCCAAUGCUUCACCACCAUCCUCCUUCUUGCUAUUACAUCCUUGCCCGAAGUGAUACUAUGGUCGUGGCAUGGCAAGGCCAUGUGGUUAAUCUAGCAUAUUAGGAGAGAUGAAGAAUUGAAGCAAGGGACCGUAAAAUACAGGAUUUUAGUGCAGUCUGAUGCUUGGUUACGUUACGUGCAAAUGAAAGGUCAGCACUGGGCCAGCCCUUGCUAAGGCGAUCAAGGCGAACGCCUAGGACACCACUGUCCCACGAGCACCAAAAAAUCUAUGCAUAUGUAAUAUAUACAGUAAUAUAUAAUGAUAAAUUUAUGCAUUUAUAUAUAUAUACAUGCAUAUAAAUAUACAUGCAUAUAAAUUGAUUGUGUUGUUAAUCUUAAAAUAAUGUUUUUCUUAAAUCAUUGUCUAUUGACUUAAAUGUAUGUAAAAUUUUCCUUUACUAUCUUGAAAAAUAGGGGCAUCAUUUUCAAAAUUCGUCUAGGACACCCAAAUAUGUGAGACGGUCCUGGGUCACUGCGUCUUUCUUUUAUGUAGCAGAACUUGCAUUACAUGAAAACUGAAAGACUUGUUACCAGUUUCUUAUGUCAAAAGUAGAAGAAGAAUUUAAUUUGGUUAUUUUGCAAGCUACUGCAGCUGUUACCCUAUCUUUUCUGUAGAAAAUGGUUAUAGUUUUUUACACGCCUAACUAAAAAUUAUUACAACUCUAAAUCAAUAGAACAAGAAGCACAUUUGUUAUCGUUUGGCGAUUAGUUUGUAACCUUUAGAUGAAUAAAAUGAUGAACUCGAAAUCUUGCUUCAUAACAACGCAGAAAACAAAGCGGAAAUGUAUUGAUGUUUAUAAGAUUUAAUUACCAUUACAUUUUAUUGAGAAUGAAUAAGAGGGAUUGUCAAGACAUUGGCAAUCACAAGUGCAAUUACAUGCCUAAGGUUUCAUACCCCUAACCAUGUCUGUGAAUUUGAUCUUGCUUCCCAGUACAAACGCAAACACCAUCGACACACUUGCCUCCAUACGGACACACGUUCGUACAUCCAGUAUCAAAGCAUUUUGAAAUUUGAUCUUGUUUUCCGGUACAGACGCAAAGACCAUCGACACACUUGCCUCCAUGCGGACACACGUUCGUACAUCCAGUAUCAAAGCAUUUUGAAAUUUGAUCUUGUUUCCCGGUACAGACGCAAAGACCAUCGACACACUUGCCUCCAAACGGACACACGUUCGUACAUCCAGUAUCAAAGCAUUUUGAAAUUUGAUCUUGUUUCCCUGUACAGACGCAAUGACCAUCGACACACUUGCCUCCAAAAGGACACUCUUUCAAACAAUUAGUAGUGCAUCCAUGUACAUGCACCAAUGACACAGUAAACACCAGGACUAGUGUUAAGACUAUAGAAAACUGCUUCAUAUCUGAUGGUUUUUCUGGAGAAUAUAUAUCUGAAAGAUAUUAAAGAGAAAAUGUUUUCUCCUCUUCUUGCGAUUGUUUUAUUUCCAAUCGAUGAAGAUCCUCCACUAUAUAUACAGACAUAUUAUACAAUCACUCGGAGUGAUUGAUAUUUACACGAGUGAAUCACUCCAUCUCAAAGACAUAACGGUGGGAUUUCAUAAUAAAUACAUAUUAAUUGUGAUUGAUAUGAUAAUUAGAGUAUAUGUGUUGGUAAAUCAUACAUUCUUUGUUUUAAAAAAUUUGAUUACAAUCAUAGUCGACUUGAUUAUUCCGUGAAAAUCUCAGAGAAAUUGGGUUCUUUUUAAAAAUAUCCAUCUGUAAAAUUACUUUUCUAAAAAUACUACCAUCUUUAUCAUUGUUUUUAAGAAUAUCUUUUCAUAAAUUGUUUUUUUCAAAAAUACGAUUUGCAACUCCAGGCGGCGCCAGCCGUGUUGCAACUUCAUUUGCAACCUCAUUUGCAACUUUUGCAACCUCAUUUGCAACUAUAUAUAGUUUUCAGUUGCAUUUAGUUGCAACUGAGGUUGCAAAUGAAGUUGCAACUGCAGUUGCUUGCAACCUCAUUUGCAGAAUUUGCAACUUACAGUUUUCAGUUGAAUUAGUUGCAAUUACAAUUGCAAGAGUUGAAACUUUCUAUUUUUAUUUGCAACUUUUGCAACCUCAUUUGCGACUUUUGCAGCCUCAUUUGCAACUGAAAUGGUUGCGCCGCCCAAGGUUGCAAAUGAGGUUGCAAACCGUAUUUUUGAAAAAAAAAAAUUUAUGAAAAUGUAAUUUUAAAAAUAAUUCUGAAAGGUAGUAUUUUUGAAAACAAUAAAAGAAAAGGUAGUUAGUUUUGUAGACUUCCCAUAGAAAUUCCAUUUAACUAGGGUAGGAUAAGUGUUAAUUAACUAAUCCUACUAAAAUAUUGAUAGUAAUAUUUACAUGAUCAUAUAAUAUUUUAACAUUUUUCUUAUUUAAUCCAAUUUUAUAUCGAGCUUGAAUUGUGGGUGUACAUAAGUUUGCUUUAGUCUCCACAAGUCUAAACUCAUAUUACUCACUCCGCUCAAUUUAUAAGUCCUUUUGUUUAAGUUUCUUUUACUUUUCCAAGAGUCUUAACUAAUUUUGGAUCAACUAUUACAAAAUAUUAUUUGUUGUUUUAGAAAAUAAAAAGUUACAUAUUAAAAUUGAUUUGAUUUAUCUUUUGAUGAUUUUUUUUGCCAGAGAAAACUCAAGUAUGAAGAAAAGCGAGAAAAUCUGUGUUAAUUACGUACAAUGUAUAGUAUUCUUUUCUUAAUUGCAAUCAUAAAUAUAAGGGCAAUUUUGGACAGAAUCUUGUGAAUAAUUACAUAUCUUUUAUUUAUGGUAUUUCCAAAAUUCAAUUUCUGCCACAAUUAAUGUGAAUUACAUUUCCAAAAUUCAAUCAAUUAAAUUAAUUUUGAAUAUAUCUUAAUAAAUAUAUUAACUCCUAAUAAAACACUUAGUGGAAUCAACCAAAUAAUAAAUUUAGCAGACAUAAGAUUUUACAAAAAAUCGUACUAAUAAAUACAUUAUGAUUCUAUUAAGAAUUUUAUUAAUAUGUUACAAAAAAUGUCAUAUCAAUAUUAUUAAGAUUUUACUAAGUAAUUCACUAAUGACAUCGGAUUUCUACUAUUUUAAUAUUCGAUAAAUUUAUUCCAUAUUAUUAAGUUCUAUCAUUUGAUUCCCUAACUAUAUCAAGAAUUUAUUAAAAAAUUGUUUCGUCCGUUAGUCAUAUAUUGACAUUAUUUAUUAUGUAUUCUUUUUAAACAAUGUAGAAUUUAAUAUAAUAAAUUUUAAUGAUACAUUAAUUAAUAUUCUAAUAAUUAAUGCAUUAAAUUUUCGAAUCUUAAUAAAAUAAAAUACUUAAGAGAAUUUUAACAAAAUAUUUUGUGUUGUAGAUUAAUUAGUAUUAGUAAUAUGUAAUAAAACAUUUUUAAGUGUCUUCAAAUAGAAAUUUUUAUUAUUUAUUUUAAAAGAACAUAUAAUAUAUUUUUAUAUAUUAUUAUUGUCUAUUCUAGAUAUUUAACAAUAUUAUUAAAUUUGUAAUAAGAUUUCACUAACAAUAUAAAAUUAUUAUAAAUUUCUAAAUCAUGUGAAUAAGUGUAUUUUAUAAAUACGUUAAGAUUCUAAUAAAAAGUUUUAUCAGGUUAUUCGUUAGAACAAUUAUUAGAGAUUCGUUAGAAACACGAGUAGAAAACAUUAGAAUUUUUUUAUAUUAUAUAUAAUCAAAUUAUCAAAAUACAUAAUAAAACUUUUCGAAGAAUCUUAGUUUAUUUAUUAAAUAAGUUUAAUAAUAAAAUUAAUAAUAAAAUUUAAUUUAAUAAUAAAAUUAAUAUAUAUAGAAGAUUCUCUAAAAUAUUCUAUUAUUUAUAAGUAAUAAAUAUUUGUAUCAUGCAAGAUUCUUUUAGAAUAUUUAAUUUUUUUUAUAUAUUAUUCACUCUAUAAUAUUCUUUUGACUCUUCAAAUAUUUUUAAAUUAAUAUUAUUUUGAAAAAUUUCAAACUAAUUAAUAUUUAAGAAUUCUAAUUUAAAAUUAUAAUAAUAUUUAAAGGAACACUUUAAGAAACCUUCAAAUGUUAAAUGUUAGAGGUGAAACACUUAACAGAAUCUUAAUAUUAUUAAUAUAUAUAGAAAAUUCUCUAAAAUAUUUUAUUAUUUCUACUAAUAAAUAUUUGUAUCGUGCAAGAUUCUUUUGAAAUAUUUAAAAUAUUUUUGUAUAAAUUAUACAUCCUAUAAUAUUUUUUUGACUCUUCAAAUAUAUUAUUAAAUUAUUAUUAUUUUGAAGAAUUUCAAACUAAUUAAUAUCAAAGAAUCUAAAUUAAAAAUUAUAAUAAUAUUUAAAAGAACACUUCAAGAAUCUUUCAAAUGUUGAAAGUUAUAGGUGAAACACCUAAUAGAAUCUAUACAUAUUAUUAACAUAUAUAGAAGAUUCUCUAACAUAUUUUAUUAUUUCUAGUAAUAAAUAUUUAUAUCGUGCAAGAUUUCUUUAGAAUAUUCAAUGUUUUUUAAGAAAAUAUUCACCCUAUAAUAUUCUUUUGACUUUUCAAAUGAUUUUAAAUUAGUAUUAAAUUAAUAUACAAGAUUCUCUAAGAUAUUUUAUUAUAAAUAUUAUAUGUUAAAUGUAAAAUGUAAAAUAGUAGUUUUCAAAUCUUUUCAAAGUGAAUCUUUUAAAAUUUGAAAUUUGAAAUUCAAACUGAAUAUACAUUAAAUGAUUGAUUGAUUGAUUGAGAUAUGAAGAAUCUAUUUAAAUAUGAUAUUAAUGUGCGAUUGAUUUUAUAUAUAUUUAUGUUACAAAAUUACCCUAUAUACUCUAGAGUUGAUUGACAUAAUUAAUAUGUACAAUACAUAGUAUUAUUAAACAAGUAUACGUGAUCAACGGUGAUUAACAGGGUUCCUCAGUUUUCUUAAUAACAGCAUCUCCAACGGGGUUGGCUAUAAUCGUUGGCUAAAUUGAACCUGUAAGACAAUAUGUAAAAUUUGCCGAACCUGUAAGACAUUGUACUUCAAUGGUGUUGGCUAUAUUGGUUGGCUAUAAUUUAAAAAUAGGAUGUUAUUAAUAUUUUAGAUUUUUAAAAUAGAAUAUAUCAAUUUAAUAUGGUACUAAAUGAUGUGUAAUCUUCCUACAGAUCUCUUACAAGCCUGUAGAGGUUCGACAAAUAUAGCCAUCUAUAGAAGGUUGACUAAAAUUAUUGAUAACAGAUUAACAUGGUUGGAGGGAGACCUUUUCAACAGAUUGGCUAUAUUUUUUAUAUUUGGCAAGACAACUCAUCAUUUAACUAAGAGGUUUGUAUGGUUGGAAAUGCUCUAAGUGGGUUUUCUUAGGAUCUUCCUCAUGAUAAUUAACUUAGGCAUCGAACCCACAAAUCCGUCCAUACUCCCUAUAAAAGACAUAGGCAUCCUCAAUAGUAGCGAAUUGCUGAUUCGCAUAGGGUGUCUUACUGACGCAUUUAGGAGUAUAAUAUUUUAUCCCAUUUGCUUCAACACAUGUCAUUUCAGGUUCCUCAAUACUGUUAAAUUCAACAUUACUUGACUGUGUUGACAAAUGUUCAAUUUCAUCAUCCGAAUAUGAACUACCAAUGUCUGGAACAUCAGAUUCAUGAUCAGAUCUCUCUGAGUCUGAGCUCUCAAUAUGUGGGGCAGACACGGAACCUACAUCGCAGAAGUAUAUCGUUAAACGUACUUCGGAACAUACACGCUAGGAAAAACAAACUCAAAAAACAAUGUAAUUAAAAGAUGUUCUGCAGUAUACAAAAAAUCAGAUACAAGUACAAUGUAAUGCUUUGUAUGUCAAACACUAUUGAAGAACAUAUAUAUAUAUAAUCUGUUCUGCAUUAUAACGCGAAAUACUAACAAAAGCCAGAUUAUAAAUCAGAAAGAGGAAAAAACGAAAAAAAAGAACCAUUCCCAUCAGACACGAUUAAAACAAACGAACACACAAAUCACAUCAAAUCAAAUCAUCAAACCUAGGAAGAAACACAAUAACGUACUUGGUUCUUCAUAUUGAGAAGCCAUGUCAAGCACAGAACACAAAAAUCGAAAAAAUAUUUACUCGUGAAUCUUUGGUUAAAAAAUUGUAUCAAAAACAGAACACAGAUUGCAAGCCCAAUAAGGUGUGACUUAUCAAGCGUAAUUGUUUCCCCAUAAUUCUGCACUGCACUUACGUGAUGUUAACAGCGUUAAAACUAACGGAUUAGAUAAAAGAAACUGUAAAACUAUUUUUUUAUAUUUUACUUAAAAUAAAAGAGACAUAAAAUAAUGACCAUCAGAUUAAAAUGUAAUGGAUGGCCAGGAUCUUGGACUCCUAAGACUCCAAAAAAUGUGUGAACUCCAUAGAACUUACUUCAUAAUAUAUAUAUAUAUAUAUAUAUAUAUAUAUAUAUAUAUAUAUAUAUAUAUAUAUAUAUAUAUAUAUAUAUANNNNNNNNNNNNNNNNNNNNNNNNNNNNNNNNNNNNNNNNNNNNNNNNNNNNNNNNNNNNNNNNNNNNNNNNNNNNNNNNNNNNNNNNNNNNNNNNNNNNNNNNNNNNNNNNNNNNNNNNNNNNNNNNNNNNNNAUAUAUAUAUGCCCAACAUUCAAAAAGAGGGACUCCUUAUAUGGAGUUACAUAGUGCGCCACUAUAAAUCAUCAAUUUUAUUAUAAAUUCUGUUAUAGAAUACAUAUAAAACGUGAUUCUAAUAUAGAAUACUAUAAAAUAAAUCCAUUUUAAGUAAUUUAACACUUAAAAUUUGAUUAAAAAAAGUAUAUUUUCGAAACUGUUCUACAACAGAAUAAUUCUGGAUGAUUAUUAUUCUGUUAUAGAAUCAUGUUGAGAUAUUGCAUAAUUGUAGAUGAUCUUUGGAAUAAAAAAAAUGUAUAACUUCGUUUUCAGUUUAAUAAUCAAAAUUUGUAAUUAUAUUUCAUAAAAAAUAUAACAUAAUAUAUAUUAUGUAUAUAUUUAUAAUGAUGUGCUACGUAACUCCAUAUAAGAGGGUAUGCUAUGUAGUGCUACCCUAUAUAUAUAUAUAGGGAGCUAUUCUAGUACAAACUCAACUAAUCUAAAAACCUACAAACCUGGUCCGAUCCAAUAGCAAAGCCCAGUCCAAUAAACAUAUUAUAACACCGCCCAGUCCAUCAUACAAAACAUCCGCCAGUCAGACAAAUUUAAUAUUAUAGUCAGAUAUACCUAUACAUACAUUACAGUGACGCUGCUUUUGCUCUCGCACUGUUCAUCUUCCUCAAAACAAAAGGUACGAAUAACAUUUUCUUUCAAUUACUCACUGAUUUCUUCGUGUAUUUGAUACAACGGUUCAAUUUCAUAGCGAAAUCGAGCACUGAAGUCGAGCAAUGAAUUAAGCAAAAUCAGUUUCAAAAAUCUUCAAAAGGUACAUUCCUAUGCUUUUUUAGUGAUUUAAGUGAAUAAAUCUUUCGUAGUGAUUGCAUGUCAGUAUAAUGAUGAUUCCCAGGGUUUAUUUUUGAUUUUUGACAAAAGCUAACUGUUCAUUUUAAUGUUUCUCUAUGACAGCAGGUAAAUCUUAUUUAUUUCAUAGUGAAGGCAUAAUUUAAUGGCUAGAACUAAAGGAGGUAUGAUUUUGAAAAUUUUCUAUGAUUGCAUACUUUUUUUUUUAUGAUUUGACUGUUAUUGAAUAUCAAACUGCUAGUGAUUGUAUUUCUCAGCACAUUAUGUGUUAGUGAUUGUAUUUAUCAUAAAAAAUUUUGUUAUUGCAUACUUGUUUUUUAUGAUUGUAAGUUUCAGCACAUUAUGUGUUAAUCACUAUCUUCUGACUCAAAUUAAGUUAGUAAUUAUUUGUUUAUAUUUUAGUGAUUGUAAUGCUGAUUGUGAUAACAAAUUGAAUGUAUUAAGUUCUCCUAUUGAAACUCCAGUGAUUGUAGAGCUAUAUUAGUGAUUGAACAGCCCAAGCUAAUGACAUUUCAAUAAUUAAAUAACAUUGUUGUUAAUUGCUAGUAAAUUUGUAGCCAAAUGUAUACAUACAUUAAUGUCCCUUAAGACUGGAUAAUUGUAACUUUAAAAAAUCUAUAUCUACAUAUAUAAGAAACUACUAAGAGUCAUGUGAUUAAUUUAGUACCUUAGGCUUGUAUUAUAGUGACUGAUUAACUUAUAAUUGUCAUUGUAGUCAUUCUAGACUUGUUUUGUAGUGAUUGCACGCUCUUAUGAUAAAACACAGAGUAUACCUUCACCUUAGUGCUAGCAUAUAUAGUAUUAUCACCAUAUAUGUUGUUGAUAAUUUUGUUAGUGUCAAAAUAUUUGGUGCCAUUCACUAUGUUAUUAGAUUCAAAAUUGUUGUUAUGAACUUGAAAUUACUUUUUUAAUGUGAUAUAAUAUUAUAUCUGCAUAAACUUAAAUGGCAUACACUUGUGCAAUAUUAUGUUGAUUAGUGCAUAAACUACAAAAUUUUUAUGUCACUGAAUAUUUAUGACUUUUAGAGCGGGGGAUGAUUACUUUUAGAGGACGGGUGAUGACUUUUAGGAGGGAUGAUGAAUUUUACAGGGCGGGUGAUGAAUUCUGGGGGGGGAGGGAUGAUGAAUUUUAUAGGGCGGGUGAUGACUUCUGGGGGUGGGGGGUUUAACUAAUUUAGUUUUUAUUUUGUGGUUUUUGUUGGAGUUGUUUAUAGUGGUUUUUGCAAUACCAAUUUGUUUAAAAACAGCAUGAUAUUGUGGUCUGUCUGUUUUAGUUGAUUGUAGAGUUAUAUAUUUUAGUGAUUCUGAUAAGAGUCCUCUGAUUCUUUUUUUAAUUUAGGCAUGAAUAAUAGUGAUUGUAGGCUUAUUUUAUAGUGAUUGUUUACAUUACAUAGAGUACUGUUAAGAUACAAUGUUAAUGUUAAAUAUAGUGAUUAAUCCACUAAAUAAGCUGAAAAACUUAGUGAUUCUAGUCUUGUUUUUCAAUGAUUAUAGGCUUUAUUAUGGAAAGACCAUUAUUGUCAUAUAAACUACUAAAAUACAGAGUGAUUGUAGGCCUAUGAUGAAUUGAUUGUAGCCCCUAGGGGCAUCAUGACAUAUGGGGGGGGGGGGGGGGGGAGCUUCUGGAGUUCUACAUGUCAAAAAAUGGCAUGUAUGUUUAAUCCCUUUCCGAGAUUCAUGUUUGCAGGACAUAGACCACAGCUUAGAAGAAGCUCCAAAAUAAGACAACAAAGUUUCCCCAAAAGUACAAGCACGGAAGCAAUAUAUCUUGUACAAUCAAGCAGUGCUUCAGAGCCUGACGAUAAUAUGGACCGCCAAACAAAGAUAUAUCGUAAGUCGGGAAAUAAGGCUAAAGUCACAGCAGGAAGACCAGUUGAAGAUCCUCAUCACACCACUGUAUAUCUUUGUUAUUGUUCUCAUAUACUUAAUGUUAACAUUUUACAAAAUUGUAUACUACUAAAAUAUUUAUUCUGUAUCUAUUUACCAGGAAUCAAGCGGACGUAACUACACACUAGCAAAUUUGCAAAAAAACUCACCACCAGUACUCUUAAAGAAGCCGCCCACCACAACCAAUGAUUGUUUCAACAACUACUUUUGAUGAAAUCCAUGACGACAACUUGACAAACAAUGAUUGUUUAAGAACUAGUUAGCUUAUUUUUGUGAAUACUCGACAAGCAAUUAUUGUAUGGCAAAUUAUCUGUCGUAUUCUAUCUUAAUUAUUCACUUUUUCAUGAUGCUAUUGUACAAGAGAUUCUAAACUGUUCUACAAGUAUCAAUUUUACUUUUAACUUCUUCAGAGGUUGCAAAUUCAGUUCAGUAAUAUGAGUAAUUUAAUUUAUGCUAUUAACAUGUUCCAAAUUUGUAGUAUGUGCUUCAAAUUUUACUAUAAUAUGUACAAAUCUCAAUCCAUUGAACUGCAAAUACAAAAAUAACGACUAAAAAACAUAACUACUGUUUUUAAAAUACAGCUAAACUUCAGUGAUUGGAACUCACAUUCUAGUGAUUACAACAUCACAUUUUAGUAGUUGGACCAUAAAAAAUUAAUGAUUGGAAAAUAUAUUUACUAUAUAAUCCACAAUAUAUUCAUUCAAAUGAACAUAAACUGUCAAAAACUAAGUAAUAUCAAAUUCAUACUAACUACUGUACAUUUUAAACAAAAUAUGACCACUUUUACAACAACUUUUCUUCAAUCUACACUUUCUUCAAUCUGUGCUUUCUUCUUCUUCUUAUCACAUGUCCUGGAGUCAUGAGUAGUUGCACCACACUCUUUGCAUUUUCUUACUCUUUUUUUGGCUUUCUUCUGUUCCCUUACGAACAUCAAAACCUCCUAAAUGACCAUAAUUCUUGUAAAAUAAAAACGCUUUUUCCAAGCUGUCAUGAACUUGAUUAACAGCUGGCACACAACUAAGAUCAACAACAGAUGGUAAAUAAUAUUUCCGUCCACCAGGAGACAAAACAUAGCUUGAUACUGAACCAUCAUUUUCACUAGAAGAAGGAUCACAACUCGCAUUUGAACUACUAAUAUGAGAUAAGUCACCACAACUAGAACCUGCAUCCGCACAUGAAUAACAAUUAAAAGCAAAAACUACACACACUACUAAUCAACUGCAUAACAAUUAUAAACCUAUAUUAUAUUGUAGUGAUUUACAUCAUCAAACUAUAGUGAUUGUAGAUUUAUAUUAUAGUGAAUAUGGAGUUACAUUGAACAGAUAACUUUGAUACACUACAAUAAACCACAAAAUUAGAUUAAGUUCAGCCAUAACAAAACAACAAUAUCUCACUGAACAAAACAAAUUUAUAUGUGACCAAAACACAGAACAAGUUGAAUAAUAAACCAAAACAUAAACAUGAAAUUAUCACUGAAUACCUAUAUUACUAAUUAAACUCAUCUGAUUUACUAGUUAACAUCAUAUAUUAUUAAAAACUACUAGACAUUCAUACAUAUGCAAAUUGAAAACAAGAAACUACAACUUUCAAACAAAACAUCUAGUACAUCAUCAUCUCCAUAUCUCCAUAUAAUCAUUCACAAUGAGAAACUACAAAUGUAAUAAAAAAAACUGUUAAUCAGCAUCAUUUGGCAAAAGAAAAAACAGUACAAUCACUAAACAACAUAUACACUACCAUCAUAUCACAAACAUUACACACAAGAACAAAAAACUGAAUUUACGGGGAAAAUACAUACUUGACCUCAAAAAAACAAAAAACCACACAGGAUAAGCUAAUUUCAACAUCAAAACAACACAUUUUUUAACACUAAAAAUACUAAACCGAAUUGCAAUAACAACAUUAUUAAAAGCGACAAUUGCAAAUAGUAAAUUAAACACAAAUUUCAUAUAAUCGAGGACAUGAAAGCAAAAAAGUAACUCUUGCCUUGAUUAUCACUGAUUUUGAUAAGAUCUCUUGUAAUCAUCGUGUACAACUUCAAUCACCGACUCCGACAAAAGCUUCAACACGAUAAUGAACGCCUCCAGUACGAUACUACCUCAAUUGAGCAUAAGAGCAAGCAUACGAAAAUCUCUCCAGAAGCUCGAAGAGAACGAGAUGAAAAUCUGAAGACAACAGUAACGAUAAAACAUGAGAGAGAAAGAGAGAUAGUAGAGAGAGAAGCAGCAACGCGUUAAAUGACACGUAAUCCAUAUCUUUUGUUCUUAUUUUAAAGCAAAUAAACGGAUGGCUACGAUUAAAACUAGCUACACAUAUAUCAAGGGCCCAGAUUAGUUCCUAGUUUUUAUUAAAAAAUAGGUUUGUAUUUGAACAAAAGCCUAUAUAUAUAUAUAAUAAUUUUUACCUAAGAGCUCGGUAGGAAGAAAAUUGAAACCCUCUGGUAUGUCACAGACAAAGUCCCCUGCAUCGUCAAUUUAUCAUAGUAACUUCCCCUCGUGUGCCGUAAAAUUCAAAUUUCCAUAACUAUUCGUAAAAAAAACAAGAGGAUAUUUGUGUAAAUAGAGGACAUCCACGUAUACAAACUGAAUGACACAUCACUUUUUUAUAUUACCUGAUCCCAUGUGAGCAUUUCUUGGACAACGUGACAUCUUUAGUCUCAACAUUAAUUUAGACAAGGAUAUGUUAUGCCCACCCUUUUUCCCACUCUUUACUUACCCCCUCCAGCUGUGAUUUUAUUAUUAUUUUUUUCUGCCCAAGUUUUUAGAGUUUUGAGAUUAAAAACUAUUAUUAAACUCAUGGUUAGCACAAAGUCAUAUUCCAUUUGUUGUUCAUUUUUCUGUUUAGUAAUCAUGUGAUUAUCCCCAUUUUAUAGAUUGUCUUUUUUGGUUUUAAUAAAGUUGCAAAGAUAGAGAGAUAAGUUUUUUGUAAUCAUACUUCAUGAUUCAAUAAUGUGAUUUUGUGUAAAAAGGGUCUUUGGUCAAAAGUGUUAUUCACUCUUGGAUUCUUGUUUUUGUGUUGUGUCUUGGUGAAAUGAGACUACUCAUUUAUAGUACCUAAAAAGACUUCAACUCUCUUUCUUGUGUUUUUUUUUGUACUAGUUUUGUGGUGUAAACAAUCUGCUUGCAGUUGAGGAAUCAGGAUUUUGGAUUAGUGGGAGCUGAAGUAGACUAGAUUGAGAUCAGAUGCAAAGAUGAAAUCUUUAAAUACAGUAGGGCUAGCUCUGAGUGUUGUGUUUGGGUGUCUUUUGCUAGCUCUUGUUGCUGAAAUUUACUACUUGUUAUGGUGGAAGAGAAGGUUUAGAAGUAGAGAUUUAGAAGAUGGUUAUAACAGCAGCCCAGCUACAAGAGAGUUCUUUUACAUGUUUUGUUGGAAAAAGCCAUCAUCUUUGAGCUCAACAGCUUUAAAUCCAGGGGAACUCACAGAAACUAGCAGCACCCAUGUUCAAGAAUCACUGUCAAAUGGUCAAUCUAGCAAGGACUUUUGGUUCAGACCAUUUGGUGAAGAUAGUGUAGAAGCUGAGCUCUUGGGCCUGCAGAAUCUCUCUGGCCCACCAAGAUUUCUGUUCACUAUCAAGGAGGAAACUAAAGAGGAUUUGGAAUCUGAAGAAGGUGGUGGCAAGUCAAGAAAGAGCUCAAGAACCAGGAGUUUGAGUGAUUUGGUUCUUAAUCCAGAGACUCCAUUUUUGACACCUCUUACUUCACCAUCUUAUUUUACACCUCCUAGAACACCUAUGGAUACUUUGUACAAUCACAAUGGAUUCAACCCUCUCUAUGAAUCAACAAGUGAUGCUGAGUUCAAUAAGAUAAAGUCAUCCCCACCUCCAACUUUUAAGUUCUUGAGAGAUGCAGAAGAUAAAUUGCAGAAGAAAAAGUUACUUGAAGAAGCUGAGAAUUGCUCUCAUAAGAAAGAAAGAUUUGUGACAGAAGAUGAAGAUUCUUCUUUUAUCACACUCAUUGUGCCUAGACAAAACAAAGAAAGAGACACAUUUUACUCUUCUAGCUCCUCACAGGUUCUUCCUCUGUCUGCUUCACCUCCCUCCUACAAACACUCAUCUAACAAGAAACCAUCUUUACAUUAUAAUUAGAGACAUUUUUGUUGUAUUUGUAAGAUUUCUCAUCUUAUUUUGUAUGAAUCUUUAAUUUUUCAGUAAAAAAAGUGGUAUUUAUUCUAGAUAAGUUUAAGAAUGAGCGAGAAUCGAACUCAGAACCGCAAUCAGAUAAACCAUGGCAACUUGGCUAUGCCAUUCUUUAGUUUUUAGAAAUCCUUACUGCUAGACUUUUUUAGUUAGUUUGUUUUUUGUUACAUGAGUGAUGAAGUUGAUGAUGCAAAUGCCUAGUGCUAGAGAAUUGCAUCCUGAAUUUUCAGAAGGAGACAGCAUUUCCUUAGAGACUUUAACUGAUUGUAAGUUUGGUGAAAUGAUGCCAUUGGAGGGGCUAGUGAGAAUGAUUUGUUUUUAUUCAAUCUAUGUGUCCCUUCAGCUGUGUAAUGAUUCAACACAUGUUAUCAUUCUUGUGGAUGAUGAUGCUAGUUUAGAACUCAUUGUAUGAUAUUGUCAAAAAGGUCAUUGUAUAUUCUUAUCAAAAUUUAAUGUAAAAUCAACUUUUUGUUGUCCAAUAAAUCUCUGUAAGCUGGGACUUAUCUAUUGUGACCAACUCAUUCAUCCAUAUCGUAAGUUUCAUUGGAGGCACUUGCUCCAUUUCCCGGAUGCUAGUGGUCCUGUCUCAGUUCUCAACCAGAAACUGCCUUAUAAUGUUAAUCGAUCAUCAGAACUAACCGAUUGACCUUUUAUCAGAAAUUUAUCAUCAAUUUUUUCGAUAAAUCAGAGAUUUUAGUCUGAUCGAAGUAUGAUCAGUAAAUCGGUAAAAUAUUUUUUAAUGAUCAAUCAGAUAUUAAUCGAGAAUCUUCAAAAUAUUCCUAAAACUUACGGAUAACUUUUACAACCGACAUGAGAUAACCCGUAAAUUUCGACGAAAUUUCUAACUUAUAAUGUUAACCAAUUUAUAUUCGAACAAAGUCCUUUCUUCAAAAUUUAAGAUUCUGCACCUUGCACUGAAGCUGAAGCAUGAGUGGUCUGCGAGCACUGGGGAUAAGGAAACCUCAUAGAAAAAGUGCAUGAGUUUGAUUGUUUGCAUAAAUUAUUAAUAUUCUAUAUUCUCUCGUUCUAAUAAAGUAUUGAAUCUUAUAGCACUAUAUUGUAGAAAAAUGUGAUAGUUUUGGUCAUUUACCUAAACAACAAGGAACGAGAAGCAAGCGUUCGUGACAAUAUCUGGUUUGGUAAGGCCGAAAGGCAAUGCACACACUGAAGAAUCAUUACAGAGUUUACUUUGACAGAGCACUUGUAUAUAAAUAUAUGUUGUUGAAUUUUGUGGGUGAAAUUUACAGGCUUUAGAAUAGGCGCCAAUCAUACACAUGGGUCUGUCUAAUGUAAAAUUAUUACAUACGAGACCGUAAGAUUAAAAAUAAAAGUUAAUUUGUCCAGUUUCUCAUGUCACGUUGCAGGAUUUUUCCAACUGUUAAAACCUGAUUUGUGAGGUUAAAAAAUGCAAGGUACAGAGUUACAGGUGAACUUUUUUUUCAUGAAGGUAAAUAUAAAAAGUAAGAGCCUGUUUGUCCCGACUUAAAGCCGGGAUUUAAAGUUUAUCCAAAUUUAAACUGAAAAAUGUCAGUUUGUGUAAUAAAUUAGAAGUCAGUUUAAAGUCAAAAAUAAGUCAGGAAGUUGACUUAAAGUGAGAAGUCAGUUUGAGGUAUUUUUUUUCAGGGACUUAAUUUUUUUGAACUUUUUUUUGAUAAAAUUUACCCCUAAGUCAUAAGCUACCAAUAAAUCAAUUUUAUUUUUAUUUUUAUAUUUUUAAUAACUUUUAAGUCAUUAGUAAGUCAAAAUUACCCAAACAUACAUUUAAAACUUUUAGUUUAUCACAUAAAUUUCGUUAAGUCAUAAGUCAUAAUUCCAGUCGAACGGGCUCUAAACCUAAAAGGCUUUUAAAGUUAUGUAUUACUCCCUCCGUUUCAAUUUACAUGUCCACUUUUAAGAAAAAUUUUUGUUUCAAAUUACUUGUCCACAUCAACUUUCAAUGCAAAUGUAUAUUUCCAAAGUCAAUUCUACUCCACAUAUCUUUUAUUUAUAUUUCCUAGAUCAAUCUCACUCCACAUAUUUUGAUCAUUUAAUGCAAUUAAUUUGUGAAUAUUCACUUUUCUUAAAUUGUGUGAUUUUUUAAAGUGGACAUCUAAUUUGAAACAGAGGGAAUAUCUAAUAUAUACACCGUCAUAUGAAUAAACAUGAUUAUAAAUUGUUUAUUUGUAAAGGAGGAAGAACAGAUAAAAGUCGCAAGGGACAUGAAAGAACACAUGUGGCCUGUUUGAUUUCUAAUUUAGUAUUUUAUGUACUCAUAUUAUAAUAUUUACUAACAUGCAAGUUCUACUGGGGGAGUGGACUGGUGAAAUAUACACGAUCACUUGAUUUUGGUUUGUGGACGGUUCAUUGAGAUUUGUUAAUUUAUAGAUUGGAAUUUCCCGACUUUAACUCUUUUAAAAGCUUUGAGAUUUAAGAAAAUUUUGAAUCUGAAGCUUUGAUUUUGGUAUGUAUUAUUUGUAUAUAUAAUUUGCAUGUAAUUAUUGGCCAACAUGUUUUCCGAGUAAUAUCAUUGAAAAAAAUUUAUGAACAUUUUGUUGGAUCAGACUUUUAUGCUUUUCAAUAUUUUUCAACAUAUCUGGCUGUGAUAAUGAAUUAUGAACCAAACCAACAUAUUCGUUAUAUCCCGUUUUAAAUCGGGCCUGAAGUGGGUAAAAUAUACCUCCUACCCUUUAACUUAACUAGAGAGGUGCUUUCUUUUAUCUCUCGUUUUGAGAGUCGACUCCCGUAUUAGGGUUUCAGCCGUCACUUCUCCGUCUUCCAGAUUUUCAUCUUCACACCAAUUAACCAAUUCGCUCUCUCAUCCCUUUUAUUAUUUUACUAGUUUUUUAAUAAAAACAAGAUCUAAUCUUGUUUGAGUACCUUGUUAUCAAGGUUGUGUGCCCAUCUUUUUGGGAUGUCAGUGUUAUGUUUUCGUAUUUUUAUGUGUCUUGAUGUGUCGUUCGAUUAUCAAUCUGAAAAGGAUUUAUACGGUAUUUUGGGAGAUCGGUAAGACUCGCAUCGAUUUCGGAACGAUGGUGGAUAUCGCAAGAGCUCACCUUUCACAACAAAUAAUUGUUCAUGUUUUGGAGACGUUUGGUGCUCCAAGAUCAGUUGAUUUGACUGAUAGUUCUGAACAUUGGGCUACAGGUGAUGCUUAUGUGAAGGUCAAUUGCGAUACUACUAGUUUCAUAACUGAUGUAGGUUGGAUUGCUCGAGAUAUCAUUAUAAUACUUUUUAGAUCAAAGAAUAUGAAUAUUCUAUUUGUUAAGCGAUCUGAAAACAAAACGACUAUUUGUUUAGUUCGUUCUUUGUUUCACAAUCAGAUUGUAAUUGACAGUUCGGGGGUUUGUCCUGGCUGGUUUUAUGCUUCGUAUUAAAAAAUCCUUUGUUUGUCAAAAAAAAACUAGAGAGGUGCUUUCCGUGAAAACUCCGACUUAGUGCAUAAUAAAUAAAACAGUGUGAUAUAAUAUUAAUAUAAUACAUUGACACAUGACCUUUUUCACAUGGGACUUACUUAAAUAGUUUCGAUUGUCGAUGAUGGGCGACAAUGAUUUGGAACCAAGAUAUCAGAACUGUCAUUGCACACUUUCUUAAAUUAACUUGAUUCCUUUUUGUGUAAUUCAUUAUUCUCCAUUAUCUACGUUGCUAAAGCAACAACCGCCAAUACACUAACUGCCAUCAUUCCAACGGAGCCUAUUUCUUUCAUGCCCUCACUCCCAUUCCCAUGUAAUACUAUUGUAGAUGCCGACACGAAUUCUGACGCUUCCACCACAAAAAUACGGUUGUCAAAUUUAGAAACAGCGUGAAACCUUGCCAAAUCCUUCAACAAACCAACAUCAGUAAUGAUUCAUUGGUAUGCGCGGGUUAAUAUAAAUGAUUCUAAACUAUGAACGUUGAUCCUAUUUUGAUAUAUAUAAAUCUAUGUAAAUGAAGAAAUUAUAAUAGUAUAUUGAUUUUUUUUCCUUUAAGGAAUGAUGAAAUCAAGUUGCAACCAUAAUUUCUUGAAACAAAGAAGAUAAUUGGUAUCAUAUAAAAUUUACUACCUCUUUCAUAAAAAUUCUUAAUAUUUAUCACUCAUUUUAAUAUAUGUAAAAGAGAUCUAUAUAUACUAUUUAAUAUGUAUUGUAAUUUUAUCAAAUAUAAAAUUUAUAUAGUCUUAAAAUAUUGUUUCUCGUAUCGUAUAUAUUCUAAUAUGUUAAACCUGUAAAUAAAUAGGUCGUAUAUAUUUUUUUGAUAAAUAUUUAAAUAUAUAUAAUUAGAGUUAAGUUCUAUGGAGUACACAAAAACAUUGGAGUAUUCGAGUACAAGUCUUAAUUUUUUAGUUUAAUCAUAAAUAAUAUAUUUGAUUAUACAAAUUUAUAUACAAUCUAUCAUUCAUAAGUUGUCUUGCACAUAAUUGUCUAUCAAUCUUUAAUAUCUUUCAACUUUAACAAGUAUUAACAUUAUUGUUCUGCUUAUUAGUUAUAUUGCAGAACAUAGAGUCCUGUAAUUUAUAAAAGUCAUUAUUCUACCUUUUGUUUACAAUGUUUAUGUUGUGUAGAACAUAAUGUGCAGGUUAUUAAAUGUUUACGAAUAUUAUUGAACAAAAAAAUUGAAAUUUAGAUGAAUAGAUUAUAUUUUAUCCAACUUUGUACUCCAAUACUCCAAUAUAUUGUGUACUCCAUUGAACUUUACCAUAUAAUUAUAAUAAAAAGUAUAUAUAUAUGUGUCAAAAUAAUGAAGAAAUCUAUAAAUGGACAUAUAUCGAUCAAAAUAGUUAUUAAUGCAAUAAUAUAAUUCAGUAUAAAUUAGUUACUCCCUCCGUGCCUCUCAUUUCUUUACACUUUUUUUUGCAUUGUUCGAUGAGCAUUUUAAGAUAGAAUAUAAUUUUAUAACCUUUUUCUGAAAAUUUUCUUUUCUUAUAAAAAUUUAGAUAAUAACUAUUUAUUCUGAAAAAAAAUUGAAAUAUAUUUUCAAACUAUAUUUUUCCCUUCCCCCGACGUAAACGGAGGGACGGAGGAAGCAGCUGAUUUGAGGUCGUUUACGUGAGCUCUCAGGCCCAUGUUACGGCAUGCUCUUUCUGAUCCGUCCAUGGAUUUCCAACUUUGGGUUAUCUACACGGGCCUGUUCAGCGAGUUUACUAUUCGAGAGUCAGAUAUGCCCACAUAUCGUAGUCAUAGUACCACUGUACUAGUAUGCAAGGUCGGAGCCCAUUCCAUAAUAUUUAAACUUCUGAGCUUCAUAUAUAAUGCCAAUGUCUAUACCAUUACUAGCCUCAAAUUAUAUUUUAAUAUUAUUUAAUAUAAAAUGUUCAAUUAUGUUGUGAAUUAUCAUAAUUACUUUGUUUAGUAUGGAAAGUGAAAACCAUCGUAAUUAUUUAGCCAAACACAAUAUAUUUCAAUUUUCCUAAACUUGUAAGAAACAGUACAUAGCAGUAUUCUUUGCGGAAGACUUGGUAAACCUUUGCUUGAUAAAAUGAAAAAAAAGUAAUUUUUCUAAAGUUUCCGCAUGUUUUUUAAAAUAUUACUUUAAAAUUUAUGAGAAGCAAAUCUCUAUAUAAAAUCUUAUAAAAGUUAAUUAACUUCGUGCAUUCUGCUUGCACGGUUUCAAAACUUUUAUCACAUUGUUGUUAGAUUUCUACAGCAACCGAACUUUUUCGCUAGCACUGUUUUGAGGGACACACCUUUUGAACAGGAUUCUAAAAUCAUUACUUACUCCGUCUCAUUUUACCAAUUUCAUGUAUUUUAAGUUGUUAAAAAAUUCACAUCUAAAUAUAAUUUUUAAAAAAAAAAUUAUAAAAAUCUAAAAUUAAAUUUAUAUAAGAAUUGAUUUUUUUUAUUGUGUGUAGAUAUUUUUUUUUACACCUCAAUGUAUUCAAUAUAGGUGUGAAACAGUCAUGGGAAUAACAAAUAUUUGAAACUUUAGUGAUAAUAUAUAAAAUAUUACAUAUUCCCUCAAUUAUGGCGGUAUCGUACACAAACCCUGUUGAGUAAACUGUAAACCAUCAAGACCCCCGCUAUCAUAAGUCAUAACAGCACUUUUAAGCUCUCUGAGCUAAUUUCACAAACACCUGGUGUGCGUUUUGCUGAUCAUCCAUGAAAGGAAGCAAAACAGCUGUAUCUGUCGUUGAAAAAUGCAAGGUAGCAUCCCUUUAUCCCCCUCUAAUAUCUACUUGCGCAUAUAUGUGUGUAUAUAUUUUUGAUAAUUUAAUUUUUAUUUGCUUAUAAUGUAUUAUGUUCAUUUUGUAGACUAUAUUGACAUCAAAUUGGCAAGGGAAUCUCAAUACCAUCAUGGCUGACGCUCAAGGAAGGUAUUCACUGUGCCCCCAUCACGCUGAAAAUAAAUUAUUUUGAAUGUUUGAUCAGUUACAUUUCUAAUGCAGCAAAGGGGAGAUUUAUACGUCGAAAGUUAAUUACUUCAUUAAGAAAGGGAAGCCGUACUUAUGGGUACCCGAAGAGGACUUGCACAAUGUGGUAUGCAACUUGUUUUUGAUUGGUUUAUUUUUGUGGAUUAUAUUAUGUGAAAUUUUUGCAAGCAUGUGUGUUGCUUGUGUUUAUUCGUAAUUAUAUUGGUGUGUUUUGUUAAGCUCCUGAGAAGUGAAGCAGUUCAUUGAAGUGUUUUUGUAGAUCGUUGUUUCUGUUAUAUUGUAUCAUAAACAUGAUAAUUUUAACUAUGUUGUUAUUACUGUAACUGUUAUUUUUGUUGUUAUCGGUGCUGCUUUUGAAUUUGGUUUGGGGGUACUAUAGCCUUGAAUCUCUAGUGCAUUUUGGCUUGCACGGAGAGAGAAAGUUUCGAAACAAUUUUUUCUGGCAGUGUAAGUGUGUAACCAAAAAGACGUGCCAGAUAACGGAAAACCGGUGAGUGGUGGCUAUCGAGAAGUAUGUGUAACAACCAAAAUAACUUAAACCCAAUUGUUUGAUUAAUGUAGAGUAAACCUCAGAGUUGUGGCCAAAGUUUACAUCGAUUUUCAAAACGUUGGCUAUAGUUCCAAAUUCUCAAAAAGAUGGCCAAACUUUGGCUUCGCUUUUUAAAAGUGUGGCUCUCGUUAAAUGUCACUAACGGGAGCCCAACGGGAGCUCAUUUUUAUCCUUUUGUUUAUUCCAAAUUCUCAGAAAAGUGGCCAAAUUUUGGUCCGCUUUUCAAAAAUGUGGCUCCCGUUAAUACAUUUAACGGGAGCCACACUUUUAAAAAUCGGAGCCAAAGUUUGGCCAUCUUUUUGAGAGUUUGAAACUCUGGCCAACUUUUUGAAAAUCGGUGUAAACUUUGGCCACAAUUUUGAAGUUUACUCUUAUAGUUGUGUGUAAGAAGGUGAGACAGGGUGAGACAUAACUUGGAAUUUGAGAUGAAUGUAUGUCUUUAAAUGGCAAGACUGAGUGUAAGAUAUCAUUAAUUGAAUGACUGAAGUACUGCAUGGGCAACUGUUUUCAUUUCUUGUUGUGUUGAAUAUUUAAAAAGUUAUUGAUGUCAAGUAAUUUGGCUUUUCAACCAAUUUUAGUGGAUUAGAGAGAAUCACUAAAUGAGUGAUCACAGUUCUCCAAUAACACAAUGAAAUAACUUUGCAUUUCAUCUAUAAAUAGCUAGAUUAGUCUAGUUUUAGGAUAUUUUACUACCAUUAGCAGUAGUGCUCUUCACUCCUGCUAGCACUGGAAUGCAAAUGUGCACAUUACUUAGCUGUACGACAUUUUUGAUACUAAUCGGAACCAAUUCCUGGUAAUGGCGUGUUAGUAUAGUAACUAACUCCAAGAAUCUUCUGACUAGUCAUCAAUCCAGACGGUGAAUGUAUCUGCAUAUCUUUCUCAAAAGAAAUUAAUAUUUGUGACUCCCGCCAGAUCAUCACCAGCCGCGAACCUAAACUUGGAUAAUAAUUUCAGAAGUAUGAAAUGUCGUUGUGCUUGAGCUUCGUCCAAAAGUAAUUGUUCUUGUGCAUCGAAAGUGAUUUUUAUAAGUUCUGUUUUUUUAAUUUUUUUGUUACAUAUAUAGUACUUGUGAUAUAAUUGACAGUGAAAUCAAAUCAAAUUUGUAAUUUUUGCAACAUGAAUACUGGUUAUUAUUUUUUCUUGUACACCUUAGUUGUUACCGAUCUUCUAUUUAAGCUUCUCCUUGACGAAUUUACAAACAUGUUAUUGGUUUGCUGCAUGGUUCAAAGUCGUGGACAAAAUUAACUGCUCAAUUUGACUUCUCUUACUUUUCUAGUAACAGUGUGUAGCUAAGUAAUUGAACUCGUCUUUGUGUCUUUUUAUUAUGUAGAAUACUAUCAUCGACGAACGCGGAUCAUUUGCUGUGGCCACACCUUUUCCAGGCCCGCUUUUAAACAUACUCCGGUCAAUGAAAAAGGUUUCUUGUAUAUAAUUCUAUUUCAUUCCAUUUCUUCAAUUGAAAUUAUCUCUUUUUUAUUGCAUAUAUAUAUACAGUAGCUGGCCAAUCAUAUAUGAACUUUGUAAAAUAGGAUCUUGGAUUCUUCAGACAAGUGACUUAAGACACAAUGACACUUUUAAUAUAACAUAUUAGAUGGUCUGUUAAAAAUAUUCUUGGUUAAUAUAUAAACUGGAAUUAGAGAAAAAUAUGACUUUUGGAAAAUAAUUUCCUAAAUAGCAUACAUGUGCAUCAGACAUGUAUCACUUAUCUAUAUUAUCAUUUUUUUAUUUUAUUGAUCACUCACUCAAACAAAUUUCUAAUUGUAAACACGGGCUCUGCAAUAGCACAUUUAUUAUAAUUUCAUGUAAUAUUGUGCAGUUACCACCUCGAGUUGCUCUAAUGGGAGACAUUGUUCCUCUUAAAGAUGAAAAGGUAUGAUAUCUAUUAAAUCCAUCAGAUUCAUAUAUAAAACUUCUUUCGAAUGACUUCGAAAAUUUUCUUAACUGUUUCCCUAGAACUGUUUUCUUUUGAGGUGAUAGGUCUGUACUCUGUAGCAUGACAUAGGAUUUGUCACAUUAACUGUUCUGAUAUUCUUCCAAGUUGGUGAUUCUUAUUCCUUUGGGGUUUUCGUCAUCUUAGAGUUUCUUGCUGUUUCAAGUGUUGGUUUUGUGGCUGCAGUGAAAUUUUAAUGGGAAAUUGCUUAAAUAAUUAUUCAGGGUACUUGUGUCGCACAACCUACAGUUACGCCCCAUUAAGUUCGAAGGAAAGAUCAGGGGGACAAUGGAAUGAAAUAUUUACUAUUCAUCAUAAGUUUAUUCCUUUCCUCAUUUUGCUCGAGCAAAUUUUGCAAAUCACACUAUAGCUCAAUUCUGCCAAUCAAGGGACCGAUGCUUGUUCCCAUGUUCCUACCUCCUGCUUACAUCCUUUACAACCCUUAUUUGUAGAUUAUUGGUGCCUGUUCUUGUUCACUUAUUUCUACUGUAACCUUUUAAUCCAAUCUUGAUUUCCUUGCAAUUUCUAAUUCCAUUCCUCCUAGCCGAAUGAAACAUAAGCAUUUAACAUGGUUGCUUGUACACAAGGGAUAACUGACGGGGACCUAAUUCUUUGGGAAUUUUUGUAUUGAGUUUAUUGCAAGUAGUUAUAGACUUUCUGAUGUAUUAUGCAACUUCUAAUUAUCGCAGGUAAAACUUGUAUUUUCAUGAAAUAUAAUUUAAUUUGUUGGAUUUGAAACUCCACCAUUUGAUUAGUCGCUACUCUGUGAAGCACCCCUAUACAUGUGAUGUAGGUUUAGCUUUUUAGGUUAACUGCUAGUAUUAACUCCGUAAUUUCUAUUUUCUUUCCGUCAUGUCGCAGGUUCAGUUAGCUACAGAAUGCCUUAGAGAAACCAUAACUUCUGAACAGAAAGCAUUUAAGGAAUCUAGCUAUUCAGUUUCUGGUGUAUUAAGCACUGCCAAUCUGGAGUCCACUUCAAGAAGCCAAAAUCUUCAGGAUCUCCUUGAUAGCAAUAAAAGCUACACAGUAUAUAAGUUGGAUUUAAGGUAGCAAAUUUUAUUAUUAUAUCGUUUACUUUAUACAAUAUUUCAUCAAAAUGUUGUUUUGUAUGGAACAUAGAAAGUUAGAGAAAAGUACUUGAAGUAUAAGACAAACACACAUCGAAGAGGAUAAACUAUUAAGCAAAGCAAAUUUAUCUGUUAUAUUUCGCUCGUAGAGCAUGAGUCUGGAGUGUAAGAUGUUUGCAGACCCUACCUUGACUAGUUGACUCAUGAAAGGAUAGGCUGUUUAUGCAAAGACCCUCAUCCCUAAGCCUUGACAACGCAAUUACAAUAAUAAAACACAUACAUAAAAGCAGUAUAGACACGAACACAAUACAGUAGGAGCCCUCUAAGUUAAUACGUUCUAAACCUAUAACUCUCUAAAUUGAUAAGAGGUCCCUGUCCCAAGUUGGGACCAAUAUUAAAAUUUAAUAACCCUUCUGUUGUGAUAACUAAUAUAUUUUAAGAUAAUCCCAGUGUUAAAUAUCGGUCCCAACUUUUGCAUAAAGUGAUGUUCUCGACUAUAUACAAUUUUGUAUACACUUUGUGAUCGUGAUUUUUUUUUUUUUUAAAUAUUUAUCGGUGCAAUUUUUUCUUGUUAAACAUCCACACCAUGUAUUAUUAUCUAAAUUACUUUUAAUUCAUCUUUAUGAUAUCUUUUAUGUCAUAUUGAUGAUUUUUUUUUCAAUUUAGGGAAUGUUAUUUAAAUUUAUAUGUGUUAUUUUGACCCCGGAAGCAUGGUUGUCAUGUCGGUCGACUAGUCGCGACUAGUCGGCGACUAGUCGAUUAAGCGAUGAAGGGAUGUCGACUCAACAUUUCGACUAGCUGAAUGUCGAUAUUUCGGUCGCCUGGUCGACUAGUCAGUCGACUAGUCGACUAAGCGGUCGACUAGUCGACUAUUUCAGCUACAGAUUGAGCAUUUUGACUUUUUUUAUUGCCGACUUCUUAUUGUUUCCACUUUCCAGCAGAAUGUGUUUACUGAUAUGUUAAUGGUUUCUGGUUAUGUGUUUCUUGCAUUCUGUAUUUCUAAUUUCUGCACUCCGCAGUUUGAUUUCUGUUACUGUUUGUUCUGCACUUAUGCAGAUUUCUGCUCUUUAUUCUACAGAUUAUUGCUUUUGCUCUGUUUAUUUGUAAUCUGCAUUGUGCAUAAAUAAUUCUGUACAUAUUAUUUCUGUAUAAUUUUGUUGUGCACUGCACUACCAGUACCAUACUUAAUUACAAAUUACAACACAUCACAGUAUCACACAAUUGUUAAUUUGUUAAUUGUUACAUAUUUUACAUGAUCAGAAGUACUUUGCUUUGUUGUUAUUUGUUAACUCUUUCCACUUUUCCGUCAUUCUCUUCACGUGUUCGAUCUUUAAUUCCUUAGAUUCUGGAAUAUAAUAUUGUGAAGGUGUCAGAACUUGGGAAACCUGAAUUACAUAAUGUAUAUAUAUUAUAUUCAAUAUAUAAUAAUAUAUUAUUUUUUGCCGACUAGUCUGCGACUAGUCUACGACUAAUCGACUAGUCAACUAGCCGAAGGUCCAUCGACUCGCUUCGACUUACCGACGUGACAACCAUGCCCGGAAGUGUUAAUGCAUAUAAAUAUAAGUAAAUCACUUGAAAAUAAUGGAUAUGAUAUGUAUUAGUAGGUAGAAUAUUUAUUAUAAUUAUUUUUAUCAAAAAAUAGAAACCUCUCUUAUAUGAUAAGUUGAUAACCUCUCUUAAGUGAUAAACUUCUCUAGUCCCAAAAAUAUAACUUUACAGGAUUUCUACUUAUAGAACUCUAUAAAGUGAAUACCAAGAGGUAAAAUGUCAAGCACUAAAUGGACGGAGAACAAACGGGAAGCAUAUUACACCAAAAGAAAUUAACCAUUAAGCACUCCCGUCCGCACACCCACCCACACUCCUAUACUACAUUACUACCAUCCCCUUUACCCCCAAUUACAGGAACUUUCAACCCUUUAGGAAUGUCAGCUGUUAUGUCCUCAAAUAAGGUUCAACUUUAGAUGUUGAUGUAAUGAAUUUUAGUAUUAACUGCUCCAUUCACCACGAUGAACUAUGUUAACCUUAACAAAUCUGCUUUUUUGUAAUUCUGAAAAUUCGAAUACCACAAAAUACAAUUAGUGUUGAAAUAUAAUGUAGUAAAUGGUUAAUUUUGCCAUUUGUUUUGUCUUUGCUUUUCUGUCUUUCGUGUUCCAAUUCUUACCACCUUAUUCUGAGUUCUUAUAUACAGUAUAUCUUAUUGCUUGUUUCACCCAUGUACUGUUUAUUGCUUGGCUGAGACUAGGGGUGAAUAAUCAUCUUAUCUUCUUAGUAUUUGUUGUCUGUUUUGAAAUUACAAAUUGAUUACCAGUACUGAAAGCUACUUUUUCACCUCCCUUUACUUUACAUGGUAAAUUAUUUAUCUAUGGUCAAAAUGGUAUCACCCUUUUAUUUCUUAAGUAUCUUUUUGCACAUUAAAGAUAUAUUAAUAAAAAGUUUGAGUUUCAGUUGAAACUCUGAUUGGAGUAAUCUAUGUGGGUGAGGUAACAAGGCAGAUAAUAGUUGUAAAGUGUUAAACACACUGUUCACAAAGUUUAAAACUUUCAUAGCAUGAAGCUUAAAGCUAAUCACCGUUGCUAUCCGAGGUACAAUUUUAGAGAUUUGAGACAAUGUAGGCCUGUAGGGCUCAAUUUUAUAUCUACCACUUAAUUUACUAUAAUUAAAGUAUGUACUAGCCAUGUGAUUAGCUAUUACUUAUCUACCAACUUUUAACAUUUUAAAGUCCUGGUUAUCUUCUUAGUCCUGGUUUGUCCGAUUUUUGGCCCUGGUUUGGUGUUUAUCAAGGCAAAGCCUUGAAUUUGAUAAUACUAGUACCUUGUUUGGGAUACAAGAUUCUGAUUAACAAAAAACAUAUAAUUGCUAUAUUUACAGUAUCAUAUGUAUGUACCUGAAACUCUCACAGUUAACCCAAGGGUCAUGUGUUCAUAUCUGAAAUUCCUCUACCGCUGUUGCGAUUCCGAUGAUGAUUCCAAAAUAAUCCCUACCCUAACUGCUUCCCCAACAUCACAGUUUUCAGUUACUGUCCAUUCAACUCGUGUCACCAAUUUUCAUCCCAAUAUUAACAUUUUUAUACUCUGGAACUCACUGCAAAGGAUUGAAGCAGUGGAGUUCCUAAAUAACAUUAGAUCUGUAGCAGUUCCUCAGACAUAUGUCAUUUCUAAAAAGCGAUAUGUUGUAAUAUUGUGAAACCUGAUUAUUUGUAAACCAUAUACUCGAAAGACAAUGUAAUGGGACUCAAACAGAUUGGUAAGUUUUGAGAUUUAUUCUUUCGGUAUAUAAAAUUAAUAUCAACAUUGAAGGAAAAUUUAUUCAUGAAGUCACAAGGUAAAAUACGUUCAAGCUGGAAAAAACAAUCAUGCGUCUGGCGUAAAAAUGAAAUCAGACCAAUUUUCCAAUGGAUUCUUACUUGGGAUACUAGGAUGACAUUGUUCAGUAUGCUUACUCCUGGUAGCGAAAUUAAGACUUUCAUGCAAAAGAGUUUUAUUCAUCCCGUAUUGACAUUACAAAAGGACCCUUGUAGAGAUGGCAGAAAAAACCGAUCCGAAUGGAUACUCGACCGUUUCGACCCGAAUGGAUAUUACCGAACCCGAUAUUUUGGAUUUGGAUUUGGAUACUAGGUUUUCCUUAUCGAAACCCGACCCGAAAUCCAAACCCGAUCCAAACCCGAAGCCCCAAAAAAAAUCAAAUAUAUAUAUAUAUAUAUAUAUAUAUAUAUGUGUGUGUAUGUAUACUAAUAUACUUUUUUUCAAUUUUAAAUCUACUAAAUUUUGUUUAUAUAUAUAUAGGUAGAGUGUGAAUGUGUAUAUUCUUGGGUUAUAGUGACUUUUUUUGUUUAACUAAUGAGUUACUUUAAAAUUUCAUACUCCAUAUAGCGAAGAUUUGUGUUUAGAAAUUAUUAAAUACUGUUCAAGAUUUUAUUAAUGUGUAAUAAUUUAUUAUUAAAGUAGUUUAGUUUUAAAUAUAAUGAAAUUUAAGGGCGAAAAAUCAAAAAUAAUAUUUUUACAAUAUUAUAUAAAUUUCGGGAUUCAGGUUUUGGAUAAACCCGAACAAACCCGAACCCAAUCCGAAACCAAUCCGACCCGUUGCCAUCUCUAGACCCUUAGUAUGUAAAUAAAUAGAUUUUAGUCGAAUCAGUAAAGGUUAAGUUAUUGAUACCACUUUCUUGAUCUGAAAACUUUUCUGCUAUGUGUAUCUCUCCGCAGCUCAUGUACUUACAUAGACAGCAACGGAAGUACCCAUGAAGUAGAUUUGGAGACAAUUAGAAAAACUAAAGCAGACGCUCUAUGUAAGUUCAUAAAAUUCUUGUCUUCCCUCCCCCCAUCUAAGCGAGUCACUCAUGAGCAGUAAUACCGUGUGUGUGUGUGUGUGUGUGUGUAAUAGUUGCUGGUAACUAUAAUAUUUUAGUUUAAUCCUUCUUAGUCCUUACGCUACGAAAUUGUCUUCUGUAGCACCUUUCUCUAUGAGUUUAAUCGAUGGAAUUAAUCAAAGUGAAGCAAGGAGGAGAGCACUGAUCUUUUUCUGCAUCACAUAUUUAAAUAAGAAUGUCAAGGUAAGUCAUUAAUCAUCAAAUUUCUGUGAACACCAAGGAACCAUGUAUAGUAUGCAGUGAGAUAUAGGAGAAAUCAAAUAGGGCUUACUUAAGGCUUUUCUCUGCACAUUUGAGUAAAUAAUACUUCCUCCACUUUCGAUGAAUUGAUAUAUGAAGUUUGGAAACAAUGAGAAAUUGGUUUGCUGAUAUUAUAAUAAUUUAGAAAAUUCACUAAUUAAAAAAGCAUGAGUUUUGUAGUUCAUGUGUAUACAGACAACUGGAAACUUGGGUAAAAGCCGCUAAAUAAUCUUUACAUUUUAUUUCUGGAGAGAAUAAGUUGAGAUAAAUGAUAAUUUGUGUGGUUAGUCAAUAAGUCAGAUAGUUGUAGUAACUGAUAACUCUAAUAUGAACACAUAUUUACAUAUUCUACGGCAAGGUUGCUAUCUUAAUGGGAAUGAGGAUACUAAUAUGUGUUCAAAGGCGUAGCUUGUGACUCACUCGAGUCUAGCAGAAUCAAAUAAGAAUUUCAAAUAAAUGAACUUGAGCCAUAUCUGAUUGAGGCAAAACAAAAAUUAAUUGGAAUCUGAGCGAGUUAUAUGAAUUCGAGUAGAAUCUGACAAUGUAAGUAUUCGUAGGCAUUUUAUUUGGUUUCACCCCUCUCCUAGUAAUUAAUAUGUGUGGAAUAUUAAAAAUUUGGUGCGUUCACUUGCCUAAAUAAAUUGAGGUUUGAGGUUGUAAUUUGAACACUUUACUUGCUGGAAAAUAAAUAUUGGAAAAUAUUACUAGUUCUACUUUGAAUCACAUGAUAACAGACUUGUACCUGUACUGUAAUUUAUGUAGUAAAAUAAUAAAUUGUGGCAACAUAUACUUCCUAGAAGGCUGAAACUUAUUGUAAAUUCUAGCACUGAUAAUUUGUAAUCCAUCAUGCAAGCUACAGAGAACUAAAAUGUUAUACUAUUAUCUCUGAUGGAAUAUACUUGAUCGACCAUGAACUUUCACGUUCUAGUUCAAAGCUAUGUGAUGUUAAGUGCAUUGCUAAAGUCUUGGACUAUCAAUCCAUAAUAAACUAUUGUCAGCAGUUUCCUAGAACCUGUUAUUCUUUCACCCAAGUUCUUUCCCUUGUAUCAUACGGAUUCCUUCUUCAAGUAACCUUUACGUUUCCUGAACAGGACGCGUUAAUGCUCUCUGCCGAUAGGAAAGGCUUUGACGUUCUAGGCAAGACUCUUGGGCCAGUGAUGAAUGAUGGUUCCCGUCAGUACCUGUGGGAAGAACUCAGAUUUGAGCUCAAUGAAGAAGCAAAAGAUAUUGAAUCAUUCUGUCAACAGCUUGUCUCAAUGGAAGUGGAGGCCCUUAAAACUGUCUCCAAGUUCAGUGGUAUAUGAUGCGCAUAGCCAUAUUCAUACCAGUAGUGGCCUAUGAGAAUGAGACAUGAUGUCUGCAAAAUUGAGGUAAGACUGGAGAAUUAGAUUAAUUUUGCCAAAAUAGUUGUAUGCUUCUGUCUUUGUAUACUACAUUUAUGAUUGUGUUUUUUUGAAAAAAACUUCCGAUCCUUGAAAUUUCUAAUCAAUUCGUCCAAGCCAGUUUUCUUAGGUUCAGCUCUCACAGAUAUACACGGUCAUGGACCUUUGGAUAUAUGAUUUGGUGGAAUUGGCUUGGGUUGUGAAACUGGUGUACCAUAAAUUUUACAGUUUAAGAUUUUCUAUUCACUUCAUUGUGCUAAGUCUGCAAAUUUGUCUGGUGGCUGCAAUACUCCAGAGAGAUUUACAAGUAUAGGAAAGGAUUCAAAGUGAUGAUCAGUACACAAUAAAAGCUAUGAUCUUGUACCACUAUUUUUUUAAAGCCGGAUUUCAACACAAUAUCAUAUUCUCAUGCAUGAUUCGUAAAUACGCAGUAAUAUGUAUAAUUUCGAGUAAAAUGCAUGACUGCUAUUGGGUUGGCUUCGGAACUUAAAACUUGUCAGUUCUGUGCAGAAAUAUCAUUUUGAACAAUGCAUGUAACAAAGAUUUGUCCUCGCUUGUUCAAAAUGUUGUUUUUUAUUUGAAAUUAGUUAAAAUCCAUAUAUUUUUUUGUAUUUCGUGUUCCCGUGUCACGUGUCAAAUCGUCGGGUCUAGAAAUAAGUCAUGCGACAUAAACCCUCAAAGAAAGACUUCAAGACUAUAAAGUCCGUUAACCACAAGAAAUGGAUUACUAUCAAAUAUAGAAAAAAAUGGGGGUUUACUAUGAGCAAACUCGUGCGUUUACCAGCUUCUUUUAUACAUAUAAGAGCCAGGCAAGAAAUGAAGAAGAUGAAUGGGGAGACCAUUCAGAAGUGACGUGGCACGUGAAGAAAAGCAGUAGGAGACUACCAAGUCCGACCAUAAGCAUCUUCUGCUUGCGGUAGAGCCUCCUCAGCUCAAACUAUAUACUUUAUAUAUCUUACUUUAUCAUAUGUGUCCAGUGGUGAUAUCAGACACGACUCGAACCCGACCCGAACUUGUAACCCAUUUACUGAAACAAAACUCGAAAGUGACUCGAAAAUUACCUUCAAUUUUCGAAAUUUUCAAUUUUCAGUUUUAUUUAAUUUUAGAUGAUUUUACCUUGACCCGAAAUCGACCUAAUUGCUGACAUGAACACGACUCGUUAUCCGAAAUUGCCACCCUUGCCUCUAGUAAAGUUCAUACUGCCCCAUAAUUUCGUUGUUAUUUUAUUUUCCGCAAGGCUCAUGUAAAUUGUUUCUGAUGACCCCCCGCCCCGCCCCACAUUUCUUGUUCAUGAAUGUAGAUGUAUUGCCGGUGGCAAAAUCGACCAGGAGAUUCCAGCCUAAUGUUUGUACAAUUUGACUUUAUUAUUUAAGUAGUUUUUAUGGUCUUGAUUCAGUUAUAAGGAUUUUAUGGUAAUGUAUUUCUUCUCGAUUGUUCAAAAAAAUAGUUGUAAUACUAUAAUAUGUAUGAGUAAUGUUAAGUACAUCAAAAUCUUUUCCCAAAUUUAAUAAUAUUUUCGCAAUAUGUGAAAUAAUAAUAUUUAAAUUUGCGGGACGAGAUUGGAAUUAAGAUGAACAUGAUCACAACAUCCAGCAGUCCCUUAUUGCAGCUCGAUCUUUAAAAAUUCCGUGCCUUGUAAGAGUGAGAUUCUCUCCCAAACACGUCACAUUCAGAUCUCUUUGUAGCAAAAGCAUAAAUCACGAACAUCAAGCUCAUAGCAAAAUGUUGUGGAGCCUUACAUAAUAUAUAUAUUCAUGCAUAUGUUCGUUUGCAUGUGUAUCAUGUCUUGAGGGUCGCAUCAGUCGGCUGCACAUAUUUUCAUCCCCUUUCGUCACCGGAAAACUUGGAGCUUCAUAGUUGAGACCUGAAUGUGUUUUCAAAUUUUGGUCACGACUAGGGUACUCCUGUGUUUAGAAUUUUAAAUAAAGUGAUGUGACACUUUUUAUGUUUAGACGCUUUUUUGAUUUGGUCUCAAACAAUUGUUUUCUGCAGUAUGCAUUUUAAAGUUCGAAAAACGCUUCGCUUUGCACCCCAUGACCAUUCUCCGUUUAAUUGACCGUUAAAGUUAACAGAUUUCAGAUUUUCAUCAGAUUUUCAUUUUGCACCCACAAGUAUAAUUUUUUUUCAUGAGCAUUUUGAUUUUUUUUUCAUGAAUCAAAAAUUUGUUUAUCAUUUUCGUCUGCUAGGAUAUUAAUAAUCCAAAUUAUCCGAAACUUAAUGUGGAAAACGAUACAUGCAGAUGGAUAAGCCCUCUAUACUCGGGGAUGCUGCCCUAUUGUUCUUAUCGUAAGAUGAAAAACAAUCAACAUCACCGCAAAUGACAAGAACAUUUUGCAUUCAUGAAAAAAAUAUAUUUCAAAAUACUCAUAAAAAAAUUAAAAUUGUGGGGUGCAAAGUGAAAACCUGAAAUAUGUUAACUUUAACGGUCAAUUAAACGGAGAGUGGUCAAAAAAGUGCAAAGCGAAACGGUUUUCAAAUUUUAGGGUGCAUACUACCAAAAAAUUUGUUUGAGACAAAAUCAAAAAUGCGUUUAAAUAUAAGGAAUGCAAAGUGUCAAUCACUCUUUUAAAUAUAUAAAUGAAAUUUAGAGAGCUAGCUAGGCUGUAUAUGAACUUAAAUGUAAACCCGAUUCAUUCGUUUUCAUGUCUUAACUAGGAAAAUUUAAAGUGCAUGAGUAUCAACUUAUAAACCCCAUCCAUUUAUAUAUAUAGUCUUUCUCUGUGUCCUAAUUUAUUAGAAAAAUCUAGUGCAUAUUUGGCAUAGUCUGCUUCUAACUUUUUUCAAUAAGAAACCUGCUUCUACUUUCCAUCACCCGUUUGUGUAAAAAAUCAGAAGCACUUAUAAAAAACUAAGAAUACUAACUUUUGUUUCGGACUUCUACUUCUUUCCAAAAUAGUUUAAUCAUUUAUAAGUCUUAAUUUACUUCUCACUUAUAAUCCACUUCUUUAUUUUAAGUAAGUAAGAAGCAUUUUUUUUAAAUUUAUCCAAGCGGGCUUACUCUAGUUCCCCCACCCCAGAGAUCGACAGAUCAACUUUCUCAAAUGUUAUACUCUAACAUUGCGUUAACUUAGAUGGAAUAAAAUGGAAAGAGAAUGUAAUGAAAUUUAUGCUGGGGUAAUCGAAAAAAAGUCUAUAAGAUCAAUUUCUUCUAUCAUUACAUUCCAAAAUAUUUAAAUAAGAAAUUUCAUGUGUUUUAGAAGGAAUGCUCAUUUCACUUCUUCACUAUAAUUUUUUAUUAAUAGAAAAUUAAACUUACCUAUAUUUAGUUAAUUACUACAUUCUCCUUCUUUUCUUUUUCUUCAUAAUACUUCUUUGAUGUUUCUCAUAUUUCAUUUCAUCCAAGUUCAUUUCAUCCAAGUGAAUACAACCUAACUGUGCUGUGAUCAUUACAACUUUAAUCCCUAUCAUAUAUAAUGUUAUAUGUGUGACCACUACAACUUUUGGUAACCGUAUAAAAUCACAUAAGAAAUCUUCCUCAAAACCCUAACAAAAUUUAUAACUAAAGUGAGAGUGGGCUAUAUAUAUAGGUAGCCAUCAAGAAAUAAAUAAACAGACACACACUUCUUCCUUUAUCUUUUCAUCCUCCACUUCUUGCUUUCUCUCUCUCAGCUUUAGUGACGCAAAUUUCCACCAUAAACCACCCAAACUUUAUCAAAAGAAAGAAAAGAAAGAUUAAAAGAUCAAAGCACUAUGGUUUUCUCAUCUGUUCCAGCCUUUCAAGUACUGGAUCCUCUCAAUUGGCAAUACCAAGUAAGUUUUUACAUUUAUCUCUUCAUCAUGAUUAACUUUAUAUCUACUUCUUGGAAAAAUUUGGAAUCUAGUAGCUAGUUGUAAGAUGUGUAUAUACUCUUAGACAUGUUACAAGAAAGAAUUCCGCACUUUCACAUGGACUUUUGACACCAAAUUUGUCGGAUUGACUUUAAAUUUAAGUAUGAUAUAUAUAUAUACAGAGAAGUGCUCAAAUACAAACUAUAAUCGAUUGGUUUUGGCUUUAAAUUUACAGCCACCAGGAGGAUCAGUAUCGGAUAACAAUAACGAUGAUAGCAAUCACAACCACCUCACACUACCACCUAUGCCUCCGUCUCACGGCCUUCCAAUCGGGCCUAAUUCAAUGGCAGAGAGACCUAAGUUAACAAAGCUUCCACCUCAAGAAACAGCCUAUAAAUGCCCGCGUUGUGCAUCCACCAACACGAAAUUUUGCUACUACAACAACUACAGUCUCUCACAGCCAAGGCACUUUUGCAAGGCCUGUCGUCGCUAUUGGACUAGGGGCGGUGCACUGAGAAAUGUACCUGUCGGUGGUGGCUUCCGGAGGAACAAGAAAAGUAAAAGAAUUAGGUCAAAGUCUCCGAUUACAUGUAAUAGCUCAGCAAGUGGAGUUUCUUCUGGUAGCUGUACCACGAACAAUAUUUUAGGUCAUUCAGCCCCUUCAAUUUUACCACAAUUUCCUUUGUUGCCCUCGAUGAAAUUCACUGAGAUUCUUGGAGCUGAGGAUAUUAACAGCUUGAUUUUCCGGGGAAUUCAGUCCCCAGCUGCCGCGUCUGGUGAGUAUAGUGAUCAAUGGAGAUUGCAGAAAUCCGCUGUUGCGCCUGGAGUACUGGAACCAUUAUCAACAGGAGUGACGUAUCAGUUUCGAGGUGAAGGUCUAGGGGAAGCUACCACCAGUCAGCAUGAUUUUAAGACAGCAGACUAUUCUAGUGGCCCUUCUCAAGCUGAGUUGAUAAAAUUUGGAGAAGAUCAAGGAUUCAUGAGUUUGCCGAAGAACGUUUUGGAUUUUCCGGGGAAUGAACAACAAGAGUAUUGGAGUUCUGUCUAUGCAUGGAAUGAGCCAAAUGGUUUAAAUCCUUCUACAGGUCAUCUCUUGUGAUUUAAAUAAUUUUUUGUUUCCUUCGAAACCCUAUUUUAUCCAGCGCUGGACUAUAUAUUAUUUUUGUUUGAUUAAUCUCGUGUGUUUGAUGUAUAUUGAAUAUAAAUCUCUCUGCUAUCUUAUACAUGAAGACUACCGUAAUUUAAGAAUUUGUACUCAGAUCAAGGGUGAAAGAAGCAUUGGCCGAGUGAAUGAACGUGUUCUGUUAUUUCUACGACUGAAAACCCUAAUGAAGAAGAAUGGAUUAGUAUGUUUGUUUUGAAUUUUGAUAUGUAUUGAUCUUCUCUAUAAGAAAGAUAUUCUUGUGUAACUACAAUUUAAGAUCAACAUAUCAAGGGGAUGAAUAUAUGUUUAUUUAUAUAUAGUAGAUAACCUUUGAGCACUGAUAAUUGGUUCCUGCAUGCGUACUUUUAUGUUGUGUCUGGUUAAAGUGAAUGAAUUAGGAGAAACGGAAUGAAAUUUUAAAUAUGUUAUGGACAAUAUAAUUGUUUAUAAUUUUCAUUCCUUCCCCCAUUCUAUUCCUCCUUAGCUAGUAAGUACUUUUUACGAGUAUAGGCUCGUAAAAAUGUUUCAUUUCCACAGAUGUGUAGGCAGUUGCCAGUCACUCCCCAUGCAUGUUUGUUCAAGCAAAUAUAGUAGUACGUCUAGUAGUCCUAGCUCGAUGAGCAUCAACUCAUAAAGAACGUACUGAUGAAUUAAAUUUUGUACUUCUCUCCCAUGCCCUAAAACAACCCUCUUUCUUGGACAGUUCAAUUCCCAAUGUUGAAUAGUAAGAUGAUCACUUCAGAUUCAUCAGCUUUUUAUGGUGGGAGAUAGGUGUCGUCAAAGUGGAGUAUUCGAGUAAUUAAUGAGGUUCGGCCAUGCUUGAAUACUACUCUACUCUCCCUUAAUUUCCUUUCUCAAAGCUAGCUUCUGGUAAUUAUAAAGAUCGACAAUAAAAGCCUAUUCUCCAGUACACGCACUCUCCUUUAGAUUCAGCACUUCUGUGCAGGGUAAUAACAUAAAUUGGGACCUCAAUGUAUCCCAUGUUUUAGUGUUCGAUUAAUUUGCAUUUUAGCUUUCCUAAGUGAGAACUGAGAACCUCAUAUUCAUCAAGUCGUAGGUAAAUAAUUUACAAUACAUCUCUUUUUGUGAUACAAUAGCGUUUCCAUUCUUAUUUACCUCAACCUCAUAUUCAUCAAGUAGGUAAAUAAUCUACGAUACAUCCCUUUUUGUGAUGCAAUAGCGUUUCCAUUCUUACUUACCUCAAUUCGACUAUUCUCAUACUCUUCAUUCCAUUUUCAUUAUCAUCCGCCAUCGGACAAUGCCCUUAGUCUAGAGAAGCACAUGAAUGUCAGUGUGAUGGGAAAUAAUUUUGUAAGAAUGAUACAACAAUGAUCCAUAUAUAUGAUUGAGACAUAAUUAAAGUGGUGGCAAAAGAGUAAUACAUAAAGAAGAGCCGCUGAGUGUAACAACUACAAAUUAUUUAGUAACAGAAUCUGUACUUAAAGUUUGUUGGGGCUGCCAAUUGCUUUUGUGAUAACCAGGACAAGGCAAAGGCAAAGCAAAACCUCGCCCCCCUCCCCCUCUGUCAAAAAGCUUCUGCGCAUAUAUUACACGCACGCACUCGCUUUCUAUCAAUGUGUGCAUGAUUUGUGAAAUAAUUUAGCGAUGGUUGUAGUGGUUGUGUCCAUUUGCUGAAGAUAAAAAAAUGUGGGGCGCGACUGCCACACAAUCACUUCCUACACCGUAUUUUUUAUCUUUAAAAAACACGAUACUUAAUAUGAUUAUCAGCGAAUUCUAUGAAUAUACCAGAUAUUGAGAUUAUAUAUCGAAUAUUAUUUUUCAAUGUCUUUUAAUAUUGAGUCUAUUUUAAAAAUAAGGGUGAGUGUACAAGUCCGGACAUGUUUUGUAUAAAUAUAAUUCAGUCUCGGUUAGAAGAAUUGAACACAUAUCGGAGCAAGAAAAAAAGAUGUCAGCCUUAUCGGAUAUAGGCUGAUUAAUUAAAUGUAUACAUGAUAGUUUUAAAUCUUGCAGGUGAUAUAACAUUAAAUAAGAAAAAUGGAGGACGGCGUAUUAAAGUUGUUGAGUCUUGAUCCAUGGUUUAGAGAGUAAGUUCACUUUGAAAAAAUCUUGACUUUGGUCUCAUGGCUUACAGUGGGUCACUUCAUUUUGAAGAAUUUCAUAGGCUAUGUCGACUUCAAUCUGAAGUGUUAUGUCAUUUUGGUUUGAAAAAAAGGCUCGUAUCAUUCGAUGACAGAGAAUUUCAUGACAAAAGCGAGUAUCAUGUUUAGAAAAUUAUAGAUCAAGAUACUAUUUAGUAUUUACAUAUAUAUAUAUAUAUAUUACACUCACACACACACACACACACACACACACAUAUAUAUAUAUAUAUAUAUAUAUAUAUAUAUAUGAGGUCGAAAAUGACAUUUGAAAACUGAAACUUGAAAUCAGGAAUUCAGUGGNNNNNNNNNNNNNNNNNNNNNNNNNNNNNNNNNUCCCUACACUUUUAUAAUAAAGACAUGGUUUUCGUAUACAUUUUACCCUUCCCACACCUUAAUCUAAGUGGGAUAUAGUUUGUAUGUUUAGUCUGGUUUAGUUUAUCUUUCAGUAAAUAUAAACACAUUUACGAGUUACGACUCAUUCUUGAUUUUUUUUUUUUUAAAUUCGCUCACCUAAUCCUAAAAAGAAUUAUCUAUUAAUUUACUGAUUAUAUUUCGAUUUAGCUAAAAAUUCCUAUUUAUCCAAUUUUUUUUAAUAAAUUCUAAAUUAAUAGAUCAAUCGAUUAAUUUCGAUACUAAUUUUUACGAAUAAUUAUAUAUGUUGUCACAUCGGAGCUUUUAUUUGUGUUGCAUGUUCUGCUCCGCCCAUACCAUGGUCGAUGUACCCUCCUUACUUCUGAUGAUAAACAUACUAAUUAAAUGUAGUGUAUGUAUGUUUCUCUUUUGCUAGCCUAUUGUUUCUUUAAACAUUCAACCGGUAGUCAUUCCAAUUGUUCAAUUUUAAGCAAUAAUAAUUAAAUUAUUCGAGGACUCUCAACACUACAAAAAAAAAAGGACAAAAUCGACCGGAUAAAAUCGACUGCCUAAAAAAAAUGUCAACUUAAAAUCGACUGGCAGCAAUCGGUCGGUCAUGAGACAGCACGACAUCGUUUUGCCUUGCUGACAAGUUCCAAGAACUCUCGUGAAUCGGAGAUAUGCUCUUUCUAGCUCGCUCGUCCGCUGAGAGAUAUAGCAAAAGAUAACGUGCAUGAGAUCAGGUAGAUUAGUCCAACACAUUCGUUUUAUAAUAUUAACACUUGUGUCUUGGUAAUUAUAUAUCUAGCAAUUUUACAUACGCUACGCGUUUGAUUGUGAAGCGAGAAGCAGUUGACUAGGCUGGUAUAUCAUCCAGCGACUCCUUGCGAGUUUCCGUCUCACAUUACUAAAUUACUGUAUUUUCCUAUCACGAAAAAGACGCGAAGAACUCAUAUAUUAUUCUACACUUAAUUUUUUAAAUUUUGUUUAAAGUAAACUUCAGAGUUGUGGCAAUGUUUACAUCGAUUUUCAAAACGUUGACUAGAAUUCCAAAUUCUCAAAAAGAUGGUCAAACUUUGAUUUCGCUUUUCAAAAGUGUGGAGUCUAAUGAGAGCCACAUCUUUGAAAAACGGACCAAAAUUUGGCCACUUUUCUAAGAAUUUGGAAUUCAUUUUUACCUUUUUGUUACAUUCCAAAUUCUCAAAAAAAUGGUCAAAGGUUUUCUUACAUAACAGCGUGGUCUAGGAACAAAUGAUGCAAGUCGACUUGUUCAUUUGGAGUUUUAUGCAGCUUCUGCUAUUAUCCGAUAGUGAUCUCAUUUUAGCCUUUAAGCUCAAGAGAAAUUUCUGUUCGCUACUUCUUCAAGCAAGUUGCAAAUAUUUAGCUCACAACCACAUCACUAGUCAACCAGAGCAGCUGUCAUAUAUGUUUAAUUUAUCUUCAAAAAUGUAUUCAUAUUUGUUAAGAACUUUCUUUUUAUUUUUUUUAUUUUUAAUCAUCGGUCAACGUACGUACGAGGCAGUUGACCACAAGCCUGGCUAAACAUUCAAAGUAAACCCUACAAGCUGGAAGAUGCCCAGUACUUAUAAAUCCAUCAUUUUUCUCAAACUCAAACGCUGACUUUACACUAUAAUUCUAUAAAUAUAACAAGAACAAGUGUACAUAAUUCACAAAACAAAAAACACACAAAUUUUCUACACUAAAGAGAUUAUACAGUUGACAUAUAUAGCUGAGGAUAUAUGGCACCACCUCCAACGCCGCCCGUCGUAGCGCCGCUAGUAAAACUAGUGGUGAGAGUGCUUACUUUCAUUUGCUUGCUCAUAGGACUCAUCAUCCUCACCACCAACACCGCCUCCAUUUUCAUCAACUUUGCGGAAUUUAAGAUCCGUUUCCAGGAUGUUAAAGCCUAUAGGUAUAAAUCUUCAUACUUUUUUUUUUUGCUAAAUAUAAAUCUUCAUACUUGUGUUUAGUAUUUUCGGAUGGAUCCUAGCUAGUUUAAAUAAAAUAACACACAACAAAUUAAUACGUAAUUAUUUAAAUACAUUGUCAUCCAAAAAAAGUCUGUGACAGCGGGUACAAUCCUAGUUUUACGUAUUUAGUGAUGAAUUAUAUAUAUUGAUCAGGUACAUGCUUGCGACUAUUGUAAUUGGCAUCGCGUAUACUCUCAUGCAAACUGCACUCACCGUCUAUGAAGCAACCAGAGGAAACCGCAUUGGUGGCCAAGGCUUCCUUCUCUUCGACUUUUACGGUGACAAGGUAUUCACACCGAGAACUUCAGAUUUCAGCACAAAAAGAUAAAUAUAUCCAAAAUUAAUUAAUUGAGAAUUAAUGCAAACAUAAUUAAUUCAAAUCUGUGCAAAUGUGCAGUUUAUAUCGCUGUUGCUGGCAACGGGCACCGGUGCAGGGUUCGGCGUGACAGUAGACUUGAAAGAUCAGUAUGGCGCAAUAACUUCGGGCUACGACAAGUUUUUUGACAAGGGUUAUGCUGUUUCUAGCAUGCUUCUCAUUGCAGUUCUCUUCUCGGCUGUUUCUUCUAUUUUCUCAUCUUUAUCGCUGCCUAAGAGAGCUUAGUUCCGUUAGUGAGUCUUGUGUUAAUUCAUCGUUGUAUUUAGAUUUGAAUACGAUAAGUUUCUGUAAUUUAGAUCAUUUGCAGUUGUUGUACUUCCAAGAUUAUUCAUUGUAGUAUUUUAUAUUCAUUGUAUUCAUUGUAAUUGUUGUAUUAUGUUGUCAUGCAGCAAGAGUUCAUAAUCUCGAAUAAAUAUAUCUUCACGCAAGACUAGCUAUUAUGGUAGUUUAUAUGAAAACUGAAAUGAAAUUCCCUUGGUAAAUAAUGUUCAUGCGAUUCAUCUCACUAUUACAAUUUACAAAGGUCACAAUUACUAAAAAUUUGGAGAAAUUAAGGAUUCUCUGAUUUGAUGAUAUCGGUCCUCACAAAAUGGGUGAUCUUCUGUAUAUCCAUGCCGAGAACUGAAUCCAGAAUCAGUUUUUUCCCUUGCAUAGUCCGGUAUGAAUCUGUAACCUUCGGAAAAUUCUGGUAAAUUUUGUACUCUUUCGUCGAAAAAAUAUCUGUUGUUUGGGUCGUCCUUGUUGUUUUGGGAAGUAUUGUAAUGUGAAUUGCAUCUUCCGUAUUGUUUAGAGUUUGAAUCUGCGGAAAUAGAACGCUGGCAAAAACUUCCUGAACCUUUUAUCCCACUUGUUAUCUUUCGAGCUUUAUCCCUCUCUUGUUUAAGAUAUGACUCGUCUUUAAGCAGCUUCAGUAUUCUCUCAGAUUUGUUUCGGACACUUAAUCCCCAGUUGAACCUGCAUCACAAGUUAACAUGCAUUACUGCCACAAGAAUACUGCAUAUAUGCGUUGACCAUGUUGACGGGACCAUCAUGAUGUGGUGGCCUGGUGGGCCCCACAAAGCUGACUUGUCAAUGAUGCAUGUGUGAGUCUCGACCCACGUGUCAUUAACAUAUGAUGACUUCUUGAUAGAUAAUAUUUUUAAUAAAUAAGUAUAUGUGGUUGUACUGAGACUCUAAACUCAACCUCUUAUUACCGAGAGAAAAGAGAUAUCCAGCAAAAUACAGUGCUAGAAACUCAACCUCUUGUUAUCGAGAGAAGGAAAGUAUUUAUUAGAAUAUAAGACUUGAACUGAAUAACCUCUUGUUAUCGAGAGAAGAGAGGUAUCCACUAAAAUACGCUAGUUGAAACUCAACCUCUUGUUACCGAGAGAAGAGAGGUAUCCACUAGAAUACACCGUAAUGGAUCAUCUAUGAAAUAAUCGCAAUUUGUGACAUUAGCUAAUAGAAAUACUCACCCUUUCUCAUCAACAAAUUUGAGGCUUCCCAUCUCCCAAAUAAUGUCUUUAUCCUGCUGAAAAUCCUCUGCAACUCUCUUGGGACCAUGCGUUAGAAGUCCCUCCAGCAAAAUAAGCGCCUUAUAUGAACACUGCCACUGCUUUUUGUCGUACAUCCACAGCCUGCUAGCACAAAAAAAAUUCAAUCAACUUUUGUGAUCCUUCUCUAAAUUAAUUAUUCUUUUCACAAGCUAAAAAGCAGCAUAAACCUCUUAUGCAGAACGUCCACAAUUCUCCAGUACUCAUCAACUUCAAACGCUGCACGCGACAAGAAUCUGACAGUUCUACUAUCCAAUGUCAUCAAACUUCCAUCCGUAGCCUCUUCCGUCAGACUUCAACAGAACAUGCACAUGUUAACAGAAAUAAAAAUUGAUAAAAUUCGAUACAGAAAAAAGAAUUUAACAUACAUUUCUGCAGGUGUAACAUCAGUGAAGGCGAGCCUGGCGACCUUGAUCUGUUCUUUGAAGAAGAAAGAAGUCUUUCUCUUGAAUUCAUGUAAGGAAGGACUAGCCAUUGCUUGAAUUCUUGUAGAACUUCAGAGAAAUACUUAUGAGAACGUAUAAGAAGCUAUGAUCUGUUAAGAAUGCAUGUUAAGUAAAUAUGGAUGCUUAAUUAUGUAUAAAUUUAAUAAUAAUCAGAUAAUGCAAGUUCAACUGCUCCAUUACCUUUAGGCUUUAACUAAUUUUACCAACUACAUUCUCUAAGUGGAUUUGCAUAUGCAAUGAGCUAGACGCGACCUGAUAGAGACAAAUUAAUGGUUAUUGCAUUCUUUUCCUUAUCAAACAAUUUUUUUAAUUAAAUUCGAUGAUCAAUUUCUAACUUCUGGUCUGCAUUUUCCAUUUAGUACUAUAUAUGAAAUGCAUACAAGUAGAGGUUGACAAAUAGUAGAAGUUAAGAUACUGACUAGCAUUUGAACAAAUUAAAAACUAAACAAAAUUACAUCAGACACUUUGUGUAUAUUCAUGAGAUAAAUCUAAUAAUUUUGUGAUGGAUUCUUGUGGAUACAGAUCAAAUGGCAACACAACUGACAAAUGGAGGUCGAAAGCCACUUUGAAGUGCAUUGGGAACUUGUUUUUGUUUAAUUUCAAAACAGGUACCAAAUUUUGAAGUCCAAAAAUACCAAACAGGACCAAGAUUUUUUGGCUUUCAAUAGAAUUUCGCCGUGCCUAAAUUCUGAUCAAUCCUGUUGUGAUCUUGUAACAUUCUAGCCCUCUCAUCUCACAUGCUUGCAAGAGUCUCCUUUCUUUUCUCCAAAGCUUGAGAGUUCAUAUACCAAAACACCCACAUCGAAAACAAGGUUCCAAUCAGCACCCAUGUCACCAAAAGAUUCCUCCACCAGCUUUUUCGAAAUCUCUUUAGACUAAAAUACUCAAAAUAGAAAUUAUAAAUCUUAUAAGCCCUGAUCUUAGUGCCUACGUUCAUUGUUAUAAGAAAAUGUUAAUUAGCUUCUUAACAUCCGCACUGUAGAGCCAGCUAGACCUGUCAAUUCGUUCAUAUGGUAUACUUAUAUGUCGUGUACUCAAAGACCAAAUAUAAAACCGACCCAUUUAGGGUUCGUGUACUUUCGUGUCAUAUUCGUGCGUGUUUCGUGCCGUUCUCGGGCGUGUUUCGUGUAAAAUUGAAUAUAAAUAUAAAUAAAUAUUCGUGUGUCGUAUACUUUUUCGUGUCGUGUAUUCAAAUACCAAAUAUAAAACCGAUCCAUUUAGGGUUCGUGUACUUUCAUGUUGUUCUCGUGCGUGCAUGUUUCGUGCCGUUCUCGUGCGUGUUUCGUGUAAAAUUGAAUAUAAAUACAGAUAAAUAUAUUGACUUAAAUCUAAGAUUGAGAUCAAUUUGCAUGUUUUAAAUUUGAGGAUAUGCAUCCAUUUGAAAGACCAAAUGUCUAUAUAUAGUGUGAAAUGAUUGUCGGAGCCUGUCAAACAAUGGCCUAAUUAAAUGGGCUAUUUGCUUUUGGGUCAUUAUCAUAAUCUAAGACGGUUGCCAGAGCAAUUGGGUGAUAUGAAAUGGCUAAAGGAGCUUGAUUCACGCCGCAAUUGAGGAACUGCCAGAUUCAAUUACUCAGCUCAAGGAGUUGGUUCCAAUGAAUUUGGAUGGUUGCAAGAUGCUUAGAAAGCUACCACAGCAGAUUGGAAAUAUGAAAGGCUUAAUUAAGGACAUUUCUUGCGAGUUGUAGUGCAGUUGAACAACUUCCAGAUUCGUUUGUAGGCCUCGUUAAUUUGGAGAGACUGGAACUGAGCUGCCGCAGAAACCUUGGGAAUCUUCCAAAUAUCAUAUGGAAGCUCCAGUUGCUUCAAGUACUAAAUCUGGGGCACUGUUCAAAGCUGGAGCGAUUGCCUGAGCAAUUGGAGAUGAUGCAAUGCUUAGAAAAGCUUAAAGCAAAUGGAACGGCAAUUGAAGAAGUACUAGAUUCUAUUGGGCUACUUAAUUAGUAGGUUAAGGCUGUUGAAUUUGUCUUAUUGCCGUAAGCUAAAAUAACUGCCAAGUAAUGUGUGGAAUGGUGCAUCACUUGAAAAAUUAAUUCUUCCCCGAGAGGACAUCGAUAGAAUUAAUUUGCCUGAUGCAGUGAAAGAUACAAAGUUGGUUUCGUUAACUUUGAACUGUAAUAUAAGAUUAUGGUUGCCUACGAUUCUAAGUUUUCCUUCGUUGAAAAAGUUAUUCAUCUGCGAUGAGACUGAGAAUUUAUCUUCAACCAAUCCUUUCGGUCUCUCUGGGCUUUACAACCUACAAGUUCUCGAAUUCUCUGGUUGUGCAAUUUUUGGUUCAUCGUUUCUGGAACAUCGUCUUAAUAUAACACACUUAUGCCUAUCUAACCAUGCAACACUGGUACAUCUACCCGAUUUAUCAAGCUUGAAACAGUUGAAGAAGUUUCAUAUAUUCCAUCACAUCAGCCUUGAAUCACUUCCUCAUCAUCUUCAAACACUUACAGUUUAUUAUUGCCCAAGCUUAAAGAACUCUCAAACAUGUCAUUUUUGAAGGAAUUGAGUUAUUUGAAUUUUGGUAGCUGCAGCAAUCAGAAAUCAUUUAGUACCGAAAGAGUCCCCUGCAGGUAUGUUUCCGUUUGAUCUCCCUCCCUCCCUCUGUCCCAAAAUGAUACACAAUCACACUUCUAUAAAUCCAACUACAUUCUUUCAUGUCACAGGUAAUCAAAAAAUGCCUCCGUUUAUACGAAGCUGAGGCACCAAAGAUGGUAAAUUGGUUGAGCUACGAAAGCAGUGGGCAUACGAUCUCUUUUGGUACAUCCCACCACUAUUGGGAGAUAACUUAUUAGGUCUUGCGCUCUCGAUUGAUUUAUCAUGCAGAGAGCUGGUUCCUCAUUUGAGCAUUAGAGCUGCACUCAUAAAACAAAUGGUACAACAAAGUGCUGUGUGAUCCCUUUACACUGUAAUGGACCUCAAGUAUAUUCACUGGUGCAAUGCUUAAGUGGAGAUGAAAUCUCAAUAAGAAGUGGAGAUGCAUAUAGAGUUGAUGCACCAGAAGUAAUUUAUUAUGUACAAUUGAAGGUGAAGAUGUACGUUGUUCAUGUGAUACCAAAAACACUCUCCACCCCUGAUUUUUGCUCUGUUUUAAGCAACUUGAUUAACUGAUGUUUUACAUCUUUACAAAGUAUUUGAUUUUAUCUCUCAGUCAGUUCAAUAUAUUUUACUAUAUAUUACAAAUAUUUCAAAUAAGUCUCUGUUUACGUUGCUUCAUGUUUAACAUUUUUCUUUUGAUAAUUUCCUUUUUUCGACUUAUAUUUCAAUUUUAGAAGCUACCAUGUUACUAUAAGAGUAGUAAUUAUUGACGCACAGAACCGAAAUUGGAAUCUGCAGACACAUAUAUCAUUUAUGAAACAAAUUCGAAUAAGACAAAUUUAGAACCUAUCAAAAUAGAGGAGAAAAUUUCUAAAAGUAAAAUUUCAUUUAUUAUAAUAGAAUAUAUACAAUAUUGUUUACGUAGGAAUAGAAUCCUAAAAUUAAAUAUGAUCAAAUCUGAAUAUAUCGAAUGAUGAUAAAUAUAGUUUCACAGUGAAGGCACUCGCAGAAUCUUUACUACUUCACAUCGUUACUAUGCCUUCAAAGAUGAUAAUGCUCUUGAAAAAGGCCUAAUAAAUAUGUAGUUAUUUCUGGGGAUUGGCAUCCACCCCGUCCGGCUCGACCCCAAUUCGACCCACGCCCCGUUCGAGUCGGGGAUUCGAAGAAUUUUCGGGUCGGGGCGAGGAAUGAGGAAAAUGUUAUAAAAAAUUUGGAGAUCAGAGCAGCAGGGUCGGGGAUUCGUGUCUCCCCACCCCGAUCGCCGACUCCAAUUAUAUAUAUAUAUANCGACUAAGAAAAAUGAGGAUUUUGAAUUUAUCAUAUUCUGGCUUAAAAGCUAGAAAUUGACUUAUAAUUUCUUUACCCAAAUCUAGGGAUAGGCAUUUACCCCGCCCCGCUCGACCCCGCUCCGAUCCCCACCCCGUGCGGGUCGGGGAUUCGGAGAAUUUUUCGGGGGCGGGUCGGGAAACGGGGGAAGUUCUAUAAAAAAUUUGGGGGUCGGGGAUUCGUAUCUCCCCUCCCUGCACUUCCACUUGACAGCUAUCGUAAUGAUAAAAAACCCCGAUUGUAUAUAUAAAUAAUAAUAUAUUUAUAUAUAUUAUAUUAAAUAAAUUAUUAAAAUUAGAUAUCUUUUCUAAUCUUAUUAAAAUUAAAAAAAUAAUCUUUAUUUUUAAUAAUCGAUUAAUAUAUUGUAAUAUAAUAUAUUUUAUAAUUUUAAAAUUGUCGUUAUUUAUAUUUUAAAUUAGUUUUAAUAUGAUUUGAUGUUAAAAAUAUGAGAUGAUAUCAUUUUAUUAGUGUAUUAUGAGUUAGUAGUUUUAUUAGUGUAUUAUGAGUUAUUAUAUUGUAUUAUGAGUUAUUAUAAAUUAUAAAAUUAUUUUUUUUUUUGAUUAAAAACUAAAAUGCGAAUUCCCGCAGGGAUCCCCGUUCCUCGUUCGGGGCAGGAAUGGGGAAGGAAAAGAAUCCCCGUUCGGGGUUCGGGACGGGAUCGUGGAUAACUAUCAAAUUCGGGGAUCGGGAGGGGAUAGCUAUCCCCGACCCCGAAAUGCCACACGUCCAUCCCUAUUAUCUCUCAUAGCUAUGCUCAUUCACCCUGGUACCUCAAUGAGCUUGUUGAGAUCCUUAGACGCUAGAAAACGGUUUAUUUAACCUAAGCUAAACGACUCAAAUUACGUUUAAAUUAAAUUUUUGAAGCAAUUAAAUAAAUAGAAAAUUCAUAUUUAUUUAGUACUUAUAAUCUCAUUUUUUUCAUUUUUAGUAAUAAAUAAAUUAUACUCUCUUUAUCCGGGCGAAUUCUUUAUAUUGGGGUUGGAUACGGAGAUAAAAAAAAUGUAUAAAGUAGUAUAAAGAAUAAGAAAAGUGGAGAAAAAUUGGGAAUCAUGAAAAAGUAUGGGUUGGAUUGAGUUUUAUAUUAUUAAAUUUUAUUAUUUUGUGAAAAUUUUGUAAUGUAAAAAAAUGAAAGAGACGUUCAACAAAAAAAAUCGUAAAGAAUGCAGCGGGAGUCUUUUUUCCAACUCCGAAUGGGUCGGGGUCCAAUUCUGAGUGUGCAACCCUCUAAAGCGCCAAAAUAGAUGGUAAUGCAUGAAAGCUUGGUGUUUUUAACUCAACAAUUACUACCAGGCUACUGCCAUUUUGAUGAUGAACUCAUUUUUCUUUACAUUAAUAAGAAUGCUCACUUCAUUACUUCCUUCACAUACCUCCAAUUAAUGUCAUUAACUUGUACUCAUUUCCUUUUCUGCUAAAUGUGAUUAUUAAUAUUAACAAUUAAUAAAACAAAAAUGACUUGAAACUUCCAGGCUCAACGUGUUGUUGACAUAACAUACAAAUGGAAUAGAUAUAAAUUUUUCAGUCCCAUUUUUUGAAAUUGUACCAAGGCAGCUAGCUCUCACUUAAGUCCUCUCUCUGCAUAAAUACAAUUGUGUUAUGUGUAUGCAAACAUCAGACACAGUACUGAAAAGAUUCCUAUAAUAAAUAGUAAUAAAAGCCUCAUAUAACCGAAAUGCUUCAAGAAAUGAAAUGCUCUGCCACUGGUUUGGUGGCACAGUAUAAUCUGAUCAUGGGAGUUACGCUUGUCUCAUUAAUACUCCCUUCUUAUCGCUUUGCUUUUGCUUUAUCUAUCUCUUUCUACGUGCUUCCUCUUCAAUUUUAUUUUCUUUUACUGCUUUACCACAGAUAACGCGUUCUUUGCAUGUCUGUAUUAUUGUUUUCUCAUGUGCGAACAAAUUUAUGUCCUUUCCGGUGUUCUAAAAAUCGGCCUCGACCGAGUAAUUCUUACGAGAGGUUGUACCGAUUAUAAUAUGGAUAAUAGUCCUGGACAAUCGAUUAUUAGCGACAUAUCAUUAGUGAUGAAAAAUAAAUAAUAAAAAUAUUAGGACAGAUGAUUUUUCCGCUGAAAGAUAAUGUAAAUCCUCCUGCUUACAUAAAAAAACUAUAAUUAAUGUCUUUCGGCGGAAAAAGCAUGUUGAUAGUAUGAUGCAUCAUAUGCAUGGUAUUAAUUUUUCGAUAAGAUCUGAUUCUUGAAUUCUACAACAAUGAUACCUGCAGCAACAUUUUAGCUACUUAACUUUAAGAAUGAACUAUAAAUUUACAGUAAUUUGACUAUACGAAAUGACUUGUGUUGAUUUUGGUGUUUGGAAUAUUUUGAAAGAGAAAAAAAAGAGGGAAAAAUAUAGGUGAAGUUGUGCAGAGGUAAGUUGGGGGUUAUAAAUGCAUCUCCUGCCAAAGCUUACUACCAUCUUCUUAAAUAUCACUAGCCCUAGACAAUAUUCUCACAACACUCUCUCCCCUCUCUAAUACUUCCUCUCCAUUCUUUCGAAAAACUCCACAUAUAUCAGUAGCAAUGGGUGUUUUUCAUUCUUGAAGAGUUGGUGUUUGAUGCUAGCUAAUACAUGUUCAUACUUGUGACACAUAUACUAUGAUAUUGGCCGGGCUCACUCAGAUGCGCACAUAUGCACUUGAAUAGUUAUGAACGGUGAGUCUGAUUGAGCCGCGCCAAUAUCUUAGUUUUGUUUCAUUCAAACUUCCGGAAACUCAUCACUAGGUUAAUUGCGUUAUCUAUGUAUAUAUAUUUGUUAAUAUUUACCAAUCAGUUAUAUUUGAUUGGUUUAUAGUUCUUACAAACAAUCACCUCUAUUUUCUAGUUAACAAGAAUAUUGGUUUUUCAGAGACUGGAAAAUGAAUGACCCUUAAUUUUCAUUGCGAGAUGUCCGCACAAAUUUCAUUAUAUUCUCUCGUAUUUUGAUAUCUACUUUUCCAAACAUCACAUUAUGCUAAUUACAAUCAAUAGGAAAAUAGAAGACGGACAUCUGCAUUGUACAACACCAGUUGCUCCUCUAUAUGAUAGUUCAUCAGCUUUGAUUUAUGUCUCAAUUAGUCUUACAAAAAUUUUCAGCAUUCUGGCGCCCGUGUCCAGCGUCUAGCGUCCGGUCAUCUGAUUAUGCAGCAACUUGAAAGUGCUGGUUAGAGGAUCAGGGUGGAAAUGUCAGGUGGUGGUUAAUGUGACAAGGUAUCGGCUGCGGUUAUGGUAAAAAUAUAAUGCUAAAUAACAUUAUACACUUCACUCCAAGGAAACAGGACAAAACCGACCGUGCAAAAGAAAUACCGAAGUGUAAAUGCUACUACACAAAAAUUUACACUUGUAUCAUUGAGCUUCUAGCCUUCGAUCCUACUCGAAGGGUUCAUUAUAGAUGCAAAUCGAGUAGGGUUAAUAUUAAUACUAGUGAAGCAUAGGUAUAUAAGUGAGGCUAAAAUCUCAGCUUUCACUCCAAAAAAUUUCUUCUUUUUUUUUUUGCUAAAUAAAAUUUUCUUUUCUUUUUCUUCCAACUUAAAUUUAUUAAGGAUAAAUUAGGAGAAGAUUAAUAUGAUAGUCCUCUUGAAGUUGCUUUUGUAUAUUCAAAUUUAAGAAAUUAUUAUUAUUUUUACUAUUACAAACGACAUCUGGUAUCUUUAUACUGAACUAGAAUAUGGGGCCGUAAACUUGCUUCUCUCAAGUCUCAUCUGCAUGGGCUAAUUCCUUAGAAGUAAAAAUAAUUUUACCUGUUGUCACAAAAAAAUUACGUACCUUCAAAAAGAGUGAAUUUGAACGUUCUGUUUUCUCAAAAUAUUUUUCGCAACUGCUUUAUAAUUCUUUAAAUACCGUCAAAAACAAUUUGUGUAUGUGAGUAAGUAUGUUAAUUUUUGAAAAAAGUAGGAAAAUUACAUCAUUUUCCAGCUCUAACUUGUUUUUAUCAAUGUGAUAAUCGAUUUAAAGCAAUAUAAAUAUAUUUAUAUCCGAUGAUAAUUUUUAAAAUUAGAUUAUUAUAUAUAGCAAAUAGAAACAACAUGCAAUUGUUAGAAAUUGGAAAUGUAAAAGUUGUUUACUUUGUGUGCAGUGGGAAAAUCAUAAUCUAAAAAUCGAGAUCGGCUAUAUUAUUGUGUUAACGUGGUCUUCUGCCUGCAAAGGACAGUGGCUAAUUUGUAGCAUUCAAUAAGGCGUGUUCGUAAAUUACAGAAACGAUUACAUAUUAUGUGUGAACAUCAGACUAUUAUUGCGCAAAGUCAUGUAAACAGCCAAACUAUCAUCGAUGAUUGUAUAUUCAUUAUGUUACACUUCCCUUGACAGGUCAUAAGCACAGUACUGUUUUUGAUUCUUUUGUCGAUUGCUUCUCGUAUCAAAAAUCGAACCGAACCGAGAGAUCGAAGUAUACGCAUGUUUUAAAGACGAAGCCAAAAAUGGUCCGGUCUGUCUUCGGAUGACAAGUCUAUUAUUCUUGGAUGUCAAUGCUUUUGUUCUGAUUUCUGUCUUGGUCCACCCCCGAAUUCAAGCGGUUAGACCUUACGAAAUCGACAUUAUGCGAAAAAGAAUCUGAAUUUAACCAACUGUGAUAACAUGAGUUUCCUCUUGAGGGUAAAACUAGAAAUCAGUGAUUUCGCUUGCAAUGUACUCCCUCCGUCACCCUCAUUUGUUUACAUUGAGGGACGGGAGUUCGACACGCAUUCUAAUGCUCUUGUAAAACAUAGUUCGAUAAAUUAUUUUGAACUUUUUUUUCAUCUAAAUAAAAAAAUUUGAUGUUUAAAUUUUUAUAAAAAAAUAAAAUUUUUUAAAAUAAAUCAUAGAACUAUGUUUUUUAUACGCCUUAUAAUCCAUGUCGAGUAGUGUGAAAAAAUUAUAAAGAAAUGAGAGAAAGAGCAGGUCAUGCUUUCGGUCGGCUAUCAUGUUUUACACUUACUAGUUACUACUAUGAUUUUGUGUUCAUAUGCUUAUCUGUUUCUGAUGUACUGAGGUUGACCUUGGGGUGUGGCUAAGAUUACAAGAAAAUCAUUAUAAAAUUAGGAAUAUUUUUGUAAAAACAGGAGUGGAUUUUAUAUUUACGGAUUCAUCUUUAAUUUGUUAAAAUAUUGCCUGACCUCGGGUUAGCUUCCUGUGAGCACUUUCGGGCCAAUUUUCUUUUAAUUAAAUCAUUAAAAGUGAUUAUAUUGUAAGCAUGAUUAGAUGAGUGUUCAUAUUUGAGAGAAAUAAAAUCUAGUUAUAUGAUUAUUUUAAUUAUUUUAGUUUAGAAGUCAAUUGUUGCUAGUAUAAAAAUAUUUUUUAUAACACAACUACAAUAUCGGUAGUAUAGAAUACGGACACUCUUUUAUAUUAAAAAUGUCGAUUCUUAAUAUAACCAACAUCAUAGAUACUUAUGAUAGAUUAAGAGUAUCGGUUCUAGCGUUCUACACUUAACCUAAAGUAUAAAUGACUAUUACGUUCUUGAGUGGUUUAUUUAUAUUGUGUUUAUUUCAUCGACGCUGUAAAGCGGGUUAUAUACAUCGGCCAAUUAAUUUCAUUGACUUUGUAAAGUAAUUUAUUUAUAUUAGGUUUGAAUUCGAUGUUAUAUAUCAAAUUUAGUGGUGGGCAUAUUUGACUAUGAUAAAUAAUUUAAUAAAGUUGAAAAUAUUGAAAUUAGAUAUAUAGGGAGUGUUUGAAAACGCUUAUAAGUAUUUUCGGACUUUGUUUUAACACUUUAAAAUAUUUCUACUUUUUACGUAGUAAUUGGCAAAAGAAGUUGAAAUUCUUAUUUUGAAUUUUUUAAGUCAGAAUCUCAAAGUUAGAAAUGUUGACUUUUCUGGACUUUUUUUAAUGAUUUGCAUUUUAUUAUGAAAUUUUUAAAUUUUAAUAUAUAAUAAAAUUUAUUUAUUAAUUAAGUUUCUUUUAUUUCAAAAUUUUAAUAUUUUUAAUUUAUAAAUCUAAAUUAACAAACACUUAAUUAACUAAUAAUUAAAAGUCAUCCAAAUAUUUUUUAAUAAAUUACAAACCAAGUUCAACUCUCACUUUUCUUUUUCUUUUUUUUUUAGAAUGAGUUCAACUCUCACUUAUAAAUUAUAAUCAGACUUUGUUAAUAUAAUCGAUAAAUGAAUUUUUCGAACUCAACCCAACCAGCCCCGUAAUCUCCCAUUACCCAGCUCAGUCGAUACCCAGUCUUCGACUACCAGUCUCCCGAGCAAUCUGUGGUGCAUCGAGACAUCAAAUCCAGCAAUAUAAUCACAAGUAACGCCCACUUUACCGAAUUUACAAGUCACGGUGAGCAGGUUUAGGGGUAAUUCGCCCAAUUGAAGUCACUCUGCUAUUUAGGGUUUGUUUUCAUUCUGCUCUGCUCUGUUUAUGAAUGUAUUUAGGGUAUGUGGUGCUUCAAUUGAUUAUAUAUGUGCUUUCAAUUUGUGUUGUUUUGUAAGCUACUGUUUGAAUAAAUUCUAAUAAACAUCUACUGGAGUUCUGUAACUUGUCUCCAGUAUUGUCAUGGUAAAACCAUUACGAAACUUAUAUUUUCUCCCUAAAAAUCUUCUAUAAAGCCUGAAAUUACUAGGAAGUUGAGGAAUAAAAAUACAUAUGAGGAGCAAAUAGAAGGAAAACUUGAUGCAACUCGUAUGGUAAAUAAGCAGCCCAGCGGUGGACAAUGGACAUCACAGCCUUAACUUAAUUAUAACCACGACAAAUGUUUCUGUGCAGCUGCUCUUCGAUUGAACACAGUUUGGUUAUGUGUAUAACUUCUAUGUUCACUGAAGUGAAAUUUUUAUCCAAAUAAGAUCUAUAAAUAACAUUGAAACCCAUUCUAUUCUAUCUUCACCAAAUCACCAGUAACACUGUAAAAGAGGUCAUGCAUUCUGGAGGAUCUCAGAGCUCUGCUUUUAAGCUAAUGUUUUUUUCUGCAAAUUUUCUCUUGUUUUUUGAAACUGAUUAGACCUAAAUGAGAAAUUUAUAAGUGGAGUUUAGUACGUAAUAGAGCUUAAUUUGAUACAGUACUUUUUAGGUGAAAAGGAUGUAAUUGUCUGUAAAUUGGUUGUGCCUCACUAAGUUGUCUGUUGGCUGCAAUUAUAUACGGCUCUGUUAUACAAUGAGUUCUUAGCCUGCAAAAUGAAAAUGACACACAUUAAGCCCUGAUAUCACUGUUUAUACUUUAUACCUUAUACACACUGAACAUUAAAUAGUAAGUUAUAAAUCAGCAAAAAAGUAACGAUAGUGGUCAGAAAUUAAGCAGAACAACCAUAAUUCUCUCCCUCCCUCCCUUCCCCUCUCCCCUCCCUCCCUCAUAUUUAUUGAUAUGUUUGUUUUUAUGAUUCAUCACAUGCAUAUAUGUAUCAUUACUUGAACUGUAUAUAUCUACACAUGCUCAUUAAUUAAUGUUCUAUUAUUGUUUGUUUGAAUAUAUGCUUCAUUCUUGUUUGAUUUGAUUGAAAAGUUUCCACCUUUAUCUGAUGUUUUAAUACGAGGAUGCCCUUUUUUUUGUGUCUCAUUCACAGAUCUGUACUAUUGUUGUUGAGUAGUAAAGAAACUAUUCAUGGAGUAUUGUUUUUGCAUUUUUUGAAGACUAUAGUUUCAUGAAUUAGCUCAUAAUAAGGUAAUGCUCUUAUUUGACCUUCUGGCAAUAUAAUAUAUCCUGUUUAUGUUCUUAUGUUGCAUAAACCCUCUUAAUUUACUCCCUUUUAUUAAUUUUCCAUGAGUAAUAUCUGUAUCUUUAUUGAUACAGGGCAUAUCGUUGUGAGGUCGGCCUAAAGUUUUCAUUUUGCAGACACUUUCACACUUAUCAGUUAUCAGGUUAGACUUUUCACUUUUAUCCAUCUGUCUGUGCUAAUUAUUUAAUUGGUUCUUUUUAUCAUAUUUGAAUUUAUGAUUUGAAUUUUUGGUUGAAUAUACCUGCACUAUUGAUUUUGCGUUUAAUAUUUGGGGGAUUUUUUUUUUAAAAAAAAAUUGUGUCUCCUUUUUCCAAGGAUCAUUGGUGAAAUUAAAUGAUAGUUUAUGUAGCUAGAUUAAUUUGCAAAGUAUAAAUCUUCACUCAUCUGGGCAGAUUUUUUUUUUUUUAAUUUUAAAUUUUCUCUUCAAUUGUCACAGAUCUUGUUUAUAGCUUUUUUUUUAAAACCAACCAACAGCUAUUGCUAUUUGGAACCAAAUGUGACAAGUACAAUGGAAAAAAUUGUCAAUGUAGGUGAAACAGGCGGUAAAGAAUUAAUGGAAAGCUAAAAGUGUCUUGGUGAAAUCAUAGUUGUUGAGAUUCUUAUCUGUUCUGUUAAAGUUACAGUUGAAAUGUGUCUAUUGCCAAUUAUGCGUAGUGCUGUAGUCUAAUCUCACAGCACCUUCUCAAACUAUUUGAUUGCUAAUUUGUUAAAUGAAUUUAGUUAUUGUAUAAUCAUGGCUGAAGCAGCUCAACCUGAAAGGUAGACAUACAUUUUAUACGGAGAUGAUUCCGUUGAACUAGACAAAAGACCCGUGUGUGCCCUGUGGGAGGAUAUCUGUUAAAGAUGCUUGGGAUUGCUUCCCGAUUUCCAGUUGGGAGUGCCUCUCUUAAUUUUGACACAAGGUCCUUGACGUGAGGCACACACUGACUUGUGAGGUUUGAACUUGGAGGAGUGCAGGAAAAUAGUUAAUACAAAGUCAGGAACAAGCCUUGUGUAGCAUUGAACUUGUAUUUCUGAAACACAUUCAGAUCACUAGAUUGUAUAUACGUUUUUUCAGUUUAAGUAUCAUGACACUUUUUUUCUGAAUUUAUUAUUAUAAAGUGUUUGCAAGAAGUGAUUGACCUGAGUUUUAUUACCACUCAAUUGCCUAAGUCCAUAGUCUCGAAGACUUGGAGAUAGUUUUUGAGCAUAGCAUAAAUAUGGGGGUUCGAUCAUCAGUCGCUUGUUGAUCCACUAGCAGUAGUAUUCUUUAUUAGUAGCGGACUUGAGGUUGAGGAUAGAGUCGUCAGUGGAGUCGUUGCACAUACACGUACCUAAAUUCUUGCAAAAGGCCAUUUCCCUAUAAAAGAAUGUGGACCAUAAACAGUUGUGCAUUAUCAUACAAACAUCUCAUCUCCUUUAGCAACUGUUGGUCCAUAGUUGAAUUGUUCACUAAUUACUAUAUGGUCAUCUGUUUCAGUGAUGAAACGGGUAGACUUCCGUUUUAUAAUCCUAUUUUCAGCAUUUCUUCGAAUCUUUCUAAUUAUAUAUGGAGAAUGGCAAGACACUCAUAUGGAGGUUAGAUACACAGAUGUCGAUUACUUUGUCUUUUCUGAUGCUGCGGCGCUAGUGGUUUCAGGAGUCUCUCCUUACAAAAGGUCUACAUAUCGAUAUUCACCCUUAAUCGCAUAUCUUCUCACACCAAAUUCAAUAGUUCACCGGUCAUGGGGAAAAGUUCUCUUCUCUAUUUCAGGUAUCCCUUAUGUUUUACACUAAUUACAAUGGAUCUGUCAAUAUUUUCUCUUUUUGUGUUUAUUUUUUUUUCAUAUUUUAAAUAUUAAAUCGUAAAUAAACAAGGACAGAGCAAAUUGACAAAAGGCAUUCAUUUUAAUCUAUAUUGGUAACAAGUCAAUACCUUUUCUUUUGGUCUUAAUUUGUUCUCUUUUCUAUAUAUAAUUUGUAUGAGACCAUCUGAAAAUACUAACUGUGUUAUACUUGUUUUGAAGAUCUGCUUGUGGGAUAUUUUAUCCGGUCAAUUCUGAAGCUACAAGGUGUUUCUGAUGAAAUAUGCAUCUACUCCGUAAUGGUAUGGCUUUUUAAUCCGUUCACCUUCACAAUUGGAACCCGUGGGAAUUGCGAGCCUAUUAUAUGUGCUAUGGUUUUGUGGAUUAUUUUAUGUCUCUUGAAAGGUAUUUCAUCUUCUUUGUAAUGACUUCCCCAAUCUACUUGUCCUUUGUGUUUUUUGUUGCUUUGUUAAUUAAUUAAAAUGUGGACAACUCAAGUCCUUGUAAAAUAUAAUCUUCAUUGGGUUGCUGACAGAACUUACAGUUAAAAGGAAGAAAGGAAGCCAUGCAAAAUAAAGGAUAAUAUGCACCAACUUUUGUCAAUAUAUAUGUAUGAAUUCCUUAAGACAUUAAUUUUUUAAUGUGUUGGUAAAAUCACAUGCCCUAAUUUUACCUGGUUAUACAAUUUGUACUGUUUUGAAAUGUAUGAAACUUUUGAACGAAACGGUGCCCUCGGUGUGCAAGUGAAGCAUGGUUUUGAAUUUGCCAGUGACAAGUUGGGAGGACUCCAUAUUGUUAAAAUAUAUUGCUGAGCCCCCACCCACCCACACACACACACAACACACACAGAAUUAUCUCUUGUUACUUCUAGGCAAUUUGUGGUUAGCACUCCCAGUACUAGUCACAUUUCACGUAAAUUGUAUUAGGCUGCUCCUCAAUAGUUUUCUCUUGAGUUACGACAUAUUGUUCUUCAUUCUACAGGCAAGUUGUUACAGGCUGCAUUUUGGUACGGUCUUGUUGUCCACCUGAGAAUAUAUCCUAUUAUUUAUGCACUUCCAAUCGUCUUGGCCCUUGAGCCUUGCAAUUUUCAAUCUGGUAAAAGGCUUAUCCUUCGAAAAUGGAGUUCUAGAGAUAUUAAGGCAGCGCAGAGGUCAAGUACCAAGAAUGUAUCUGACCUAGUUCAGAAAUUGGGAGUUAUUGCAAGGUUGCUCACUAAAGAAAGAAUUCAGUUUGGGCUUCUCUCAGGGACUGUUUUCUUCUUUUUUACAGGAAUUUUCUUUUACCUGUAUGAAUUAGAGUUCUUGCAUGAAGCCCUAUUAUACCAUCUUACACGUACGGAUCCGAGGCAUAACUUUUCUAUAUACUUUUAUCACAUAUAUCUCCAUUAUGAGCGAGAGUUUUCACUUCCAGAGAAGCUUGUCUCUUUUCUGCCUCAAGUUAUAGUGCAGCUUGUUCUCAUAUCCCGCUUUAGGAAGGAUUUGCCUUUCUGUUUCUUCUUGCAAACUGUGGCUUUUGUAGCUUUUAACAAGGUUUGUUAUCUAUAACUCAUAAGUUUCUGAAUCUGUUAUAAUCAGUCAUUUGUCAGCUCGAGUUAUUUGAAGGAAUCUUGAAUUUUGAGUCUACAAAAGCUACACACCCUUGUGUGAACAUAAAGUCCUUGUUGUGCUUCAAAAUCAUGUAAGCAGGCAAAUCAGUCUCUUGGAUUAAUUGAUUCUGAAUUAUACCAUUUUCUCUGACAGGUCAUAACAGCACAGUACUUUGUGUGGUUCUUUUGCCUAUUGCCUCUAAUACUCCCUUGGAGUAAUAUGAAGCCAAAACAAGGCUUAGUAUGCAUUUCUCUGUGGGUUGGAGCACAAACACACUGGCUACUGUGGGGCUACCUUCUUGAGUUUAAAGGCAAGCAAGUUUUUUUGUGUCUCUGGGUGGCAAGUCUAUUAUUCCUGGCCGCCAAUACUUUUGUCCUCAUUUGUGUCAUCACCCAUCAUACCUGUUCCCCGUUAUUCAGACCCUUGGAACAUGUGAAUCGAACGAAAUCAGCAAAAUACAAGCAAUGACCUGGAUCACAAUCUUAACCUGUAUUAAUGAUUUACUAUUGAUUUUAGAAACCCAAUUUUGCUUGAAUUAUAGUUUUUUAGUGUCAAAGUGUCAUUCUUUGAGUUGUAUACAGUGGUAGCGUAAGCCGUCAGGCCAGUUUUGUAUGAUUGUAUAUCUACUAGAUAUUAUGAUGAAGUAGUGUUGAAACUUUAUUAUAACAAGAAACUUGGAACAUGAAUUUGUGAUGAAAAUGCUUUGAUAUCAUAAGAUAAAUCAUUUUCUGGCAGUCUGGCUGAUUAAAGGUCGCUAGUUUUGGUUGCUUCCCUAGAUAAAUUGAUCCCCUACUCCAUUAUCCCAUGUGGUUUACGCCAUACGUACAAUGUGGUGGUAACGGAUAACCCAGUGUCAAAGACAUAUUUAUCCGUGUAAAGACAUAUUUGCGGCUUGUAAGAGCAAGUCUAAUAGGUUACCUAAACUUGCUCUUAAACUUACAUUUAGGUAAUGUAUUAAAAACAAGCACUCCAAUACUAAAUCACUGACACAACCUCAAAUAGCCAUUAUUUAUUUAUAGGUAAUCCCUAGCCAUUACCUAUAUAAUAUUUAUGAAUAAAACAAUCAUUUCUCUCCUUAUUUCUUUGUCUUUUCCCUCCUCCCCCAAAUUUAUUAUUAAAAUAAUCUUAGGAGAACAAAUACAAGGAUUGCUAUUGGAAUUGAAACUAAAAUAAAUUACCUAAAUCACUAAGACUCACUAUGAUUCAUUAUUUUAUAUUAUUAAUAAGUAAUGAGAUAAGUAACCUAUUCAACUCGCUCUACAAGGUCAAUUGAUUUGUUUACAUCAAAAGGUUACAAGGCGGCAAAAAUAGGGAAUUGAAAAUAAUUAAUUGAUAUACCGAUUCAGUGAUUGACAUACCGAUUCAGUAUUUGGAGAGAUUUAUCUGAUUUUUUGAAUAAAUCAGAGAUUUUUAUUCAAAUCGAAAUAUAAUUGAUAAAUUAAUAAAAAAAAUUAUUAGAAUUAAUCGGAGUUUGGAGUCACCAUGUUAUAAUAUUGGCAAAUGGAUGUUUCUUAAUGUGACACCGGACCAAACAUUUGGCAGAAGACCGGAUGGUGAGAAAGUCUAAACUGCGGGAGGGCGCACAGUACCGAAUGUGCCCAACUGAGUAUUAGUUUUUCAUGUGCAGAACAGAUGAAUGUUAUCAACAACUCAACAUAGUCGGGAAAGAAUGGUGAUAGGAGUAUGAUGUAAUAUGAGCCUAGACUCGGACUCUUCCUGUUAUAGUACAGUGAGAUAUAUCUCUUUAAUUCCGGGAUCUUGGAUAUAAACUACUCCCUCUGUCCCUCUCAUUUCUUUACGGUUACUAUUUUGGGAUGUUCCCUCAUUUAUUUACAUUACUAUAAAUAGUAAGUUUUUCUCAUCAUUACACCCACUAUCUUCUUCCACUAUCUCAUAUUUAACAAUAAAAAUUACUAUUACACCCACUACUUUCCUCCACUAUCUCGAAUCUAUUAUUAAAUAUUGAUAGGUCCCACUACUUUACCCACUUUUCAUCUAACUUUACUCAAUUUUCAUACAUGUCUUGGUCUCCGUGUCCCCCUCCAAUGUAAACAAUUGAGGGGGACGGAGGGAGUAGUAAUGAAUGGCACCAAGGUGAGCGAAAACCCGAAUAAAUUCGAAACAGAAAUCGCGAAAAAUUGUAAAAAAUCAAACCGAAAUCGAAAAUAAAAAUUUAAAAACCGAACUGUGUACGUGUGUGCAAAGUAUAACGAAUUAAUUUAAACCAAGCAAUUAAUCCGAAAUCAAAUCAGAAUUAAUUUCCUGCAUUCGUGUCCGCAGGUCGCGCGGAAAAGCCCGAGGCUUGCGAAGCCACACACGCGGGAAAAGCCCGAGGCUUGCGAAGCCACGAAAUUUCCCUCGAAAUCCCACAAUUUGCACCCCUGCGCGCACGUAGGUGGUGGAGCACUAAACAUAAGUUAAACACCUCAUAUGUGUUCUAAUAUAUAAAGCCAUGGAAGGCCCAUUUUCUUUUCUAUGUGGGACACUAGUUUCUUUUCCAACUUUCCACUUCUAAGGAAGCAACUUUGGAUCAUCACAACUCAUCCAUUCCUUAAUCAUUUUGAGUGAAUAAACAUGCAUUGGAAAGUUCUCUCGGAGGAGAACAUAAUCCAAGCAUAACCCGCCACGAACACGUAACUGAGCCUUACUCAAAUUUGUGCUCAAAAUGACAAACUUCCAACAAAAUAUAACAACUGCUAUUUGACAUCUUGUGCCUUGCUAUAUUAACAAAGCAAACAUGCCAUUCAUCAUAGUUGAAGUACGAAGCACUUUUUAAGAAACGGAAUUCUGUGAGUAGGAGCCUUAAAAUUUGAAUGCUUUAGUUGUACCAGAAUGUCACUUAUUUUUAUUUAUAAAUUAUAAAAAGGUAACUCUGUGCUCCCCAAACUGAUGUUUAGUUCUAUGUUUCGGGGUGGGAGGUUUCUUAGUUAAUUUUAUUCUUAAUCUCUAUUGCAAGUGUACGAUAAACAUGUUGUCUCCUUGUGAAAUUCUUAACAAAGCUUCACCUGGUGUUGGAGCUUCGACUCGGAUGAACUGAUUUGUGUUGGAGCUUCACUUAGUGUUGAAGCUUUUCAUGCGAUUUUUAACCGAAACUGAACCAAGAGAAACCGAAUUCGAGGUUUUGAAAUCGAAACCGACAAUGAGAUUAUGGUUGAGAUUUUUUAUUUUUAAAACUGGGGACAUGGGGUUCAGGUAAAAUCGCACCAAACUCACAUCCGCUCUCCCCUAAAUGACAUGACUCUAGCUAUUGGGUGUCGCAAAUUGAUGAUAAACUCGAUUUUAUAUGGAAAAUGUCAGGUACCUCAACAAAAAAUAUUCAAAAAAAUUCCAAAUUUCACGUAUCAUUUUGCAAUUGGAUAUUGAGUCAUUAUUUAAUGGAUCUGCAUUUAGAUCAAUCUCAUCAAUAUAAUUAUCUCAAAUUAAUGUAUCCUAAAAUAUUUUUGAAAAAAUAAUUUGAAUUAUCUAGUAUAGUCCAUUUUAUAUUUUAAAAAUAACAAGAAUAGUUAAAAUUUGUAUAGCUCAGAUCCCGAAACUAGGUGGUCCAAUAAGUGGGAAUAAUUGAUUAUUUAUGUCUGCCACAAAUCUUGGUAACCAUAUGCCAUACAUAGGCAUGUUUGAAUGCUGCUUUUCGCCGGUUUUGUUUUUACAAUUUAGAAUCAGUAUCCUUGUGUAAAGAAGUGAUAGAGAUCAACAUGUGGUUUAUAAAUUAAAAUUUGAUAAGUUGGAAAUUCUAAAAUUUUCAAUUGUUUAUUUUCAAAUAAUAAAUUAAUCACAAUAAAAAAAUUGUUUAUAAUAUCUUAUAAUAAUAAUAGUAAUAGUAAUAGUAAUAGUAAUAAUUUCUAUAGCUAAGAAGUUGUAGAGAUAAAAUAAUUUAUAUAAACAUAUAAAACAAAAAAUUAUUUCUUUUAUUAAUAACAUUUCACUUAUAAGCAAUAAGAACUACUUAUAAGUUAAACCAAACAGCCUUCUGGCUUCCCACCGUUCUAAAUUCUGUUUAAGCAGAUUUUUUUGGCAGCAAAUGUUUUCAUGCUUUUUCCUCUUUCACUUUCAUUUAAGAAUAACCUAAAUCCAUCCAUCUUAAAAGAAGUAGAACUUCUAAUUUUUAUGUGCAUCACGAGAUGUAAUAAUCUUUUAAAAUUUUCUGAAUUAAAAUCCUAUAUUUUUAUUUUAUAAAAUAAAAAAAUAUAUAAAAAAAUGAUCGGAACGGAAAUAGCCCUAGUUACCUAGGUGCAGUACUGAUACUCCCUCCGUCCCCCUGAGUAGGAUACAUUGGGGGACGGAGACGCGGCACGGAUUUUAAUGCUCCUCUAAAGUGUAGUUGUGUAAUAUAUUUUUAAAAUUUUUUUUUUUUGAAUUAAAGUUUGGAUUUUAUAUUUGAAAAAGAAAAUCUCAAAAAUAAAUUACGGAACUAUAUUUCAUAAGAACAUUGAAAUACGUGUCGAGCAGUUGAAAAGAAACGUACACUGUUAGAUGGCAUAGAGGGAGUACUACUUUUGACUUAAUCGACUUGUAAAUGGAGAAAUGACAUCCAAUAUCCAACAUCACUGCAGAGCUGAUACUACUGUUUAAUACUCCAUUUGAUAUGACCGAGUACUGUUUGAAUCCUGCUUUAGUGCUUUAACUUCGUUUUCAAAAUCACAAAAGCAAAAGCCAAAUCAAAUCACACUUUAUUUUAAUCCAUUUUUAUCUUACCAAAGGGGAUGCUCUUGCAAACUAAAUAUUUGCAAUCCAAACCUCUGAAUUUUCGUUCAAAAAUGAUAUUGUACUCAUAAUUUUGUAAACUUAAAUCGCACUCCUUAUAUUUAUAUUUCAAAAACGAUACUCACCCCCUCCGUUAAAUUCUGUUAACUUCUAUUAAAAUAUCUCAUUCGUCUCAAUUUAUAUGUCCCUUUUACUUUUUGAGGAGUCAAAUUGACUAAUUUUUAACCAACUAUUAGAAAGCAUUUAUUUAUUAUUUUAGGAAAUCAAAAGUUACAUAUUAAAAUAGACUAGAUCUACUUUUUGAUGAUAUUUUUUAAAAAAAAUUUGUUCAAUUUUUCAAAGAGAAUAAAUUAAAAUUUAUAUAUUUUAUUCAAUAUAUAAAUUUAUGUGUUAUUUAUAAUAAAUAUCACAUAAUAUUUAUUUUUUAUAUUUAAAAUAGUGUAUAUUUUAAGUACUUAAUACACACACACUAAAAAUUUAAAAUUAUUUGAUAUGUAAAAUUAUUUUGACUUGGGGAUAGCUUAAUUAAACAAAAAUUUAAAAAAAAAUAACGUCAAAAAGUAAAUCUAGUCUAUGUUAAUAUGUAACUUUCUAUUUUCUAAAAUAAUAAAUAAAUAUUUUCUAAUAGUUGGUAACGAAAUUAGUCUAUUUGACUUCUCGAAAAACAAAAAUGACAUGUAAAUUGAGACGGAGGGAUAUUUUAACGGAAUUUAUCGGAGGGGUGCGUAUCGUUCUUGAAAUGUAAAGAUAAGAGGUGCGAUUUGAGUUUUCAAAAGUAUGGCUGCAAUAUCGUUUUCGAACGAAAGUUACAGAGUUUGAAUUGCAAUUAUCUCUUAAAAUAAUAUGAAAUAUUGAUAUAUUAAAUUUAACCUGCGAGAUGUUGUGUUUGUGUCCAUAAUCAUAUCAAAUCAUUCUGCAAAUGAUUAAAUUGAAUUUUAGCCCGGUCAAAAUUGAAUAAAAUAUAAUCCAACAAUUUCAAUUUUUUCUAACUGUAUUUUGAACAUCCCCGCUUUGAAAAUUAUGUUCUAUAAUAUAAUUUAAAAGUUCAAAAAUUACUUUUAUAAAUUGAGAUACACGAUGUGCAUGUUUGGGGAAGGGCAAUUCCGGCUUGUUUUGACAAGGAGGCAUUUCUACUUUUCUUGACCGUUUGGGUAAAAAAUGAGAAGUAUUUAUGAAAAACUAAGAAUGCUAAGUUUUGUUUCAGGAUUUCUAAUUUUUUUCCCAGACAGUUUACUCACUUAUAAGUUUAAUUAUUUCUCACUUCUGAUCAGCUUCUUUACUUUAAAGAAGACAUACUUUUCUUAAGUUUACUCAAACGGCCCCUUCGUUCUAGUAUAUAAUUUAAUGAUUGUUAAAAUCGAUAAAUGUUAACGAUUAAUUGAUAAUGAUGUUUAAGGUACACUAUAAAUUAUAAAUUACAUAAGAUAAUCAAACAUCAAACAUAUUAAUUAUAAUUAAAUUUAAAAACUAUAAACAAUGUUUCUCUAGCUUAAAAACGAAUUUUCACAUAACCCAACUCUACAGCAAUAUUAAUAAGAAAAUAAAUUAUUUAAAAUUUUAGGAUCAAGAGAGGAAGAGGUUCGACAAAUAUAAUUAACAUCAAUAACAAAAAAUAGUAAAGUUUAGAUAAGAAAAAUAUGUGUUGGGGUGGGGACUUUUUUGUACAUAGUCAAUUAUUUUUAUUUAAUAAAUUUUCUUGUCCAUUUUAAUUAAAUUUAUAGUGUCUUGGAGAUGCCGUUAGACUUUGUUAUUUUAAAAUAUUAAAAAUGAAAAAGGUUUUUUCGUCAGAAAUAAAAAUCAAGAAGUUAAAUUUUAACAAAAACUAAUAUUCUUACAACUAUUCAUAAUUGUGUUUGAUGAGCAGUGUUAUAGAAAUCGGAAAUUGAACAUAAUCGGCUGAGCUACCGACUCAGGGAUUAAUUGGAAAUCGGAGAUUAAUCGGAGUGAAAAUCAUAUUUAUUUUAAUAUUAAAAUAGUAUUUAGUUAUUAUGAUAUUAGCUAUUUAGUAACUAAUAUAUUUACUAUAUUCAUAAACUCUCCAAUUAUUCAUAUUUAAAGUAAUAUAGUAUUUUACUUUUAAUAAUUUAUCAUAUACACUUCGAUUAAAAAAUAUAUAUAAAAAUAAAUCGGAUUUCAAAAAUCCCGUCGAUAAAUACCCGUUGUUUCUAAAAGAUUUGCCAUCUACAUCCCUGCCUCCCAAAAAAGUACUUCCCCCCGUCUCUAAAUACUUUUCCUGUUUGUACUUUCACGUUUGCCAACACACACUUUUGAUCGUUAAUAUUUUUCAUUUCAUAGUAGCAUUAAAUAUAAAAAUUUCACCGUAUUAAAGUACUCGUGAAUACGAAUCUAACAAGAUCACUCAUGACUAUAUUUAGUUUUGUAGAUUAGAUGUAAAUUGGUAAUUUAUCUCUUGUUAUGAACAGUACCGACAUUACAAACAGGAAAAGAAAAAAGAAACGGAGGGAGUAUAAAAGUCCAGCAAAUUCCCACAAAACACAAUUACAGAAAUACCUAAAAAGAAAAAUCCCAAUAAAAUAAAAUAAAUUUAUACAGAAACAAAACAAAAGAGGCGGGCCCACAGAAACGAGUAAAGCACGGGGAUGGGCGUAACUGCAUAAGUGAACUACAAAGUCCAGAAGGAAAAAAGAAGAUGCUCCGGAUAUUCCCUCUUACAAUCACUCAUCUCCCAUCCCCAAUCCAAUCCCUUUCCCUAUUCGAUAACUCAUUAUAAUAAUCUUAUUAUUAUUAUUAUAUUACUCAUCUCUUUUUCUCCCUUUAUAAAUUCGAUUAUUUUCAUUCAACCCCUCCUCAAAAACACACACAAAAAACACACACAAACCUUAAUUAAGACAACUGAACAUGCCGCUUUCAACUGACUCCUCAUCGUCUAUGAAUCAACAACAACAACUGCUGGAUAAACUCAAAGUCUUCAAGAUCCAAGGCCGUGACAAACGUGGUCAUAUCAUCCUUCGCAUCCUCGCCAAAUUCUUCCCUGGUAAUUAUUUUAUUUUAUUUUAUUUUUGUUUAUCACAUGCAUGGGCACCAUGUUUUGUAUUCGAUUAAUUUUUUUUUUGAUUUAUUAGCUCGAGAUGUGAGCGUUGACGGGGUGAACAAAUACUUGGAAGACAAGAUAUUCCCGGAGCUUGAGAAACGCUCGUUUUCCGUUCUUUACGUCCACACCGACGUCGAAAAGAGCCAGAAUUUCCCCGGAAUCUCCGCCCUCCGAUCGUUUCACGACGCGAUUCCGGCCACCGUCAUCAACAAUCUCCAGGCUGUCUAUUUUCUCCACCCGGGACUUCAGUCCAGGCUCUUUCUCGCCACUUUUGGCCGCUUCAUGUUCUCCUCAGGGUACGUGAAAUAAUUGUUUUCACGCUAAAAUUGUUCUCGACUUUUUCAAAUUAAUCACACCUAAUUUUCUCUGAAUUAAUUUAAUCAUAUUUGUUAAAAAAAUAUUAGUAAAUAUUAAUGUUAUGUUUUUCGAAAUUCUGAUUCCGUCAGUUACGAAAGAUUUUAAUACGGAUUGAUUUUGUUUUGUACAGGUUGUAUGGGAAACUGAGGUAUGUGAGCAGAGUAGAUUACUUGUGGGACCAUGUAAGGAGGAACGAGAUUGAUCUCCCAGAGUUUGUGCAUGAUCAUGAUGAAGAUCUUGAGUACCGUCCGAUGAUGGACUAUGGAUUGGAAAGUGAUCAUCCGAGGGUGUAUGGUGCGCCUUCAGUGGAUUACUCCCCUUCCACUUACUCCACCAGGUGUAUUUCGUAGUUGGGGGAUGGGACGACGUCGUUUUGAAGUUGCCUGCUUUGAAUUUUGUUGUUAUGGUGGUUUGAAGCUUUAUGGGAAAUAUAGUGAAUGUUAGGUUGUGAAAGAUAGUAAAAAACGAAGUUUGGAAGCAAAGAGAAAAAUGGAAUGCUUCUUGUAGUAUAGUUUUGUUUUCGUAAAUUAAUUUCAUAGUUUUUGUUCAAUCUUUUUAUGGAAUGGUUAUAUACUCGAAUAAAUAUUUCUUUUUUAAUAUCAUUACUAAGAUUUCAUUGGGUAAGCCAAUACACAAUAACUUGUGAAGCUAUAUCAGAUUAUCGAAAAAAUUGAGAAUCGGAAUUAAUAUGAUUUAUGAUUUAUUGGAAUUUUGUCGGACAUUUUAUUAAGAGCAAUGCUAGGUACCCCAAAAGAUUUAAUCUACAAGGGGCCUCAUUAUUUUGGGAGUAAAUGCAACCAAUCAGGAUUAGACACCUCAUUUGGGAAAAAAAUUUGGGACAAUUUUUUGAGGUCCCUAACAUUUUUCUUUUAUUAAUGAAUAGAUAAUUUUUAGUUAAUCAAAAUAUAAAUCGAUGAACAAUUGAAUACGUGCCGAAUUUCCGUCCCCGGUAAACAAUUGAGGGACGGAUCACGGGAGGAGUAUAUUUUUGGCCAAUGAGUAGUGUCCACAAUGUUGUGAUAACUGAUAACGGCAUAACGCUAACUUCUCAUACAAAUAUACAUUUUUUUGACUUUUUUUUUUUUUACAGAUACAUAUUUUUGACUUUGAAAGUUCAAAAUGAUACAAAACAGGCUCUCGUUCAAAAAGUGAAAGCUGGGUCAUCAUCAAAGCAUUAACCCUAUCACUAAGCAAGUGGUAUGAAUGUCAAUAAAAUUAUCUAGCAAAUGAAACAGAUAAUUCAGAUUCAGAGUACUAGUCAUACAAUCAAGCCUUACCGUAGAAAAAAAAAAAUGAAUGAUAAAUUAACAUUGUGGAUUGAACGAGAAACCAAAAAUUUCAUUGACAUUCAUUGUGGAUUAAAAAAAAAAUGAAUGAUAAAUUAACAUUGUGGAUUGAACGAGAAACCAAAAAUUAUCACUAAGCAUUAACCCUAUCACUAAGCAUUAAAAAAAUUGAUGUAAAACAAAAACAAAAAUAUCAAUUUCAUAAACAAAAGAAAGACAUCACAUCGAUUCUCAUAAAAGAAUGAUGUAAAACGUUACGAUACACAUCAGUUUCACAAGUCUUUCGAUAUUAAUAUACCGUUCUAUUAUAUAAUGAUAUUGAUGACAUACGAAUGAAGAACUGAAAUUAUAAUAAAGGUAUAUACUUUUAAAGUGGCUAGAUUAAAGUUGCGAAUAGACAUAAUGAAAUUUAAUUUUCAAUAAUAACAAAAUAGUAUUCUCAUCCCAUUUUAUUUCAGUUAUUUUUUUUUUGGUUGAAUUUUCGAAAGGAAUAAAUCUUUUAUUCACAACCUCUAUAUAAAAUUAUAAAUACACUUUUGUAUAAUAGUGUAAUAAUUAUUUCACUUUUCAUGAUUCAAAUUAAAGGCAAACAUUUCAUUCUUAAAAAAUAUGUUGCUCAAACAGGUUCAUAUAAAACGGGAGAUCGAGGGAAAUGAAAAGGAAAGCAUAAUAUAGCAUUCUAAACAUGUUUUAAAUGUAUGUGAUUUGAAAUAAAAAAAAAUUAUUUAUGAAAAAACUGUUUUAUCAAUUUUUACCGAACAAGAAUAUAAAAUAUUAUUAUAAAAUCAUGAUAAAUUCUAUUAUUCCAAAACUGGCUGCUAAUCUUAUAAAAAAUAAAAUAAAAUUGUCCGCCACUAAAUUCGUGGGCAAGGUUUAUCAAACAGUCCAUAAUUCCACCCUUCAACUACACACUCACUCAGCUCCGCUCACAUUUCCGGUCAGUUUGCGACAAUCUCGCUUAUAUUCACGUCUCUUUACUUUGUUGCCCAAUUAUCUUGGUUUUUUUUUUAUUAUUAAUUGCAGCUUGUAUAUCAAUUAUUACAUUUUUAAUUGUUAAUACACCUGAUGAAAUGAACAUAAUUACACAUGAACAAUUUCCCUCGUGAAAUCAGUUACUAAUUUUGAAGUACAAUUGUGCGAUGCUGAAUUCUGCGGUGCUAAUUGUCGAUUAAUUAACUUAAUAUGACACCUGUAGUUCUGAAUUUCGAUAUUUAUGAGUAAUUUUUAGACUGCAUUUAGGUUAAUGAUGUCCGUGUUUGGAUUAGCCUUGUUAGCCGAAAACAUGUCAAAUGUGUGUCUUGUAAGGGAAUAGAGGCAAUGUAAAAUCUACGGGAUGAUAAUCAUAAUAAAUUAAUAAUAAUGGCGAUAAUGAUUAAGUGGCUGUUUAAGGCCUAAUUGUUUGUUGAUUUCAUUUGUUAGGGUAAUUGUUGGUGGAUGUGAUAGACAUGGAUUUCUUGCGUUGGGCGUGUCCAUCACCGGAAGAACAGAAGUCGUGCAUCAACAAGUAAUGCAAGCAAUUAAGUUGAUUUCUAUAGCUAUGAAUUUAGAGAGUUAAUGAGUGUGAUUGGCGAUUUUUUUCUAGGUCUGUUGCUUUUAAUUACGAUAUUAAAUAUAAAGGAGCUAGUGCGAAGCCCGCGUCUUCGCUUCAAGAAAAUGAGGAGCUUAGUAAAGAUGGUUUCUUUGUUAAUCACGCAAAAGUUUUACUGGGUUCGGGGCCUGAGACUUAUGAGAAAGGCAAGACUGCACUGCAGACUUGGAAGUGAGUAUAUAAAAUUCUGGAUAGUAGCUAAUUUAAUUUAAAGGAUAUUUUGGUAUCUAAUGGAAAUUUGGUUUGUAGGCAUUUCGGAAUGAAUUGGGCUUUUGUUGAUCCUCAGACUCCAGUCCAAACAGGGGAGAAGUUGUGUGUUUGUGUCAAAGAGAUUGUACCAUGGAUCAUGAUGCCCCUGCAGGUUGUGUUUGUAAAUGAAAGCAAAAUGGCUAAUAAGCCUGUGGCCUCUUUCAGUUUCGGUAGCGGUACCCUCAAAGGACACCUACUGGUUAGUGCUUCUUUGCAAGUUCUGAGCAUGUAUUCACUGCAAGUCCUGGGCUUUUAGUCAUGCCAAUAGAUAUGAGUUACUAGAAAAUAGUUUUGUUUUCCAAACUCAUCAUAAUUAUUUUUUACUUGAAUGAGGCCUUGAUCUUCAGUAGUCUUUGGAAAGAAUUCUCAAAUUCACCUUUACUAAAAUCAUCAAGAGGUUCAUUGUCAGAACAUUUAAACUGCAUUGUUUGUUUGUCACAAAGAAGUGUACCUCGUUAAGCACCAAAGUCCCCAUGUAUAUAACUCAACUUGCAUCUACUCUUUAGUCUCAACUGUUAUUACCUUUUUUGCAACCUGAAACCUUUUCCUUGUGCAAGAGGAACGGUGUCCAGUUCGUAAAAAAUGCCAUAGUUUUUUCUAUCAACAGCUACAGUUAUGACAUUUAUGCAUUAAUGCUAUUAGCUAUAUAUAAUUGACUUUCUUUCGGUUUUAGUUGUUUAACAAUUGUUGUUCAUACAUACCAAGUCUGGUAAUGUAGGUUGGUCUAUUGCUCUCGGUCUCGGAUAUUGUAAAUUUUCAAUUAAUGCUAUUCCGAAUUUAUUAGGAAAAUAUUCUGUAGUGCUGCAAAUGGUUGUAAUAAGAACAUUCCAAAGUGAAAAAUUAUUGUUGGAAUCCCACAUUGAUAAAAAGUUUCAUAUCUGAAUAGAUCUCCAAGUGAUAUCAUGCAACUUUUAGACUAUUCAGAGGUGUCAAUCUUAUAAACCAAACCAAAUGUACCCAGUAUGUCCCACUUAUCGCAGAGGGUAAGAUUUUUGGAGUCUUACCUUCAUUCAAAAGAAUGAAGAGGAUGUUUUCAUAAAGACUCCCGGCUUGUGUUUGUACAUGUGUGCGAUUAUGUACAAAGUGAAAAUUACUACACAUAAGAAAACAAGAUAUAUCAAAUACAUGUACAAACAAAAUUUGAUCAUAUAAUUUGUAAAGUGAUCAAGUCAGUAAGUAACCGAGCCCAUAAUUUUCUUGACACGGGACUUACUUGUGAUUUGAAUUGAACCAUAAAAUCUGUAGAUUUCACUGCUCCAUCAAAAAUCCCUAAUUUCUUCAAUUAUUUCCAGGGUCUUAUUCAUCUCUAAAUGUUAAUAAAAUAAUCUCGAUUUCUGUUAGCGUUGUUGAUGUCCCUGUCAUGUGGUUGUGCCUUGGCAGCAAUACACUCACCCACAAUUUUAUACACAAAUUCACACACAUAAUAUACAUAAACCUUAUAAACUAGAUAGAAAGGAAUGGUUAAAGUUUGUUAUUUGUACUUCUGAUUUGACAGUCAGUAAAUAAGGAAGAUGAAAAAUAAUGAUAAUCACAAGUAAUUUGUAUGGAUCCAAGUAGAUUUGAAGAAAUGGAAAUGACAAUGUAAAACAAAUUCUUUUUCACAUUGGUAUUUGGGAUACUAUGGCCCUGUUUGUUUAAGAGAAGCUGAAGCUGCUUCUGGCUUCUGCUUCUCUUGAUCCGUUUGUGUAAAAAAGUAGAAGCACUUUUAAGAAGCUGAGAAUGCUAGCUUCUCUCUCACAACUUCUGCUUCUUUUCCAAACACUUUAUUAACUUAUUUACUUUUCACUUCUGCUCCACUUCUCUAGUUUAAGCAAGAAGUCACUUCUUUUAAGCUUGUCCAAACAGCCCCUAUAACUAUUGGUUCCAUUUUCGUUAAUUGCUGUAAAAUAAAGCAGUCUGAGUUUCUUAUGUACUUUUUAAUGCUACCUGAAAAGCUUAGCAGUUAACCAUUCUAAUGUUAUCUAUCAAUUGGAUAUAAUUUGUUAUAGCUCCAGCUUAUCUGUUGCAUGCAUCAGCCAAGUCUAGUGUUUAAACUAGUGACUAAUUGGUGGGGCUGACAUUCAGAAAUUGUGGUCAUGCUUAUCCUUUCAUUGGUUAUUUGCUAAACUGGUGUGUUCAGUGCAUUUUUAUUGUUUUAACUUUAGCAAUCAAAUCAUUCAUCAAGUUUAUGUAAAUACCUCUAGUACUCUAUAGUUGCUGUAAUAAGUUAUUAGCUUUGUGCUCAAUACCCUCAAACAAUAUAGUUGCAUAAUAAAUAUUAAGAUUUUACUUGGUUGUAUAUCUUUUUAGUAACAAAGAGUUAAUGUAAUAUAUUCCUUUGUUGAAAACAGGCUGGUGAAGAGCGUUUCUCAGUUGAGCUAGACGAGAACAAUCAAGUUUGGUAUGAGAUACUUUCUUUUUCAAAGCCGGACCACUUUAUCUCGCGAAUUGGGUAUCCAUAUGCGCGUCUCAGACAAAAGUACUUUGCUAAUCAAUCUAGUUCUGCAAUGCAAAAUUAUGUAUCUUCCAACUAAAUUACUUAAUAUCCUUGUCACUUUUUAUUUUGAACUUUUAGCAAAUAUUAUGUCCUAUAGAUCUGUAUAAUUUGAAUAUUUUCAGUUAACUUUAUAUACAAAGAUUAAUAGGCUGUUUCUGGAGUCAAUAAUUCUAUAGGUGAACUGUUGACCAUCAUUUCAAUCAGGAAUGCCGUUGUCAAAGUCGCACAUUGGUUGACAUAUAUUGAACGAUAUGGUGGCAUCAACUUUUCACACUUAGUGACUUACAAAUCGGGAUGAACAGAAAGUGUGAUAUAGUGCAAAAGCAAUAAUCAUGUUGAUAAUUAGUUUAAUUACAGGAUUGAUAUGCAUUUUGUUAGUAAGAGUUGGAAACUUGAAUAUUAAAUAUAGUUAUUAGCAUUUUGGUCUCAGUUCUGAAGUGGGGUAGUUGUGGAUAAUGUAGGGAACUAUUAAAUGAGAAUAAUAUGUGAAAAAAACUAAAUAUUAAAUGAGAAAGAAUGAAAAACCAACACGAAAAGAUUUCUCCUUAGGUUUGUAUCGUAAUUCUUAGCAUUUCAGGUCUAUAUUCUUUAAGCACAUAAUGAAACCACUAAACUUCUGAUGCUAUGAAGUUUCUUGUGGAAAUUAGGCUGCUGCCUUCAUCUCGAAGAACUGAGAGAGUUAUAUAAUGGGAAUUUUUAGUUGAUCGGAGUUUUGCAACGCCUAGAGUCUUUUAAAGAUAUUGCUAAGAAGGUUUAUGCAAUUCAUUUUAUGCUUCUAUUCAGUAGCAAAAACAUACCUGUAGGAUCUUGAUGCUGAAGUAUGUCAUGUGUAUCACCUAUUAGAUAUGGUGGAUCCAGAACUGAAAGGAUUUCCUGAGGAUGAAGUCAUUAGAUAUAUCAAAAUUGCAUUUUUCUGCACGCAGGGAUCAGCAAGUAGGAGGCCAACAAUGGGCCAAGUUGUUGACAUGCUCUCAAGAAACACCAGGUUGAAUGAGAAGGAACUGUUGGCCCCAGGUUUUUCCCAAGAUAUGGGUGCACGUUCAUCUUCGAGGAACAAGUCAUCUGAUACCCCAACAAGCACUCAGAUGAGCUCUGUCCCCAUCUCUGUCACUCAAAUCACCCCUAGAUAAAACUCGAGUUUCCUUAUUUUGUAGACAAGAUUUAAAAAGGAAUUCGAAGGCAAAAAUGUGCUACAUAUGCNUAUUUGAAGACCAUAUCUUACACCCUUAAUUAAAACAAUAAACAACGGCAGAUGUGAAGACAUGUGGCAAGUCUUUAAUAUUUUAAUAAAUGUAGAUAACCUCAGUAUAUCAUACUGUAUGAAUUGUAGUUUUGCAAACUUCAGUGAUACAAGACAUUCAAUUGACAGUUAAUUACUCGUCAUUUCUCCUGCUUAAUUUUUUCCGUCAGAUCAAAAUCCACAUGAUCAUAGGAUAAGAUCGACAACGCGAAAUAGUGCAGAACAACUACGACAUAAGUCGGAGAACCGUCUACAAGUAACGUGUUAUUGGGAAACUACAGGACAUGAAUCAAAUGUGAAGAACUAUAAUCUGUUAAUUUUUCGAUUGUUUUGUUGUGUUCUUGUUUAAGCUCGACUGGAUGCUUGCUGCAUGUCAAUGAAAAUAAAAGAAAAUGGGGCCAUUAUAUGACUUUGAUGUUCUUAAAAUGACUGUGUAAUAAAGUAUUAUCGCUUGCUAAUAUGGUGGUGUUGUUUAGUUGUUUAUGCAUGACCAAGCAGUUUGAUAAAUGUUGUAUUGUUCUGUUUGAACUAUGAUCUGCUCUAUUUUGUGUAUUGUUCUUCAGUCGCAGUAUACUGAGGGACAAGUAGACUGAGAAUAAGAAGGAUAAAUAUCAAAGAUAAUCUUGGUGCUUGAAUUCAUGAGAACAGAACAACCGCCUGAUUUCACGCUUGAUUUCUGAGUAACCGUUAUAAUGUAUUUAUACGGUGAAGAGAGUAUAAGAAACAAUAAACAAGUAAACAUUCUUUUUAAAAUAAUAACCACCAUUAGAUUUGAAGAAGAUGGACGGACCAGAUGGGGUCUCCAAUACUCCAAAUAAAUCCGGUCUCCACAGAACUUAAGCCUAUAUAUAUAUACUUCCAUUAUUUGAGAUAAAUAUACAUAGGCCCUCCAUCUCAAAAUACUCAUAUCAGUUGAGAAGUAUAAAUCAGAUCACAUUACUGAGAGACAAUGUUCAAGAGACCCUUAUCCUAGUCAGGAUCCCUGGUAUGUGUUAAAAGUAUAAAUUUCAUUUGGUGUUUUGUUAAAUACAUAUAGGUUCAAGGAGAGUGAUAAUGUAAAUUGGCAUCAGAUUCUAGGUUUAUUUAGAGAGGUCUGUUGUUGCUCCUUGUUACAUUGGGAUUGUGCCCCCUUGAUUAAUAUGUUAUGGUGGCCCCCUUGUGCAUUCGAGGGGAGUAUUAGAGGUAUAAGAUUCAUUUAGUGGAUUCUAUCAACACCUAAUUUUUUUAAGAAUUAGCUAUCUAACAAUAUGCUCUCUAUGCCAUUCUCUGUGACUCAGAUGCCUCCACUCUUUGUUAUUUACAUGAUUCAGUCUGCCCUUCAUUUGACCUGAGUCUCAUUAAUGCUCCAUCUAUGCUAUCUAGUUAAUUAAAACAUAUGUCAUGUUCUCUUCCUGCUUGUGACAAGUGACUACUAUGUUCCCUUGGACUUCAAGUUGGUGUGAAAAUAAAGAUCAGGACAUGCUGUAAGACUUUUGAUGUUCGUGGAAGUAGAAAUAUUUGGUACUAGAAUCACCAUGGCUAGGUGGUCAUCCUGAUUAAUAAAUUGCAAUGUACUCCAUGUUGCACACUUGCCUCAGGGCGGCAAUCAACUUUUUGUGAUCUUUUAACCUCUCUCCGGAAAAUGUGUACUGGGGCAGUGUAGCCUUCAGUGCUUAACUAUCCAUUUCUUCUCCGUAGAACAGACUGUAGGUUUCACAUUCACUCGUGUGGUAACUUAUGACAUGAUAUAUGUUUACAUUCAUAGUUAUCAGAUUUUUGAUGAAUUUGUCAACAAACUUAUCAUAGCAUUACUCAUGUUGGUUCUGAGAGAUGGUUUGUGGCAAAUCGAGAUCAUUUGUCCAUAUGUAAUUUUUUUUUUAAAAUGGUAACAAUUUUCUUGGCCGUUGGCACAGUUGAUACUUCAGUUUCUCAUAUUUUGAGUUUAUUCAGAUCCUCUUAGAUGUCAAGUGUGCUAGGAUGCAACCUACUAGGCAAGCUAGUUUGAGUUGGGCUCUUAUUAAAUUAUAUAGAGUACCUGAAACUUCUAUUUACUGCUGUAUAUACCUUAGUAACCAAGAUGAGCUAUAAACUAGUGUCGGAAGCGUGAUGAUAUGUCUGGAGAUGGUAUUCUCUGAGUUAUAUCUUCUUGUAAAUUGCAGCAGUUAUAGUUAGAUUAAUAUCGAAAACAUUUUAUACAUAAACAUGAUAUACAUGGUAAGCCCUUUUAUAAUGUCUAACGAGCGUCUCUAACUCAACAUAAUAUCAUGGUUUUGUUGAACCAACCGUUUCAGAAAUCCACAUAAAACCAUAAAAAUGGCCUUUGAGUACCGGUAAGCAUGAUAUGCAUAUUAAGUUUUCAUCCUUAGCACAUCUAGAUUUUAAGAGAAUCGGUAUUCUAGCAAAAAUCGUUGGUCAUUUCAUGUUGCCCACACGUAGCCCACACUGACUUCCACAUUUUCCUCCUUCCAACACCUUUACACAAAGUUGCAUCAAUGGGGAAUUCCUCAAGUCACUAAAUUAUUGUAAUCUAUAUACGACAAAAUAGUGCAGAUUCUUGAGAUCUGUUUAGGGAACUAAGAAAUAAGAAUGAAUGAAGAUUAUAUAUAUUAAGAUUAUAUACAUAAGAAGAUAUAGAGAUUGGCAAUUGAUAUUAUAUACUUUCUUUGCACGUAUGGCAUUUUAUAUAUGUGUCUCCACUGCAUUCAUUAUUGUCUAUUGAUAUUUUUAUAAUGCAAGUAGAUGCCUGACUCGCUUAGCUCAUUUGAUAUGUCAUACUUAAUGUCUUAGUUCCUACCUUAAGUUUGUUGCUUGCUACAUUUGUAUUUUAAUGAAAGGAAUAUUCGAGAAUCAUAUAGAUGGAUUCUAAAGAAGAGUCUCCAUUUUCUGCUAUCUUCUUUACUUUUCCAUCUCAUUUGCUUUUCCAAUUGUAGACACGAAUCACAAUUUCUUUUUUCAAGAAAGAAUUCAUUAAUUUGAUGCUGUAAUUGUCUAAUAGGAUUUUGCUUGGGCGAUUCACACGUUGCGACUUACUGACUCUUUUAUUGUUCUUUAAACACAAAAAAUUGCUUUAGGUGGGUUUCACGCCCAUAAGUUUCGUGAGGUUUGUUAUUAUAUAGCAAGGCUCUGUUGUUGCAAUCCAUCAUCAUAGUUUCUCAAGUAAAAUAUUAUAUUUGAUAUUGUAGGUUUGCCUAGUCGUAUAUCUCUGUUUAAAGAGGGAUUUAGCUGUUAAGACAAAUAAUGCAUACUUGAGUCUACCUGUUAUAAUAAAUGUUUGCACGAGUGGUAUGCCUCCUUUGUUUCCGGCACCGGGGUUUUGCUACCUGCCAUAUUAUCUGUAUUUUCUUUAUAUAUUAAUGAUAUCUUAUCAAUGCAGCCAAAUAUGCUUUGUACUACAUGCAUUAUCAUGAUCCUUUUAAAUAUUCAUGUUGUUGCUGCUGUGACCUCCUUGAAUUACUCUUAGAUUAUAAAUGUUACUAGUUAGCAAUAUAUCUAAUUUUUCAGACCCGAAGCCUUUUCAUUCCUACCUUCUCAAUUUUCAUACACUAACUUCCCUUGCCGGCUUGCCAUGCAUUUGAAAAUUUUAUAAAUUAGUUGUGAGAUUUUUCCUUCUUGUUUUGCUGUACACAAUUGUAAAAUAUCAUAGAUUAUUGUUUUUAGUUUUUAUUGAGACUUGAAUAGAAAGUGAGCUGCUAUGCUAGUUACAGUGGCAGGGACGGAACUGAACUGGAGGGGCACGGGUGACGGCCGUCCCCCCAAAAGUUGCUAUUUUUUAUCUAUAAAAUUUCAAAAAUUGUUAUUUGGUCCCCCCAUUUUUUACUUGAUUACUUAUGUUAAAAGGAAGUCGCUGGAAAAAUUGACAAUGAAUCUGUCAUUGAAGUGUUUUACGAGAUGAAAAUGUUGUCAAAUGCAGUUAAAGUAGUAUCUAUGUAUAGUUUGCCUCAUUUGAUGUUUAAAAGUUGCGUAUAUGAAGUGAUAUUUUAUCUAUCCUUUCAGAAUAAAUUAUGCGAUUUAGUUUAAAAGUUCGGCCCCUCCAUUUUUUCUUCAAGUUCCGUCCCUGUUCAGAGACAAUGACUGCUGCUGGCUCUGUCAUUGUCGACUCUCCCAUACUUGAAGUAUUAAAUGGAACAUUGAAUUUAUUUCAUAAUUAAGUAACAGGGGCCGGCCAAGUGCCAACUAUGUACUAUCUAACAGUCCUUUAUGAAUUUUGUCCUAAUGUAUAAUCUAUUUUUUGGUCAUUGAAUUAUGUAUUUUGUUCAAUAAAUUCAUUACUAUAUAUAUUGCUGAGCUUUUCCAAUAAAUGAAGAUCGUUUCGUUUAGUCUAGUUACCAUUAAGAAGGGUAACUGUUGCUCCUAAUUAUGUCUGGAUGGGUGGAACCUUCGUAAGAUUAUACUGGAGAUUGUAGAAAUGAGAUCAAACUGAGAUCACAUGCUUAAUUGUUAAUCAAGAUUCACAUUGAUAUAGUCGCUGAGAUAAACAUUGAAUAAUGUUUUAAUUUGUUUACUUAAAUGUUGCACGAAUGGUAUUUUGUCAGUAUGUCAACACUGAGGUUUGUUACCUAAAACUAUAUUCUUUUUGGAAUCUGGAUAUAUAUUAUCCUCUAAUUAUUGUGUUGUAGCAAUGACUUUCGUUGUGUGUGUGUGCACGCUUUUUGUUUAGCAAGUUUUGUCUAAUGAUUUGUGCUUUCAGACCUCGGUUAAGUUUUCUCUGAUUCUUCCUGACGUUUAUAUAACUUGCUUUUUGAUUAAGCAGUUAUCCGACACUGUGUGACAUGAUAAAACUUAAUCAUCUUAUCAGGUGAAACUCUGAUCAAUUUCUAUCCUGUUACAUUACCAUGGACCUCGAAUGUAGGCCAAAAUUUAGAAUCUGGGAUGGCUGUUUAGAGAUAUUGAUGUGAUAUGGACUAUAAUAAUGCAACUAAUAUACAAUAAUUUGUUUGCAUAUGGGUGGUGGUUUCUACUUUCUAGAUAUUGAAUACUGGUAAAGACAAUAUGAUAUUUGUGCAUGGCUGGCAUGUUUCCAAAGUGUUCCCUUUCAGGUUUGCACUUGGCCAGCCAAAGAAGUGACUACAGCUAAGAUGUUGUAUAAUUAUUUAUUCAUUCCUUCUUUGCUUAGAUCUGUAUUGUUUUUCUAUAUCGAGGUUCAUGGAGACUGACAUUUUCAUCUAUAACUGAGGAAAUAAUUUUUAACUGUUUAGUUAAUUUAUGUUUUUACCAUAAUUAUUUCUUUGAGGAAUGAAGUAGGUUGAUUCUCUGAAUGUCCCUGCAGGCCUGGUUAAUUAUCAGUAGGAGAUGCAGGCAUGCGAUUCCAAAUUUUAUCUGUUUAUAUAAUUUUGAAAUGUUUCUAAAUUAUUAUUUUUUCCUUCGAAAAGGUUAACAGGGAAUCUGCAGAAACUGACUCCCUACUUUAACUUUUUCUAGUAUCAUAAUAUAUGCUCAUAUAUCUUACCCUUUCCAGAUUCUAAUUCAAAUGAGAUAUGCAUUAUAUGCUAUAUGUUUCAGUUACUAUGUCAGAUGGGUUUCAAUUGGUUACUAAUAUACUGAUGGAAUUUUAUAUACGAUGUGGUGAAGAAAUCAUAAAUCAUAAUUUGGAUGUAAUAAUUAUUCACUUCACCAAUUGUUUUGGAUAUGUAGGAACCCAUGAACAUAGAAAUUUAAUGAGAUUAGUGUAUGGGAGAUUAAACUUAGGAUAAGGCUUUUUUGAAGGAUUAUACCAUAUCAUGCUUUGUGAGAUAAAUUUAGUGACAUUGAUUUAAUUCUUAUCAUAUCUGUUGCAAAAUUCCUCCAUGGAUAUGUUUUGCAUUAUCAGAUAAUCCUGGAAAUGAAGAACACAGUGACAGUAUGGUGGAGACCGAGGUAUGUGAAACAUUGAAGUACUAUAUUGGAAUUGUGUAUAUACAUUCGAAAAUGAGCAUGUAAUAGCUAAUAGUUUUGUUUACAUGUUUAUACAAUGCAAAAUUGAGUUCCACAAGCUUAUCCUCUAAUAUUCGGAUACUUUUGCAGAUGUCAAGAAUCACAGAUCAUACUACUUAAUUACUGGGAAACAAUGUUGAGCAGAGACGCUCUUGUUCUAAUGAAGUGCCUAAACAUGCUCUCCAAGCCAUUCUCAAUGCCUUCAACAUCACUCUCCAAGGUCUUUACUCGAUCCACUUCAUUUACAUCAUGCUGUUGAUCUUCACUUGACACAGCACCCUUGUGCAUCAGUUUUGAAACUUGCAACCACUUUGUAGUAGCCUUUGGCUUCAAUAUAGGUGUAGAUAAGAAUAGCAAAACAGAUUGAAAGACAGAAACACUUGCGGCAGUGACUUCUUUUAGUGAUCUAAUCACUGCACCUAGGUGCUGAUCUUGAUCAAAGAUUUCUAAUACACUGCUUUUGGUAUCCACUUGCUUGAGAGAUGCAGUCAAUUUUUUCGAAUCCUUGUUAAUCGCCUUUCUGAAAGCUGCAAAUUCCGCGCUUGAGUCCCCCUUCUUCCUUCUUAAAGCAGACAGAAGCUCUCUGGCAUGAACUUUAAUCUCUGACAUAACAUCUCUUGUAUUCCCACAGAUAUCCAAAAGCCUCACCGAUUUAUCCAUCAACUCAUUGACACACUUCUCGUUCUGAUGGUGAGAAAGCGCUUGCUGGGUCAGUGGCAAAUUCAGAAACUCAUCUGUAUAUUUGUACAACUCCCCAAGCCUGCACAGACCAUCACAAACCGUGUCCGCUGUCAAAACAUCAGAAGCCUCCGCUUCCCAUGAUCUGAUCCUGGUAAGCCCUUCUUCGAUCUUGCAAGCACUCGGAUGCAACGUCGACGGGAAGCUAGUCGAUCGAACAGUGCAACGUUUGUUGAAUUUCAUUGAAGUAGCCAUUUUCUUAACUUGUCAAAACUUUUGAUCUGCCAAGCUCUGAAAAUAUUUGAUACCUCAACCUUCAACUCUCUGCUAUUUAUAUGCUGAUACCCUAGGAUAUUAUACAAAUGUAUCUAGAUAUUAUUAUAAAAAUAUCGGCAACUAGCGGAUGAAAAGGACGUAUUUAAAAUUUCACGGGUAACUCUUCGCACAAGAUGGCUCCGCCCCUGUCGAUAGUAACGUGGCUGGCAUUUCAUGUGAAAUGGACUUAUUUAUUUCAAUUAUUUCAUCUUUGUCCCCAGCAAGCUCAACAAUAAUUUGCCACAUUUUUUUAGCAUUUUUAUAAAAAUGCAUUAGUCACGCCAAUUUGGCCUCCCAAUUAUUGCUCUUCGAGUGCCACAUUUCACUUUUUUCCUACCAUCCACAUACGUGUAACUUUUUGCAUCAAUGUGGAAAAAAGAUGGUAUUAUAAUCGCAACAGUGGAGAUCUGGAGAUCUUUCAGCAGAUUAAAUAAGCUACGGCUAUGGUUUAUUUGCAAACGUGUUUCCACCGUUUCAUCUGCCUUGCUGCCUAACUUGCUUACUCUAGUUUUGAUCUUUUUGUACAAGUCAGAGCAAGAUGCCUAAUCCGCUUAAUUUUUCUGGCGAGUUAUCGUUUCCACUUGUUUAUCAUUUUCGUCGUGUAUUCGGACUCUCAAAUUCUCGACCUCUUGUUAUUAUCACUAAUCGGGUUGAAACGGGGAUUUUUCGCGUAAAUUUGAAAAUUUGGCUUCUAAUUAUAUAAAAUUGUUUAAAUUAUAUUAUCCAAGCUGUUUAACGUAAUUAUUUGUAUUAAUUCUAAAUCAUGUUUAUGUUGGUGUGCUAAUUGUUGGUUGUAUGAUUAGGAAAAAAACAGGUAGAGUGGGAUCUAAGGUGAUUAAUAAGCUAAUUAUUGAUAGAUAUGGGUUUACAAACUUACAAUGAAUGCAGACACAUGUUUAAUAAAUGUAUACACGAGUGCUAUGUUCCACAUUGUCUGCGCUAAGGUUUGCUACUAGCUGGCUUUCACUUGUCUCGUCCUUCAAGUGUUCUCUCUAGUCUCUACCGUUGGAAAAAAUUCUAUUGAAUAAUUUUUUAAUCGUAAGUGUUCAAGAGCUUAAUAAGGGUAAUUUUGCGAUAAAACCAGAUUAGCUGCGCUUAAAAAGUUAAAAUUACUGGUUUGUUGUUGUGGGCCUCUACUUAAUAGGUUUAAAUCAUUUGAGUAGCUUUAAAAAUUUUGUGGGCUUAAAAGUGGGCUCUGCAUGCACCACAUGGCAAGAUAGUGUUAAUAGAAAAACAACUUGUCAAGAUAAUUAUUAUUUAGUUUAUGUUAGUUUAAUCAAUCAAUUAUAAGUUUAAUAAAUUAUUAAAUUCUAAUCAAUAUCUAUUUUUUGUUUUUUUAAACUUAUAUUAACUAAUAUAUCAGUCAAUUCCAUUAAAAAUACUCUGAUUUCUAAUUAUAAUUUCUACCUAGUAACCUAGAAGAAGAUUAGAUUAUAUAAUUAGAUUUUCAGGAGCCGUAAAACAUCGUUGUGAGAUGGAAAAUUAGUUGGAAUAUAAAUAAUAAAAUAAAUCUAUUAAUAUGAGAUCUUUUAAGAUGCGCUCGAAAAUAAAUUUGCAUAAAUUCAGUCUAAAAUAAAUAAUAUUAUAUUAUUUUGAAUUAUGACUCACUCAACAGCUUAAUAAACAGUUCACAAUUUCAGAUUAAUAAUAAGUCCGACUCUCCCAGAAUGGCCACGAGAUAGACGAGUCAUCCUGCAUUUUAUUUUUGAGCUCAUCUCGAAAAAUUUCACAAUAACAAAAUUAUUUGACCUUAAUAUUCUAACUACCUGCCCAGGUGUGCCAACUCCCCACACUUGCUAGUAUGUUUAAUACAAAACCUACAUAGUGGUAUCUUCUUGUUGAAAGAAUAUUAUAUAUUAUUUACAAAGUAAGGACCAGUUGAUUUGUCUGAUUAUGAAAUUCUUGAGAAAACAGAUAACUUUUUUUAUUUAAUAAUAAUAAUAAAAAACAAAAAUACUUUUUCACAGCUAAUAUAUAAAAUUGUUACAUACUUGGCCUAAUUAUUGUAAAUCUAACUAAUUAUGGUUCCAAGAAAAGGACAUUUUUUAAAUAAAUCUAAUAAUGUGAUAAUUAGAACGCACUCCAUGACAUGGUUCACACAAAUAAGAUCUGAAUAACUUCAAACUUGGGUAUUUAUAUACGACUAUAAGAGUAUUAUAGGCGCAAAAAAAAUGACAUAAUAAUUGAGUGGAAAAAUUUAAUUGAUAUUAUUAAUAGAUGUUUGGACUUUUUUUUAAUAAAAUAUUAACACAUACUUACUUUGUGAAUCUGGUGGUACACAAUUUCAUAUAUCAAAUAUUUUUCAUUGUAUAUACAGACGUACAUUUCUCACACUGUCGCACAGAUUCUUAACAUACCGAUACAAAAUUACAUGCUGAAGCUCCUUUCCACCAACAAGGCCUGAAACCGUCUAAUAUCCAAAACAUUCAAUCAAAAUCUUUUCUAUUCCCUUUUGUAAUAUCAGCAAAAAGUCGAAGAAAAAAUAUAUACAGCCUAGAUACAUCUUCCUAUAAAAGAUUUCAUCCUAGAUUUUCUACAGGCUAAUUUAUAAUUUGGUACCACCGUCAACUUAUUAUUCUUGUAAAAGGGUUCAUGAACCCAUGAAAGUCGGUUGCUAAUUUAAAUGAAAUGCAGAACUUGUACGUACAUUUGUCUGCAUAGGAUGUACCUUCAGUACACAAUAACAUUGAGAUUUUUGUUUAGAUUAAUUGUCUGGGGAUAUUACAUGUUUUUAAAGAAAGAGCAAUAGGAUAAGAUUAUAUAUGUCAUAUGUAUGUAUGGGUUCUUAUAUUAAAGUUAUUAAUAUAUUAUUAUAAAGCAUGCAGGCUUAACUUUGGCAGAGAAGAUGGAGUUAUAUUCUAACUUGUGCAUGGCUGUCAAUGUUUAAGCAAUGUCCCCUGUUAAGGUUUGUAGCCGUAGAUAAAAAUUUGAUCUAAGAUGGCCUGAAUAAGAAUCAGAAUAUUUUCCAAUAAUAUUAACUUAGUCCAAAACUGGUGUUAAUUUUAAUGAAUAAAGGCAGCUGACUCGUGCAAGAGCAACUUAGAUUUACUUUUAACAAAAAUAAGUUCCUUUUAUUCAAGAAAAAUACACUUCUAUUCUGUUAAUAUAUAUCAAUAUUUGCUGACUCUAUAUGAACAUAAUCAACAUACUUAUAACUAGAAAUACUUGAUUAUUGUAUGUAACUGCUCCAAAACAAUACAUCAUUUAAAAAAGUGAAAUUUUUCCAAAAUAAUUGUUCAACACUUUCUUAACAAAUGCAAAACAAUUGGUCCCACUGUUCUCACAUGAACCACUAUCUAAAUCUAUAUAUAAAUACGAUUCUAAUACAUGUAUAAUAGAACCAUUAAAGACUCACUCAUAUUGGGUUCACACAAUUCUUAAAUAAUAUAAGAGAUAGGAAGUUUAAAAGGAUGCAUUUCAUUUUAUAUAAUAAAUUUUAAAUGACAGUAUUUGAGUUGUUAUUUCAAAUAUCCAUAUGAUGAAACCGGGUUUCCAAACAAAUUAUAAAUAUAGUGAUAUUAUUAAAUAACCUUGAUCUCUGAACCUAAACGUGUUAUCAUUAAGAAACCGGCUAAGGUUAUGAAAUUAGGUUAGUUUGUUUCAUGAAAUUAUAAUUUGUGUAAUUAGUCUCCUCAUUAUUAAUUUUAAACAUCAUACAUUGUUAUAAACUUAUUCAUUUUUCUAAUAUAGUAGGAAUGUGAAUUGGGAGGGAAGGAAUUGAAAGGAUCCUCUGAAACAGUUUCACGUGAUUUAAUUUUGAAACAAAUAUAAAGAUCUUUAAGCUUAUCGGUUUAGAUAUAACACUUUGGAUCUUAGUUGCAUUCAUUAUUUAUACAUAUAGAAGCAAAGAAGAAGAAAUCAUGGAAUAGAGAAGAGACUAUAUGUGAUGGAACUCAAAUGUUUGUAUAUAUUUACUCAUGGAAAGAACUAAUACAGUUCUUUCUCUUUACAUUUCAAUCAGCAUCUAUAAACUAAUCAAUCCUCUAAAAUUCGGAUAGUUUUGUCAAAACAUCUAAUCACUGCGAAACAAUGUUAAGCAGAGAAGUUCUUAUUCUAACAAUGUGCCUAAACAUGCAUUCCAGUUCGUUUUCAAUUCCUUCAACUCCGGCCUCCAAUGCCUCUAGUCUUUGCUUCAGCAAACCAGACUCUUUAGUUGAACCCGAUGUUAUACUUGAUAAUUCCGCGUCCACCUUCUCCAUUUCAUUCAUUUGUUGAUGAUCUUCACAUGCAACUCUGUUUUUGUGCAUGAAUCUUGAAACUAAUGACCACUUUGUGGAUUUCACCUUUGUGGAUGUUGCUAAGAACACGAGUACGUAGUUGAAUACAGAAAUAGUGGUGGCAGUAACUUCAUUGAGUACUCGAAUAACUGAAAUUAAGUGUUGAUCUGAAUCAGCAAAUUGAGAGCCACUUGUUCUGUUAUCUAGUUGGUUAAGAACUGCGGCUAGUCUUUUGGCAUCUUUGUUUAUUUUCUUUCUGAACAAUGUGUACUUGGUAAAGCUACUUGGAUCGCCUUUAGGCCUCCUUCGUAGACAUGAAUGAAGAUCUGCAGCGUUUACUUUAACUUGUGACAUAAUAUCUUUUGCACUUCCACAGAUAUCUAGGAAUCUGAUGGAUCCAUCCAGCAACUCGUUGAAUGGGUCGUCGUGUUGAAGGGCAGAGAGGGCUUGUUGAGUCAGUGGCAGAUUGAGAAGAUCGUCCGUGCAUCUAUACAACUCGCCUAAUCCAGAUAGGCCGUUGCAGAUGGUCUCUGCUGUUGGUGCAUUUGUUGAUACUUCAGCUUCCCAUGUUUUAAGCUUGUUCAGCUCCUGAUCCAUCUUGUAAGUACUCGAAUGUGGCCUGCAAGGUAAGCUAAUUGAUCGAAUGCCACCACGGGGUUUGUUGCAUCUCAUUGAAGCAGCCAUUGUUUGUUUCUGUGUUAAGAAUAUGAAGUUAUGUGAAGUGUUGAUAUCCAAACCUCUGUUGCAUUUUGUUAUAUAUAGACAAAUGCUAAGACAAGAGCAAGAUUAGUUUUAAAAUUAUGGGACAAAGUAAUGGGCAUGUGAUCAAGAUGACCUUUGCUAUUUUUUAAGUCUUGGUAUUUGGUGAAAUUCAUUGGUCAUUUUUGGUGUGGCAUGCUCUUUGAGUGCCACAUUGCCAUCUUUUGCGCAGCUUCAUCUACGUGCAUUCUGCAUAUGCAAAAGUUGAAUCAAAGGGGAGAUUUCAAGUCAUCAAGAAAGUAUUUAACAAUAGAUUUUAAUAUGAUGCUGCAGAUUGUGUGAUCUUUCUGGGGAUUAAUAAAUAAUUACAGAUGCAGAUGAGAUUUCUGGAGUAGGAUUGAAGAUACAUACCAGAUUAGUUUAAGUGAUUGGCCAUAAAUAUUCUAAAAUGGUUGCAGGUAUGUGUCUUUUGUAGACGUGUCUCCACCGUAUUGCUCGAUUUUCUCUCUUAUUGGAUGUCAGUUGCUGCCCAACUUGCUAACUCUUAGGUGAGUCAUGUCUCUUUCUAUUUUUUAUGUCUAGCUCCCACUUAUUGGUAAUGCAGUGCUCAUCUUAGGCCCUUGUUAUUGUUACAACUCACCGUCAGAAGUAAGGCAUGCGUACAUCUUAGUCAUCGGACCUCCGAAAAAUAGUAUAUUCAGUUUGAUCUUGUAACACAAUCUUCUUUCACUAAUACAGAGUUCUCAUCCAUUUGACUUUAGAACAUGGUAAAUUUUUAACAUAGCUUCAGGUACAAGAAGGCCCCAGACCAAUGCACCAGGGAUUAUCCUAAAUGCAUGUAUUAGGACAACUAAACUAUUGAGAUUAACAACAAUCUUGGUAACAUAUAUCUCAUUAAUGAUUGGUUUUUGUUUUAUCUGGAGCUAUAGUGCUCAUUGUUUAUUUUGGCGCCCACAUAUGUGUAAGGGACUAAGGGUCAUAUUGAUUGGUCUAUUUCAUGCAUGCAUCUAUUAAUGACACUCUCACCCUUGUGCUUAUACAUAGAUCUUCUUGGAUUUAUCAAAGUCGGCAGCCAUUAAAUUUGCAGACGGUGGCUUGCAUUUAAGUUGUCUAAAUGAGAAGAACCUUGUACAAAUAAUGCAGAGAAUUACUAGUACCAGUACUCUGUGGAUUUAGCUAGAUCAUUAAGUUCUUAAAUUAUUGAUCUAAGAUUAUGAUGGAUAUGGUUGUUAAUUCUACAUGUUUGCAAGAGUGGCAUGUUUUACAAUAAUGUCUGCACUGAGGUUUGCUUGGAUUAUUGUACCUUUCCAUAUGCAAAGUACAUUAGUACUAAACUACAAGAUCUACAGCUAAUAUAUACGUUUUCAGAUUAAUCAAUCUUGACAAAGUCUUCCUUUUGUUGAUGAAUUUUAAUGGGUGCAAUUAUGUUUUUGUUGUUAAUCAUCAAUUUUAUGAUUAAGAAGCUUACGAAAUAAUCAUGUACAGAUGUGUAUAAGAUAAUCAUGUUCUGAGUGAAAAUUAUUUUAGACUAAAAUUAAUCAUGCACAAAUUACCGGUUACAGUGGUGAGAAAAUAACAAUAGUGCAGAUCACUUGAACCAUUGAACUUUGUUAGAAUAUAAUAUGAUCCUGGUAAGCCCUUCUUCUAACACCUCGAGGUUUUAGGAGAAUUGAUCACUUAACAUGGUAUUAGAGCUCUGUAUAAUAGAGAGUUGUGAAGAGUUUCUAGUUUCUAUUCAAGCCCAGACAUGUACAUAUAUGAUACUGAAUAUGGUUUAAACCUGGUAACUUAGCAAAAUUUCUGCCUAAACCUUUUACCCGUCUAAAUCAAGUUAUCAUGUGUGCGUUUUAUUUGUUUUUUUUACUUAAUCUCGUGGGUCUUCUUGAUCCUGAUGAACCUUUGGCAUAACUGAACCAAGUCUGUAGUUACUUAUUAGUAAUAGUAUUGCAAAAACCAUAAGAAAGCACAAUACCAUAGUCUACAGGCUGAUAUAAGUUUAUAUUUGAUGAAACACUUCAGCAAAAUGAAUGGAAUAAAUCCAAAGAAGAGAAAAUGUUACACUGAGCUAGCUUGAGCUUGAUGGAGAUCUUAAUAUUUACUUUUUAAUAAGUUGUAGAACAAGGAUUGCAUGCAAUAUUAUGAUGUUCGAAGAGCCAAAGGUAUUCUGAGAAUAAACAAAAGCAAAUAUAUAUGUAGCCGUAGAAGAUUAAUCUUGUAAAUGUUCCAGUAUAAGUAUAAAUAUCCCUCAUUUACAUUUCAGUUGAACUAAUAAAUGAAUAUGUAAAACUAAGGCACUUUCUGAUGCUAGAUCUAUAAGCUGGAGAUGAUAUUUAGAAAAGAUGCUCUUGUUCUAAUCAAUCUUCUGGACAUGCACUCGCUUGCAGAUUCAACGAGUUCAAUGCCAUCAUGGAGUGCCUUUAGCCUUUCUUGCGCGAUUUCAAUCUUUUCACUUUCACACGAAUCAUAUGAGUCUAGUGCAGAAUCAACUUUUUCCAACUCAUUCUUGUUUUGGAGUUGCUCUUCACAGGUUACAGUUCCCUUUUGUAUUAAUUUUGAAACUAAUGACCAUUUAGUUGACUUGGAUUUGGAAACUGGUGAAGAAAAGAACAACAGGAGGGACUGGAAAACUGAUAUGGCCACUGAGCUAACUUCCUUUAGUACUCUGAUCACCUCUGACAAGUGGUAAUCUAAGUCGAAGAUUGCUGAGCAUGUGAUUUUGAUAUCCACCUGCUUUAAAUCUGCAAUCAAUUUUCUAGCUUGUUUUUUCAUCUUUCUUCUGAAUGAAUUAAAUUUUGAUAUGCUGGUGGCAAGGGUCAAGUCUCCCUUCUUUCUUCUUAUCGCAGAUUGAAGAUCCACAACGUGUUCUUUAAUCUGCGACGUGAAGUCCCUUGUGGUGCCACAUAUAUCUAAAAGCCUCACAGAUCCAUCCAACAACUCAUCAACCCAUUUCUCUUGGCGAUGGUUAGAAAGGGCUUGUUGCGUAAGUUGCAAGUUUAGAAGAUCAGCAAUACACUUAUACAGACCUUCAAGUGUCAAUAGGUCACUGGAGACCGCAGAUGCAUUACAAGAUGAUGAUACAUCGCGGGUUUUGAGCUUCCUAAGCUCCUCAUCAAUUUCAACUAUAUUUGGAUGUGAUCUUGAAGGCAAGCUAAUCGAUCUGAUAUGAUGACUGUUGUUGGCUUCUGAUGCACAAGCCAUUUUUGCUAUAUUGUCAAAAAAUUCAGAAGAUUUGAACUUUGAAUGGUAUGUAAAAACUGCAGACUUUGCUAUUUAUAUCACCACAAUGCAGGGGACAGAAGAUCAAAAAAAUGAUGCUAGUGUGGGCUCUCCCUUAAAACUUGUUAAUCUGUUACAACUUGUCUUACAAAAUGCACUAAAAUUUGACAAAAAUUGCAUGAUUCAUCUCCUUGUAGCUUCCUCAUAAUGUGGUAUGAUUGACACCAUUACAAAAUGUUAACUAAUAAAAAAUUGCAGCUGCAUCACCUCCAUAUAAAUUAGCUGGCAAUGCUGUCUCUGUCUCAUCCAGAACAUACUCAUGUCAUUGUAACAGCAACACAGCAUAUUUCUUUAUUAGAUAUGAUAAUGCAGGGAGAUACAUGAAAUUUCAGAGAGAUUUUCAUUAGCCAUUGCAGAAAAUUAGCACACGAAUUGUUUGUCUGCAUCGUACAACAAUCUUUCAUUUCGUGCUACUGCAUUGUUAUUUGGAUGUCGAUGAGAAUAUGAGAUUGGGGAUCAUGCAUAGACAAAAUCAAUCUAGCUCUUUCUUUAAUAAUGCAUGAUUAUAAUGCAGGCUAACAGGCCUAAUGAGGGAUUAUAUUAAGUUUUAGCAAGCGUCCAGGGGCUCUAAAUUUCCGGGAAAUUUCAGUGGAAUUAUUGGGAUCAUACGGAGAUGAUGUACCAUAUUCAUAUAUUAAGGAUCAUAUUGAAAAUAAUUAAAAGAUUCCAAUGGAUUUAGUUGGUAAGAUGGUCUUUGUUUUUAAUAUCUGUACACGAGUGGUUUGCUGUCAUAAUUCAGUGGGUGUUCUUUGGAUCAGGGUGAUUCUAUUGCAUUGUCAGAUGAUUCAAAAUCUGCUUGUUUUUCGUUUAAAAUUAGAUCUCAGCAAAACGAAAGAAUCAAAAUAGUUGCAAGAACCUCAAAAAUAAGAAUGACUUCUCCCUCUUCUUUUUUCUAAUAUACCUGAUAGGGAUAAGUUAUAAUGAUUCUGACUUCUCAUCCGUUGAGACGAAAUUUAACGAUCAGGUUUUAAAUUGAACAUAGUACAUUAUUGGGAAAAAAAAGUUGAAGCAGUUUAAUUUUAUUACUACAUGGAAGCGUAUAAUACAAAUUAUUUUUGGCCCUCACUAGACCAAAACUUUAUCACAGAAUAUUAAUUUUUUUUAUUUUUAUUAUUAGCCUCACGACACUAAUUUUCUGACUCCACCAUAGAUUACAAAUUUUCUGUAUUUUCUAUUUGCUUCAAUCUUUCAUUUCAUACCUUUGAUCCCUAACAAACUGCCAGGCUCUAUUUCUGAAACAUGGCUAAAGAGAUCUCGUGUUUUCAUAUUGUUCUUGAUGUUGGUGCGGCUUGGUGGUAGAGCCAAGAUUCCUCUGACAUAUAAUCUUCACACCGGCACCAGAAAAAGUAUUAAUGCAUUCUAAGUUUGUAACGAAACUAUGAGAGCACAUUGUAAUGAAGGCAACCACUCGUAUUAAGACAAAAUCUAAUGUAUUCAAAGUUUGUAAUGGAACUAUGAGAACACAUAGUAAUGAAGACAAUCAACUCUGAAAGUUAGUAAAGAAAUCAUAAGAAGACAUUGUAAUCAAGGCAACUAACUCAUUUUAAGAUAAAAAAAUUUAAAACAUUGCAACUAAACUAUGAUAGCACAUAGUAAUGGAGGCAACCAACUCAUACUAAGAAGCAGCAAGCAAAGAAAUAGAAAAUUGUUAGAGCCUUGUUGGCCAAAUGCAUAACAAGAUAAUCAGAUCACAGAGGAGCCCACAUGGUAAUCAUACUGCAUCCUGUGACACAUCUUGUCUCCUCUCCUGUCUUUUGUGCAUGCAUAUAUAGCAAUGCCUAUAGCAAGUAGUUCUCAUCAAAAAAACUACAGUUGAUAAAAAAUCAAAACACAGAAAACUAAAGCCAUGGCUAGUACUAGCUACCAUGUUAGAUCAAUAAGCUUGCCUUGCAGAUCACAUCCUGCGAUAAUCAGAGUCAAAGAGGAGCUUAGCAAGCUCAAAACAUUGGAAACUCCAUGCUGCCAGACAUCAGAAGCAAUUUGCAACAGUCUGUCUGGCUUGGCAGAGCUGUAUGAUUGCACAAAUGAUCUUCUUGGCCUUAAGUUAACCAAACAGUCCGCUCUGAUGGAUUGUCUGUUAGACGGGUCUGUGAGGCUUCUUGAUAUAUGUGGUGGAACAAGGGAUAUUGUUUCACAAAUUAAGGAACACACAAGAGACCUUGAAUCAUCUAUUCGAAGGAGAAAAGGAGACAUAAGCAUUGAAAGUAGCGUUGUGAAAUUCAAUUCCUUUAGGAGGCGAAUGAAGAAGGAAGCCAAAAGAUUGAUUGCAUCUUUGAAACAAAUAAAAAAACAAUAUGAGGCUUUGGCAAUGUUGGAUUCAGAUCAGAAACACUCAUCAGUGAUAGGAUUGCUGACAGAAGUUACAUUGUCAAGCAUUUCGGUUUAUCAAUCCUUGUUGAUGUUUGUGACGGUACCAGUUUCAAAGACAAAGGGAAGGAGAUGGUCAGCUAUAACAAAGCUGAUCCACACAGAACGAGUGUCGUGUGAAGAGGAAAACAUGAAUGAGUUGGAAAGGAUUGAUGCAGCAUUGAUAAGUCUUUGUAGAUCAAGGAAAGGGGAGAAGAUUGAAAGUGCACAACGAGGUCUAGUAGCACUGGAGACUCAUUUUGAAGGCAUAGAGAGUAAUUUAGAGUGUCUGUUUAGGCGCUUGAUCAAAACCAGAACCUUAUUCCUAAACAUGGCAUCAGACUGAUGUUCUUUAAGAUGCUUCACUUGAAAUUUUCCCAGAGGCAACCAAAUUUUAGAGGAUAUGCAUAUGGAUAUGUAAUUUUCAAGAGUUGUGUACAUUAUAAUAUAAUUUUCGGAAACAUAAUGUGAAUCAAUGCUUUCAUCCAUCUGUUUUACAAGUCCAGUUACUUUUCUUUUAAUCUCCCAAGCCCCACUACUUCAAUUUUGUUACUAAAAUAAAUAUCAGUUAAGUAGUUAAGUAGUUAACUAAUAACAAGAACAUAGCUUAUUGACAAAAACCUGAUACAUAAGCAUCACACAGUGCCACAAAGAUCUUAUUCUAUUAGACAACUUAUAAGCUUCCUUCCACCAAUGCUCGCUGACAGCCUGAGGAGAAGAUGGUGGUGAUUAAUGCAUUACACCCGGAGUAACUUCCAGGACAGAAUACACUUAUCCAACAAUGCAAUUUACAUAAAUAUUUAAAGGCCUCUCUGAGAACUGGUAUUACAUAUAAUUAGAGGUCAGUUUUUUAAGUAAAAUCCACAAAUAUUGAGUAGUAGCAGGUUCAAAAUUUGCUCACAUGUAAAUAAUAGGCCAAGUGGCGGAUUAACAAUUGGUCAGCUAUUUCCUAUAAAAUGGUUCUUGUGGAUAGAGAGAUUUUUAGUUGUGUUGCAAACAAGGACAACCAUCUUUACGUGUACAUGUACUUAUUGAAUUCAAAAUCUCUAUCACAACUUAAGAAUCAUAGCUAUGCACAAACAACCCUUCAAUCCAAAUCAGCUUCAGAUUUCUUAAUCACCUUCUCACACAAAUCUUUUAAUUUGUAGUAAGUUUGGCUGUGGUAGAUGUUUGUGAUGAUUGAUGACAGUGUCCUCUUACGCAUGAAACACCUAAAUUUGCAAUUUGGAGUUUGUGAAGGCUGAUAAGUCAUUCAUACGAAGCAACCAACACAGUUUUGCCUUCUUCCAGAAUGAAAAUAAGAAAAAUUUAAAAGAUUGAUUGCAUCUCUGCUGAAACAAGUAAAUAACCAAAUUGAGGCCUCGCUAUUGACCUAUCUAGAUCAGCAACACUUAAAAUGUUAAGAUCAAUUAGUUUUGAGAGCAUCACAGUGCUGGAGAAGAAAUCAAAAAGACUGAAUGCGUAUUUAAAGCAUAUAAGGAACCAUUAUUGGAUUAUUCCGCAGAAGUUAAUAGCAGUAGCAUACAAAUAAUUCCAGUACAACCAACUGGACAGCAUACAACACCUCGACAAAUUAUUCAGGAUUGCACUGUCCAUUUCUCUAAUUUGCUCGACUAUAAAGGAUCAGUGAACUUAUAACCGAGUAAAACGAAUACAUAAUCAUGUACUUUAGAUUAUUGGAAGCCAUUCUGUGCAAAAAAUAUAACUGGCACGAUAGAUUAUUGGAAGCCAUUAUGUGCAAAAUAAAGCCAGGAUGAAUUUAUAGGCAUGGAUCAAUUAAGCAAUGUGAGGAAAUCAAGUCCAAAAUGUCAGAAGUGGGAUUUGAACCCACGCCCUCUCUCGAAGACCAGAACUUGAGUCUGGCGCCUUAGACCACUCGGCCAUCCUGACAAUGUUGAAAUAUUAUGCUCUACUAGCUACUUGACUCCUGACUAGUUGCUUGAAAACUAGUAGGACAAAGAUAUGUAAUAAUAUCACAAGCAUAAUAAAGCAAAGACUAUCUCCCUGUUUGUCAAGAUAUACUUAUGUUCUCUACAUAUGCAAAAAUCUGCAGUAUCAGUGUAUUACAGUGUACUAACGUCUAUGAUAAAAGAGAAAAAAUAUAACCAUCAAUGAGUCUGCUUUGUAUAAUGCAGAGUUAAUCGCCAUUCUGAUAACUAGGAUACAGUUAUAAGUUGUUGCUAAAAGACAAUUCCUGCGAAAACCACAUUUUUAUAUACUAAUUUAUCUUAGUUUGACCUUAUUGUAGGUAACAAAUUUGGCUGAAACUCUCAGGAUUCUUGGAAACAAAAGAAGCAAAGCUACUCAUUCACAGAUGCUGAAGGUACCACCAGUAGUAGAAGUAGAUGGGAGGUUCAUGCAUAAAAGCAGGGCAUUAGUGAUAGUUUGUAGUAAUAAUUGGCAUAAUCAGUGAGUAAUCAGUGAAAUAAGAGUUGCAAAGUUCAGGUUGUGUUCCAGGAAAUUAGAUGCUGCAGAAAAUAAUCUGAAUUUAAUAAUUUUAGAGAUGUAGCAAUCCUUUUAAUUUAUAAAUCGGUUACAACUCAGAUUUCUUAACUGACAUUUUUCUCGGUGUAUUUGUUCUUUUACAUAUAGCGCGGUAAGUGAGAAUUGAAAUCUAGACCUCUUUUACCAGUAGGAGCAACUCUGCCACCGCUGAGCCUGUCCUAAUUCUUUUGUAACUCAGUUUUUCAUAAUAUAAACAUCAAAAUCCUAUCGAAAAUUAGCGUGAAGGAAAUGCUGGAGUAACUUAAUCUAAAAAAAUUAACAUGCAAGACAGGUGCAUGAGCACUGAUUAAUGAUUUUUGGGCUUAGCUUCCUUGAUAAAUUAAGAUUGAGCUGAACGUUUAAUAUAAAUAUUUGCAGCAGGAGUCGAAAUCAGAAGUAUUUUAACUGUACUCUUCUUAUAUCAUAUUUUUGUACAAGCAGAUUCUGUAAACAAGUAUAAUCCUAUGACCCCUAGAGAAUAAGGGGGUGAUUGAGAAACUAGCAAGUAAGAACAUUAAGGAGAGACACUCUAUACUGGAUAAGUCGCCUAAUUGCAGCGUCUAUUCCAGACUCGAGUCCAUCAAUGCUGACUGCAAGUGCCUCUAACUUAUUUUGUACAGUUCGAACUUCAUCUGUAACACCAGUACCUCGAGCAUGUGCACUAAGGCUGCAAAGGGCAACAUCAACUCUCCCUACUUCGUUAUUGAUCUUCUUUCCCUUCUCAAUAACGACUAAACCUACUGGCAUCAGUUUGGAGAUCAAGGAGCAUCCUCCAAGCUUGGUUUUCAAAAGGGAUGGUGUGGACAAAAACAAUAAGAGAUGUCGAAAAAUUACAUUUGUAAUACUGCUUAGUUCUCUAAGCACUCUGAUCACCAUCAACAAAUGAGGAUCUAAUUCUAAUAGAGGCAAAAACACAAAUUUGCCUUCGGCUCUCUUUAGUAAUCUAAUACACUUCAAAGCAUCCUUCUUUGCCUUCUUCCUGAAGGUGGUGUAUGCAUUUACAUCUUGUUGGAUGGAACCUCCACCUCUUCUACGCAAAGAUGACUGAAGUCCUUGCACAUGUUCUUUCAUCUUCGACAACAAAUCUUUAGCACAGCUACCCGCAUCAAGAAGAGUCACUGAACCUUCAAGUGCCUCUUCAAAAACUUUACUAUCUUGAUGGUGUAAAAUGGAUUCUUGAGUGCGGCUAGUCUGAAGAAGCUCCUCGACACUAUUGUACAGCUCAGCUAGCCCAACCAGACCUUUUAGGAUAGUCUGGCCACUAAUCGAUUCUUCCAAGGAUGGCAAUGAGGCUUCCCAAAUUUUAAGCUUGUCAAACUCUGUAUCAACUUUGAGGGAAGUAGGGUGCAAUCUAGAGGGCAAGCUAAUGGACCUCACUGGGUGCAACCCAAAGGAGCAAUUCAUGGUCUAGUGUUUGUUUUUCACAAAUGGUUACAAGUACUCUGUGUCUGAGAUAUGUCGGAAUGCAAAUUAAGGAUCAAUCUAUAUAUAGAAGACACAACAAAAGCAAGCUAGAGAAUCAAGUUAAACAACUUCCAUGUGAGGCCAAAUUGAGUGUACCUACUGGUUUAAUGAACUUGUAACAAAUUUGGAGUACAACAAAAUUCUUUAAUCUUUUCUCUAAUUGUGGUCAUUAAAUGAACAACGCUCAUCCCUGAUUAUCUUUCAUUAUCCACCCACCGAUGUAUGUAGAAUUGAUAUAAAAAUUAACCAUUAGUUCGGAUUUCUGCCUACAUGCCCAACUUCUCCCCAUGAUCAAUUCACAAUCUACUACAGAAUAUUCCUUAAUAAAAUACACCAAUUGAGCAAUGAUAAAUCACUGACCCUGCUGAUAAUAGCCUUGUUACAAAGAAUCACAGAGGUGCAUAGAGGAGUAGGUAAUAUAAUUUCGACAAGGUUACGACAAGAAAUAGUAGCUUAAAAAAAGUUCUUAGGUCGUACAACCCUAGGAUUUAGGGACGCCACAUCAAGUAAAAUUAAACAGGAUCAGAAAAUUAUGCCUAUGGUUAUUUUAAAAUGCCAUUUUAAUAAUGUUGGCUGGCAUGUUUAGGAGACAAGGAGGCAUAAGCCAUUAUCAUUUCCUUGUCAAAUGGCAAAUACAGUUUAAUAAUAAACCUGCAUCUUAGAAUUGAGAAUGUGACCUCAUUGGUUAGGGGAGGUGGAAUGACUGACACAUAAACAUAAGAUCGGCACUUCUGUGUAUAAGACAUGUUACUUACAUAUGGUUCAGAGGGUCCAUAACUUAGCAUGAAUCUCGAAAAUUGAUAUAUGUUUUACUGAAAUUGAGGCUAGUUUCAGACCACAAUCAUGAACGGAGACAGCAUAUUCUUUGGCCUUUUCUUGCCUGUAAAAAAUUGAGACUAGAGAUUUUUAGAAGUCUUUGAAUGAACAUUUAGGUAUUGAAACAAUAUAUGUAAGAGAAUUAUAUAAUGCAUGUUUAGUAGACAAGGAGACAUAGUAUAAGGUUUUUAUAAGGUCGGGUAACUUGGAAAUUGGAGUGAGUCACAUAAAAAAAAUUCAUGAAACGUUAAAACCAUAAUCUGCUGUUCAAGAAUCCGGGGAAAUCGAAUGACAAAAAUGAUUAACACAACAUGGGCAACAUUUUGUAUUACUAUGAGAUGUACAUUGAACUUGUAGUAUUCAUGUUUGCGUAAAAUGUCUUCAGUUAAGCUGCUUGUCACAUUGUCUGAUAACAUUGUGGACUAGUAGUUCUUGCAUAGCAGAAAAGAAACGCAGGUUAAGACAUGUAUUUAACGAAUGAUCAAGCAAACAAUAUUAAACAUAAUGAUGCAAACCUAUAAUUAUUUUAUAGUCUAACUAAAUAAUGAUGGCAAACUUCAUUUUUUGAUUUUUUUUUUCCUUUAUUUCUCUAUCGUCAUCACUAAUUCCACGUAACUACGUGAGUUACGUGAUUAUUUCUCUCAGACAUUUGAUUCCUCACAAGUGAUUCUUGCAACCAUCUAUCAACGAUUUUUAAAGUUGAUUGGACACUGAACGCGGAUGAAGUGUCCCUUCCGUUCACACAAGAUACCUCAUAGAUGGUUGAAUACUCAAAUCAGCCGCUUGUCAGGAAUCGAGACCCAUCAGUUUUUUUUGUAGGUUUAUAUAAUGCUCAACUUACCGGUUAGAGUCAGACUGAAAUUUCAGAGUGCAUCAUAUAAUAUAACCCAAUCUCCAAUGUCAUGGCCGUCCCAACUCCCAACCCAACUUCAGAGUUCACCUUAAAGUUAAAUUUUAAUGACAAGCGUCACAAGCCCUCAUAUCAUACUGGACCCUAUUGCAACUAUAGCAGUCCGAGAACCCAGUCAAGCCCAAUGAUGGACUCAAUUGAAUGCCAGGAGUUUUCUUUUUCUGAAGAAAAAAAUGAUACAUUUAAAAACACCAAAUUUAACUGCAUAUCACAUAUAUGUUCAAAUAUUGCAUGCUACAUCAGUAAAACAUGUAGAAAGAAAAAUGUUCAGAUUCUGCAUGUCCUGGUCUUCUCCCUCAGAACAAACUUCUGAAUCUUUCCUGUUGAAUUAACUGGUAAAUCAUACAUAAAAACCAUCUGAGGGACCAUGUGAAGGGGCAGUAGUUCCCUGCAAUACUUGAUAAUCUCUUCACCACUCACAUUAUCAUCAUAUUCAUCCCUUAACUUUACAAAAGCACAAGGUGUCUCACCAUUGACACUGUCAGGCCUUGCCACAACCGCAGCUUCGAGAACCAUAGGAUGAUUUAACAAGACAGCUUCAAUUUCAAGUGUCCCUAUGAUUUCUUUCCUAAACUUUAUCACAUCCACUGCGCGAUCCUUCACCUGUAUACAACCAUCAGGGAGUCUAGUGCCAAGGUCCCCGGUUCUGUACCACCCAUCUUCAAAAGCCUUUCUAGUCAUAUCCGAAUCUCCGAGGUAACCGGACAUCAUAGUAUUGCUCCUAAACAUCACUUCCCCAAUGGUUCUUCCAUCAGAUGGUACACUUUUCAUUGUUACUGAGUCUUUGACAUCAACUUCUUCCAUGAUUCCUUGUCUAAACUUUAGGCUUAUUGUUGACAUACUCAACUCUGCAUUGGACAACUUAUUAACAAUCACGGGUCCGAGAGCCUCUGUCAUUCCAUAUCCAUACGUGAUGUUAAAUCCCAAUUCUUGAACUCUGGACAAAAUUUCAAUUGCUGGCAGUGCUCCAGCAAUUACUGCUUCCACUUUGUAGGCAUUUUUCCGCGUAUAGUUAGCUGGCGCCUCUGCAAUCUUGUUCAGGAUUGAUGGCGCCCCGCAUAAAUGCGUUACUUGAUGAAGCUCUAUAGCAUCAAAAAUGACUUCUGUUGUGACAUUUCGGGUGCAAAUAUUCGUGCCACCUAGCGCAGCCAUUGCCCAAGGUAAGCACCAACCAUUGCAGCGAAACAUGUCAACUGUCCAUAAGAACACCGGAAAUUUUCUCAUCUCAAAUCGAAAAAUUGCAGCCAGAGUAUUGAGAUAGGUUGCUCUGUGGCUGUAGAUUACUCCCUUAGGCUUCCCUGUUGAGCCAGAAGUGUAACUCACUGAUAUGGGAUCAAUUUCGUUCUUCGGUUUAACUACUUGAAAAUCAUUUUGGCCCAUAGCAAACAGGGAACUAUAAUUUAGGCAACCAUUAGGAAGUUUUUCGAAAUGUGAAACUUCUUGAUCCGAAUCUGGUAUCAGAAUUAGGAUGGGGAGCUUGGUUUGUGCCAACGACAAAGUUUCGAAUGCUGAAUGCACAACUUCGACGAAUUCAGAGUCUACGAAAAUCACUUUGGCUUCCAGUUGCGUUAGUAUUGAAGCCAACAUUGUUGUGUCCAACUUUGUGUUAAGUGCAGAAAGCACACCUCCACUCAUGGGAACUGCAAAAUGUAACUCAUAGAGUGCUGGGAUAUUUGGUGCCACAGCUGCAACCUGUCAAAUUUAACAAGAUCUAUACUUACAGUAACUCAUUUAACGGUUUUUCUAGUCUGUGUCCAUAAUCACACAAUAAUAACCGUUUUUUAGUUAUGUGUCGGAUUUCUAAUGACAAGUGUCUUUGCCGAGGCAAUUCGGGUUUGGUACAAUUUUUGAUGCCUAAUUUGGAGUAAUUAAGAUGUCAAAGAUGAAAUGUUAGCUUUACACUUGCAAGUUGCAGGGAGAUAUUAAUUUUGUACUCCCUUUGUCCUAUUUAAUUGUAUACAUUUCUUUUCAACUGCUCGACACGCAUUUCAAUGCUUUUAUAAAAUAUAGUUCUGUAACUUAUUUUUGAAAUUUUCUUUUUCUGAAUAAAAAUAUAACAUCCAAACUUUAAUUCAAAAAAAGAAAAUUUUAAAAAUAAAUUACACAACUACACUUUACGGGAGCAUUAAAGUCCGUGCCGCGUCCCGGUCCCCCAAUGUAUACAAUUCAAGGGGACGGAGGGAGUAUUAGAUAAACUCAACGGUGUAUAAAGUCAAAAUAUAAAAUAGUCUAAACUACUCAACUUCAAAUUGUCAUUCCCUGAACUAGAAUUAGGAAGCGUAAACAACGUUAAAGAAAUAAAAAAGUCAGACCUCAUAUAUUCCACAGAUGUAAUAUUUGAUGGCCGUCGUCAUAGGUUUAGUCUGGAGUGUAAACGAAUCUUAACCGACGAGUACUUUGGAAGGACAAUCCCUCCAUUGUUUUCCAGACAGGCAGAGCAGAUUUUUUAUUCGAAUAAAGAUGUCUGAGCUCGAGCUCGUUAAUUUUUUAAACUUGAAUUUUUAAAAAAUAAAUCUGAUUGUUCAGAAAUAAUUAUUUUUUUAAUAUAAAUACUUAUACGUUAUAAAUAGAAUACAUAAAUAUAAAUAUUACUUGAAUAUGUUAUUUAACAAAUAUAAAUGAUAUUUUUCAAAUGAGCCGAUCUCCACACACAGAAAUCAUUAUUCUCAAAUGAGCCGACCAUAGUCGGAAGAAUGGGUCAUAAAUAUCAUCAAACAAAUACUUAACUCAUAUUAGUACAAUAUAAUGUGUUUUAAGUUAAGAAUAAAGUUCAUCCUUGAAUAUCUUCAAAAUAUUUUCAUAUUAACGAAGUUGAUUGAUCGGUAUUCAAGUCGUAUAAAGUUUAGACUAAAUAUCAUAAUACAUAAAUUAUCGUUUUUUGUUCUAAUUUUAUCGAAGUUGAUAAUUUAUGUAUGAGAGCUAAAUCAAAUAUUCUUACAUUUAUAUACAACUCGAUAAUUCUCGAAUUAUCGAGAAUUGAUAGUUUAGUCUCGAUAUAUGCAAGUUCAGUUUAUAUAUAAGAACUUAAUUAUGAGAACUAAAUCAAAUACUCCUACACUUGUAUAUAACUCAAUUAAAUUGAGAGUUGAUAAUUUAGUCUUGAUAUAUGAGAGCUCGAUUCUAAAUCAUGUUCUUAUGUAUAGGAACUUAAUUAUGAGAACUAAAUCAAAUACUCCUACACUUGUAUAUAACUCAAUUAAAUUGGGAGUUGAUAAUUUAGUCUUGAUAUAUGAGAGCUCGAUUUUAAGUCAUGUUCUCAUUGCAAGUGAGUAAUACUCCCUCCGUCCCUUUUUAUCUGUCCAUUUUGGAAAGAAAAACACAUACCAAGGAAUACUUAAUUGUAUAAACUUUUUCAUUAAAUACCUCUAAUUAAUAUCUUGAAAAUGGUGGAAUACCCCUACUUUAUGUCUUGAAAACAUGAAUUCAACCAAGUUUUAAAUAAGUCAAGUCUUGAAAAUUGAAAUUAUGGAGAUAUAUUUGAAAAACUAUCAUUAAAUUAGUUUUGAAAGUAUAAAUGGACAAAUAAAUAAGGACAAAUCACUUCAAGAUAAAACAUAUCACUUCAAGAUUUCGAGGAGAGUUAAAGCUUAAAUUUACGAGAAUAAUCAAAGCAAACUAACGUCGAACUUUGUCCUUCAUUAACGAGCAACAAAGUACUGAAGCCUUGAAAAACAUGUAACGGCAAUCAAUUAGUAGAAGCUAAUUAAGGAAAUGAGAAAACUUACAACAUCACCACGGUUAACUCCCAAAACAUGUAGAGCAGACGCGAUCUUGAGGCAUCUUUGACGCGUUUCACGCCACGAAAAUUUAGUGUUUCGAUAAACGAUAGAGACCCUUUCGGCAUGAACCAAUGCUGCUUGUUCCAGGAAGUUGAUCGGAGACAAAGGCAUGAUCAUGUUGUUUGCUGAGCAUUGAAUCACACACUUCAUUUUCUCAAUCUUCUCGUCAAUGGUAGCUACAUAUACAUGCACAAACCAUAUAAAAUAUUAACCUGAGAAGCACUAACUCUUUUAUAUUCUAGAAUUUACAUUAUAUUAUUAAUAUAUCAUACGAUAGGAUGAACUCUUGAAAUACAGCGCAAAAACACAAGACCUGCGCUAAUGGUUCAUACUUGGUUAUGACGUUUAUUUUUGCCGUCAUCCAUUAAUUGUCAGUUUUCUGUGACAAGUACGAAUACGACUUAAUAUUAGGGGUGUACUUCAUGAAAUUCGAGUAUAUUUAAUUGUGAUUAUUCAAAUUCAUUAAAAUCUUUUGCUAUUCAAUUAAGAUUUUAAAUUAUGCUACAAAAUAUGGUGAUAUUUAAUUGAGAUUGUUUGAAAUCAACUAAAAUAUGGUGAUAUUUAAGUGAUAUUUUUUGAAAUCCCACCAAAAUUCAUGAAAUUUGAAAUAUUAUGCUUAAAUCCUAAAGAAUCUGCAUAAACUCUACAACAUUAAAAUCCGCACAAAAUCAAAAUCACAUACAAUACAUUAAAAUCUAUAGAUUAAAAUCCUAAUUAAAUGCACCCCUCUUAACAUUUCAAAUAUAAAAUGUGAGAAAUUCUUAAAAAUACAGGAACAAUGAGGUAAUUACGUAACAUAUUUAACAAAACUAGACCAAGCCACCCGUUAACAAAACAAUCUACGAAGAUGAAAAACAAAUCAAUGAAAUACAAUGUAUUAAUGAAGACGGUAAAAGAAGUGUACCGUUCACUAUAGUCAAUUAGUCAUAACCGUGUACAAUCAACAAGGCAUGAAUGGCUGAAUUGUCAGGCCUUCAAAAAACAAGUCCCGACUGCUAAAUAGAUUUUUGCCCACUUACACUAUGAUAGUGUGAUCGUUGGAGCUAGUUUAGAGAAAAAGGAAAGAGUUUAUGAUUUGUGAGUUGCAUACAGGAGUACCAUCUUAUGAGUUGUUCUUCUAUUUAUAAGACGAGAAUAGGAAGUGUAACGGCUGCAGAUUUAAAUUGUUGUAACUCAGCCGUUAUAAAUUAUUCAAUUAAUUCUCAUCCGUUACAGAAUAUAUAUAUCUUAAUUCUCAACUGUUACAGAAUAUUUAUAAUUAAUAUAUACUCACCUGAUAAAUAUACAUAUUAAUUCUCGAUUGUUACAAAAUAUUUAAAUUCAGUUCUUAGCUGUUAUAUUUUUUGCUGUUGUAGAUUAUAUGUUCUAUGGUAGUUCACUAUUUUAUUGGAGUUCUUGGAGUUCAUAUAUGUUUUGCAAGUAAAAUAUAGCUUAAAAUUUUGCAAAACAUAUUAUUUUUCAAAUAAUGUUCUACAAAAUCACUAUUAUAUUAAAAAUAUUGCGGAUCUCAUACAUUUUACGAGUAGAAAGCAAAAUAUAUUAUUCUAUAGAACAUGUUUAGUUUGUAGACAUACGUAUUUUACUUAUAAAUGUAUGAGAUUUGUAAUAUUUUAUUAAAGUAAUGAUAUUUAUGAAAUAUCUUUUGCAAGAUAACAUUUUUUACAAGAUAUUUUAUUUGUAGAACAUCCCGAGAACUCCAAUAAAAUGGUGGACUCAAUGGAACUCUAUCCCCAUACAUAUUUUGAUAAAUUUAAUUUAAUCAGAUUCGACUGUUACAGAAUAUAUAUAUAAUAUAUUUAAAUAAUUCUGAUUUUGAAUUUCUUUUUUAGUUUAUUCAAUUAUAUUUAUAUUAAUUAAUCAAUUAAAUAAGCAAAUAACAAAAAUUUCUCGCCAGAUCGCCUCACGUAUGCAAGAUAUUCACACAAAUGACCCCGAGUCGAGAUGUGGCAUGGCAAUGUGACUACAGGUGGCAAUCGUUUUGUUUCGUAUACUUUCGUUUCGUGUAAUUUCGUGUUUCGUGUACUCGAAGGUGAAACCCGUAUCCGCCCGUUAUUAAUUUCGUGUACCUAAUUUGAAACCCGUAUCCGAUCCGAAUCGUUUCGUAUAUAUUUCGUGUACUUUUCGUGUAUAUUAUAUAUAAAAAUAUUAAUAUAUUUUUUCAUCAAAAAAUGGAUUUAAUAUAUAUUUUCCUUUAUAAAUUUAUUAAAUGUGGAUGAUAUAUUUAUUUACAAUUCUCUAUAAAUUUGUUAAUGUAUCUACAAUAUAUAUCCACACAUACAUAUAAAUAUAUACUUUUUACUCAAUUAUAUAUCUAAUAUAUCAUAACAUAUAUAUAAUAAAUAUUAUCUACAAAUAUUUCGUGUACUUUCGUGUAUUUCGUGUACCCCAGAUGAAAACCCAUAUCCGACACGAAAUCUAUCAUGUAAUUUCGUGUUCGUGUAUUUUUGUGUUUCGUGUAUCAAAAAUUGAAACCCAUAUCCAUUUUUUUCGUGUCGUUUCGUUUCGUUUCAUGUUAGCGUGUCACGUGUCAAAUUCACAUAUCAUGCACAUGAUAUCUAAUAAAAUCACAUAUCACAUACCGCUCUUUAUUAUUUAAAUGUCACACAAGUCAAAUUACUCAUUUCAAACUUUUUAAUGUUCCUAUUUUAAUCAAUUUCUCCAAUAAAUUACAUUACAAAAAAUUAUUAGAUUCAAAUAUGAUAAUUUAAGUUUUCAGUUUUAGAAAAAACCUCUAAUUAUCAGAAUUCAAAAAUUACAUAAAGAGCAUAAUAUAUAUAGCCUAAUUUUUUUUUAUCUUUCUAAUAUAAAAUACGUGUGGUAAUAAAUGAAAAUCAUACAGAGAAGCUAAAUCUCAGAAUAGGGUAGUGUAAAUGAACACUUUGAAAUUCAUAAAACAUUUUGAUUCUGAUUGAUGUGAAUGCGAACGUUAUUACUUAUUUAUAAGAUAAUUUUAUCCACGGAAUGUAUUAGGCGCUUGAUUUGUUUGACACCAAUUUCGAUCAUGAUUCAAAUCUAAAUUUAGAAAAAAUUUAAAUAAUUAAAAUAUUUAACAUAAAUGAAAAUUUCCUUUUAUAUUAAUCGAAUUAAAAUCUCAUAAUCGAAUAUAAACAAUCAUUUUCUUUCAGCUGAAAGAAUGAUAGAAAUGACUUUUCUCCGCUGCCAAACAGGAUGGCCUCAGGCUACGCACAUAAACUGAUAAACAUAUAAAACCCUGACACUGCAAAUUUAACUAAAAUAAUCGAUAAGUGAGCUAAUAAAUUUUCUUAACUAAAGCUAUAUAUAUUACUUAAAGAUUUAAAGAUAUAAUAUAUUAUUAAAAUAAUAAUUUCAUAAAUUACAAACAUGUACAUUCCGUGUAUACCGAGUCAGACCAUUUACUGAAUUAAAAAAUAACUCUGCGUGUUUUGGCCGGUGACGACCGACUUUAAACGAGCAAAGUCAGUCCACCAUCAUAAUUUAGACAAGCAUGUAUACAACUGCGUCUGCAAGUCUAGGUCUUUUUAGCGCACUAUUUAAUAUUGCAUAUUACAAUUGUGGUAAACAUCGGUGCAUAAAUUCGAAUCAAUGAGGUAUCUUAAUUGUCCAUCUGUGGAGCAUGAUCGAAUCAUCCGGUCCUGGUUUCGAUUUUUGAUAACUUAACAACUGAAGUUCUCAAGUCAAUAUCAGGAACAUUAUUCUCAUACAUCACAAGACAAACCGCAUAUUAAGAAAAUACUUGAAACACAAUUACAUAGCAACCAACCUCUCUAUGAAAGAAGAAGGAAAUAGCGCCAGGGCGAAAACCACAACAUAUUCAGUAUUCAUUCAGCUUUCCACGAUGAAAAGGGUGGAGUAUCCGAGUUCAGAUAAGAGGCUGCUCCGGUUGGGUAUCUUUCACCCUGGACAGAAUUAGCAAUGGAUUCAAGUUCCGCCAUUUCGUGAGUUGUUAAUUUUAUCUUUAAAGCUCCAAUAUUUUGGUCAAAAUUUUCAAUUUUGGUGGUUCCGGGAAUAGGACACACAUCCGAUCCCUGAUGAUGGACCCAAGCCAGUGCUAGUUGUGAUGGAGUACACCCUUUAUUUGAUGCAAUCGCAUUAACUCGAUCAGAUAAGAUUUUAUUACGCUCUAUAUUUUCCUUCUGGAACCUUGGUAGAGCCUGCGCAGAAAGAAAGAAUUAUACAAAUUGAUCCAAGGAGCCAAGAACUAAUAUUUAAAACAUAUUAGUUCAGAAUACGGAUUAUUAUAAAUAAAUAUUCUGAUUUAUGAAGUAUGUUAAGCAAUUGCAACUUUUGCAUUCCUUCACGGGUUUACAUAAUCUAUUUUAUACAGCUAGUACUAGCAGUACGAGGUUCAGAAUAGUUACUAGCAACCAAACCUUCAAAACAAAUCAGAUUGUUAAAGUUUCUUUAACGAAAGAGUUUCAGACAGUUAGAUUGUAGUUGUUCAUGAAUUGUUUUAACUUUGCUUGCUGUGUUUUCAUGAAGAUCCAAGCUACUAAAAGAGAACUCGGCACUCUGCAAAUAGUGAUCAGUUUCUUCAAUAAACUUGAUUUUAUUUACUUUUUGGCUAAUUUAGACAAUAAAACUGAAUUUUAGAUUUUGAAAUUAAAAUACAAGCUUGAUACUUAGUAUAAUAGAGAAAACAACCUUUCUGUAGUCAUCUUUUGCUAAGCUGUCAACCAAAUUUGAACCUCCAGACAAGAAUCCCCGUCCCAGAGGACUAUAUGCAACAAUCCCAAUGCCUAGUUCUCUGAAAAAUACAAACCAGUGAACUAAGUUUCUGAUUUUUUUUAUAGGUAGUUGGAAAAUAUGAUGAUUUAAACAGAUACCAUACCUGCAAGUAGGAAUUAUAUCUUCCUCCACGCCCCUCGACCACAAAGAACACUCCAGCUGCACGGCAGUGAUGGGAUGAACAGCAUGAGCUCUUCUGAUUGUAGAUGCAGAGGCCUCAGAAAGCCCUACAUACUUGAUCUUACCUUCUUCAACCAGUUUUUUCAGUUCUCCCAUCUUCCAAACAAAUGCACAUUUUUAAGGCACAAUGGGUAAAAGGAGAAAUAGGAAGAAACAACAUAUUAUGGUACCAUCAUCACAUAAAUCAACAUUUCUUUGCACUAUCAUGGUUAAUGGCAUCAACUUACAACUGUAUAAUAAAAACAUAGCACUUUGACCUCCCGGACGACUAUGCGCCCCAACUGAGUCGAUGAAGAUAGUAGUCAAAUGAUUAAAUAACAGUUUUUUGAUGGACUACUGGCCUAGAGCUCUCACAGAUAGUCUUCUAAGUUGGAAAUGAUUUAAUACAAAGUGAAACUGACGAAUUCUCGACACAAUCAGAUCCUUUCGCAAAUCCUGCUAUCAUGAGAGUUGCUAUUUAACAUUUAACUGGCCACUGUGUGCACACACUUUCACAAAUGAAAUAUCACAGAUAUGCUCACUGCAGCCAUUCCAACAGCACACCAAGAAAGACUCAUCUAGGAUUUGGGUAAAAGCAGCAAAAUCAUUCAUUUGUCUAUUGUUGAUUUAUGAAAAUAACAUUUUUUAAUUAAUCAAAUUACCAGUAAUGAGGACAGAUUAAUACAACAGCUAUAAAAUUUUUAGCAGAAAACUUAAAAACAGGGCAAGUAAUUUGGGACACGACAACUAUGUAUUGACAUACCGUAACUUCAAUUGGCACUUGAGUGUCAAUACGGUGCUGAUAGUACAAAUCGAUAAAAUCAAUCUCAAGCCUCUUCAAGCUAGCCUCACAACACGCCCGCACGUAUUCUGGAUCGCCUUGCACUACUCUGAUUUCUCCAUCCAUCCUGAUCCCAAACUUGGUAGCCAGCUGAACUUUGUCCCUAACACCGUCCUUUAAAGCCUACAUUCACACAAUCUCAUUCAAAUCCUUUACACAUUUUGAACUCAAGAUUCAUUUACAUAUUGAACGGGUGUCAACCCAAGUCCCACGUCAUAAAAAUAAAGAAGAUUUAUCUUGAAUAUAAACAGUCAACGAACUCUAUUAAUAUGAAGCGUUUUGGAAGUAGCCCCAAAACAAAUCCUUGCGGGCUUGCCAUAAUCAUCCCCUUAAUCAUAUCGAGAUGAUGAAAAAAAGGCACAUAAAAAGAAAAACGGACCUUAGAAAUGAGGAUUUCGUUGGUGUGAGGUCCAUAAAAAUCUGAAGUGUCGAGAAGAGUGACACCGCUUUGGACAGCAUGGUGGAUGAGUCGAAUCAUGUCGGAAUCAGGCUUGGUCUGACCGUAGAAGUAGGACAUUCCCAUGCAGCCAAGACCCUGAGCUGAAACUUCAAGACCUUGUGAACCCAACUUCAUUCUGGGGACUGCAUCACCCAUUGUAAGGCUAGUAUAAUUUGGAAUUAUUUAUGUGUAUCAGAGAGUUGAGCCGAGAUUUUCCUUGACAAAAGAGAGAGUCUAGUAGAGAUGAUUUUAAGCAUGAGUCUGGAGAUCUAUGUUAUUUAUAGGUGCAGGACCGGAAGCACAGAACCGAAUGGAAUCCAACCAAAAAUCAAAAGUUAUGGAAUUCAUGGACCUAGUAGAGGACUACUAUAGUCUGCACUAAGACCAGACCAUGACCAAAUAGAUAAUCACUUAUGACUUAUGACUUAUCUAUGAAAAACAAAAAAGGGCUGCCGGACGUAAAAUCAGGACAAAGACGAGUAGUGUUAGGUAAUCAAAAUUUAUUUUUUAAAUAAAAUGUGAUAGUUAAAUAAUUUGGUUCGAUUUAUUGAUGUAUGUAUAUACAUAAAAAAUCUCAUAUUAACUUAAAAAUAAUACUCCCUCCGUUCCAUUUUAACUGUUUUUGACUUUUUUACACGUAUUUUAAAGUGUAAAAAAAAUCACAUCUAUAUAUAAUUAUUCUUUAUAAAAUUUAUAUCAAAUAAAAGUUUAGAAUCUAAACUUUUAUUUGAUAUAAGAAUUGAAUUUUUUAAUUAAGCGUAGACAUUGUCUUUUUACACCUCAAUAUACGUGUUAAAAAGUCAAACAUCACUUAAAAUGGGACAGAGGGAGUAUAACUUAUAUGCAUAUGAUUGUUAGAAUAUAAUAAGAUUUUGGUAAGUUCUCUUCCAUUUAAAAUUUUAGAACAAUUGCUCACUUAACUUAAUACUAUCAAAGUAUAGUCUGGUGGAGCCUUUUUGAGAUUUUGAGAGAAUUGAUUAUUUAACGGACACAGUUUGGAAUCAUUUAUUAAUACUUUACAUUUUUUUUUGUGACAGAAAUACAUUGCAUUUUCCAAUCAGGACAAUAAGUGCAGUUUUUAUAGUAACAAAUUCAAGCCACCAAACGUCAUUGCUUGCGUUUUAAUAUUUUCCACUCUACUUUCCAAAUAUGGAAACAUUAUAAUAACUCAGCUUUAAAUUUAUGUCAGGCCGCCGGGGACAAAAUCACAAAAUACAGCAAAGUUAUAGUAAUGUAUAGCAAACUUCUUCAAUUAUAGCGCUCCGAUAUGUAGAAUAUGGUGGCCCGUUGGGUAGAAAACUAGAUACAACAAACUAAUAUCAAUUGAUGCAGCCACUAGUCAUGUGGAAUCCAGAAACUAUUUUAAUUCUGAUUAUAUUAUUCAGUUUAAAAGCGGAGCAAAGUUUAAUUGACCACUUUUUUGAAAAUUUGGAACUCAUUUCUGCCCGUCUGUUACUCCCGUUAGUAAUAUUUAAUGAGAGCCACAUUUUUAAAAGAUUAAUUGAAAUUAUUAAUCAUGAUAUUAAACAAAUAUAUUAAAUAAUAUAAAAUAUCUAAUUUAUUAAGAUUAUUAUAUUAAUUUUAGAAAGAUAUGUUAUGAUUAAUGGGAUUUAAAAGAUCGAAUCAACUAAAUAUCUUGUAAGGUGAUUUUUAGAAAUAUCCUAAAACGUUUUACAUACAGGUGAUAUUAAGGAGAGUAAUGUCAGGGACAUCAGAAUUUGUACCGAAAUUCUGUUCUCAAAUUACAUGGCAGACAUAUGACGGAUUUUAGUUGAGUGGUUUAUGCAGAGACGGAAUCAGAAAAAUAAUUUGAAGGGGCGAAAAAUUUUUAUGUAAAAAAUACAUUCCGACAAUUUAGAUUUUAUUGAUAAGUUUAUGAAUUUGUAUGCACAAAAUUCAUAUUUACAUGAGAAUUGGGAACAUAUUUUGGGUUACUUAGUAUCUUCCUGUUUAGAACUAUGCUACAAGGUUUUACAUGCUGGACUGCUGGAGUCUAGAUCAGCACUCCUGAUUAACAUGUGACCCCAAUUUCUUGUAUUAUACCUAUUUGGAUUAGAAAUCAUAACUUAGCUAGGAACAUAGAUUUUAUUUCCAGAAGGAUUAGGAUUUAAGAAUGUGAAUCUGAUUCGGACAGCAAGCUUCUUACACUUGUUGCUGUUUUUUAUAAACGAACAUGGUGGUUUUGAAAGUCUUGAAAACAUACGAAACAACAAUGGGAAAUUUUGUACUUGAUGCUCUAAGAACAUCAACUCUGUCAAUACAAACAUCAUUCCAUGAAAUCAAAGUAUCUUUCGGGUCCAUCAAAUCAUUAUUAGUACCCUGGACAAGAUCAAACAGUAACAAUUCCAGCCCUGUCAUCUCGAAAACAAAGUUGCGCGAAGAUAUCAAAGAGUUUGAUGAGUCUAAGGUUGGCGUAAAAGGCCUAGUUGACGCAGGAAUCACAUCGAUUCCACGUAUCUUCUACCAGCCACCUGAGAAUCUAAUUGAUUCGCGCUCUCUCACGCGAACCUUGGAUAUCCCUGUCAUUGACCUGGCUGCGUCUGACAGGGCUAUUGUUGUGAGACAAGUUCAAGAAGCAUCGUCUAAGUUUGGAUUCUUUCAAUUAAUCAAUCAUGGAAUUCCUUUGUGUCGUAUGGAUGAUGUGAUUUUGUCGAUCAAGGCUUUCAAUGAGCUUGAAACAGAGCUGAAAUCGCAGUAUUAUAGUCGUGAAGGAAAUGAGAAGAGAGUACUUUACUAUGGUUCAAGUUUGCAUUUAAAUGAAUUAGAAGGCGCCAGCUGGAACGACACGUUGCUGGUAGCAUUGGGACCGGAGCCAGCAGAAUCAUGUUAUGUUCCGGAGGUAUGCAGGAUGGCGGUGGCUGAGUGGGAUGAAGAGAUGAAGAAACUAGGGGGUGCUUUAUUAGGUUUAAUGAGUGAAGGACUCGGGUUGAAGAGGGAAGCACUAGAGGAGAAGUUGUGCAUGGAUGCUAGAAUCAUGGCUGGAAAUUAUUACCCUCAUUGUCCACAGCCAGAUUUAACUCUGGGCUUAAAAUCGCAUACUGAUCCUUCUAUUUUUACUCUGUUGUUGUCUAAUCAUGUACCUGGCCUCCACGUUAAAGUUGAAGGACAUGAGUGGGCUAAUCUGGUGGCUCAUCCGGGGGCUCUUGUGGUAAACAUUGGUGAUGUUCUUCAGGUAAAAUCAAAUAUUUCGUAUUACAUCAGGUCUUGUUUUUAUAUUUUGCAAAGUUGUGAAACUAUGUGUCCCUGAUAUGAAUAUUUUUUUUUGCAGAUUAUUUCAAACGACAAGUACAGAAGUGUUGAACAUCGGGUGUUGGCCAACUCAUUACAAGAACCACGAAUAUCAGUUGCAGUUUUUUUCAACCCAGCUAACGAUGCAGACACUUAUGGACCGUUACCUGAAAUUACAUCACUGGAUGAACCAGCUCGUUAUCGCGACUUUGAUUUACUAGAGUUGAGACAACAAAUGAAAAAGGAAGUGGGUGUCAAAAGUUUGAUUAACAACUGCAGGAUUGGUCCAAAUUUGAAGUGGAGAGAUUGGAAUCCGCUCAGGCUUCUACAGUCUUAUGUAGGUUCUAGUCAGAAUUAGAUAGAUAUUCAGUUUCAUCAAUUUUCAGGACUCGCUGUUCCCUGUAGUUUAUCACAUUUUGAUUCCCGUCACUGGUAAUCCGGCUAGGAGGUCUUUUAACCAAGAAUUUCAUAUGUUAAUCAGAUCUUAUCUCUGCGGCUAGUUGUAACUGUUAAUUACCAGCUUCAGAAUAGUUCUUUUGAUUGUUUUGUCAUGUGCUUAAUUGUGCAAAAUUUUAAAAAAUGGUUUUGAUUGUUUCAAUCAGCAUGUUAUUGAGUCAAUCCUACAGAGGUUCUUUUCAUUUACAUGUAACUGCUCAGUUAUCUUAGCCUUUUUUUUCUUUAGGUAAACCAAACCAAGAAUGUAAUACUUUGUCAAAUAUUUUUAAUACACACGAGUUUAUACUAGAUGAGCAUCUCUAACAAGGGUUGUCAAAAUAAUUGUCAAUAUUGUCAAAUCAUCAUAUAUUAAUAUUUAUUUCACUCAUUUUUUAUCAACUUGACAACAUUCUAAUUCAAUAAUUAGCAAAUUUUGAAAGUUGUCUAUGUGGUCCUCUCAAUUGAAUUAUAAAUGACUCAUGAACUAAUAGAAGUAUUAAUAAUCUACAUUUUCGGCACUUAUAUAUGUAUUUUAACUAUUUUGGAAAGUUACGAAGUUUUGACGAUGGUGAUAGGCAGCCUCUUGGCAAUCAUACAACUUCAAUAGAUUGCAAUGAAGAUUGUCCUACCACAUAAGAUUUAACAACCUCUUAGCAAUUUCUAUCGGAGAUGCUCUAAGAUAGAUUUGACACCCCUUUGACAAAAUCUCUAUCGGAGAUAUCAUAAGAUGAACAAAUUUUUUUAAUAAUUAUAUAUUUAAAAAAAUUAUUGAGUAUAUAUAUUUAUAAUUUUUAAGUAAAUAAUUUAUUAUAAUAUCAGUCAGUCGAAUACUCAACCCCCACCGCCGCAUAGGGUUUGCAAGUUGUAACUGAAGAGAAAAUAAAAGCAAGACAAGAUCGGUGCUGCUUAUUACAAAGAGAAUACCCAGUUAAACACACUCUCUCUCGUAACGUUUAAACAGGUUACUUAGCAAAUGGCGAACAGCAGUAAAAUUCUUCUUGAUUUGGAGGCUGAAAAAUCUCCCGCAGGUCUUUUUUCUAUCUCUUUCCAUCCCUGUUAAUUUUUAUAUAACUUAUUUGUUUGUGUUUGCUGAUACUGUUUCGGGGUUUUACAUUAUUUGCAGAAUCCAAGUUUCUGUUUUGUAUGAAUCAUGAUUUCCCGCGGCAGCCUAAGCCUACAAAAUAUGAAUUGCCUCAGAAAAAGCCUAUAAUUACCUCGGUUCCGAAAAGCCAAGGUAACCAUUUUCAUUCUUUGUGCUUUAUUUGUUUUGUUUUAACACUGUGUGGUAAAAACUCGUUAAAUUAAUACUCGAUUAUGUGAUAACAUCUGUUAAUUGAUACUCUACUAAAAUUUGUAGAAAUUGCAGUAGAGGGUACUGUAGGGGUGUAAACAAACCAAACUAUUCGUGAGCUACUCGAGCUCGGCUCGUAAAAUAUUUGAAUUUGAUUCGGUAAUAAUCGAGCCGAGCUCGAGCUCGAGCUAUUUGGAAGUUUUACCGAGCCGAGCUCGAGCUUCAAAUUACUCGGGUCGUAAAGUUCGCGAGCCUUAUCGAGCCUCUUUUAUUUUUUAAUUUUUUUAUUAUAAAUAUAUUUUUACAAAUAUUUUUAAUAUUUUAUUUAUAAUUUAUAUAUUUAAUCGAAUCGAACUCGAGUCGAACCGAACAUAUUUCGAGUUUUUGUCAAUAUUUGGUGACUCGAUUCGAGCUUUCGAGCCGAACUCGAGCUUAUCGAACUAUUUACGAGCCGAGCUUCGAACUUGAAAUUAAAGGCUCGGUCGAACUCGAGCUCGAACCCCGAAUUUUUCAGUCGAGUUCGAGCCGAGCCUGCCAGUGUUCGACUCGGCUCGGCUCGAUUACACCCUUAGAGGGUAGUAUGCCUAAUUAUAGUUACUUAAUAUCACCUGGAGUAUUAUUGUGUUUAUUGCUGAUUCACAUUAUGAUGAUUGGUUCCCUAUUAAAUUAAUAUGCAAUUAAAAAAAGGUUUAAAAGAAAUGGUUCAAGGAUUGCCUCAGUCAUGUCUUGCUUUAAAUUAUUGAUACAUUCAGUUUGCUUAAAGGAUUGUAACUCAUUUGUUUGAUGUAUAGAUGUUUGAGGGAUAGGGGAGCAGUGGGAAAAAUAUUUUGAUUGUAUAUUUUUGUUAUGAUUGUAGACUGUUGUUUAUCACCUAACUGAUUGAGCUUUCGUUACCCUUUUGGUGGGCAAGGUUGUGUUAUGGUUGGGAUGGUGGGAAGGCUGCACAUUGGUUGUAGGGUGUGAUGUUUCUAGUUUCUAAAUUGUAAAAACUACAAUACUAUGUUUUUGAAGUAUUAGAAUAGGUGGAGUUAACUAAGCAUGAAAAUAGUAUCUUUUAUGGUGAACUGAUCUCUGCAUACCCAUUGGUUGGUAGCAGAGAAAGGCGAUGAAAUGUGAAUUAUAUGGAGGGUUGUAUAUAAAAUGGUGGAAGACCUUAGCUGGGGCACGGGGCAAAUCUUGUCAGUGUUGGUAUGUUAUAUUGUUGCUAGAUGUUGGGGAAGAACAAGUGAGUGGUUUUUCAGGGUGAUAUUAGUCAAUGAAAUAAGUCUGCAAACACCAUUAUGUGUAAAGUUAUAGUUUCUUAGUGCUUUAGUGUAGCAUCCAUAAUUACUAUACUUGAUUUCAACACGGUAUUAUAGUGUGUAUUACAGAUGCACAUAUUAAAUUUGACUGAAAGUAUGAUUACUUUAUAGAAACUUCAGGUUAUGACAUUUUUCUUGCUUAAGUAUCUAGAUAUUAAAAAUGACUUUGACGUCUAAGUUAAUGUAGGAAUAUACUUAUAAACUAUUGUUCUGCAUACUUUAACCCCGUUUUAACAGUUCUGGGAAAAUUGAAGGAUUUCUUACCAGUUAUGUCAGAUGCAAAUAAAAAACUGCAGCUCGCUGCCAUGGUACGCUAUUGACUGUAGAUGUAAUCAGAUUGUUUGUCCAAUUACUUUCUUUCCCCACCUUAAAUUAUCAGGACCAAUAUGUUAAAUGUAGGACAAUGCGAAGGUAUUUGAUAUUGAAUCACUUGAAGACAAUGAUUCUGCACACAUUGAAAUGGUAUAUUUCUCUUACACCUAAUGAUGAUUCUAGCAACCAAUUUCUGUACUUAAUUUUGGGGGUAACCUAAUAGGAUCUGAUGCUGGGGGUAGCUGACCUCCAUACCCCUGAAGCUAUUGCUGCUGCCGAGUCUGCUAUCAAUGGUAUUCAGCCAGUUUUACCAUUUGCAACUACUAGUAAUAGUGAUGAAGACACUGAUGAAUACGAUGACAGUGAGAGUGACAGUGAGAGCACUUAUGAUGAUGAGGAUGGGGGAGAAAAUAAGCGUGACUCUGACAAACAUGAUCAGGGCAAUGAUGGUAUUGAACUAGCAUGCUCUCUUGCAAACACAAAAAGAGCCAAAUCCGUCUGCAAGGAAUCAUCUGAAGAUUUGGGAAAUGCAAAAUCAAGCAAGCGACCAAAGAUUGUCGAGCUUUCAUGAAACCUUUCCGGACAUAAAAAAAAAUGAGGUCUGAACUCUGAAGAUGUAUCUUCCAGAAUCAUGGAAUAGGAUGGAGCUAGAAGAACUAUUACCCCAAGUUCACUGAUAUCAAGCACGGAUGAAACCAGCCUGUUGGGAAGCUUGUUGGAGGACUGUAACAUGUUGAGUGUAAAAUAUAUCUGAUGGGUUAUACAUUUUGUUGCUACAAAUUUGUGGUGUUGAAUUCACAGUUCAAUUUGAUUAUUGUACCAUGUGAUAAGUUUUUUUCUCAGUUUAUCAAUUGAAUUUACUCAUGAUGAGGAUGGUAUUUUGGAAAAGCUUUAUUUCCUGAUCGGAAUGUGGUGGCGUGGUGCAGUCAAUUUGGGUGGUGUGGCACCCUGCACCACCCCUGCUUACCGCAGUAACUUCUGAAGCCAUUUAAUCUAAUUAUGUUAUGAUAAUCGAUCAACAUUAAUCACUUCAUCUAAAUACUAGCAGAAAACUGUUAAUAAAACCGAAGAAUGACCCAUAAGUAUUAAUAGUAUGUACAGCUGAAAGGUAAAUUUCUUGCUGCUGUUGGUUGUAAGUGGUCGAAAGAAAAAAUUGACAACAUGAAAUUAAAUUUAAGCGUGUACAAUUGUGUACAGCUGAAAGUGAAAACAGAUGGUCUCACCAUUCCUGUGACAAUAUAUUUAAAUGUGAUUUGUAUAUAUAACAGUUCACGGUGACCUUCCGCCCUUUUCAUGACUAUCUUGAUCGAGAUGAAUGAAAUCAUUUCAAACUACUUUCACUGGCAUUGUUGUCCAGUGAGCGGGUAUCGGAACUUGUGUGCGUCAGUAUUUAAAUUAAGGAUCUUUCUACUUUUAAUUUAGACGAAAGAGAAAUUUGUUGUGUACACAGACACAUAUCAGAAAAUCCGUUAAAUUAAAACGCUUGUUAGUGUAGGAAGUGUUUCUGUUUCAUACGUGGAUGAAUAUUAUAUGAAGGUGGAGAUUAGAGUAGUGUUCUGGCUUUGACAUACGUGUCUUCGGGAAUCAGGUCUCUACUCAAUUCCCAGUAAAACAGUGGUUACUGUCUCAAAUUCUGCAGACUGAAUCACUCUGCUUUUCACCCUUGUAUCUUCUUUAAUUCCAUUGUGCAACUCAAGAAGUUUUAGUGCCAUAAAUUAUGAGAUUUCUUAGAAAUACUCGUUUCCUUCAAGGAAAUGAAUGUCUGUCAGACCUAUACUUUUACUACCACAAUUUGCAUCGCCGUGACUGAUUAACUAAUAAGAGGUCGAGAUUUAAGUGUCGGGAAAUUACACUAGCAAGUGAAUUUUCCAGCAGAGCAGUGCUACAGGGACAAAAUUGGAUACAAAAUUUUGUACAAAAUGACACAGCACGUUCCAAACAAAACUUAACACAUGUCAUUUUGUGAAAGAUUUUGUACAUAAUUUUAUGCCCGAAGCACCAAAUUGAUUAUAUCUGUUCUGUUGUUCUUACUGCAUUAAUGUAAAAACUAGUGACUCCAAUACUAGGUAAAGUUAAAAUGAUACCUUGGCAUCUAAUAAAGCAGGCUCCUUUAUAUCAAAAGGUUGACAUUUUGUAUAAUCAAUGGACGACUAAACAAAUUAAAGAAAAAUAUAUUUAAAAAAAUUAAGGAGAGAUAUAGACAUGCUUAGCUAAUGAGCCAUGGCAACCGGAGCUGCAUAAUUGAUAGACCUCUGGUUGGGCAUUGCAAGCAUAAAAGUGUGAUCCAAGAAAUCAUUCAACGCGACCACAUGUUCCAGUACGAACCUAAGCUCAUCAGCACACGAAAACGCCAUGUUUCCAGCUCUCCUCACUGCAUACACAUAAAAUGUUAAGCACCCUUUCCUGAAUUUGAAUCUUGCCAUCUCACAACCGGUUAGACCCCGGAUGAUCUUUCGGUUUACUUCUCCCAGCGGUAUUUCCUGUGGCCAUAUCCUGUCAACUGCAUUCUUCAAAUUCUCAGACUCGAACACAAAAAUAAGUACCUUGGAUUUUUUGGUGCCUAGGCCUAGUGUAAGAGUGUGCCAUGCAUGGUGUGCUAAGAUAGUAAAAUUUGUUGGUAAAAAUGCAGAGGUGGACCGGAAACUUGUUGAUGUUCUUGAAUUCCCUGCUGGGCUUUUUUCGUCUAGGGAGAGGAGGUGCAGAAGCUGCAAUGGCCGCGCUUGGCGGAUAGUGAAUGAUUUUACAAUAAAUUGGCCUCCAAAACGGAGGCCUUUAACAUCAGAAGAGGGCUUGAAUGAGAAAUCUGAGGCAUUGGUGGCAAUCUUGGUGGUAUGAUCCUGAUUUGGAUGCUGAUAUUUUUGCUUCUUGGCCUUCUUUUUUUCUUUUUCUCCCAUGAAUUUGGUAUUUGUCUUGAGAAAUAGUGUGAGUGGUUAGAGGUGCACUGGUUAUAUUUUUGUAGGGUGGGGUUGAAUUAUAGCCUUUUAGGGAGUAUGAUAUGAUAACAAACCAAUUUUUGAGAGGUGGCUAGUGGGUUUCAUGAUGUUUGUGUUUAUGUUUCCAGCUUUGGGCUUUAAAUUUUAGGUGAAAGUUGAACCGUGAAACUAAUCAUACAAUGACUAGAAAUUGUUUUUUAAAACAUUUAUAUAAUUCAUAUGUUGUACAGUAGGUUGGAGGGUUGAAGUUAUUACAAGUCCCUACAUAUUUAUGACAUAUAUCUCAAGAUGUUGGCAGUUCAUUCACUGCAAUUUAUGAUUCUCUUCAAAAGUUUUGAUUUCUAAAAACAAAAAGAGAAAAAAAAAACAAUUUUUCUUAUCUGCAAAACCGCAUAAUUAUUAGUACAUAGUAAAUGUAUAAUGUAGUACAGUAGAACAUUUUAUAAGAGAACUCAGCUCUUGUCCUAUCUUAAGCAAAUGAAGUGUCUAUCUACCAUCUCAAUCAAAUGGAAAUUAGGAAUUUAAGAGGUUUUAUGCAUGAUAUAUAAACAAGUCUUCCCAAUAAAGUUGUUUCCUACCAAAGGAAACCCCACUGCCUUUAAUCAUUUCAUGGAAAAUUUUAUACACUGUUGGGUAGACCAGGCUGUGAUUGUCCCACAAAUGGUCCCAUAUAUAUUCUUGCAGAUUAUAUGUCCUUGGAUAUUUACAUAUAUAAUAUCUUCUUAUUGAUCAAAAUGAAAGACAUCUCCUACCAAACUUAGGUAGGACACUAAUUAGAUUGUAUCCAUUUAACAAUAAUGUGUCUGAUUAAUGCCUCCUAAUUCAAACCGGUAAGAGUUAAAUGAUAUUGAUUUGAAUAUGUAUCUUUCAACAUAUUGUCAAUUACAGGUUGCACAUGAAGGUGGUAAUAUGAUUUUAACAUUCACUAUAAAUCCAGAAGCCACGUAUAGCUUCAAAUGACUCGCUAACAAUGUUUAGCAAAAACAUUAUCUCAAACCAAACUAACAUUAGCUGCUUUAUCUCAAACCAAACUAACGUUACAUCAAACUAGCAUCAGAGUGCAGAUUACCUACAUUAUUAAUCAACAUAAAGAAAGCAGUAUUCGCCAAGAUGUCAAAAACAGUGAAUAUCCUCCGAUGACAUUCCACAAUGCUCGGGCAAAAACUUUAUUAAAUCUUAUUUCAACCCGACAUUGCCCAUACAUAUUACAACUCUUUCAAGAACUUAUUCAUGCUCAAAAAUAACACAAGACAAAAGUCAACCCCCAUGCAUCAUCACCAAUUCACCAUACACAGGUUACAUAUACAAAUCGACAAACAAAAAAGAGGGAAGAAAAAAAAAAGAAUAACAAAAGCAGAACAUAGAACAAAUUUGUAAUAGACUGAUGCUCCAUGUUCCAGCGUUAUCCAAGAAGCCCGACUAUCUCAAGAAACUGAUGCUGUAGAAAACUACACCCUUCAACAAUUUCCAAGUCCAACCAUCUUGCAAUAUCUGAUGAAAAUAGGUCAACAACCUGACACCCAAACAUGGGAUGGGGAACAAAAACAACCCCACAUAAUGUGUUUUAGCUACUUAUUUGAUGUAAAUAUGAACCCAUUAUCCCUGGUCCAUAACAACUUAUUAUCUCCCCCAAAACAAUUAAAAAAAAAAAAUCUAACAGGUCCUCACUGGUAAAAUUUAUGUAAAACGAAUUUUAUGUAUCCUAAAAAAUUAAUUUCCUCGCGGACAAAAUUUGUAAGACUCAGAGAGUCUUGUAUGAUAUGAGCCUACGCCGGUCAAGCUUCAAUAUACGACUCUUGUCACUGUUUCUUGGCUUCAGUAAUCGCUGCACUUCCAUUUCAGAUUGAAUUGAAGCUUGCAGUCUCUUUAAAUGCCCAUAACAUUGCCUGUGAUCAGACCUCGCAGUGGCCCUCAGUUUCUCAACUUUCUCUUCAAUUGGACAAUAAUGCCUCUGAUAUGGAGACUGCCACUUCGCUUGCAAAUAAGCAAGGGAUCUCCAUGGAGGGAAAGGCAUCGAGUUCUGCUUGAGAGAAGACCUUGCAGCUUCAACCAUGACUUGAAGGUAUUGUUUCAAUUUGCUCAAAGAGCCCACAUAAACAACUGGAAGGGUAUUCAAUAUCCUGUCAUAUGAGUCAACAGCUCUAGCUAUUUCAAAGUGACUCCUAAAGUCUAUAUCAAUGAUCAGACGCUCAGAGCUUCGAGCAUCAUUGUGAUUAACAACAUCAAUAUACUCAUGGUCCCCUGGAUAAAAAAGUUAAUAGAGGAAUAUCAGUAGCAACAAAAAAUGUAAUUAACUCUACAACAGUACCCGAGCUUACAAAAUUAUAAAUUACUUAGUCAAACCCAAGAAUAAACUCUACAUAUCCAACAAGUCACAAUUAAACAUGCAACAUCAUCUGAGUAAAAUCAUUUGUGCAACACCACCAUAUUGCUACCAUUACCAUAUAAGAUAGCAUGCUUCCCUUUCAUUUAUUCAUUCCUGAAUUCAUUAUCUUAUAUUUUAACUUUCUUACAUACUCUGCUAAAGCCUAGGAAUCUAGCUUCUUACAAGUUUAAAGCAAAAAAAUGGAUUCAAGAACAUACCCCCAGGAACCUUUCCACUACCCUGCCACUUAGAUGAGCACACAGCAGCAUCAUAACCAGAAAGUCUCAGAAGCUUUACAAGGGAAUAUCUGAUACAACUAGCAUUACAUGGACCUGGCUUGACAAGGUGUAGGUCUAUCUCACUGAUAGAUUGCAUCAAAGAAUCCACAACAGACAACAAGUCACGUUCAUACUGAUCCAUUGACAGCUUAUAACACUGUGGAACAAGAAAUCAAGACUAGAAGUCAGAAACUUUAGAGAUAAUCUUCAGUACAAACUUUCCUCUUCUAUUUAGAAGGAUAGAGAUAGAGGGAGAAAUUCAAAGUGCAGCCAUAAAUAUUUAGGUUGGCAAUGACAACGUAACAUAUUUAAUUAAAACCCCAAAUACAACUUAUUAGACUUAUUCUAUCUGAUGUUCAUUUUCAAUUACCUUAACAAUUUCAUCACAACAUAACCACCACAAAAUAUUUUCAAAAUGUUCAUUGUUACCUUCUUCCAUGUUAGAUUACUUCCUUUUACACUUAUAUAUGAUUUCCACUCAAUUCUAAUCAUGAAGGAAGGUAUAAUCAAUGACAAAUCAUAUAUCAAGAAAUUAUUCCAUAGACAAGACAAAGCUCGAAAAAAUUUCAAUAUAGAUCUGGUUAGUGAUCACUCUACCCUGUCAGGGACUAAGUAGUCCAAUAAACUUUAUAUGUAAUUUAGAGAGAAUAAGUACUAUAAUUUAGAAGUACAUUUACAUCUUCCCUGCACCCUAUGGCGUAUAGAUUAAGCCGCUCACUCAUCAUAUAAAAUAGCAACAACAAAUCAAUAAAAAUCAUCACUAGAAAAUAAAAGACAGUCAAUCAAAAGACUUCAAAACACAUUAAAGAAUUGUGUAGACCAUAAAAACAACUUAACAGCUGCCUCUGAAUGAAUAACGACAGUGCACACACAUUUCAUAUGUGCACUGGAAAUUUAAUAACUUAAACCAGUAAAUUAUUCUUCUAAUGUUUCAAAAAAUUAAUAAGAAUUUCAAAAAUGUAGUUUAUGUGCUUACUAUGAACCUUCAAUAUCUUAGUCCAUUCUAAAAGAGGGAGUUCUUAAUUACAAUUUGUUGUCUUCAUAAAAUACCAUCUCCUGUUACAUUGAUUACAAAUGUCUCCGUACAUCAAAUACAGACAUCUCGUAACAACGGUAAGUCACCACUUUUGGCCAAUUACAAUCAAUUUUUUCAAAUGAACGAUUUGAAGACCCUGAAACCUUGCUUCGUGCCUUUCUACGGAAAGAAAAAAGACAAGCUCAAUCUAUGCUCAAAUCAGAUUACGAAAAGCCUGUCUCGAAUUAUUAGCAUCAUAAAGCCUUACAUUUAUGCAUUACAUAAAAGUGAUAAAUCCAUAUUAUAAACACCUUAAUACUCAUCAUCAUAAUAGAAUUAUUAGUAUACCAAUUAGGUAGUCUCUUAAUUUAUUACAACACACAUGACACAACACAUACAAAAUGCACAUAAACUUACGUAUAUUAAAUUAAACUUUUAUUCAAUUAAAGUCAAUAAAAUUAGGCAUUCAUUUAAAUCGCAUUACGAAUUUACAACCAAUCAACCACCUAAUCCACAUAGACACAACAUGGCCAGUUCCGCAAAAUCAACACACGCAAAAUUCACAAAAAAAUAAACACAAAAUUCACCGAAACACGAAAUACGAAACCGAAAAAACCUUGAUGUUAUCGGCCAGGCUGGGAAGAUCGGAGAAGCCGGAAUCACUAUCACUACUAUUAUGACACCGAUGCGAAUCACCGCUCCCGUUCUCCAAAAAAUCACUAACCAUCACCGCGAGAUCAUGCUCGCUCUCGUGACUAUAACCUCCGUCACCGCCGGCCGCCAUUCUGAUAAUCGAUAAUAAUUCUCCNCCCUCCGUCACCGCCGGCCGCCAUUCUGAUAAUCGAUAAUAAUUCUCCCCGAGUCGCAUAGACUCCACAAUCCAUACUCACCGCCAAACACAGCCUUACAAAAACAAUUAUCACAACCUAAUUAACAUAAAAUCGAUAACAUAUUAAAGUUUCGAAACGAAAUGAUUGAUGAAAUAUUAAAAUUUCAUUUGUUUGGGCGCCGAGCCCUAGAAAAUAUCGAAUUGGACGAAAAAAUGCCAAUUAUUAGAUAUUAAAUAUAUACGAUUGAAUUAUUGAGUUUCGGUGAUUUGUGUGUAUAGGUGUAUGUAUAGGUUUGGUGGUGGAAAAACCCAACGCGGAGAGGAAGGAUGAAGGGGAGGGGGAAAUGGUGGGAAUAUAAAGGGGAGGGGGGGAUGGGGGAGUGAAAAGACGAAAAGGGGCUUAGGGAGUGUCGUAAUGACCAAGGAAACGUGUUGAAAUGUGACAGGGGGAUGGGGACGAGAAAGUGGAUAAAGCUGGAGAUGAACCUGGACGCUGUGAACAAACCAGGGGCUGGGCUUGGGUUUGGGCUGGAUUGGGUUAUUUACGGCGGUGAUUUUGUUGGUUUUAUUGGCAUCGUGGACGGCAACUGGUUUUUUACCGUUUCAAAUUUAUGGAGGAGUUCACUUUACUAAUUAUCUUAUCUCCUUGAUAUAUUUAUAUUAUCAUUUUCAUUGGUAAAAUUAGUUACAAAAUCAGGCGGUUUUCAAUUUUUUCCAAAAUAAAAUAAGUUCAAAUCAAGUGUUAGAACAAAUACUAAUUCGGUUUGGCUAGUGUGUGCCCAUGGGCACAUGCUAAGCGCGUAAAUUUUUGUAUUUGGGACAUUUUGAUGUGUGUGGUCGGUGUAUUUGCAGGGGGGUCCACCAUUAUCAUGAGAUAGGAGCCAAUCAAAAUGAUUUUCCGCGCUUAGCAUGUGCCCAUGGGCACACCAUAGAAAAACCGAUACUAAUUCAUAAAAUAUAUAUGUGUCAAUAGUCAAAAAAGAUAAAGCUCAAAGUAUUUUCAAAACACAAUCUUCCGUGUAUCAUGCAAAUGUUGGAUUAAAAAAAUAGUUUUAUCAGGAGAAUUUUAAUCUAUUAAAUAUAUGUUUCAUAUAUUUGGAAAUUUGAAUUUUUCAUGUUUUUUCUUUCCAAAAAUUAAUUGUUUGGUCACAGUGGAAUAAGCUUUUAAAUUCACUUAAAAAUUCUAUACAUUUCACUUUCCGAAAAAUAUAUAGGAUUAAAAUAAUUUUGGAGAUAAACACAAAUGUGGAUAUCCAUUAUCCGGUGGCGCAACUUUAUCCUGGUCAUGGAUUAAUAUAAUAAUAUAUGAAGAACGAGUUGGGGACCAAGCCAAAACAUGACGGGGUACUUGUGAGUUGUGAGCUGUAACAGGAAAAUUCAUAUGAUCAUAUGUUAUCCGUAUUCGGCUUCCUAAUAUGAUUGUGGAUCUUUCAUGUGAACAUCCGCAACUGGUAUCCUUUUUUAGUCACCUCUUUUUCAUUUCUUUAUUGCUCCAUAAUGCCAUCUCUCUCGUAAUUCUCUCUCCCAUCUCUCUCGUAACACUCUCUCUCCUCCCCCAAUGGUUUAUUCGGAUUUUCGUAAGAUUCUUUUGACAACUCAAAGUAUAAUGAUUAAUUAUUUUAAUCAUAAAAUAAUAUUUUAUAAAAAAAUUGAAAUAUAGGAAUUGAUUAAACUAACUAAAAUGUAAAUCAUAAAACAUUAUUACAAUGGUAGGCCACUUGCUUGGCCCAUGGCACAUUAUCAAAGAUACCAGUUGUACUUCCUCUCCAAAGAAAUUAUACUACUAGUUGUACUAUUAUAUUCAAGUACAUGAGAAUAAAGUUAUUACAGUACUACUAUAACUCACGAGGGCCUGAUUUUGACUCUUGACUUGAGAUGAAUGGAUGGUACUUGGUACUAGUAUGGUAAUAUAUCUUGGUCAACCAGAGCUGCUAACCUUGGAUUUAUCCUACAUGUCCUGGUCAAGGUUCAAAUGUGAUGACUUUGCAUUUUAUACAUCAGUUCCAUUACAAUCACCGUCUUGUUCUUUCUCGACUCAUAAUUAAUACACUGCCCUGCUCGUUAGUUUGCUUGGCUCAGUCGGCCAGAUGAACAAUUCAGGGGUGACAAUUUUGGUAACAGGUCGUGUUCGUGUCAACAAUCGAGUCGAUUUCGGGUCAAAUUAAAAUCAUUUAAAAUUGAAUAAAACUUGAAAUUGAAGUUUUUAGAAAUGAAAUUCUAAUUUCAGGUCAUUUCGGAUCAAUCAGGUGAUUUUCAGGUCACUUUCGGAUUUUGUCUCAGUAAAUCGGGUUACGGGUUCGUGUCGGUUUUGAGUCGUGUCUGAUAUUGCCAGUAAACCCUGUUUAAACACUCUAUUUUAUCUAUUAGUCAUGCUAAUUCAUAAAAUAUAUAUGUGUCAAUAGUCAAAAAAGAUAAAGCUCAAAGUAUUUUCAAAACACAAUCUUCCGUGUAUCAUGCAAAUGUUGGAUUAAAAAAAUAGUUUUAUCAGGAGAAUUUUAAUCUAUUAAAUAUAUGUUUCAUAUAUUUGGAAAUUUGAAUUUUUCAUGUUUUUUCUUUCCAAAAAUUAAUUGUUUGGUCACAGUGGAAUAAGCUUUUAAAUUCACUUAAAAAUUCUAUACAUUUCACUUUCCGAAAAAUAUAUAGGAUUAAAAUAAUUUUGGAGAUAAACACAAAUGUGGAUAUCCAUUAUCCGGUGGCGCAACUUUAUCCUGGUCAUGGAUUAAUAUAAUAAUAUAUGAAGAACGAGUUGGGGACCAAGCCAAAACAUGACGGGGUACUUGUGAGUUGUGAGCUGUAACAGGAAAAUUCAUAUGAUCAUAUGUUAUCCGUAUUCGGCUUCCUAAUAUGAUUGUGGAUCUUUCAUGUGAACAUCCGCAACUGGUAUCCUUUUUUAGUCACCUCUUUUUCAUUUCUUUAUUGCUCCAUAAUGCCAUCUCUCUCGUAAUUCUCUCUCCCAUCUCUCUCGUAACACUCUCUCUCCUCCCCCAAUGGUUUAUUCGGAUUUUCGUAAGAUUCUUUUGACAACUCAAAGUAUAAUGAUUAAUUAUUUUAAUCAUAAAAUAAUAUUUUAUAAAAAAAUUGAAAUAUAGGAAUUGAUUAAACUAACUAAAAUGUAAAUCAUAAAACAUUAUUACAAUGGUAGGCCACUUGCUUGGCCCAUGGCACAUUAUCAAAGAUACCAGUUGUACUUCCUCUCCAAAGAAAUUAUACUACUAGUUGUACUAUUAUAUUCAAGUACAUGAGAAUAAAGUUAUUACAGUACUACUAUAACUCACGAGGGCCUGAUUUUGACUCUUGACUUGAGAUGAAUGGAUGGUACUUGGUACUAGUAUGGUAAUAUAUCUUGGUCAACCAGAGCUGCUAACCUUGGAUUUAUCCUACAUGUCCUGGUCAAGGUUCAAAUGUGAUGACUUUGCAUUUUAUACAUCAGUUCCAUUACAAUCACCGUCUUGUUCUUUCUCGACUCAUAAUUAAUACACUGCCCUGCUCGUUAGUUUGCUUGGCUCAGUCGGCCAGAUGAACAAUUCAGGGGUGACAAUUUUGGUAACAGGUCGUGUUCGUGUCAACAAUCGAGUCGAUUUCGGGUCAAAUUAAAAUCAUUUAAAAUUGAAUAAAACUUGAAAUUGAAGUUUUUAGAAAUGAAAUUCUAAUUUCAGGUCAUUUCGGAUCAAUCAGGUGAUUUUCAGGUCACUUUCGGAUUUUGUCUCAGUAAAUCGGGUUACGGGUUCGUGUCGGUUUUGAGUCGUGUCUGAUAUUGCCAGUAAACCCUGUUUAAACACUCUAUUUUAUCUAUUAGUCAUUGCCUAUAAGAAAAACAGGCUCAAUCCCAUUUUUCAGCAAUAUCAAGUUAUUGAAGCUCACCCUUACCAACUGCACCCACAAUCUUUAUACAAUAAACCAGCUUACGCACAAUGCUAUAAGCAAAUUUUGAAAUGAAAUUGUGUGCAACAUGUAUGACAAUAUUAGUAGCCGACUGGAUCAAGAAGUUAAAGGUGGAUUUGCCUUGCAAGUAUGUGAAACCUUCACCCACUAAAAUCUUACUCUUCGGAGUGAAGCAAAAGUAAAGAAUCCCCUCCCCCCUCCUUAUUUUGUGCCCCAAACAAAAUGAAGUUUACUUUCUGAUAUCAUAGUGUCGCAAGUGGAGAGCAGGAGGAGAAAAUUACCAACAAAAAACAGCAUCUUUCUUAUUAAUCAAUUAAAGAGUCAAAUCCACAUAAUCUUGGCUCCUAAAUCAUGUCAAUACCUCCAAGCCUAACACUCUUAUUCAAUAGUUCUACAUAAACUAGUAGAAGGGCCAUCAGUCAUUACACUUGCAUCUCAAGAGCAAGAGAAGCUUUAUGAAUCAAAUAAAAACUUGAUCCAAAUCAACUUAUUGUAUAACAAAAUUGCUAUGUCAUUAGAAAAUGCAAGAGAUCAACAUUGUUACAUGGUCAUCAUUCAAGAUAAAGAAAACAUGACAGAUGAUAAAGGGUGCUCCACUGAAAUUUGAGAGUACAAAGUCACCCAAAUAUUCUAUGGGAAACUGAAUGUUCUAUUAAAUAUUUAACAACAUUACAGGACAUAACGAAUAUAUUCCCAAACCUAUCCCAGUGUACUGUCCGUUGUUUCCUCGAGUCAUAAUCAAUGGUCUUCCAUCUUUUUCAAUCCUUUCAUAUCAGUUGUCUCCACCCUGUAUUAAAAGCAAGGUCAUAACUUAUACUCGAUGCCACAAAUACACUUGCAAAUUUAAUUACUACAAGAUAUUCUAGGAAAGUAUGUUCGCCAAGGCAUGGUGCAUCUGUCCUAUGCUAUUUUUAAUCAAGCCUUAGAUUACACACAGAGCUUAGAAACAAUUUAUGUUAUCUCUGCCCAAUUAAGUUGUGUAUAUUACAGGUCCACUGGAUUUCCAAAUUUAAUGGGAAGUAAAAAAAUCAAUAAUGUGCCUAAGCCUUUAAGGGAUAGGAUUAUAUCAGAAAACAUUGACAAAUUCCGAUAUCCGCAUAUAAACAAAGUUGUUAGACCAUGUAGUGAAGUUCCACAAAAGGACUGAAGUGAACAGAGCCCAUGCUUAAAAAUCGAGCUUGACGAACUACGUUACUAAAUAGAAAAGAAAAUGUAAUAACAAAAUUAUACAGUAGCAUAAAGCAAUUAUCAAACUAGAUUCAAAAGCACCAACACAACUUAAUACAUACCAAGUCUUCAAGCAAAAUAACAAUUGAAUCCGCAGCAAUGUAACAAUGUAUUAUGGAUAAUAAGUCUACCACACGGCAAAUUAACAUAUUAAAACAAGAGAGUAAACUCAUAUUCGUCAAGCUUCAAAUUUUCCUUAUGUUUGUGAUUUUUCAUGAGCAACCCUCUCAGUGUUAGUAGGUUGGUGGGGGAUAUGUACGUACUUCCGCAUCAUCAUUAUCAUCAAAAAAUAUCCAAAAUUCAGCCUAAUUUACUUUUUUUAGCUUUAGCAACUGAAAAAAUAUUAAUCAAUUAAUAAAGACUGUAUACUACACUUGUGUAUAUAAUAUAUAGAAUAAUAGAAUGCAUUACUUUAACCAAAAAGAUACACCAACUCCUACAUCAUAGUUUCUGGAUACACUAUAAGUAGCAAGACAGCUGGGUUAGCAAUUAGGCAUCUAAGAGCAAGUCCAACACUAUGCUAAGAGGUUCCCUAAAAAUAUUAUAAAAUAAUAUGUCUUAUUGAUUUAGCACACGCUUUAGUACAUGAGCUCCAAUAGUACUCCCUAUAUCCAUUCCCUAUUAUUAUAAUAAUAGGGAAUGGAUAUAGGGAGUACUAUUGGAGCUCAUGUACUAAAGCGUGUGCUAAAUCAAUAAGACAUAUUAUUUUAUAAUAUUUUUAGGGAACCUCUUAGCAUAGUGUUGGAAUACAAUUUUAUCCCAUAUUCUCUAUUUUCGGAUUUAAGACUUGAUUUAGCACACCUAUUGGACUUGCUCUAAGGAGAUAGACCUCUAGUCAAAAGUCAACUAAGUGCAAAAUUAAAAGCUGAACAAUGAGGGCUUAUAUGGUCCAUCUGUGACUAAGAAUGAAGUUGCAGCUAUGUAGAAUAUCUGAAGUCUUUAGCCACAAAAGCUAUCACUGUGUCUUUUGGCAAGCAAACAUCGUAAGUUAACUCUGUUUCACUUACCAAUCGCAUCCUUCGGCCACUGUCCAAGUGGUCAACUAGUCACCAACCACACAACCGUGCAGUUGACAAGUAUAAAAGAAGCAAAAUGAAAUCAGGAACACACACACGCGCGCAUAUUCAUCCAAUUUCAGGUAAAUUUGGUUUAUAAUUUGUGGAAAACGAUUCAAAAGGAUUAGAAGGAGUAUCAUCAACAUAAUAACUUGAUAGCGUUGCUGUGCUAUGGAUACUCACUGUACACUCAUGGAUAUCUAAUACUAUAGUCAUAUAGGCUUACUACUAUGCAAUAUUUUACAUAGAACACAAAAAGAAGUACACAUACACGACAGGAGAAGUGAUUUGAAAAUAUAUGCACUAUCAGUUCCUAGCUAGCAGCAUAACAUAUGCACUAAUUUAGUUUGUAGUUACCAUUUUAACACACAAAUAUAUAAGUAGGCAGAUUGUUUUGGUUGAGCAGAGCCUGGUAAGAAAACUAGACCAACUGCUUAGUUCUAUAUUCAAUAGUUAACUACCACUUUGCUUGAAUCACAUGAAGGAUUUCAGGUAAUUCGGGUAAAUUCACGAGGUUCAUUAGAAUUAAUAACACUUGGUCCAGUCUUGUUGCAAGGAACUUAAAGUCCUCUCAGAUAUACUCAAAAGGUACUAAAAGCUCAGUCACAACACAGUAUUGUCACUUGGUCAAAUAAAAUUAUUUGUUGCAUUUGAUUCUCCCCUAAAAAACUAAACAGAUUUAAGAAUAUGAUUGAUCAAACACAAAGAGAGCGUAAAAGUACUAAAGAAAUUUAAGUAAUCAAUUUCAACUGAUAAAUAUUUUUAUAGAGCUUAUCAUAUUUGAUCACAUCUAAACUAUUAGGUAAAAAAAAAAACUAUCUGACCAAAAAUGGCUCAAAAAUAUUGUGUAUGUAGAGGAUUCAGUAAAGUCUCCUAUAAACAUGGGUCCUGCUCCCCAGCAUCAGCAUGUGUAUGCUGGGGAGCGCUUAUCUGCCAUACAAAUUUCAGACCGUUGGAUGAGAUACCAACAGCCAGGAUUAUAACAAAAUUUCACCUCAUCCAGCGCUUUUUAACCGCUAGACACCUAAAUCAGACAAUUUGGGGAGCUGUUUUUUUCACUAAACCAGACAAUUUUCUGGAAAAUAUUAUGAAACUGCCAUUAGUAUGUUCAGCGCAAAAAAGCACUUAACGUCCAAAAUUUGAAAAAAGAAAAUACUCGGAUGUCCAGUACUUUUUAAUCACGGAGCAUAUUGAACAUAUUAAAAACAUUAACACAUCCAGUGGAAAAUAACCGCUUGAUGCUAGGUGUUCAGCAGUAAAUUGUGCUGGACGUAGCUUAAAAAUCUUAUAAUCCUGGAAUGUGUAUGGCAGAUAGGAGCUCCCCAGCAUACACCUGCUGGGGACCAGGAGUCCAGGACCCUAUAAUCAUUCGCUGGAAGUCUUUAUUAAAGAUGUGAAAUAUCAGAAGACAAAGUGAUAAGGUGGAAUUUACUGGUCAGUAAACUAUAUAGUAUUGGACAAAUUUAUUAUCCAAGAAGAAGAACAAGAAGCAUUUCUCUACAAUGUACUUGUAUGAAACACAUAACAGCCCAUUUGAUACUUACGUAGUUCCAUAUAAGACAAUCUUUUGAACUUUUGUUGUCUCGCAUUCAGAUUGGUUAUCCUCGAUAAAAAUUGUCAAGCUGAUACAAUGUCCAGAGACAAAACAGUGAGAUCAUUUCAAAAGAUAAGUAAAAAACAUUGAAAGGCUAAAAUGCAAUUCUGAAACUUACCUGCGAACAUUCUGAAACUUGACAUACUUUAAAGCAACUGGUUUUCCCUAUAUGUGCAAGUAUACAAUAUUUGUAUGUUAGCAUUUACAACAUUGUCUGAAACAUGCAAUGGCUUUCACAAAGGAUUCAUCAUAUCACUGGAAACUCUUACCUUGUUAUCUUCAGAGGAUAAUACUAUGGUGUCAUUUGGAGCAUAGUCGUUAACAUUACUGCAAAUUACAUCAUUUUGGCAUGGUAAUAAGGUGCACGAAAAUUAAACUAUGACAUAAUUACUGCGUGCAACUACAAAUCCACAAAUCAGUUACCUGAAUCCCAUAUGCUCCCUAUUUGUAUACAGUUUAACUGUUUUUGGACCUGGAAAUUGACACAAAGUUCCAAAUUUGAAGACAAAUUCCAGUAUGAAGGUAUAUGCACCCAUGGUUCCAAGUUAUCACAAUUAAUUAGUGGAGACCCUUUUACGCAGUUUCUAUUAUACACAAAAGGGAUGCACAAACACAGUAAAUCACUGCAACAAUCCAGGAAGUAACUGGCAAUCCCGGUGGGUUGUGACAUAGGGGAAAAAUGUAUUGACAUCUAAUCAAUGUGCAUGAUUAUGAAGUUUUAGCAAUUAGCAUACUAUCACUUAUUACCAUAUUCACAGAGUAGGCACAAUUUAAAAAAACUAAAGCUAGAAUAUGUAAGACUAACUAGAAUAAAUGCUAAAAAGCAAACAAUUGUAAGAAACAAGUUCACGAAAAUAUAUACCUUCCUCGUCAAGUCCUUGAAUGGCAAUUGAGUGUAGUUUGAUGACUUGGGUGAAAGGUAUAUAAAUCAAAAGUUGUUCAUCUGCAUCACUCUCUAAAUUCAACCCAUCAUCUUCUCUAUAACCCUAAUGCACAAAAAAAAAAAAAGCAAAAGCCAGUUUAAGUCACUGAUACAAUUACUAAAUGGCUGAAGAAAAAACUGCCAGAAUAUUCGAUAUUUUCCAAUAAAUAUCAUUUAAAAUUCUUAUGUAAAGGUUUCUACUUCCAAACAAGAAAAUGUAUAGAAGCAAGGUAUUCCCAGCUUCUUGAUAAUUUCCACUACCACAAAGUCUGCAUACAGAACGAUUUUGUCUCUCACAGUUAUGAACAUACACUUGAACUCAAAUAUUUUUCUCAAUACAGAUUGAACCUAUGGUAACAAAAGCGUGUCAAAUGCUGCCUUUAUUCUUUCAGUACAAAUUUCACCCACAUGAAUCAUGGACGUUAAUUACGUUGCAGCAGUGAAUGAUGAAAUUUUCCGCAACUCUGCAAAACCACUGUUUUCUAAUCAUUCAAAUUGUGCACUAUAUGGAACACCGCCCCACACUUCUACUAAAAAAAGAUCAUUUAGUUUUCAACCCCCUAGCUUACAUGAAUAGCCCAUUUCUAAGAUCAAUUCGAGUUUGCUGGAAGGCAUCGCAUCACCGUAAAGAUGACAAGCUACUUCCUUAAGGUUUCCAAUUGAGUUAUUUGGUGUUUCCUUUGAUGCUUGAACAAUAGCAGUAUAUAUUAAUUAAUUUAAUAAUUUUAGAUCCAUAUUAGAUUACAAGGAAAAAGGAGGUGUUUUUCUUUGUAGAAAUAUAGCAGAUUACUUUUAAAAACUAGAGUACUAGACCAUAAUGAUUAGCUUUUUUUUAGUUAGGAAAGUACUUAGCUUUGAAACAAUAAGAUCUCUGUAUAAAUUCUUGUAAUGCUGAAAACAGUUCUACCUAAAGAUGAUUGACGAUUAUCACUUAUUUGAUGGAAUUUUUUGAAACUACGAGGCUCGCCUCCAUCAAUUCCCAGCAGAGGUAGAUUUUAUCCCUUAAAUAUGUACCACAAGUUUUUAUGACUUCACAAAGUUAUAUAUCAUAUUCAUCACUGAGUUCAAAAAUACUCAUAUCAAGAACAAGAAAACCAUUAACAAGUUGCUCUAAUUUGCAUUGUAAACUAGUACUAUUAUACUAUGUUCAGCAUAUAUAUUAACUAGUAUGAUCGCCCCAAUCCCAAAACACGAGUAUUAUGCAAUCAAAAAACCACCAAAUGUAUCACACAAUAAAACCCCUUGCGAGAAACAUAUACAACCAAAUACAAGUCAAUACAAGUAAAAUUGGAAACAAAUUUUAAAAAAAAAGGGGGGGGGGGGGGGGGGGGGGNNNNNNNNNNNNNNNNNNNNNNNNNNNNNNNNNNNNNNNNNNNNNNNNNNNNNNNNNNNNNNNNNNNNNNNNNNNNNNNNNNNNNNNNNNNNNNNNNNNNNNNNNNNNNNNNNNNNNNNNNNNNNNNNNNNNNNNNNNNNNNNNNNNNNNNNNNNNNNNNNNNNNNNNNNNNNNNNNNNNNNNNNNNNNNNNNNNNNNNNNNNNNNNNNNNNNNNNNNNNNNNNNNNNNNNNCGGUAUAUAUGAAGACCUUUUUGAGAGCAUUGGCAUAAGCCUGGGUUGAAGUUUGAUUCAGACAUUCGACUCCAGUCCAAUCUAUGAAGUCCACUAGAUCAACCUAAGACGGCAACAGAAAUCAGACAUAUAUACAUACAUACACAUAUCGAUACAGAUGUAAUAACGAAAAGACAGAAGAAAACAUACUUGGUUUCUUUGAAUUGCAGAGGCGGGUUCUCCAGACAUUGUGAAACGGACCAAAGAGAAAACCCCUCUUCUGUGUGUACGAGAGUCAAACGUAUGUAUGUAUCUUGUGUAUAAAGUCCGAGGUAGUGGGCGCGGCGCGGGUGUCUCACGCAAGGAAUAACUCAAUUGGAUUAUUGUGCCUGUUUGUCGAUCAAUUUUUUUAAAAAAUAAGUUUUUACUUUAAAAAAAAUUAUUUUUUAAAUAUAAAUGUCAAGAAGUUGUUUUAUAUUUAUUAUACUUAGUAAAAAAGUAAGGACUUAUUUCAGAAAAAAUAGAGAUUACUCACAUCAUAUUUUAUUAAAGAUUAGUAAAACAAAAGUUUUAUUUUGUUAAAGUAAACGUUUCAAAACAAAAGUUCUAUUUUGUUAAAGAUUUACUAAUUUCGUGGGAUAUCACACAUGAACUUGCGUGUUUUAUGAGAAUAUAAUUAUUACUAGUAUUAAUCUGUCACUGGUGAGUGCAUCUUCUCGAUGAGGUUCAUAAGAAUUAAGCACAUAUGAGAAGUGAUAAGUUGAAAUUGCAUUCAUGAAGAAUACGCAAAGGCACGCUAGUUUUUAAUACAAGAUGAGAUAUAUUAACCUGCAUCAACUUAAUAUUUAGAGUGACAACUUCAAUUUUCGCUUUAUCUUUUGAAAAUGAACUUGGACGUACUUUCUAGAAUUGGGGUUUUGCAAAUAUAACGUUCAAGCAAUCUACAGGUGUGGGAGUGAUCAUUAAGAAUGCAGAUGGCCCGUAUAGUUGUCAUGGUCUUAGGAAUCCUAGGGCCUCUGAAUCAGAGGACCAAUGAAAUAUAGGCAAUUGUACUUGGCACUAUUUAAGAAUGAGAAAACGGACUGAGCUGGAGACAGAAUCAACUGAGGCACUGCGUGAAUGAGAGGAUUGGCGAUGUUUAUUGAUGUUUACCAUUAUUGAUUGGUUGAGUAACUGAACCAGCGCCUUAAAGACAACUACCUAGUGCUUCAUAAGAAAGUUAUCGCGGCUAGUCAGAAUUGCUUGGCUAAAUACUUGGCUAAGAACAUUGUAGAAAUCCGAAAAAGUCCUCGAAGGAUCUUCGGGCCAUUUGAUCGAGUUAGGGGUAUUUGGUACCUUGAUAUGUUUCUAGGUUUUGUGAGGGAUGGAUUCAUGAAGAUGAUUAAAAAGAACAACAGUAACAGCAAAAUGAGUGGGUCAUGCAAGCGGACGCGCGCAGUAGUCUCAAGCACCAAUGAUUCAUCGGUUGGCAACGAAAACAACAAUCUGAUCAUCAUUGACUAAUGUGCUAGUUCGAUCACCCUGCUCGUGUAUUUAAACCAUGCCCCUCUCUCAGUUCAGGUAACUAAUUUUAGUUAUAUUAUGUUUUAGAUUAGUAUGUUCUCAGCAUUAGUUCUUAACCUGCUUUGAAUAGCAUUUAUAUGUGAUGAUGUUGGUGCAUGGAAGUUUGCCUUGGAGACCAUGAGGUUCCCAGGUCUUCUUCCAUUUUGAUUCCAAUGAAAAUGUUUAUCCGGAAAUGAAUCUGUUAGAAUUUUUAAGAAUUAAGUAAUUUGCCUUAAACAUUAGUUGGAAAUGAAGGAUGUUCAGUUUUGAGUUGGUAGUAAAGCUCUGUAUUGAUUUGCAUACUAAUGAUAUUGCACGCUCACACCCACCACUCACUCUUCUCUACUUCGAUACACAGUACCUGGUAUAAUAUUUGAUCAAAAAAGUGUUUGAGGCCAUAAUAUUUAAAAUGAGCGAAUGGUCUGUGUGAAGUAACCAGGUUGUUACAAUUGUUGCAAAAUUAUUUGCAGAUGUUGUGACAGAGAGUCUGUCUCACAUGAGUCCAUGUUGGGUUCUUUUCGUGAGUUAUGAUCGAGGAGUUCAUUUGUCCAAAAUUUGAUGGUCAUAUCAUUUUUUAAAAUUGGAUGGUAAGCGUGUAUAAUGACCCAAACUUCAAAGACAUGAAGGUAAUUAAGCCUAAAUUUCAAAGGCGACAACCAACAUUGAUAAGUCCAUCUUCUAAUAAUUUUUACUUUCUCUGUCAAUUUUUUUUAUAUAUCAAUAUUAAAACAUUGAAUUAUAUUUGAAUAUGGUUAACAGUUUAUCGAAAAUGCUCAAUUUUAUACGAAAUUAUAACAACACGUCGCACUACGAAGUAAUAAAUCAGAUGUCAAAAUGAUUUUUUUUCCACAUAUAGCAUAUUUGAUCUAUAAUAUCAUCAUGUUCUAGUGUGUACUAUUCUAUUUUUGACUUCUCGAAUAUCUUUCUAUUUUUGUCUUGUGAAUAAUACCUUUAUAUUUUAAAUUUAAUGUAUAUCAUAUCAUUAUCUUACUUAAAUAUUAAAUAAAUGUUGAAAUUUAAUUAAAUCAUCUAAUUUUUCAUUUAAACUUCAUUUUUUUCACAUUUUCAACACUCGUAACAAGUUACUACUUAAAAUAUCUUAGAACAAAACGUAGUUUAAAACUUCUGUAUAGUGUUUUCAAAAUAUUCUUUUUAAAUUCCUGUACAAUCAACUUUUUCAACUAACAUCAUUACUUUUUGAUAUAUGUGGUACUUUAUAAUUUAAUUUUAAAUUAACUUUUGUGUAACAUAAAAGUAAAUAUAAAAAUACCAUUCAUAAGUAGUCGAAAAUAUGAAAUGCACCACGCAUAAAAUAAAAAAUAAAAAGGUAUUUAACUAAAUAGAUAUAUAUUUUUUAUAUUAUUUUCAUCAUUUAUUUGAAAUUAAAUAAUUAAUUUAACUAAGUAUGGCAUAUUAUUCUUAAUAUGAUAAUUUUUAUAGAUUAAAUAAAUUAAAACGCUUAUCUUGAUGGAUUUUAUUAUAAACGUGAUUAUUAAUUUUUAGAUUGAUAAGAUGAAUAUGUUCGUCUUGAUUCUUGAGUUUUUUUGUGAUUUUUUAUGGACCUAUAUGAUUUGACAGUUUGUCCAAUUUGAAUUAUGACUAGUUAUUACUCCCUCCGUCCUCCUGAGAUAUAUACAUUGGGGGACGGGGACGCGGCACGGACUUUAAUGCUCCCGUAAAGUAUAGUUCCAUAACUUAUUUUUAGAAUUUUUUUUUCUGAAUAAAAAUUUGAAUGUUAUAUUUUUAUACAGAAAAAGAAAAUUUUAAAAAUAAGUUAUAGAACUAUAUUUUAUAAGAGCAUUGAAGUGCGUGUCGAGCAAUGAAAAAGAAACGUAUACAAUUAAAUGGGACAGAGGGAGUAUCAACGUAUAGAUAAUGUUAUACUUUCUCCGUUAAUUAGUCAUUAUAUUGGGGGUGUUUGGCAUUGAGAAGCAGAGCUUCUUUUCCAUGAAAAAGCAACUUCUACAUUUUGAUGACUGUUUGGGUAAAAAAGUAAUGCCAAAUUUUCUUGAGCUUUUGCAGAAGAAUUGAGAAGUUAGGAAGUCUAACUUCUCUUCCCCGGCUUUCAGCUUCUUUUUUUUAACUUGUAUGUAAAACAAAAACUUACCUACUUGCAUGUAAAACAAAACUCACCUAUCUUUUCGUUAGUAAUUUAUUUUUUGAUAUGUACUUUAAAUAAUGAUUUUUAUAUUAAUAAUAGUUUGAUAUUUUUAAAUAGAAAAAAAAAAUUAUGUUUAAAAUUAUCAAAUCUACCAUUUAUUAUAAGUCAAGUUAUCCAAACACCUAAGUACUUAAAAUUCACGGCAUCCAAACACCUCUAAUCCGAACCAACUUCUCACUCCUCUUCCACUUCUUUACUUUUAAGUAGAAGUCACUUCUUUUAAGCUUAGCCAAACGGCCCCAUUGUCCAUUAAUUUUGCAUUACACUUCAUGCGUUGUGUUAUGCCUAGGGCUGUUAACGAAACGAAUUCGAAACGAAUAUCUUAAUUUUCGUAUUUGUAUACGGUUUAAAUACAUAUAUUCGGAUUUGUAUUCGUUUAUUAUCCGAAUAAUUAUUUGUUUUUUAUUCGGAUUCGGUUAGAUUCACUAACUAUUCAUAUUCGUUUAAGGUACUCUUUUAAAACAAAAUGGAACUAAAUAACUGAAGUGCUAGCUCGUGACAAAAGUAAUAAACUCUUAUACUACACCAAUUCAAGCAAACUAUAAAAUACUAAUUACACAGACUACAAUCAUCCAAUUCAAAGAAACAAAAUUCAAUUACAACCAAAAUGUAAAAUUUAAUAUGUCUUAAUUAACUCUAAGAUCAUGCAACAGAACUUUCACUGGCUCAACCUUUUAGUAUAUGGACGGGUAGGGGUGAGCAAAAAUUCUCCAAACCGACCGAAACCGGCCGAUCCAGUCCGCUCAAACCGAAUUUAACGGUUUAAUAACGGUUUGGUUUGGUUAUGGUUUCAAAUUAUAAAAACCGAAUUAUUUCGGUUUGGUUUCGGUUUUUACCUCCAAACCAACCGAUAAAUCCGAACCGAACCGAUUAACCGAAUGUGUAAAUUUAAAUAUUAUAAAUAUACAUGUACGAAUAAUGUAUUAUUAAUAAUAAAAUUAUAAUCUACGAAAAAAUGUAAAAUCUUAAAAAUAUAAAAGGUAUCCUAGUAAAGAUUUUUUUUAAAAAUAUUAUUUAUUCUAUUUUAUGAUAUUAAUUUCGAUGUAUGUAUAAUAUUUCCAUUCUUUUUAUUUAUAUUUUUGUAAAAAUAUACGAAUCACAUUUUUUUUAAUUUUCUUCCGUCUCUUUUUAUCUAUCAAGCUAAUAUAUUCUUGUAUCCUCUUUAAAUAUGAUUAAAUAGAAAAUAUAAAUUGAAUUUUUCAUUCCUUAUUUUCAAGUUAAAAUUUAAUUUUGUUGCUAACUUUGUUUUACAUAUAAAAAACGGUUUAAACCGAAACCAAACCGAACCGAACCGUUUUAAACAGAUUGGUUUGGUCUGGAUUUUAAACAUAAUGGUUUGGUUUUGGAUUGAGAUUUUGAAAAACCGAUUAUUUCGGUUUGGUUUGGUUUAGACCUUUCAAACCGCCCAAACCGCCCGAUGCUCACCACUAUGGACGGGGCUGGUUUAAUUUAAUAUCUGGUCUCAAAAUAAUCUAUAAUCCUAUUAAAUAAGAAAUAUAAUAUUUUUAUAUAAUAUAUAUAUAUAUAUAAUAUUUAAUUUCCGAAUAAUUAAGUGAAUAGCGAAUACGAAUAUUUAUCUACUCGAAUUUGUAUUUGUUAAUGAACCGAAUAUUUUUUAAGAUUUGAAUUCGUAUUUGUAUUUGUUAAUAAACGAACACGAAUAAUACUAAACGAAUUCGAAUACCGAACAUUUCAUUAAAUAUUCGUUUCGUUAACAGCUCUAACUUAUGCCCUGAAUUUUACAAACGUGACUUGAAAUAUUAAUUACAAGAAUUUGGAUAAUGGAUGGUAUAAAAAUAAAUAUUAAUAUAUUUAUUUUUGUUACAUUUAUUUUUCCUAACAUGGCUGCACUUGAUAAACAAAAAAGAAUGGGCCUGAAAUACAAACUGGACCACGAUAAUUAUUUUGGACUACGGCUAGAGGAUCUUCAGCCCACAUGGAGUCAUAAAGCAGUUGAAAGUUGUUGGAUAAGUCAUGGAAUGGAUCGUAACUCGUAACAAUCUGCAGGAUUACAGAAGUACAAUUCAAAUAAGAAAAUGAGAUAAGGAGGCACCAAAAUUGGAGGCGGUUACAUGCACGUGGGUUGGUGGAGCAAAAGUAGGAAGGCUGGAGUUGUGGAAUAAACAGGAUUCUCAGCAAAAUAAUCACGAAAUAGGCGCUCAUGCCCCCUGGUUAUGAUUUCGACGAAUGAACUUGCGAUGUCGCCUGUUUUCAGAAUACUGUCUAUAAGCCCUUUCACUUUCAACAUCUGUAUCAUCUUUUGAAGAAAAGUAUGCUAAGAUUUUGCGAAACAAUGAUCUAACCAUUUAAUGAUAUGUGAUACCACAAAGAAAUUUCUACAAAUAUUUGAAAGAAUUACAAGUUAUUGAUGAACUGAUGAAAGAAAGGAGUAUAUGAGAUAGGAAUAUAUAUUACCGUUAUACAAAUUUAAAUUUUGUAAAAGAAGGAUACAUAAAAAAAAUAUUAAAAAAACAAUAUAGAGAUGGAGAUAAGGACUGGAAUGUGAUAACGUCUUAACAGAAAACUAAACUUUUGGGAUAAUUAUGGGAAAUUACUAUAUAUAGUAAGUUUUUGGGGUUAAAGAAAGAGACCCCAAUGAGAAUGCUCUAAAUAGUAGGUGUGUAAACGAAGAGAGGACAACAAUUCUUACUCGAAUUACAAUUUCAUCUUCAUCUCCUGUAAACCAUUCAUAUAGUGAAUAUUUUCUUUCGGCUGGGUAACCAAUCCCAUCCGCGGUUUUUACCCUACAUCGGGGGUUUUCCGCGUCACCAAAUAUUUGUCUCGUUUUAUUCAUUUUAUCGCUCAAAUUAAUUCACAUAUCAUUCACCCGUAUAAAAUUUCGUUAAAACACGUUGAUACACUUUAUUCUUCAUUUAUUGAUACUCAUGAAGUUAUUUGUUGGUCUUCCUUUCACUUGUGAGAAUUUCAUGCUUUAGAAUAGUUAUCAUUUGACUAAAUGUUCUUUCCAUCCGGACCGUUUCAUUCAUGAUUUAUUUGACAAUCAACUGUUAUUUUAAGAUCACUUCACUUGUUACGAAAUCUUAUCCGUUAAUAUAUAAAAUUUACUUUAAAAUAUUUUUAUAAUACUAUCAACUAGUAAGUAACCUAAUCAACAAAUACUCUUAUGAAUAUCACUCGCUGACUGGUUAAAAAUAAUUAUAAUUUAAUGCUAAUUAGUGAAUUAUUAUCAUUAAACCCAAGAUUAAGAUUGGCGAUUUCGGGUUUGGGACUGGGUACGGGUCGGGUUAACAGGCGCAAGUCGGUUUUUUAGCCAACUCGAACCUGACCGGAAUUUUAAUGGGUCACAAUAUUCAACUUGAACCGGACCCGAUCCAUAAUAUUUAUUAAUAAGAAUAUUUUUCAAAUAAUAAAUAAUUGUCAUUUUAAUUCAAGUAAAUUAAUUUCUAAUAAAUCAAAUAGUAUUUUAUUGAAUUUAACUAAUAGAUAUUAAAAAAUAAUAUAAAUAUAUGUAUUUUAUAUAAAUAUGUAGGAUUUUUAAAAAAUGUAUUCAUUUUCGGGUUAUUUCGGGUUAAUUUCGGGUAACCCGAUUUCAACCCGAAAAUGACCCGUUUUUUCUGGUUGAUUUUGGGUCAACCUGAAUAAUCAACCCGAAUUCUACCCAAAUCCGAAAAACUCCAACCUGAAUUCGUAUUUUAUGGGUCAAAUUCGUGUCGGUUACCAUAUUGCCACCCCUACUUAACAUAUAUUCCCAACAUAAUCCAUAUGAUAUAUAUGAUGCCCAUGAACCUAUAACCUCAUACCUUUUUAAAAAAAAAUAAUUGAUCACUUAGCAUAUACAAGUAUUUGUGUUUUGAACACACAAAAAAUCAUAAUAUACUACACCACUUUAUUAUUAUACCCUGACAUUGUGACCAACCAAAAAAAAAUAGAAAUUCAUAUAAAAAAUAUAAAUAUCUAGUUGACCUAUAUUUCUUACCUUUGCCUCACUUUUUAUUGAUUUGUUUUAUUUACGUACUUCAUUUUUAGGAUUGAAAAUUUUGCAUGACACUAAAGUUAACAAGAAGAUGUAUUAUUUGAGUUUGCGAUUUUAAAAUUCAAGCCCGUAUGAGUCAUUUAAAACUAAACCACAAAAUUAAUUCAUUUUUGUGUCAAAUCGAUCUAAAUCUAAAUAAUAUAAUAUUAAAUGUUAUAUGUAUAUGUUAUAGCGUUCUAUUUGUAAGCCCAUCCCACGGUCCAGCCCAAAUAUAUUGGCAAAAACCCUAUUUUUCUUCGAUCAUAUCUAUAUAUAUCCGCCGCCUCAUCAUUUUUAUGUGUUCUUAUAUCUUAACAUCUCUAUGAUUGUUUUCUCAGUUUUUUUCUUUUCAAACAUCUCUUCUCCAGUCUAUAUCAAGUGCUCAUAUCCAUGGUGAUACUACAUAUGCACACAAACAAAAUACUUAGCGUCACAAUAAUUUUGAUAUAUCGGUAAGUUACUGCUUUGACUUUUGAAACAAUAAUAUAUGAAUACAUACAUAUGCUGAUAUAGUAAAAAAUGUGCUAGAUCUAUCAACAACGUUGAAUACUUACUCAAUUUUCAUUGAAAUAAAAGCAAGUUUCAGAUUUGUUAUUUUAAAAUUGAAACGAAACAAGUUUGUGUAUGAUCCAAUUCGCAACACGCGCACACACGCACAUUGUUUGAAAUUAUUUUAUUUUAAAUUUUAGAUAUGUUUAGAUUUUAGUAAGUUACGGUUUUAAAUGAGUUUUGGGUAUUUAAUCUAGAAUUAAAUUGAAUCACAUUAUAACCCUGUAGUUUGAUAAUUAUUUAAAUUUUAAAUUUUUAUUAAAUCAAUUUCGGUUAAGAUUUUUAGUUUGCCGACAAUAAAAGAUUAGUUGACAACUCCAACAUAACACAUAACACAUAAGUUUAACCAUAUUUGAUAUCAUUUUUCUCCUCCAAAAUAUUUAUUGGCAUUAUUUUUACUAUCUCCAAUUUGGUUUAUGAAAUUUAUAUGAUUUAUAUACAUGAAUCUCUUGCAGUAAACAAUGAAGAAAGUGCUCCACGAAAGAUUAAAGUCUUCAUUUGAUUGGAUACAAUUUGCGGGUAAUAUUUUUUUCCUUUCAUAUACAUUUGUAUGACUUAUGAGUUAUUCAAAAUAUACGAUUUAGCAACCAAAUGCAAUUGGAUGGAACCAAGACCAGCCUUUGAUGCAAUUAAAAUUGACUUCGAUUUUUUUCAAAAAAAAAAUUGUAUUAGGGGGUUACAAUUAUAUAAGAAAAAUGGAAAAUAGUUUUUUAUUUACAAACCAUAUUUUUGUUAAUAUUUUAAUAAAAUCACAAAAAAAAUCUAAAAAUAAUAUUUUUGAUAAUUCUUCUUGUUUAUUCUCUUUAUAAUAGUUCAGAACAUUAUAUAAGUCAUAUAUAUAAUCAUAUUUUAAUUAUUUAUUAAUUCAUCUAAAUUUUAUAUAUUUAUAUCCAAAAUUGAUUUGUUACAUUUUCAUUAACAGGCAUUCGACCAAUAAUGAACCAAUUCUAGCCAGAUUUAGACAAUCCAUGAUACAUAACCUUUUAGUUUUAGUUACUCCGGGACCUAAAAAUGAUGUCAUUCACUAGAAAACCCUAGUGGACUCCAAGCAGUGCUGAUGAUGCAACAAGCGAGCUAGAUGAGAUGGAACAUCUAGCACAGAUUCUGAAUCUAUUUGAACCAACAAGACGUGAAGCUUCACGCCAUGUAGCUAGAGAAUUACUGAACCCCACACAAUUGCUUGAUAUAUUCAUGAACAAGAUAGUAUAAUGCUAUACAGGUGAAGCUUCGCGACAUAUAACAUUAUACUUACCAUGUUCAUAAUAUAUCAAGCAACUGUCUAGGGUUCAGUAAAUCUCUGGCUACAUAGCGUAAAUUUUCACGUGUAUAGGCUAAUCUUGUUGGUUCAAAUAGAUUUGGAAUCUGUGCUAGGUAUUCCAUCUCAUCUAGCUCGCUAGUUGCACCAUCAGCACAACCUGGAGUCGACAAGAGUUUUCUAGUGAAUGACAUCACUUUUAACUCCUCCGUAGCUGAAACUACAAGGUUCUGUAUCAUAGACUGUCUAAACCUGACUGGAGUUGGUUCAUUAUUGGCCGAGUCGAGGACAGCUCCUAAAGUAGUAAUACGAGUGACUGCAUCCCCUAGACACUUGGAGAAAGACAACAUAUAUCAAUUGGGAGAUUGAGACUGAAGUAACAUCACAAUGAUUUUAAUUAUCUUUCUUUCAUCUUCUUAAUUUUAUUGUUGUGUUAAUCUUUGAGAUGUUGAACUAAUUGUUAUUCAAGGCCUUGAUGGAUUCUUGAGUUAUAUAUAUAUAUAUAGGCUCAUGAUCAAAUAGAAACCACUUUUAAAAUAAAAACUAGAAACCAAUACAAGUUAGUGAUAUCCUCAGUACAAUUUAGUGAUAUUCUCUUUACGAUUUAGUGAUAUGUGUUGCACGAAUUAGUGAAAACUUGCGGAAACUGCCCAGAAUUUCUGAAUCUGUUCUAGUUGCCGAUUCAGGUGGUGGUUGCGGUGGUGGAGAUAAUGGAGGUGAAGGUGGAGAUGGAGGUGGUGGACAUGGAAGGAGCCUUUAGCUUUGUCCGGCAGAUUUUUGGCAAAGAUCUGGAAUUUAAAUCGGUAUUAAGCUAGAUAUACGGUACUGUAGGUGAGGAAGACCGAGGUGGAGGUGAGGACGAAGGUGCAGGUGGAGGUGGAGGUGGGGGUGGAAUGGAAGGGGCGGUGGAGGCCGGAGGGGGGUUGGAUUUGGUGGUGAUAUAAAUAAUGGAGGCCGACAUGGAGGUGGUGGCUAUGGAGGGUCGGGCGGCAUGGAGGUGGAGAGAGUAGCAGAGACUUGGCGGGGGUGGUAGGGUGAAGCUGCCGGAAGCGGGGUGGAGGGUUGGUGGGUUGGAGAAGAAGAAGGCAGAAAAUGGGGUUGUUUGAGAAUUUAGUGAUAUUCUCUUAGAAAUUUAGUGAUAGUUUCUAGUUUCUAGAAUAAGGAGGUUUCUAUUGGAGUAAAGCUCUCUCUCUCUCUAUAUAUAUAUAUAAGUGUGCGUUCUUCUUGAUUCUUAGAUUUAGUGUUCAUGUAAUUGAUUAUGUUGGUUUGUGUAUAAUGCUUCUGAAGGAGUAAUUAACUUUGAGAUUGAUUCAAUAAUCUUGGUGAUGCUUGGAAGAGACAACCUUAAUUAGACCCGAUCAAUUUAACUUGGGAUUGACAUAUUGUUAGUUUGUGUUCAUGAUAGGAAUGUACUUGAUCACCCCCAAAUAGUCAAAUUAGGAUCAUGUAUUCAUGCUGCUCAUGGAUUUAACACGUGAGAUACAGAAGGUCCUUGUGAAUAUAUGUGUACCUUAGACUAGCGGUUUGAACAUGAAAAUAGAGAUGAUGGAAGGUGCUUGUAAACUCAAGAUGGAGUUAAAGGUCUAGAUUUAAAUCUUGUUUCAUUCUUAGUCUUGUGUGUAUUUUCAUAUUAGUACUCCCUCUGUCCCAGUCAUUUGUAUACAAAUGGCUGGGACACGGAGACCAAGAAAUUGUUUAAGAAAUUAGUAAAGUUAGAUGAAAAGUGGGUAUAGUGGUGGGACCCAUGUAUAUUUAAUAAUAGAUUUGAGAUAGUGGAGAAAAGUAGUGGGUGUAAUAGUGUUUAUAUUAUUAUAGAAUGAAGAUAGUGGAGGAAAGUAGUUGGUGUAAUGAUAUUUUAUAGUAUUAUAAAAGUUUACUAUUUUUGGAAUGUAUACAAUUGAUGGGACGUCUCAAAAAGGAAACUGUAUACAAUUCACUGGGACGGAGGGAGUAGUAGUUUAUGAUAAAAUUUUCAUCAUAGUUUAUUUAACUUGGAUUGGGCGAACGAUAGUGAAUGGUAAUUAGCACUUAGCAGCUCAAAUUAAACUCGUGAGAAUGAAUUAAUAUACUACUUGUUGGGAUAAGUACACUUGAGUUAAAGUUGCAAAAUCGCUAACACCUACAAAAUAUAAUUGUAAGAGAUAAAUCUUUGUAAUUGUCGUUUAUUCAAAUUAUCCAUCACUCGUUGAUUGAUCUUAAUAUAGAUGAACGAUGAGCUCAAUGAAUCCACGAUCUGCUAUCUAGGAAAGGAAUUAAGAAACUUCUUUAACAUGAAUACAUGAUGACAAAUAGAAAAACUUGAUGAACUCCUUUUCAGUUAAAUUUAAAUAUCCUUUUUGUACCAGUAGACUCCUUUAGUCUCACCUUCAUCUUUCUCCACGUAAAUGCAUUCCUUCAUUUCUCUGUACAUUGCCUUGAGAAUUGGAGUUCCAUCAUACUGAUAAUAAUCACCCAAUAGAGGCUUCAUGGCCUCUGUGGCUUCGAGUCCGUGGUAAUGUGGGAUCAUGGAGAAUAUGUGGUGACAGACAUGAGCAUUGCAGACAUUGUGGAACACCUUGUUCAAUAUUCCAUAGUCUCUGUCGACAGUGCAUAGAGCUCCCCUCAACCAAUCCCAUUCGGUUGAAUCGUAGUAAGGCACAGAGGGAUGAGUAUGGUUGAGGAUGGUGAUCAAUGUGAACCAUCCAUUGACAACAAGCAAUGGACCUCCAUAAACACAGAAAACCCAGACAAAUCCUUUGGCUAAUACUAGAUUGUAUAGGCCAUAGAUGACUGCAAGAAUGGCAACAUCAGAAACAAUGAUUUGUUUGCGUUCACGUUCUGUGUAAAGAGGGCUAUGGGGAUCAUAGUGUGAAGUCCACCUCUCAUACUUGUGUCCAGAAACAUUGAACAUCAGGUACAAAGGGAAGCCUAUGAGGAGUGUGGUAACCCACACAAGGACACGGCCAGGUGGGUUGUUGAAAAUUUUGUAGUAAUUCCUGAUGUUGGACUUGAACCUCGGGACAUAAACCUCGUCGUUCUCAAGAGAUUGAGUGUUGGCGUGGUGACGUCUGUGGCUAAUUUUCCAAGAGAAGUAAGGGACCAUGAGAGAAGAGUGGACAACAAGGCCGACAAGGUCAUUGAUCCAGCCAUAGUCACUGAAGGCAUCAUGAUCACACUCAUGGCCUACGACCCAAGCCCCAGUCAAGACACAACCUUGGACAGCAAUGUAAGCCGCCCAUCCCAAGUAAUUAAGAGGAUGCGGAAGGUACUGGUCUAUGUAAUUCGUGGCAACAUAGUAAAGGGCAUAGGCCAUGAGGAGAUCUUGAAUGAGAUAACGAAAAGAAGUGAUGAGGGAUUUUUCAAAGCAAUGAGCAGGAAUGGCUUUCUUAAGGUCACCUAUGGUGAAAGGAGGUUUCUCAUGAGGAGCACGUCGAAGUGCUUCUGUUUCAGUUUUUUUGGCCUUAGGAGGAUCCGACAUUCGACCACCUGCACCCAUUGUUCCUGAUUACUGAAUGCCUUCAAUAUAAUCAGGA
RNAcentral lists this long non-coding RNA (287051 nucleotides) under Daucus carota (carrot). The record is from RNAcentral. Lineage: Eukaryota; Viridiplantae; Streptophyta; Magnoliopsida; Apiales; Apiaceae.